Molecule: long non-coding RNA, 276995 nt
Filed under: Triticum aestivum (bread wheat)
Lineage: Eukaryota; Viridiplantae; Streptophyta; Magnoliopsida; Poales; Poaceae
Description: long non-coding RNA (TAES_LNC028113)
Source: RNAcentral
CGAUGAAUCGCACCACAAGGGACAGUCAUAUGUUUUGCUAUUCACCACUCAAUCAGAACAAGCACUAGCUAUAGAACCCUAAGGUUGGUAAGGAAGGCCACACAAAAUUCCAGGAAGAGGAGCUGAGGUCCAGUAACUCUUUGCAUAUCUAGCAAGUACUUGCCAUCCCUGGUCUUGUAAAGCUGGAGAUAAAAAAAAUUAAAGUUAGAACCAAAUAGAUAGUAUAUACACUACCAUGCGGGCGAAUUGUAAUUUCUAACACCAACACUGUGCAGCUUUAAAACAUGGGAAGUUAUUUCUACCAACAUGCAUGAGUCAGUCGACAAUAGUUGUUGGCACUAGCAGACAGAUGCAAGACAUGAUAAUGAUCACUUGGUAACAAUUAUGAAUCAAAUAUAUUGGCUCCAGCAAAAUCGUUUUUUUAUCUAGUGACGCCACUGUGAAGGCGAUAUUGAGUAGAAAAUCCCUUUUUUUCUUAUUGCAAAAAAAUACUUUAGUAGUAGAAGAUGUUGCAGACCUGAAUUUCAAACAUGAUCACAGCAGGUAGCCUCCUAUUAACAUCACCAUUAUCCAUGAUGGUAGAGUCAUCAACAAAGCUGUGGUUGGCAUCUAACAACAUAUCAUUGACCUGAGGAAACCCAGGGCACCAACUGCAUUUCAUGUUGUAGUCCACAUUCUUCUUCCAAUAGACAUUUAAUUCCUUAAGUGCCUUUAGAACCUCAAUCAAUAUCGCGCGAGGUUGAGCUCGAGACUGCUGGAUAAGUGAUGCAUUAGCUCAACAUCUGAAUGUGCAAAACAAAGCAAAGUAAAGUUGACAGUUUGCAAGAUCUGGAGUACAAGAGCCCAUUUUCUUUCAACGCGGUAAUAUGGCCGCAAGCCACUACCUUGAGAAUCAUUACUUCCUGGAAGAUAAUUCCAGGUACUUGGGCUUGCUGAUUCCGAUAGAGUAAAAUGAUUAAAACUCAUAUCCUAGAGAAUCAUCCAUUCAUAAAGUUAAUAGUGCUUAAACCUUUAGUGCAUUAAAUAGGUCACACAUGAUGCAAAUGUGGACUAACCAUUUCUUGUUGAUAUUCAGCCCCCAAAUAGCCACUAGUAGCCCGGAACCGAUUGUCCAAGAGUAAGUAAUAUGCAACAGUUUCCUGGAAACAUAUAGUAUAAAGUCACUUAUGAAAACUGAAAGGACUGAACCAGUGAUUUUUGUUUGAAUAUACCUCAUUUUUCAGCCUAUUGCACAAUGAUUCACACACAUGAUCUUUAUCAUAUCCCAGAUUGGCAACAUCUUGAAGUGUAUCUUCAUCAAUCUCCUGAAAUGAACAUCUAGCAAAUUAGCAUAUCAUUGCCAUGGAAACGGUAUUUGAAUGCUCGAUAAUAAACGAUUUUUUUAUAAAUAAAGAGCAGCAUUGCAUGGAAACUUACGUGAUACCUUUCUGAAACCAAGGGCGCAACUAUGGCCAUUGAUUUCUAUUAUAUUUUCUUUGCAAAUAUUACAUUGAUAUUAUACCCAUAAAAGAGAGCAUUUCACGACAAAAGUAUUGUUCUUAGUUUUCCUAUCAUCCAUCCAAAAUCCUGUAUAUAUUAGUGGAUAAAGGCUGAAAAGUUUUACUGUGCAGAUAUGAUAGUCGCUUGAAAUGUGAAAUAGAUGGGGUACCAUUUUGGCUUGCUGUGCUAUCUUUGGUGGAGGCACUGCCAGGUAGCGAGGAAGGCGAUUCUGAAACCAUGGGUGAUCUCGAAUUUCACAGAUUGUGAUUCUCUUCAUGGGAUCAACAAUAAGCAUUCUUGGGAUCAAAUCCAUUGCAAGAUCAGAUAAAUGAUUUGGAAGGAUAUAGAAACCUCCCUGGAACACCAAAUAAGGGGGAGUCAAAUCUCCGGAAAAAAUUAAUUCUAAAGUCCAACUAAUCUACAUGAAUUUGUUGAUUUCCAGAAGAAAAAAAAGGUAAACACUUGUCAGAUCCAACUUAAUCUACAAAUGUUCUGUCACAUCUUUAUCUUAUUGAACAGUUUGGAAAUAUUGUCAUCAUCGAAUGGAACAGCACCACAAAGAAGAGCAUAAAGUAUCACCCCACAGCUCCAAACAUCAACCUCAGGUCCAGCAUACAAUUCACCUGAGAUAACCUAUACAGAAACACUCAUUAAAGCUAUUAACCCAGAUGAUGUGUGAGAAGAAGCAUCAGGAUAAGGACUCAAAUAAUAAAAUAAGUGAAUACCUCUGGUGCGGCAUAGUUUAUACUCCCGCAGCUAGUCUUCAAAAAAUGGCCAUCAUGCAUCACAUUGCUUAACCCAAAGUCAGCAAGUUUCACAUUAUAUUUGGAAUCAACUAGCAGGUUUUCUGGCUUUAGAUCACGAUGAACAACCAUGUUUGUGUGGCAGUAUUCAACAACAGAUAUAAUCUGUUUAACAAAAAAUUAAUUGAAAAAACUAUUGAGACAAAACCUCAGUAUGCAUUCAGUGAAUAAGAAAGAACCCUUCAAAUUACAUAUUCGCGUUCAGAAGGGAUAUACAUUCUCUUUAUGUUUUAAAGGACAAUUUAAUUUUAGGAGUGAAAUUAAGACAAUCAUGAUAUGAAGAAUAAGACUCCAUUUAGAUAAAAAUUGAUUUAAUUAGUGAUACUAAGAUAAACAAGGCAUGAAAAGAUGAAGAUGCCAAAUGAUACAAAAACAAAAAAAAAGAAUCGGCAAAAACCAACGAGCUUAAACAUAAUAUAUUCUGACAUUUUCCGUAAACCGUGUUUUUCCGGCCAAAAAAAUGUUAUCGAGGAAAAAAUUAUCGGUAAAACUUAGUCAACGAAUGCAAACCAAGCAAAUUGAUCGCGAUUUGCACAGUAAACACAUGAGGAAGGUCGACAACUAGCAAGCAUGUCCAUACAUUUGAUGGUUGAAAUAGGAAGCUCAACAUAUCGUUAUUCCCAAAAAAUGUGUUCCUACAUGGUAAGAGCAGAAAAGGCACCUGCUGGAAGAUUCGACGGGCCACAUCUUCCUGUAACCGCCUUUUCUCAACAAUGUAGUCCAAAAGGUCACCAUUCUGGCAAUAUUCCAUCACAACAAAUAUAUCCUUCGGUGUCUCAAUGACCUCAUAAAUCCGGAUGAUAUGAGGGUGAAUGAAGUCAAUGAACGACCUCAAUAUCUUGAUUUCUCUAUUUGCUGGAAAUACGAUAUGAGAAAACAAUAGAAGUAAAGUGUUAGACAUUGAUCCUAUGAAGAAAAUGCGUAUGCAAAUUCUACUAACUCGCAGCAACAACACAUGCUGAACUUUCUUCUUAACUAAAGCCGAAUGUAUCCUAUACUAAUGUACAUUAUCUCGACUAAUUGAUUAAGUGGGAAUUCGGAACACACCCACAAGUCUGACUAGCACUCUGAAAGCAGAUAACUCAAAGUCCUGAACAAGCAUGUCAAAUGUAUCCUAGACUAUUGUACAAGGAGAAGGAGGCAUACCUUUCUCUUCCAUUUCCAUAGUUUUCAUUUUACGACGGUUCAGAAUCUUUACAGCAACUUUGAGUCCUGUAAGCUUAUGAUCUGCAAUUAUCACUUUUCCAAAUGUGCUUGCACCUAACGUUUUGCCCAGAUUGUAGCUCUUCAAUGCUUCAUAAUGUCCACCUCCUCUGGUGUUCCCAUCCAUUUUCACUAUGCAAAAACACGAGAAACAGUAUAUGUGAUUCAGCAAACAGAUUUAUAGUUCAGACUGAAACUGGUAAAACACGAGUUAUGCUAUAUACAGAUCAUGAAUAACAUGAAAUAUUUACAGCAUGUCACUUCUUAGAGACCGGCCUUGAGUGUGUGAAAUGAGUGGGCUGGCCAUAAAUGACCACUAUGGGACAUGAUUGGCGAGGGCAAGUGUGGUUCAAAUAAAGGUCAACGAAAUGGGUCAAGUUCCCUUCUCAAAUAGGGAGAGCCACAACAUAUUCGAUCGCUGAAGUAUGGUACAGUGAGAUGAUCAGCAACCAACAAGUACUAUCUUGUACGGAUCGAGUAGGAUCAUAAUAUAUUACCAUAAAACUGCCUGCACACGCAACACUGAAUGACUAUAGGCCUUUCUUGAUAUGUAAUGUAUCAGGUCUGCUUAGGAUAGUUGGGAUAACAACUAUUGAAAAUGCUCGCUCGUGCUUUGGGUGCCCGGCCCUGGCGCGAAGACACAGAUGACACAUAGAAUCCUAGCUAGUGGGUUAACAUGGAAAGUAUUCUUAAAUAGGUUCACAAAUAAAUACCAUGAGUCGGCAUAUAUGUGUGAUAAACAUGGAAGAGACAUGCAAAUGCAGUCAUGCAACAAUGAAUGAGCUUUUUAGGAUCUGUUACUAGUACUACUCAGAUCGGCUGAGUGGGGGCAGCUCGAGGAAGCGCCCGCGGACGAUGACCCGUGGGCGUGGCGGCACGGAUCCACGCUGCGGAUCGACGGGGGUACCGGCGGCGGCUCGAGGAAGCGCCCAUGGGCCCGCGGGCAUUGCGCCACAGAUCCGCGUUGCGAAUCGGCGGAGGGGACCAGUGGCGGCUCGAGAAAGCGCCCGCGGACGAUGACCCGCGGGCGUGGCGGCUCGGAUCCGUGUUGCGGAUCGAUGGAGGGGACCGGCGGCGGCUCGAGGAAGCGGCCGCGGACAAUGACCCGUGGGCGUGGCGGCACGGAUCCGCGCUGCGGAUUGACGGAGAGGACUGACGGCCACGACAUCCGGCCAUCGGAAGGAGGGAGGGCGGCGGAUCGGGGCGGGGUUGCGCUAGCGGCAGGGCUGCGGGGAGAAGAGGAGGUAGGUGAGAGGAAGAGAGAAUGGCGAAUUUUUACACGGCCGCCACGAGCCAGAGUAAAUAUAAGGAGAAGAUUGGGGUUGGAGUAAAAAUAUUUACUCUAGUAAUGGUAACAAGGGAUCGGCUAGGUGCGGUUUAGAGAAAAAAAAGCCAAAUAUGCUUCCUUAUGCUUACGAUGGGAUAGGGGACCGGUUAGAGUUGCCCUAACAUGGAAUGUAUUCUUAAAAAGAUUCACAGAUUAAUACCAUGACUCAGCAUAUAUGUGUGGUAAACAUGGAAGAGACAUGCAAGAAAUGCAGUCAUGCAACAAUGAAUGAGCUAACACAUGAAUCUGCCAGUACUACUCAAUAAUUGUUCACAGUAGAAGAACGCCCGUGCGUUGUAACGGGGCCACAUUAACUUUAAGAGUUCAAUAUUAUGACAUUGGCAACCUUUUUUACCAUCAAAUCCUCAUACACACUCUCUCUCCCCCUCCCUCUUCCUCACUCUCUCUCCCUCUAACACACGCACACAUAGCCUAUUCUCCCCGCCAAUAAGACUUACUCAAUUGGCAAUAAUGUGUGGACUUGUGGUGAGUUUGACUGAACUAAUGGAUAGUGUGAUAUAUUCCCCAACCAUUUAACAAUGAAAUUUCAGAAAUGGGAAGAUUAUGUAACACCUCAAGUCGUUAGCUACAGUGACCUCCCCCUAAUGUUGCCAUGUCAUCAGGCUUGCUAAGCCAAACUGCCACUUGAUAAAAAUCAAAGCCCAAUUCAAAUUUAAAAUAAAGUCAAAUAAAUUAUUUCAUCAAACAGUAAAACUAAAAUGUUCACCAUAUUAUAUAAAUUCCACAGAUCUUUGACAUGUUGAGCCCAACAUUAUUUGACACCCUGCUUCCCCUGCCCCCAUGGCCUCACUCCUCCUCGACGCCCCCUCCCAGAUCCACUUCUCCUCAUCGCUCGCUCGAUCCCGGUGAUCUGGACGAACUCAGAUGCCACAACCACCAUGACCGACCCUGUCCACACGAUCACUGCCCUACCUGCUGGCUAGGAGCUUGUCGAGGAGCUCUGAAUGCCUCCACUACUUCGUUUGCGCCAACGAGAUCAAGUCCAGUACCCCCAGAUCGACGUCGUUGCCGUCUUCCUCAACCUUCGGCCACCGCAACAUUGCCGUUUGAUCCGCGCCACCCGGAACUCCCCUGUCUUCCCCUAGGGUGCCAUUGACACCGCCGUGAUCUCCUCUUGCCUUUCCCCAGUUUCCCCUCUCGUUUCUCUCGUUAGGUAUUUCACCGUGGCCGAAAACCGCCAUCCGCCAUGGCCAUUGCAGGGGUAGCCACUGAGCUCCUCGGAUGGACCCCGUGGCACAUGCCCGCUCCUAUGCGUGCCCAUGGGCGAGCCUUCAGCUCUUCUUCUGCGCCCGCGGGGCCACUCCCUCUAUGGAUUUCCAUGCCCACGCACGUGCCACACCGCGUCCGUCGCGCCCGCCGUUGCCAUCAUGCUCGCCACAGCCACCGCACCACUGUGCCCCGCGCGACGCACACCCUGGCCGUGCGUCACACUCUCGCUGGCUGCGCUCGCCCCGUCUGAUGUCGCCUAUCCCUUCGCUCGCCCCGCUGUCGUGCCCCUGCCUCGCGCCGCCUCCUGUCGCGGCCAUCUUCUGCCGGCCGCCCCCUCAGCCACGCCGGCCGCGUCUUUGCCCUCCACCGCCGGCCGCUCCCCUCACGUGCUGCGUGCUUCUUCCUGCUGCUAUGCGCUGCUCUACCACUGGUACGCUGUUGCGCCAUGCCCUCGACACCGCGGUGGACAAACGUGGCGGAGGGAUUGUCAAUGGAGUACGAGGAGGAGGUGGCGGAGAAGGUGUGGAGAGGAAAGAGGUCUAGGGUGGCGUCAGCUGGCUGUGGUGGAGUUGAUUAUGCGAGAAGGAGACGGAGCGGAAGCAGAGGUCACAAUUGAAAAGAAUCGCAAAAAAUCAUACCCGGAGAUCUUAUUCCAAAAAAAUGAUAAUAUCGAUGGAGGGGUGAUUUCUUUCAAUAGGUGGAAAACAUAGGAAAUAUUGGAUGUUAUCAAGGAAAGGUAAAAAUUUAGGAAAGUUAGCAUUUUGAACUAAUUUCUAUGCAAAUGGGGUUUUAUUGUUUGGUAACAUGAUAUCAGUACCUGCCCGUUUGUGACGUGUCUGAUUAGGAAAGUUUGCAAAUGUUAAGAAACUAUUUAUUGGGAGGAAAGUUUGUGACGUGUCUGUUAUUUGUUUGCUAAAACAAAUUUCACUAAUGAUAGAAAUCGAUUGAUUUAGAUAAGUUAGGAAAGUUCAAUUGAUUAUUUGUUUCUUAAAAAUUUGUUAUUUGUUUACUAAGACAAAUUGAACCAAUAAAAUGAAUUGAUUGAUAUGAAUAAUAAGUUAGAUCUCUGAUUUGUUAUACGUUAGGAAAGUCCUGAUUGUAAUAAAGAGUGGAGAGAAAAAUAAUCCGAUGGACCAUGAUGGGAUGGGGUGGUGGGAGGAGAGAUGAAAAAAAACCAACGAAAAUAAACCGUGAAGACUAUUCACCAACCGUGGAGAUAAGAAUUACGCGUACCACGGUAGCAUCAGAAUCAGAAUCCCCCGAUUGCUCUGUAGGAUCUUUUCGACCAGCAACAGAAUCAGAAUCCAUCAAUCUCUCUGUAGGAUCCUUUCGACCAUAUAUAGAGUGAAUUUGGGGAAAGUGAGAUCGAUCGGCAAUCAAGACUUUCAAUUCCGAGCAUGCUGACUUGCUGAGGUCAAUGUUGGUCCAGGGCUCCAGGCGAUCUGCGGCAAAGAUCUCCAUUGUCGUUGGAGGGAAGAAACAAGGACAAACAGGAAAGGCACCGAAAUCCCCACACAACCACAAGCAGAGCAGCACACAAACUAACAAAUUCCCUACUUGUUGGUCGAACGGAAAAAAAGCAGCGUCCCUCCCUAGAAGUAGAAUUAAGAGCACGCGCUAACCACCCCUGGUCUCUACCAAGCGAAGCAAGCAACCAUGGCGCAGAAUCACUAAACUCCGGCGAGAAUUGCAGCACAGAUGAGCAGGAUCAUUAUUGCCUUAAUUACCUGGCCAAAUCCCGUGGUCAGAAGGAGAGCAGAGGAGGCCUCAAAUCGAGGGGGUUUUGGGGUCGAUCGGCUGCCGCUGCUCGUUCUGCCUCCGGCGGUGGGAUGGAGGCUUCAGGCUUUAGGCUUUAGGCGAGAGAGCUGCUUAGGCGGGGGCGGCGUAACCCGGGGAAAGGGAAAGGUGGGCGUCCGUGUCAGCAUCAGCAUCGCGCACGUACGUGUCGGCUCCCUCUCGCGCCGCUCGCUGACCUGCUGCUGUGCUCGGUCGCCUCGCGCCGUUUGGCUCUCCUUGUGGCUGUCUUCCUCUUUCUCCUCUGUCGUUUCCAUAUUUCCCUCCUUCCGUUCGCGUGCGUCGGUCGAUUCCUCCGUCCGUCCGUCGUCGGUUGAUUUAGACGGUAUAGGAAUAGGAUGGACGGCAGAGACGCUUUUCGGUCGCCGGUGACGCGCGCGCGCCUGGCGUUAGCAGUGGGUAGGAUUAACUGGAACGUCGCUGUUACGUGCGCAACGACGACGCUGGCUAUAUUGGGUGCAUGCGCGUUGGUGAUUUCUGUGGAUUUCACGUGUGCAACACAGGUUGUGUACAUGCGCGAGGAGGUGUGAUGCAUGCAUGCAGACGCGCGCGAAAGGGGUGCUGCAUGCAUGCGCGGGGGUGUGAGGGUCUACUCCGCGGCGCCGUGAAGCUGCGUCGCCUCAAGGCGUGAGCGUGAAGGUGAACUGCGCGGUGUGACAAGGUGUACUGCACGCACGGCGUCAAAAGUGUUAGCCAUAAUCCCGUUGCAAAUUCAGCUAGUUUCCAUUUAGUAGUACAACACUACUACUAUACUUGGCAAAAUAAACGGCCAACUGACGCGUGCGUGUACAUGACUUUGUCGACCAACAUUCUGGUUUUUCUUUUUGAGGGAUAUACGUUCCGUUGGUUAGUUAGCUAGUUAGGGGCGGCCUAGAUCAAGUCGUGGGAUGGCAUGCGAAGGUGAUCACGGCAUGCAUACGCACCUUGCCCACAUCGAGCGUCGUGGGAUGACAUGUUUUACUUUCUGUAAUCAUUGGAGAAAUAAAUAGGGAGAAAUAAGAGAAAGCAUCAAGUUGAAUGUUACACAAACACUUGUCUCCUACCUCAAUUCUCUCUAUCGUGAUCGCCUUCCUCUUGCGGCAACAACACGUGGCAUCAAAGCCAUGGCUUUUGACCAGAAGAACUACGGCACGGUAGCACGGGUCACUGACUGGCGCACUCCGCCAGGGAUGUAGGCGAUGAGCCCUGGGUGGAGCAAGACGAGGCGAGGCACGAAGGUGAAGGCAUGGUGAAGGAGCACAUUAGCUUCACCUCAUAACUCAUGCUCACCCGGGCCAACUAUACUGAGUGGGCGAUCAUGAUGCACGUCAAGAUGCAGGAUCAAGGGAACUAGGAUCUUAACGAAGAUGGCAUCGGAUCUGAGCCUGCAGAGAGAAUGCGCUAGCGACGACCCUACAUGUAGUCCCACCAGAAAUGCCUCACGCCAUUGCCGCGAAGGACAAUGACAAGGACUCUUUAAACUCCAUGUGAACGAUGGCCGUCGGCGUCAAGCGUGUCCAGCAAGUCAAGGCACAGAAAUUGUGUCGGGACUACAAGAAUCUGGCGUUCAAAGUUGGUGAGUCUAUUGAGGAUUUCGCUCUGUGACUUUCUGGGAUCGUCACUUAUUAACAAGUGCUCGAAGACGAGAUCUACGACGAGUGUGUCGUGAAGAAUAGUUCUACGCGUCGUACCGGCGGGGUAUGCUCAGGUGGCAAUCUCCAUCGUGACGCUCAUCGACCUGAGCAUGCUCUCGAUUGUGGAGUCCAGAGGAAGGUAUCUCGCCUUUGAGGAACACUUCACCGCGAGAAGCGGCGAGCCGGCAGCACACGUUUGCUCCUUACCGAGAAUGAGUGGAAGGCAUGUGAAGGACACCACGAAAGCGGGAGGGCUCGUCCAGCGGCGGCGGCAAAACAUGCAGGAAGGGCAAGGCCAACACCCCGAGCUGAUAGCCCAUAGACAACGGUGGCAGCUGUGGCAAGCCACGACUGGGGCAUCAAGGGGCCACUGGCCCUGGAGUGUCAUAAGCCACAUCACGACCAUGACCACCGAGAGGAAGCUCACCUCGUGUAGGGAUGGUAGUUUUGCCCAUGGGUGUGUGUACCCAUGGGUACCCUACCCGAAGACAACGGGUAUAGGUAAGACUUGGAGAGAUUUUAUACCCACUGGUAAUGCGUAUCCAUACCCGUAAAAUAUAUGGGUAGCGUAUGGGUAUGAAAUUACGCCCAUGGGUAACCCAAUGGAUACCUAGAACAAAUUAAUAAAUGAAAAUAACCCAUAUGACAUGCGGGAUCAACAUCCAACACCUAUUGCCCAUCCCAAAUCUCGUAUUCCUUAAACAUGCCAUAUCUCAUAGGCCUGUAAACACCUUCCCACCACUCCUCCUGUGUCCUACAUGACACCUCGAAAAGAUGAAAUCUUGACUCUUUGCUACCGCACUGCCAUCCAACAAUCCCUCAUUCCCAUCGCCUCCCACUAUGCUGGGCUUCCAGCUCCGCCACUCAUACUCCCUUGAUGCCCCCAAGAGCCACCCAACUUCGAGGCCGCAUUAGUGAUAUAUUGCUCGUCCAUCAACACUUGAAUUUUAAACUUAUUUCUCUAUAUUCUAAAAUUUUGAAUGCUAUACAUUCUACCCACUGGAUACCUAUUGGGUAUAGGAUACCUGAUGGGUAUCGGCAUGGGUGCAAAUUUAUGCCUAUGGGUAUUGUGGGUAUAGAAAAUUUCUGUGGGUAUGGGUUUGGGCAAAAGAAGGUAGUACCUGUCCUUGUGUAGUGUAAGGAGGGUAUGGUUUGCCUAUUUCAAAUAGUUCUACAGGAGAACCACGCACUGUCAAUGUGGCUCUUGCGCUGAUACCAUGUGGAGAAAGGCUGUGGAUGAAGAAGUUCAUGCUCUUCACAAAAACUAUACUUGGUAUCUGGUUCCUCCACAUCCAUGUAAAAAUGUGAUUGACUGCAAGUGGGUGUUCAGAAUAAAAAGAAGGUCUGAUCGUUACAAGGCCAGACUUGUUGCAAAAGGGUUCACACAGAGGUAUGCCAUAGAUUAUGACGACACUUUCAAUUCUAUUAUUAAAGCUGCCACAAUUCGUCAUGUUGUAUUGUUGUCAAAGCUGCCACAAUUCGUCUUGUUCUAUCUGUUGUUGUGUCCAGACGAUGGAGUGUCAGACAUAGCUAGAUGUGCAGAAUGUGCUCCUUCAUGGUGUUCUAGAAGAGGAAGUCUAUAUGAGGCAACCUCCCAAGUUUGAGGAUAAAAAAAACCAUUUCAUGUGUGCAAGCUUGAUAAAUCUCUCUAUGGACUGAAACAAGCUCCAAGGGCAUGGUACUCUCAUUUGAGCUCUAAGUUGCAAGCACUUGGUUUUGUUCCCUUUAAAUUUGAUACAUCACUUUUCAUUUAUAACAAGUCACAUACAUCCAUCUUUGCGCUUAUAUAUGUUGAUGACAUUAUUGUUACCAGUUCCUCAAAUGAAGCAGUAACAACACUUUUGAAAGUUUUGAACUCUGAAUUUGCACUUCAAGAUUUAGGGGAUUUGCAUUUUUCCUUGGCAUUGAAGUUAAGAAAAUCAAAGAAGGUGGACUUCAUCUUCCUCAAAAAAUAUGCAACUGGUUUAUUGAGUAAGGCUGGCCUACAGGGGUGUAAACCAUCGUCAACACCAUUGUCUAGUUCAGAAUAACUCUCUCUUGUAGAGGGUCAACCCUUGAAUCAAGAGGAUUGCACCAUGUAGAGAUGUCUAGUAGGUGCACUUCAGUAUUUGACACUCACCAGGCCUGAUAUUUCUUUUACAGUUAAUAAAGUGUAUCAGUUUCUUCAUGCACUAACUAUAGCUCAUUUGAUAGCAGCCAAGCGUAUAUUCAGAUAUGUAAAGAGUACAUUGAGCGUUGGAUUAACUUUUAGCAAGUCAUCUUCUCCUCUUGUUAGUGCCUUCUCUGACUUUGAUUGGGCAGGAUGUUUGGAUGAUAGAAGGUCAACAUGUGGCUUUACAGUAUUUUUUCGACCUAACUUGAUCUCAUGGUGUGCAAAGAAACAGGCAACAGUUUCUAGAUCAAGCACUGACGCAGACUAUAAAGCACUAGCAAAAACAAAAACAGAGGUUAUCUGGGUCAGAUCCGUGCUCAGGGAACUUGGCAUACUUCACAUACAAAAUCCAUGUCUUUGGUGUGAUAAUAUUGGUGCUACAUAUUUAUCAGCUAACCCUGUGUUUCAUGCAAGGACAAAGCAUACUGAAAUUUACAAUUAUUUUGUACGAGAUAGGCUGCUAGUAAAGAGUUGGGCAUACGUUUCAUUCCAUCCAGAGAUCAAGUUGCAGAUGGGUUUACAAAGGCCCUAGCGUCAUGACCAUUUGAAAUGUUCAAGCGUAAUCUAAACUUGUGUAGUUUAGGUUAAGGGUGAGUGUUAAACAAGAUAUUAUGGUGCAUGUGUUGCAGCCGUAUUAGAGUUGUUAGUAGAUAGGAGAGGUUGUUCAAACCAUAACGUAUCUCUAUCACUUAUCCCCAUAUUUUUCUCCCACGGUUGAAGUAUAUCUUCGACCAAACCUUGUAGUCCAAGCAUCAACCAAUAUACAUAACCUGCGGAGCCCUGGUGUUGUGGGGGUUAGAGACACUUCUUCAUAAUUUUGACACAUGUAUAUAUUAGUGGAUAAAGGCUGAAAAUUUUACUGUGCACCUAUGAUUAUCGCUUGAAAUGUGAAAUAGAUAGGUACCAUUUUGGCUUGCAGUGUUAUGUCUAGUGGAGGCACUGCCAGGUAGCGAGGAAGGCGAUUCUGAAACCAUGGGUGAUCUCGAAUUUCAUGGAUUGUGAUAUCUUCAUGGGAUCAACAAGAAGCAUUCUUGGGAUCAAAUCCUUUGCAAUAUCAGAUAAAUGACUUGGAAGUAUAUAGUUACCUCCCUAGAAUACCAAGCAAGGGGGCGUCAAAUCUCCUGACAAAAAAUGAAUGCUAAAGUUCUACAAAAGGUAUACACUUGUCAGAUCCAACUUAAUAUACAUAUGUUCUGUCUCACCGUUAUCUUUUUGAACAGGCUGGGAGUAUAUUCAUCAUCAAAUGGAACAGAGCCACAAAGAAGAGCAUAAAGUAUCACCCCACAGCUCCAAACGUCAACCUCAGGUCCAGUGUAUAGUUGACCUGAGAAAACCUGCACAGAAACACUCGCUAAGCUAUUAACGCCGACGAGCAUGUGAAGAAGCACGAGGAUAAAGACACAAAUUAUACAAAUAAGUGAAUACCUCUGGUGCAACAUAGUUUGUACUCCCGCAGCUUGCCUUCGAAAAUGGCCAUCAUGCAUGACAUGACUUAACCCAAAGUCAACAAGUUUCACAUUAUAUUUGGAAUCAAGUAACAGGUUUUCUAGCUUUAGAUCACGAUGAUCAACCAUGUUUUCGUGGCAGUAUUCAACACCAGAUAUAAUCUGUUCAGGAAAAAGUUAGUAAAAAAUAUUGAUACAAAACCUCGUUAUGCAUUCAGUCAAUCAAAAAGAACCUUUCAAAUUACAUAUUCGCUUUCAAAAGGAAAAACCAUCUCUGUAUGUUUUAAAGCACAAUUAUUAUUAAGGACAGUAUAACCGCACCUAAAGCGAGCCCUGUUAGCGCUUCACAUUUCUAGCCAUCUAUUUUUGUGAUCUUUGCAUUCUGGCCGUCUGAUCUGCUGUUCGCUCACGCCCGGGCCAUGGAAUUGCAGAAUCGUGGGCUAGCUAUCCUGCAGCGCAACUACUCCGGCCGAAACGGAGCUCGUAGGUUAAUUGGGCCUUCUCUCUCUAGCGCACAACCCAUCCUGUGAAUUCAUGCUAAGCGAUGAUGCCUCUACGAAGAAACAAAUCCAUGACCUCUCUCUUCCCCGACCUCUGCACUCUCACGAGGCGGUGAAUCCUAGCUGCUCCCAUCACCGCCAGAUCCUAUUGCUCUUCCCCACCGCGUACGCUAUUGAGUCCCCCCUCCCACCUCGUCGGGCUCGCGCGAUGGUGCAGGUGCCAACCGUCUCAUGCUCCACUAAUUUGAUCGCCACUGUCCCAGGCUCCCAGCAUAUUACCUGCACCACCACGAUGUCGGUGCCUCCAGCUACCCGCGACGCUGCUGCCUCCUCCUAACGCUUCUUCGUGCUGGGCUAAGGGGAGAUGAAGAUGAUAGGGCGAACGACCCAAGAAUAGGAGGGCAAGUUUAACUGGUACAAGGCGGAGGCUUGGAACACCGAGGAACUGUUCUUGCGUCGGCUUGAUGCCACUCCGCUACUGCACAUUUUGGCAUAGGUUCAGCUCCUCUCCCAUAAUUUUGUCCAUCAGAAAUGAUUGUAGUAUUGUAAAUAUUUAUCACUUGCAGUUCUAAUAUGAUAAUCAUGGUAUUCAGUGCUGUCAGCUGCUUGAAGCAAAUAAUUGAUUCGUACAUUUGCUGGAGUAGUACGAUGUGAAAUGAUAAUGUUUGUUUCUAUUAAUUAGUAUUUGAAGAAUACAUCUAAACUAACUGCUGUCAAGAAUACCAGUUGGUGGCUGGGAUGAUGCUAUUUGAGGAAUGAGAGGCACGGAUUGAUGAAUCCAUUAGAAUCCAAUAACAUUUCAGUGGCUCCUUUUUUUACGUUGCAGUUGUUAGGCGAUGUAGUUUAAGAAAGAGGAUAAAUGUUGCAAAAAAGCUGAUAAAAAGAAAAUAAUAAACUUCCGCUAAUCUGUAGAUUGUUAGGAGAUGUUGGUCGAUAGAGGUAAAUGAACCGAGCCCUUAUCAGAACAUCAUGGUCAUUCAUGCGGUGGAAUCCCACCUUUCACGUUGCCAGAGGUGCAUGUGGGCGUCGGCGACGCCCCCUCAUUAAUGCUCCCGCGGCGACGAUGGGCGUUGGCCUCCUGGUCACCUCAACAAACGACGGGCACUGGUUCGAUUGUCGCUUCAACAAGCAAAAUGUUAGCUACUCAGAUUGCUGCAGAUUUUCCUUGCCGAACCAAUGUAUGUACUCCUGCUGAUGAUGUUUCCGCUCUUAAUUUGCUGCAGGUACUUUCCCCCAGGUAUAGGAAAUCUGUUCUGCUGUAUUUGUUCAAUGAGUACUGCGAGGCUGGUUCCAAGUUUUUUACUGUGAAAUUGUUCAGUCGAGGAUCCCCAAUGUCUGUUGAUCAGGUUAGUUAAAGCGGAAUGUUGUAUCUUAUCCAAUAAUCAAAUAUUACUUUCAUACGAUUGCUUAGUUUCCAUCGUUUUUGUGUCCACAAUAACUCAUGCCAUGCUACUGAUGGAUAUCAUUGUUGUCGUAUAUGCAUGCCGGAUAUCAUUGUUGUUGUAUAUGCACCUGGUAGAAUAGGACGGCAGAUCCAUUUUGCAUAUGCAAAAUUUAAGCAUUUUGUUGUAAAUCUUCCCAAACACUCUUAAUUUAUUUCCAAAUUAUCAAAUCAUAGAUCUAUUGUUUAUACAUAUCUGUGAAGAAGAAAGGAUUAUUAAAAAUCUGCUGCUUCCAGUGUAUGCCUUAUUGUGGGCCCUUUUUAGCAACUUGGAUAGUUUCUACAAGUUCUGAAUUCAAUAUGAUGGUAAUAAAUUUCUAUGUGCUUGAGUAAUGACAAUGUAUUUUACCGGAGGUUCGAUAAAUCGAAUUUACCAUUCCAUCACAUGAGGACAAAUACAUCUCAAGGAUACUCGUAGUUCUUGAAAAUCAAGCGAGGUUUGAGAAAAUCUCAAUCCACCAAGAAUUAGCAAAACCGUUACCUUAGUGUGGAAAUUAGUAUGAUGAUCAUUGAUUAGAGGUACAUGCAUACAUGAUUCUUCUUAUAAUGUUUUCUAUGUUUGGAUUUCAGAUGUGAGUAUUGUGUGACCUAUCAUCAAGUAGUGUACGAUGGCAAAGCAUAGCUUUCCCAUCUAGCUGCCCUAGCUGGGUUAAUUCUUACAAUUGUGUUUAUCCGCUUUAACUUGUAAUUCUUUCCUGCAAAAUUAUGUUUUAGGUCACUGCCAUCCAUCCACUCUACGAAAGCUAACUGUUGCUCUGUGAUCUAGGCUUACUUUUGAGAUGAGGUGUAUGUUCAUAGUCCAGUGGCAAGUAUAAAUCAAAGCGAGCUAGAGUUGGACACAUACAAUUGUAAUAAACUAAAUAGACCUAUCAGCUUAUUAAUUUUCUUUUUGGUUAUUACUUUACUACUAAUUGGUGUACUUCUUGUUCGAAAAGGUAAAGGAAAACUUCUGUGAACAAUUUAUUUCAUUCUAUCUUAUAAAUCUGUAUAGUUUAUUUCCAGUUAUGCUUGGUUUUAUUUCAUGUAUUUACAAAGAUUUUUUUAUUAUUCUCCCAUAAAAAAGGAUGGGCACAGCAACACAUGCCUUCUUUCUGCGAACGAUCCCGAAUAUGGAAUUUCCUCCAAUCAUCACAUAUACUAAAUUAGAAGAGGUAUACAAAUCUUACAUGAUGGCACUCGAUACAAUGUUUCCUUCCAUCCCAACGUUGAGGUUCCCGGGCUUCAUUUCCAUACUGAUGUUAUGUAAGUUUCCAGUUGGAGAAGCAGUAUUUUCUAUUUAUUUUUAUUCAAGGUAAUGGAAGCAGUUAUGCUAUGUUUGCACUAUUCCAUUGGCAUGUCUUUUCAACUACUGGGUGAUACAGUCAACAGAGUUUGCCGAUACAUUCAGAUUAGAUGAUUGAUGUGCAUACAUUUCAAUCUGAUGGUGGCGAGUUCAUACACAUAUGAGUAGCGUAAUAUAUGUUGGCAUCUUGACUUACAUAGGUUGCUUUUGUAGUAAUUUAGUAUAUGUAUUCAUUUUUUCAAGACAAAUGCCAUGGCCUGGUCAAAAUAAUCGCUUGGUAUUGAUAUUGUAUCGCUGUGUGCAACUGGUGGUAUGCUGUUGUGAUCUUUUGGAAGAUUGUUCUUCAUAAUGUGAUAGUAUCUAAUGCUUUACUACUGCACUCCUUGGCUGCUACCAGUUAAAAUGUACUCUUCUAUUACUGUUUAAUGCGUGGACUUUUUCUUACAAAUUUUGCUACAUAUAUUCGGUAUAUAUUUACAAAUUUUCUACCAAUCCAUUGUAGAAUUUGAUGGGCGCAGCAACGCGCGCCUUCAAUGAUCUAGUUUGAUUUUAGAGCUGAGACUAAGACAAUCAAGGCAUGAAGAAUAGGAUGCCCUUGAAACAAGAAUUGGUUUAAUUACUAAUACUAAGAUAAUCAAGGCAUCAAAAGAUGAAGACACCGGAGUGAUACUAAAACAUAGACACAUCAAGGAGACGUUAACUGGUUGAUCAGUUAAAUCCAAAUGAAGAAGCAAUUACCUCAAAAGCUUGCAACAAUAUGUGGUAUAGGUCUUGAGCUAAACAAAUAAGGUUUUUCUUUCGGACACAUUUUUCUGUAACACAAUUGGUUACCAGAAAAUUUCCGUCGACCACGAGAAACGUCGAUACCAUUCGAAAAAUAAACCGUUUGAAUCCAAAUGUCAAGAUGGUGCCAAAAGAGAGUAUGUAUGAGCUACCAUAAAACUGUCCACAGCCAGGUGGUUAAGGAGGCCUACUUCUCUGCUGAAGGUCGCCAAAAGUCAAGUCGACAUUUAUCGCAUACUUUAUUUUGUUUAGUGCAUAAAAAAUAUCAGCGACAGUGCCAAUGAUGAAGAGUCGAAUGUGGGCUGUCGGAUAUCGGCACAGAAGGAAACUAGCUAACCACUGGACUAGCAACAACUUAGUCUGCACUAUGUGUUAAAUAUAAUAUAUUUAUGCACAAGAAAUUUUUGAAUUCGAAAUUAGUUUGGAAAUUUCGUGAUUUUGCGAAUAAUGCGCAAUUACUUCCGCAUCGGAGGGGUAGCCGCCGAUCUACCUUGUGGAUGGAUCGAUAAAUGCUUAGAUUUCUGCGAUUAUGUUUUACGCAGGAACCAGUUUUUCUGAACACUCCCGAAAAAAUGUCACCGAGAAAAAAAAACCAUAUCUUAAACUUAGUAAAUGAAUGCCAAACGAAGCAAAUUGAUCAUGAUUUGCACAGUAAGCACGUGAGAAAUGUGGAGACUGGACAAUUGGCCAGCAUGUCCAUAUAUUUCACAAUCAAAAUAAGAAGCUCAGCGAAGUUCAUUAAUGAACACCUCUUGGUAUUCCCAAAGAAUGUGUUCCUACAUUCCAAGGGCAGAAAAGGCACCUGCUGGAAGAUUCGACGAGCCUCAUCUUCCUGUAACCGCCCUUUCUCAACAAUGUAGUCCAAUAGCUCACCAUUCUUGCAUUAUUCCAUGACAACAAAUAUAUCCUUAGGUGUGCCAAUGACCUCAUAAACCCGGAUGAUAUGAGGGUGAAUUAAGUCAAUGAACAACCUCAAUUUCUUGAUUUCUCUAUUUGCUGGGAACAAGAUAUGAGAAAACAGUAGAAGUAAAUCGUUAGACAUUCAGCCUGUGAAGAAAUUUCAGCUGCAAAUUUACUAACAGCGACAACACAAGGUGAACUUUCUUCUUAAUCAAAGCCGAAUGUAUCCUAGACUCAUGUACUUUAUCUCGACUAAUUGAUUAACUGGGAAUCAGUAACAAGCGCACAAGUCUGACCAGCACUAAAAUUAAGGAGAUAACUGAAAAUGUUGGGCAAGCAAGCCGAAUGUAUCCUAGACAAGGAGGCAUACCUUUCUCUUCCAUUUCCAUAAUUCCCAUUUGGCGGCGGUUCAGGAUCUUUAUAGCAACUUUGUGUCCUGUAAGCUUAUGCUUAUGCUCUGCAAGCUUCAGUUUUCCAAAUGAGCCAAUACCUAAUGUUCUGCCCAGAUUGUAGUUCUUUAAUGCUUCAGAAUGUCCGCCUCCUCCUCUUGUGUUCCCAUCCAUUUUCACAAUGUCAAAACAAGAGAAACGACAUAUGUGAUUCAGCAAACAGUUUUAUAGUUCAGUCAGGAAUUGAAAUCGGUUUCAAGUAUGUCCAUCUCCCUUCUCCACUCUCUCCACUCGGAUGAUUGCUGCUGACCUAAUUAAAGCACGGACGUCGCAGAAAGAUGAUUUUGAAACACUUGAAUCGAUUCCCUAUUGCUAGAGACAGGCCUUGAGUGUGAAAUGAGCGGGCUGGCCAUAAAAGAGCACUAUGCGACAUGAAUGGUGAGGGCAAGAGUGGUUCAAAGGUCAACGAAAUGGGUGAAGUUCCCUUGUCGAAUUUGGGGAAAGUUUUCUUAAAAAGGUUCACAAAUUAACACGUACUAGCAUGAAUAGGCAUAUAUGUGUUGUAAACAUGGAAGAGAUCGAGAUACAAGAAAGAGGAAAUGCAGUCACCAACAAUUGAGCUUAGAAAACAAUGGAGAAGAGUAAGUGAGCUAAAACAUGAAUCUGCUACUAGUACUAAUCAAUAACUGUGCACAACCGUAUCAGAAUCAGGAUCCCUCGCUCUGUACUAGUUUCUUUCGACCAUAUAUGGAGUAAAUUUGAGAAAAGUGUCAUCGAUGGGCCGACCGAUCAAUCGAUAAUAAACCAACUAAUUGACCGAUCAGUCAUUAAUGAAGACUUUCAAGUCCGAGCAUGAUGAAGUGAUUGGUGGUCUGGGUGGAUCUCUCCGUUGCCGUUGGAGGGAAGAAACAAACAGGGCACUGAAAUCGCCACAACAACAAGCAGAGCAGAGCAGCACACAAAGAAACUAAUAAAUUCCCCACUUGAGCCAACCAAAAGCCGAAUGGACAAGCCACACUCCCGGCCAUAGAACUACAGUAAUUAAGAACGCGCGCGAACCAGCCCAGCUCCCUACCCUACCAAGCCAAGCAAGCGACGACGACGCAGAAUCACAAAACUCCGGCGAGAAUUGCAUCAAAGAUGAGUAGGGCGAUUGCCUUAAUUACCUGGGGUCCUGGCCAAAUCCCGUGGUCAGCCGUGGACAGAGGGAGGUGACGAGAGCGACGGCCCAAUAGAGAGGAGGAAGCCUCGAAUCGAGAGUGGUUUUGCGGUCGAUCGAUCGGCUGGGACUGAAGCAGCUUUAGGCUUUAGGCUAUAGCUGCUAGCUUAGGUGGGGGCGGCGUAAUCAGGGAAAGCUUAAGGGAAAGAUGAGCGUCUGCAUCACCAUCGCGCUUGCCUAAGUGCGCACGUCUGACGUGCCAGCUCCCUCUCCCGCCGCUCGCAGACCUCUUGCCGUUUGGCUCUCAUUGUGGCUGUCUUCCUCGUCCAGUCGUCCUAUCCUCUGUCGUUUCUAAUGCGUCGCGUGCGUCGAUCGAUUCCUCCGUCCGUAGUCGGUUGAUUUGGACGGUACAGGAAUGGGAUGGCGGCAGAGACGGUUUUCGGUCGCCAGUGACGCGGCGCUGAUGCGAAUUAUGCAUGCCCUCGUUGACGGUGGGUGGGAUUAACGUCGCUGUUACGUGCGCGACGAGGACGUCCGUUGGCUAUAUUGGGUGCAUGCACACGCUGCAAUGUUUUCUCCGAUCGAAUCUAUCUAUUAUCUAUUAUUUACUAUUUACUUAAAACAAGAGUAAAACAAACCACCACGUUCAUCCACACAGAUUAAAUUAUCUUGACCGUAAAGUUGUAGGCAUAGUCCAAAGGCUGCCACGGACGUGUGUGUAUGAAGGGAAAGUGCAUGCGUACCUAGGAAGAACACGUAGGGUCACGUACUAUAUUAAAUGAGGUGCAAUUGCUAUAACCUUGUGAAAAGAAAAAGUCACGUACUUGGACACAAAGACAUUGCCGGAGAGUUUUCUUUAUGUCUGACCAGAGAGUUUUUCUUUAGUUCAUAGCCAAAGUGCCAAACGGAUUCUACAUAACUUGGUUGUAUACGUAAUGAGAAAGAAAGUCCAUAUUUCCGGCUGCCACAAGGGAAAAAAGUGCAUAUUUCAACCUGCCAAAAAAAAACAAGGAAAUACGUGUAAACUAUUACUAGAAAAAUAGAAAAAAGUUACGUACAACAAUAAUGGUGUACAAAUAAAUUAUUACUAGACACAUUCUGCAGAAAAAAAACUGUUAGACACGUGUAAAUGUAGAACCAAUUGAUUGGAUGCACAAGGAAGGAAGCUUUUUUUAAGCCCACACAAAAGGAACGCAUGCAUAUAGCAUAGUCUAUCACGUAUCUAUGCAAGGAGGAAACAAAGAUGUUUCCAAAUCUUCCUCAACUGUUUCUAUACCACACGAAGAUAGCCGGACAGAUCGAUAGCGUCCCCUAUAUGUGACGUUCAAUGAAAAAUCAAUCCCAGCCUUCAAGGAUGACAGUGCCGAGCUGUCCCUGCCGCCGACAGCCCCACUCGAACGACGACUGAAUCCUCGCCAAGAUGUCCCAGCGCCGCAUCAUGGACCGCGUGAGGAUGACUGUUGCCGCCGCCGCCUCGACUGCAUCAUAUUGCUCGGGCACCUCGACCCCUUGCCGCAGGGGAGGCCACACCCUUCCGCUUGAAUCUACGGCGAUGCCAUGCGAGAGACCAAGAGCAGAUGUACAAGGAGCACGUGAUGAGGGAAUUCGCUAAGGAGGAAAAAUAUCCAAGGCUGCGCCUUGACCCACCCCAGCAGCGACAAAACAGCAAAAUCAUAAAGCUAUGCAUUGACAUCAACUCCGCUGAUCUCAUGUAAGGUCUAGGCGCCACUAGCGCGUUCUCUUUUUCUGGUCAGAUUUGUCCAGUGAUAGGAUCUAAAAAGGGCAACCGAAAUAAUUUUGUUUGUCCAUGGAUGAGAUGGAUAGGUAUACUCCGAUCGUCCUGGUGCAAACACAGGCGAUACAUGUAGAAAAGUUGUGAAGUGCUAUUCUGCUCAGACACUUGCAUGCCGCUCUAUCCAAGUUCCAGGUCAAUACUAAAUCAAUGAGCCUUGCUUCCUUUUUUUCUUUCUUUUUUCAUUAAUAUGAUUGUCAGUAACCAAACAAUAUUUGCUAACAGAAAAGGUGGUGCUGUGGCCUAGAACCAGAGACUAUGAAACUAAUUAUCAUUUAGAAUUCGUAAAAUCUUACUUUAGAUGGUACAAAUUAGACCCAUGUUCUCAUGACGUUUGUUUAGGCAAUGUCCUUCUCUCAAACAAUUAGGACUCUGUUUUCCUGCCUGUACAUGUGCAUAUGUCAUGUUUGAUGAAAUAAACGGGAAUUGACCUUACUAUCUUAUAUGUUUAUGACCAUAUGCUUCAUAUUACAAUUUGGUUAGUUGUGCUGAUGAUCUUCUAUGUCUAGCGAGGUAUAUUCGCUCAUAGGCAGACCUAACUUAGACUACCAAAUCAUGAAUAAUGAUUUUUUUUCUUCCUUGAAUUUGUUUUUCAUAAAAUUCCAAUCUAACCUGUUCAUAGCCUCUCUACUAAUAUGCUUAUGUUAUCUAUUUUAUCCUACAUGUUCUCAGGCUACAACUAGAUCGAGUGUUAAUAUGUUAUGCUUACCCAUUAAACACUAACUACACUUUUUCCAUUCUCCCUAUGGACAUGCCUAUUAUUUGCUGGCAAGAACCACGAUGAUUGAGCACAAAGAAAAGAGUAGAAUAACAACCGGUUAGAUACAAGCUAUUUCCGUAGUUAGUUUUACUUCAGAAGAUGUAUAUACUUCUGUUAUUGCUUCAUGUUACAAGUCGUAAGCCAAGUAGCACAUAUCUGUACUGAGCUAUUUAUCAUACAUCCCAAAAUUUCGGUUUCUCACAUUACAACUAGGUAUUAGUUUGUCUAUAGAUGUUCAGAAAAAAAAACUUGCUCUUCUCUUUUUAUUAUCUUCUGUUUCAUGCUGCUAUACUUAUUAUUCCAAAUUUGUAAAGAGGUUUGCAUCACACAUGAAACCAGUUAAACAAUUCCCUACAAGAUUUUUUUCUUUCUGAAAAUUAGCUCUAAUCACAUCAAAUUUGGCACACCAAAUCUCUUCAAUUCCACUUAAAACAUGUUUAAUUUAUAUAAGACUUCUACUUUAAUUUUCUAACUGUCUGAGCUUCAAGAUAGAGAUGAAUUUGGAGACAAAGAAUUUGCCAAUUUGUGUAUGAUUUUUUUCAUAAAAACCUGAUACUUAUUGUGUUUGUGAUCUCUAAUGUGUACUAUGGAAAAAGUAUUUUUCUCCCAUAAAUAAAUUUUGCUAUGAAUGUGCAAAUGAACCAUUCUUAAUUUCAUGAGCUGAGUUCGACAUAAUAAACCUAUAACAUCGCAGUUAAUUGGAAUUAUGUAGAUAAAGAUGGCAGGUGUACUUGAAAUAUGGGAAUUGUAAUAAUAAAAAAUCCAUUGCAUUCUUCAAGUUUACAAAUAGCUAGAUUUGAGAAAAUAUAAAUUUGAAAAAAAAAUAUAAAACAAAAGUACAGUACAAUAAAAUGAACGAUUUAAUGAGUAGGACAUAUAAAGCGGACUGUUCUUCAGUUGUACUGGAGGGCUAAUGAAAUGGUAAAUAUGAAGAAACCAACAUAUAUGUGCAAGUACCAAAUUAGAUGCAAGGCAUGCAUGAAGAGGUGAAGAAAAUGGAACUAAAAAAAUUGCAAGGUAUGCAUGACAUGGGCUAGAAGGACAGCGGAUCGUGUACUGAGUUGUAUCCUACCAAGGAAACACAAUUAUGUUUAUUCUCCUGAGAUAAGUAUGGAAGAACAUUUAAGUUGUGCUAAAUGAAAGGUGGGUGUUCCCAAAACUACUAACUUUUUUAAGGAAGUUUGUACACAUCGUGAUGGUACAAGAUAUAUGAAUCCCCAAUGAUUUGGCUAGGUGUACGACUAUGCUCCACCCAUACCAAUUUCUCACUCAUACUUAUAUUGCAAUAGGAGGCAAAGGGAAAAUAGGAAAAAACAACAUGAGUGUGAUGAAAUACGACGAACAAGUGUGAUAGAGAGAAUGUUUCAGCAAAAAGUGUUACGAAAAAUAUAUAAAGCAUGUAAUAAGGCAUUUGGUUGUGUUAACUUAAAACUAUGGAAGUAAACUAACAAUAACAUAUACACGGUAGAGAGAAUGACCCAUGAUGAUGCCACGGAAAAGUUUUAGUAAUUUUACAUAUUAUAUAGUAAUAAUUGUGCAUCCUAUUCAAUAACGUCCAACAUUAUAUGAUGACACUAUCUAUCAAGGACAUCUCCCCAUUCAAAUAUAAACUAUCCAUCCUUCUAUUUAGUAAGCAUAGGACACUUGGGGUACUAGAAGUGCAAGAUGAAAAGCUGGAGACGUAAUAGAAGUCCAUGGCCUUACAUGCAAGCCAUGACUUUAGCAACCUUUGUAAUUUGUAAUCAAUAUUUACCCUAAAUGGAAUUAUUUCUAACAACUGCAAUCAUGUUACAAGACGUAGACCUCCACUAUAAUGAUAGGCCACAAUGAAAACAAAUUAGCAAAAAAAAAGUAUAACAUCACAAUAUGAAAUCUAGCCGUGCAAAUGCCGGGCCACAUCGCUAGUUUGUUUUAUUUGUUCUUGUUCAUAGUAACACACUGCCUCUGCACCAGUCACUAUCGUGAUGGCUGCUUAUUAAUUAUACUUUCCGCGUGACACAUCUGGAAUUGGUGUUUGCUCUGGAUUUCACAUGUGCGACAUAGGCUGGCUGUGUACAUGCGCGACAAGGUGUGCUGCAUGCAUGCAUGCCCGCGCGCAAGUGUAUAAGGUGUACUCCGAUCCGAGGGGCGUCAAGGUGAACUACGCUCCGUGGGACAAGGUGUGACAAGGUGUACUGCACGCACGGCGUCAGAAGGUGUUGGCCGUAAUCCCGUUGCAAAUUCAGUUCGUUUCCUUUUAGUAGUACUAUAUGUUAGACCCAUUCGCCAUGCGCGAGGAAUUUGCUGCGCUCGUCACCAACCGGACCUGGGAGCUGGUUCCUCGGCCGCCCAACACCAAUCUGAUCAGUGGCAAAUGGGUUUUCAAUCACAAGUUUGUUAGAGUUGUGUCGAAUAUAGUGUAUAAGGUAGGUUACAGUUGGACUUGUAGUUGUACUGUGUUUAGGAUAUGGAGUCGUGUUCAAGUAGGACACUUGUAUCCUAGGCCUCUCAUAUAUAGCGGGGGUAGACACACGAUGUAACAUAUGCCAACAUAAUAGCACAGGAACGCAGGGGAAGCCGGCGGCUUGUGCCGAUGUCCAGGACGACCGGGUGCGUUAUUAUAGCGGUGUUAUGGGAAGGAGCGCCCAUAGUCAGGCCCCGGAGAUGUAGCCAUAUCGGUGAACCUCGUUAACAAAUUUUGGUGUUGUGCUCGUGUGAUUGCUUGGUCCUCGGAUGAUCGACGGUGUGCCACGGAUUUAUUCUAACAAGUGGUAUCAUGAGCUAGGUUGUCGGGAGGUUGCUGGAUUGUCGAUUCAGAGGAUAGAUCGUCGUCGGAUCGUGCGAAGAUAGUAUGCGAAGAAAUCAAUAUUGAUGUCAAUGGUGAUCGAUUGGGAAUUCUUUUGCGGAAGCCGUCAGGUGGUUUGCCAUCAGACUAGAUCAAGAAGGAGCAAUACGGCGGCAUGAAAAGUGUCUCAGCAGUUAAGGAAAUCGGCAGCGGAAUCAGUGAGUUGCAGCAGACGUCCGAGAAGUGGAAGGCUCGCGUGCGCAGCGGCAGGGAUGUGCAGCGAUCGAUCGGUUGGAUCGAUCGGGCGAGCGUUCGGCACGCGCGGCUGGCUCGCUGGCGCCUCGCGGCCCAUGGCAGGAGGCCCAUCUGAGAGAUCCUGAGCUGCACGGAAAUUGGGCGAAGCGAAGGGAAGGCCCAGGCAACGGGCAGGUUCUGCUGGUUCGCUGGAGAUGCAGAUCGAGAUACACAUAAAUCUCCCCUCUCGUUAAGGUUUCUCUCCCCUUGAGCGACGGCGAUGCCGACACCGUAGGGAUCUUGCCUCCCCGGCUGUUUCGCUCCAUGCCGGCGAUCGCUGAGGCCCUCGGCUGCGGCGGCGCACGGGGAAGGUGGCGACUUUUCGGGACCUACCGCUCACGGAACCCUAACCUCGAGCAAGCGAUGAUGGGUUCGAUUGCAUCUAGAUCGAGUACGGCUGCGUCCGAUCUGGCUGCAAUGAUGGAGGAACUUGUCCUGAAAGAAGAUGAUCUGAUUGAUGUUGUGGUGGAAGACACCGAGAUGCCGAAGGAAGAUACGCGCUGGAUGGCACUGGCUAGGGUUCACACAGAGAAAACAUAUAGCCAAUAUUGGUUCUAUAGGAACAUGAGAGUGGCCUGGGAUCUAGCUCAAGAGGUAAAGAUUAGACCACUAGAAGAUAAUCUGUACUCGAUGCAAUUCUCUUGUCUAGGAGACUGGGAGAGGGUUAUGGGAGAUGGCCCUUGGAACUUCAAGGGGAAAGCAGUAGUUCUGUUGGAGUAUGCUGGCUUCACAAAGCCGUCGACUAUAGAACUUAACAAACUGGAUGUUUGGAUCCAGAUUCAUGACCUGCCAGAUGGCUUCUUUUCCAAGGUCAAAGCUUUGUCUGCCACUGUGGGAGAAUUUAUAUAUGUUGAGCCUAGAUUUCCGGAUUUUGAAGGUAACUUCGCGAGAGUUCGCAUCAGGAUUGAUGUCACUAAACCUCUGAAGAACGUUGUUUCGCUGGUAAUAAAGAAGAAGGACUCGGUGCAGCGAGUCAUCUUUAGAGUCAAGUAUGAAAGAUUGCCAGACUGGUGCCCAGUUUGCGGACAUCUAGGUCACCAACACAAAGAAUGUGGGGACGGGGUUCAUGCCCCAAAGGCGCUGGUCUUCAAAGACAUCAAGGACACGUGGUUCAAAGGCCCUGGCAGUGGACCGGAUGAGAGCAGCAACAUUGGGAGAGGCCGAGGCAGAGGCCGCGCGGGAAGAGGAAGAGGACGUUCUUCCAACAGUGCUGACUCAUUUGACGACCAGUAACAUGAGGAACGGGAACAUCGAGAUGGAGAUGUAGCAAUGGUGGAUGCUGAUCGUAAUAGGAAGAGAGGGGCUAAUGAUCCAAAGCACGCACUCCCAACCUCUUCAGUACAACAGACCAAGCAACUGUUUUUGCCAUCACCGACGGUGCCUCUUAGCCCCCCUCCCAAGCAGGAUCCGAAGAGAUCAAAAUUAAUCUUGUCUACUAAUGAGUCGGCUCCGGAGAAGAGUACAGCUUUUACCAAUAACCCUGAUGUGCAUUUGGAGGGCUCCAAACGGGGCUGCGCCUAGCGCAAUGAGUCUUCUCUAUUGGAACUGUCGCGGAAUUGGCAAAGCCACGGCAUUCAGAGAGCUUCGCGAUCUAGCGAGGCAGUUUGCCCCCUCUAUUGUUUGCAUUCUUGAAACGCAGAUAGAGGGCAAGAGGGUUGAGAAUUUGGCUGAUAGUAUAGGCUACAAUAAAUGCUUUGCAGUUAGUAGUUCCGGUAGAAGUGGUGGUCUUGGAAUUGUUUGGAAUGAUGAAUAAAAGUGGAAGUUAUCGGUUACUCAAAGUAUCACAUUGAUGUUCUUGUUGAUGAUUUAGUUGAUUUGCAGGUAAGAAUUACCUUUAUCUGCGGCGAAGCUCAGGUACCAGAGAGAUAUAAAACCUGGGAUACCCUACGAGGCAUUGCUGAGACGCAGAAUAGACCAUGGGAGGUUAUGGGAGAUUUUAAUGAGGUUCUUCACAUUCAUGAACAUGAUAGUGUGGGACAAAGAAGCCAAGCCCAAAUAGAUGUGUUCAGGGAAGCAAUUGAUACAUGUGGUCUUUCAGAUAUUGGAUACUCCGGCUGCAGUUGGACAUUUGAAGAAAAGGUCAUAGGGGGCAGCUAUACGCGGGUUAGGUUGGACAGGUGCCAGGUGAAUCCUGAAUGGGCACUGGCCCUCACAUCAUCUGAGCCGUGGCAUAAGAGCAUGGCUAGUUCAGAUCAUCUCCCCAUCCUACUACAGCUACAUGAGAUGCAUGCAUGCAGAACGGGCCCUAGGCCCUUUAAAUAUGAAACAAUCUGGGAAAGGGUCGAAACACUGUCCGACACUGUUCGUGCUAGCUGGUGUCUGCAGGAGGGGGAAACAGAUGAUGCCCUACGUGCAAAAUUAGGGGGUUUGGCGGGAGACUUGUCGGCGUGGGACCGCAAUCAUUUUGGAUCAGUGCAUAUGGAGAUUCGCCAAUUGACAAACCAGCUUGAGAUCACGCGCUCUGCGCCAGGGCGGUCGGGGCCGACAAAUGCUGAAACCAAGGUGGCAGACAGAUUGGUCGAACUGUUCCACAGAGAGGAGCUGCUAUGGCGCCAGCAGGCCCGACUGGAUUGGCUAGUCCAUGGUGAUAAAAACACCUAUUUUUUCACUUGAGAGCGAGUAGACGCCGCCAGAAGAACCAGAUAAAAUCGCUACAGUGAGCGGAUGGGCAGUUGACCGAGGACAAGGAGGAGAUGGAGGAGCUUACCACAGAAUUUUACAAAAAAUUAUAUCUGUCCGAGGGGUCCAGGGCAUGGACAUGGUACUAGAUGCAGUUCCUGCUAAAGUAAUGCCAGCGAUGAACGGCCUUUUGAAUGCUCCUUACACGCAUGAUGAAGUAAAACUGGCGUUGUUUCAAAUGUUCCCAACCAAAGCUUCCGGCACAGAUAGAUUCCCUACCCACUUCUUUCAGCGUCAUUGGGAUGUUUGUGGUGCGGAUGUAACAAAAGUGGUACUCAAAAUUGUGGAUGGGAUGGAGUUAGCAGCAUGCAUUAACAACACCAUUCUAGUUCUCAUCCCCAAGGUAAAAAACCCCACGCUCCUUGCUCAGUUUCGGCCCAUAAGUUUAUGUAACGUGCUCUAUAAGAUUGCGUCCAAGGUAAUUCCCAACAGGCUCAAACAAAUACUACAAGAUAUAAUAUCAGUAGAGCAGUCAGCAUUUGUUCCCGGGAGAUUGAUCCCAGAUAAUAUAAUAAUGGCAUAUGAGUGUUUGCAUUUUAUGAAGAGGAACAAGGCAAAGAAAAAACAUUCAUGCGCUCUGGAAUUAGAUAUGAUGUAGGCGUAUGACUGGGUUGAAUGGGCUUAUCUCCAAGCCAUCAUGCUCAAAUUUGGGUUCAACAGAUGGUGGGUGGAUAUUGUAAUGGGCAUGGUUACAUCUGUAAAAUUCUCAGUCAUGUUCAAUGGAAAGAAUCUUGAGGAGUUCAAUCCAUCACAUGGAAUCCGACAAGGUGACCCAAUAUCACCGUACUUGUUCUUGUUAGCAGCAGAGGGCCUGUCGUGCCUUUUAAAAUCACAAAAUGAGUCAUCAAACUUGGGUGGGAUUCAGGUGGCACCUCAGGCACCACCAGUCAACCACCUUUUAUUCGCAGAUGACAGCCUGUUGUUCUUCAAGGUAAAUAGUGCGGGUGCAACAGAGCUUAACCACUUGUUGGAGGUUUAUAGUCAAGCUUCAGGCCAGCGAAUCAACUAUAACAAAUCCUCAAUAUUUUUUAGCAAAGGUGUGCCGGAGGUCACACGCAAUGAAAUAAAAGGUAUGCUUAAUGUUCCCAAUGAAACUUUGAAUGAUAAGUAUUUGGGUAUGCCAUCUGAUAUAGGGAGCUCAAAAAAUGGGGCCUUCAAGUUUUUAAAGGACAGAUUGUGGAGCAAAAUUCAGGGAUGGAUUGAGAGAACAUUGUCAGCAGCAGGGAAGGAGGUACUAGUCAAAUCAGUUGCCCAGGCAGUGCCAGUAUUUUCCAUGUCUUGUUUCAAACUUCCGAGGGGAUUACGUGAACACCUCAAUAUGCUGAUAAGGAAAUUUUGGUGGGGGAGCACAAAUGGUCAACGCAAACCUCACUGGGUCUCACGGGAAGCAAUUACACAGCCAAAGUGUAUGGGAGGCUUGGGAUUCAAAGAUUUUGAGCUAUUUAACCUGGCCAUGUUAGCCAAGCAGGCAUGGAGAAUGUUGCAAGAUACCGAGUCUCUGGGCGCGAGAAUUCUGAAGAGCGUCUAUUUCCCACAUACUACCAUUCUGGAGGCAUCAAUUGGGAACCAUCCGAGUCAGAUAUGGAGGGCCAUAGUGGAGGGCGGGGAUAUUCUGAAACUUGGACUGAUCAAACGAAUUGGAGAUGGGGAGAGCACUAGCAUCUGGAAUGACAAUUGGCUUCCCAGAUCAGAGAUGAUGAGGCCGUACGGCUGCCGAAUAAGUAACCCACCCAAUACAGUAUCUGAACUAAUCGAUGCUACUAAUGCUUCAUGGAAGAGACCCGUGGUGGAAGCUACAUUCUUGUCGUUCAAUGCAAAGAUCAUCAUGGGCAUCCCGCUAUGUACGACCCAUAUGCAGGACUUUUGGAGAUGGAUGUAUGAGAGAACGGGACAAUUCACAGUCCGGUCGGCUUAUAACAUGUUGGUGUCUACGAAGCUACGGCGAGAGGCUUGGUUAGAGGGCUCGGUAGCAUCAUCCAGCAAUCACGUCGAUGAGGCUUCAUGAAAGUAUCUCUGGAAAACUGAAGUCCCUGCAAAAGUACGCAUGUUUCUAUGGCGCUUAUCAAAAUAGUCACUACCGACGGAGGACGUGAGUGCUCAUCGUCAUAUGUCAAUAACUAGCUCUUGCGGCUUCUGUGGAGCUCCUGACUCAUGGCGUCAUUCCCUUCUGGAGUGCACGGUCUCCAGAUGCAUAUGGGCGUUGGUAGAUGAGGACUGGGGUGCAGUCUGGUUGCAUCAUCAGAGACGAGGGUGAAGAGCUGGCUCUUUGGACUAAUGGAUUCGCUGACGCACGAGAAGUUCGCUCUACUCGCGGUCACAUUGUGGGCAAUCUGGACCGCGAGGAGAAAAGCUAUCCAUGAAUCCAUAUUCCAAACACCUUUGGCGACGAAGGAAUUUAUAACUCGCUUCAUGGCUGAUUUGGGCGCGGUUUUACUACCUGCAAAGAUCAACCCAGUGCCUCUGACUCUUGUCACAACUUCUGCACCGAGGCCGAAGGCACCACCUGCCAGCUAUGCCAAGAUUCACGUCAACGCGGCAGUAAGAUUUGAGAGAGGAGGGAUAGCGGCAGCCAUAUGCAGAGAUAGCCAAGGUGUCUACCUGGGGAGCUCAUCACUUAUCAUUGCGGGGGUUUGCGACCCAGCGACACUCAAGGCUAUAGCAUGUCGUCAAGCUAUCGCUCUAGUAGAAGACCUGAAUGUGCAACGAUUUGUUGUGGCCUCGGACUGUAAACAAGUCGCCGACGACAAUUCCAGGGGCAGCCAGGCCCGUAUGGAGCUAUAAUCAGAGAAAUCAAGUUGAGAUCAUCACUAUUUUUGUGUAGUUUUACCUUUGAGAUUCGAGCUCAAAAUGUUGAAGCUCACAAGUUAGCUAAGUUUUCUAUAUCGUUACCACCAGGGCGUCAUGUGUGGCUUGGCCAGCCUCAUUACCAGUGUUGUAUCCCACACACUGUGGAAUUUGAUUAAUAAAGUUGGCUUUUCCCCUAAAAAAAGAUGCAGAUUGAGAUGUGUGAGCUAACAUGAGAGAUUUUGUUUGAGAAAAAAAAGGGUGACGACUGAGUCCCUGGAGGAGACGCGUUCUCUUGGAGGACGAGACACGGAUGUGCAAACAUCAAUGUGAACUACUGCAUCAUAAAGGAAAAGGAUUGGGCAAGGCAAAGCUAGCAUCGGAGUUGAGCCACGGGAGCCACUCUACGUGAACACCAGAAGCAAUCUUGUUGGAUUUGCAACUAGUAUACUCGGUGUACUUGGGGAUCAUGAAAAAAGUGCUCCAUAUUUUUUCACAGGUCAGUUAUACAAAGAACCAUGGAGCCAACUGUUGGGAUCUACGGUAGGGUGCGUCGACUGCAAAUUAAAAAUUCUUACGCGCAGAACAACCAAGAACAUGCUACGGGAGAUGGAUCACAGAUUGUUACCACUAGACGUGCAGUGCCGUGCAGCGGAAGAAGAGUUGGGGCAGCGCGUCCGCAUGGAUCGUCCCCUCCUCAUCCGAUCUCCCUCGAACAGCCGGUCGUCCGAUCCCACGUACAAGUUCGCCGGAGCAGCGCAAGUGCACCGCCUCUAACGUUAUCCGCGCGUGCAGGAGGAACACCGUGCGGCGAACUGCUAGGUCCGAUCACACAGUCAGUGGCGAGUGGAGGUGGCUAUUUGCAACACAUGCAAACCCUAGUGACAGCACCGAAGCGAUCAACCGCAUGAGUGUGCCGCACCUCCACUUUAUAUAGGCGUCCGUCGCGGGCUCAACACUUGAGCCUCGCACGGACCCUAAAGCCCACAAGUCUACUCAGCCACAAUCCGAAUACAGUUCCGAUCACAUCCGACCAGUGUCCUCGGAUUCGUCCUCGUAGGUUCCUUCCCUUAAGCGCGCGACCCCUUAGGUUAAAGUCGGCUUGGUCGCAAUUCGAAUCACCUCCGAACUGCACGGUUGGUAGCGGCCUCUAGCAAGGCAUGCCGAACACCAAGCAGAUCAUGAAGCUGGUUAGGCGAACCUGUACAUCAUACUUCUGUUCUCUUUGCCACACGAUAUAUGUUGUCGGGCUCAAGGCGAGACUGUCAUCCUUGUGCUAGCCCGACCUCUUUUUCUCACUCCAGUGAUACCGACCACUAUCCGGAUUAUCUUAUAAUCCUUGUCGCAUGGCCAUGCUUAUCCUGGUCGGAUCACACGAGGGGCCCAGAGUAUAUCUCUCCUGAUCGGAGGGGCAAAUCUCAUCUUGCUCGACCACGUCUCGCAGCAUGGGAUUGGACAAACUCGAAACCUACCUUUGUAACUACCCAGUCACGGAGUAGCGUUUGGUCGGCCCAAAGCAAGUCUGUCACCAUCUCGAGUACAUGCUUCAGCUCAGGUCUUAGGACAUAGAACAUAUGUUGUACUAGAGACUCACAGAUGACAUAUCGUUGCGUCUCAUAGUUGGGUGGGUCUGUCCGACUCGGACCUUAUCUCGACUCGGAUACGACUACGUCGAAUCCGACCAGACCUUUCCAAGUCCAUAUUAUCCGGUUAGCAUCCAAUGCUUCAUGGCUAGUGAGACCAAGUCAUCGACCGUGUCAUAUGCUAGUCUAGUCGGCUGUGCGUCCACACAACCCUUUCGACUAGGGACCUUUUAGGACAAUCAUCUUACAAUGCAUAGUCCCACAAACAAGUCACGUACUUGCUGAUACACAUCAUUGAUAAUGUCCAAGGAUUAUCUUUAUUCAUAAACACAUAGGAAAUAUUAUCAUACAUGGUUGCCUCUAGGGCAUAUCUCCAACACCAACGGGUACUAGGUUUGAGGUGGAGAAUUUCAACGGAACUGAAAACCUUAGGUUAUGACAGAUAAGGGUGAAAAUUGUUGGCACAACAGGCAUGCUUGAAAGCGUUGCGGGAUGUCAAUCCACGCGGACGAUGGGACUGUGGGGAGAUGUAGAUGGUUGCAGUCAGAUAAUUUCGGCUGGGUCGGACUGGAGAGUCUGACAGAUCGGCACAAGUCUGUUGGUACAAAAGACGGUGGUGGGCUCGACGACGAAGACAUAGGAACGUGAUGCUAAUGGUGACCGACUUCUAGGGCAUGGAAACACGUACGUGGCGCAGGCCCGAAGGCUUGUGCGGCUUCGACAAGACUAUGGCAUGGGGUUGAUUCAAGACGGUGCACAUGAGAGCUUGAGGUCGACGGGGCGUGAGGGUGGACUGAUCGAUUAUCUACCAUGGAGUCAUGUUGAAGGUGGAGCUGAUUGAGGGGCUACGACGUAAGUUGACAGAGAGUUGAAGCCUAUUCAGCGGGAAAAGCGAGGGAUACGUAAUUCGGACUGGAGCCCAGUGGUCUGAUGGAAGCGUGAAACUCGUCAUCGGUCAGUGAUGAUCGGUGGUACGUACUCUGUAGUGGGGGUUGAGUGGUGUGGGUUGACGACCCUUGAGACUCGACCGGGACAGCGGAGGCUCGACGCGGUAAUAGCGAUGAGGCGUGCGGUUAGCACGGGGCAUGGAGAUGGGCCAGGGCUCUGGCGGUCAUACAUGUGGUGAGACAACUGCGAAUUUGACUCGGGAUGAUUACAAGCAAUGGUGAAAUUCCUUCAAGUUUUAGACAGACGGUUAAGAAAGGAGCGGUGAUGUUGAGUUCAGGUAACUCUUAUGUGUGACACCCAAUAUGUGAGUUGUUCACUUUCACGCAGGUCAGUGAUCAGUGUGUGAUGGCGUUGGACAGAUACUCUGAAAGUUGGGAGCGCAAACUAGAGUAAUGUGGAACUUGAUUUUGCUCGAGUGUUGACUGCGCUCAAAAAAAGAAGGGACUACAAGUUGCAGGUGGAGUCAUAUGGAGUCUUUGGAGUAGCAGCAAUACUCAUGGGAUAAGCUCAAGUCCAAUGUACAUGGAAAUUUGACGCAUUAACGAAUUCAAGGUGAUGGAGAAUAUUCGCCAAGGUGGAGUUUGUUAGAGUUGUGUCGAAUAUAGUGUACAAGGUAGGUUACAGUUGGACUUGUAGAUGUAUUGUGUUUAGAUAGGAUAUGAAGUCGUGUCCAAGUAGGACAGUUGUAUCCUAGGACUCUCAUAUAUAGCGGGGGUAGACACACGAUGUAACCUAUGCCAACAUAAUAGCACGGGAACACAGAGGAAGCCAGCGGCUUGUGCUGGUGUCCAGGUCGACCGGGUGCGGUAUUGUAGCGGUGUCAUGGGGAGGAGCGCCCAUAGUCAGGCCCCGGGAUGUAGCCAUAUCGGUGAACCUCAUUAACAAAUCUCGGUGUUGUGCUCGUGUGAUUGCUUGGUCCUCGGAUGAUCAACAGUGUGCCUCGGAUUUAUUCUAACAAAGUUUCGCGCUGAUGGCUCUCUCUAGCGUUACAAAGCGCGGUGGGUGGUCCGGGGCUUCAAUCAGUGCGCCGGUGUGGACUACGGUGAAACCUUCUCGCCGGUGGUCAAUCCUGCGAUGAUCCACACUGUCCUCACCAUUGCUGCACCGUGCUGCUGGUCGGUACAUCAACUGGACGUCAAGAACGCAUUUCUGCAUGGCACGCUUGCGGAGGAGGUGUACUGCCUCCAACCAGCCGGCUUCGUCGACGAGCAUCAGCCUCAACAUGUCUGCCGCCUCAACAAGUCAUUGUACGUGCUUAAGCAGGCCCGCAUGCCUGGUUUCAGACGUUCGCCACCUUCCUCAAGAUGAUGGGCUUCGCUGCGACGCGCUCUGACUCCUCAUUAUUCACCUACACGCGCGGCGCGGACGCAGCAUUCCUCCUCCUCUAUGUCGAUGAUAUCGUGCUCACUGCCUCGACCCGGGCUCUUCUCCAACGGAUCAUCCUCGGGCUCACCAGCGAGUUCGCCAUGAAGGACCUCGGUGCCUUGCGGUUCUUCCUCGGCAUCUAGGUGACACGCACCGCGUCCGGCUUCUUCCUCUAUCAGCAACAGUACGCCGAGGACGUCCUCGAGUGCGCUGGCAUGGACACGUGCAAGCCGUCGCCUACACCGAUCGACACGAAGGGUAAGCUUCCCCAAGCUAAAGGGCCCCGCACGGCAGAUCCGUCGGGCUAUCGCAGCAUCGCCGGCGCCCUCCAGUACAUCACCAUCACUAGGCCUGAGCUGGAGUACGACGUCCAGCUGAUUUUCUUGUACAUGCACGAUCCGCACGAGUGUCAUCAGGCCCUCAUCAGGGCGUGUGCUGCGCUACGUUUGGGGGACGCCCAUGCUCGGGCUGCAUCAGCGUGCUUCAUCGACACUGGAUCUCCACGGCUACACUGAUGUUGACUAGGCCGGCUGCCCGGACACCCGUCGCUCGACGUUUGGGUUAUGCGUCUACCUCGGCAACGCGCUCGUCUCCUGGUCCUCCAAGCGCCAGGCCACCGUGUCUCGCUCGAGCGCUGAAGCUGAGUAUCGCGGCGUCACCAACGUCGUUGCAGAGUGCGUCUGGCUCUGACAGCUCCUCGGCGAGCUCCUCCUUCCCAUCUGCUCGGUGACCGUGGUCUACUGCGACAAUGUGUCCGCCUGCUACCUCUUCGCCAACCCCGUGCACCACCGUCGCACCAAGCAUGUCGAGCUCGACAUCCAUUUCGUGCGGGAACGAGUGGCCCUCGGCGAGUUUCGCGUCCUUCACAUCCCCACCACGCAGCAGCUCGCCGAUGUCAUGACGAAAGGCUUGCCCACGGACAUUUUUCUUCAGUUCAGCGCAAGUCUUUGCGUCGCGCCAGCCGACGCCAAGACUGUGGGUGGGUGUUAGAGUAUAUCGUAGCUUAGUGUAUGUAUACCGCGUAUUGAGGACAACCUGCGGUCAGUGCAUGCGUUUGAGUAGUGGGCAUGUCGCCCACGAUCAGCCAGGUAGUGGUACACGAUGAUCUCUGUAAACUAUAUAUAGUUCCAGCCGGCAGAGCUACUAGAUGUGUGUUGAAUCCUAUAGCAACUCCCUCUUCUUCACUAUAUGCUUAUAGCAAAAUAAACGGCCCGCUGACGUGUGCGUGUACAUGACUUGGUCGACCUACGUUCUGUUGGUUGCUUAGCAAGUUAUAGGCGUGGCAUUGAUCCGGCCAUGGGACGGCAUCAGAAGGUGAUCGCGGCGCGCCCAUGCACCUUGCCCACAUCGAGCAUUGUGGGAUGGCACGACUGUAUAAGCUUGGCAUAGGCAGGUUUUACUUAAUAGUAGGAAAAAUAAAUAGAUAUGAAGAAGAGAAAGCAGCAAGUUGAGUGCUGCGAAGCACUUGUCUCCUAGCUCAAAUCUCUGUGUUGCGAUUGUCCUUCUCUUUCGGCAACCACAUGUGGCAUCAGAGCCAUGGCUUUCGACCGGGAUAACGCUGGUGCAGCAGCACGGGCCCCUGGCUCACACACUCCACCGGGGACACGGGCUAUGAGCCAUGGGUGGAGCAAGACGAGGCAAGGCAAGGAGAUGAAGGUGUUGAAAAUAUGAGCAAAUUACUACAAGAAUUAAUCCGAAUUAAUAGAAGAUAAAUCAUGACUACAGUAGCAAAGAUUGAACUAAUCAUGCGAACUAGCAUAGUAGAUGAACAGAUGACAUCUAGAGCACAUACUAGAAACAUGAAUUCUACCACGAUCUCGAACAGGAAAGAUAGAAUCACAUACGAUGCAGCGGGAGCAGCACCGCCGGCGUUGACGUUGUCGCCCAUGUCGUCAAGGAUGAGGUUGCCGAGGUCGGGGAAGAAGUCAUCUUUCGCGAAGUCGUCGCUGCCAGCAGUCGCGCGAGUGCGCUCCCCAAAAACCUGAUCGCCCCUCUCCCGUACAGGAUCACGAGAGGCGGGGUUCCGGAGGCCUGCUGUCCCUUCUCCCGGUGCACGCCAAAAGGAGAGAUGGAGAAGACUUGAUUGGCGGCGCAAUGGUCUGGAACGGCAGUGAGAAACCAUACAAGAAAACGGCGGCGGCUAGGGUAGACGUUUGCCUCACUAUAUAGUGCGGGCCGGGUAGGUCGUGGGAGUAAACCCCACGUCUGAGUCGUCACGGUCCAAAAGAACCAGAAACGGUUCAGUAAUUAACGCGUCCAUUAAUUAUUAAUUAAUGACUCAUUAAUUUUUCCCGAGCAGCAAAAAUAUAGACAACGUGCAUAGCUCUGUCCUCAGCUCGGCUCAAUCCCGCAACCCGCGGCGCGGCGCGUUGUGACGACGCGUGGCGUGGCGAGGAGGAGGAGCGCGCGUGUACGUCUCCUUUUCUCAUGCUCAUACAAGUGGUAGGAGAGCUCACCUUAUAAAAAGGUGCAACUCUCUCAACUUAUGAGGUGGGACUAAACUUUAGCCUCACUCACUCCACUCACAUGUGUGCAUGAAUGGGCCAAGAGAAUUUCAGAAUUUUAGUUGGGCUUUGGGCCAAAAGCCCACUAGCAAAUUCCAACAAUCCCCCACAAAGUCUCAUUGGCACAUUUCACCAUUUGGUUCCAAAACAUUGUUUAUAUACCGGUGCUUAAUGGAGACUGUGAAGUUGCAACUUCCACUUAGAGAUUUAUGCUACACUAGAUCACAACUUGAAUAGUGGACUAUGCCUUGAAUUACAAGUUUUCUACGAGACUAGUUUCACACAAAUUCUUGACCGGUACUAGGCUGUCGCAAGGCUUCCCGACGGGUGGAGCAUAUACGUCGUACUCCAGGGCCUUUCAUGAAUUUAUUAGAGAGCACCCACUUCUCACAGACUGCGACGUUAAUAGUCAAAUUCAUAUAGGUGUGUUCCUCAGGAGAUGCUCUGCAGGACAACAUCUCUGCUUACUCAAAUAAGCCACUUGGAACACAUUAAGAUAGAUAUUAACCUGCCAUGCAGAUCAAGAGAGUAUUGCAUCUUCACGGAGUGGGAUAAUUAAAAUAAGGAUACUCUCCUCUCAGCUGACCAACAACUUAUCUCCCACUUCUACUUCACGGGAUCUCCGAUCACAUAGAGUGGGUUACCACUAUGGACAACUCAUGCGGUGGGUCUCAAACCCAUCUCCAUCGAUGCAUUAUCUAUCACAUUACGUGAUAGACCCUUUGUGAAGGGAUCUACCAAGUUUUUCGACGUUUGGAUAUAAUCCAACGUAAUAACUCCGGAGUUUCUCAGUUUCCUGACAGAUUUUAAUCUCCUCUUCACAUGCCUUGAGGACUUCAUAUUGUCCUUAGGACUGUUUAUCUUAACGAUCACAGUUUGAUUAUCACAAUUCAUCAGGGUAGGGGGUAUUGGUUUUUCAACCAUAGGUAAGUCCAUCAAUAGCUCACGAAGCCACUCUGCUUCAACAGUGGCAGUGUAUAAUGCUGUGAGUUCUGCUUUCAUAGUUGACCUCGUUAGGAUGGUCUGCUUGCAAGACUUGCAGGAAACAACGCCACCACCAAGUGUAAAAACAUAACCACUUGUGGCCUUAAUCUCAUCAGCAUCAUAUAUCCAGUUUGAGUCACUAUAACCCUCCAGUACCCUUGGAUACCCGGUGUAGUGAAUCCCAUAGCUCGCAGUGCCCUUCAAGUAGCGCAUAACUCUCUCGAGCGCACGCCAAUGAUCAUCUCCCGGUUUUGACACAAACCGACUCAGCUUGUUCACAACAAAAGAGAUGUCAGGCCUCGUGGCACUCGCCAAAUACAUAAGUGAGCCAAUAAUCUGAGAAUACCUCAGUUGAUCUCUAGCAAUCCGUCGAUUCUUUCGAAGCAACACACUAGCAUCAUAUGGAGUUGGAGAAGGCGUGCAGUCGCUAUACCCAAAACGACUCAAGGCCUUUUCCACAUAGUGAGACUGAAGCAGUGCGAUCCCACCAUUCUCAUCUCUCAACAGCUUGAUGUUUAAGAUAACAUCAGCUACUCCUAGAUCCUUCAUCUCAAAACAACGAGAUAAGAAAUCCUUAACCUCCUUGAUUAAAUCAAGUUUGGUUCCAAAGAUCAAUAUGUCGUCGACAUACAGACAAAAAUAACUCCUUCGCCCCCACUAUGGCGAUAGUACACACACUUGUCACCAUCAUUUACUACAAAGCCGGCAGCAGUUAAUGUUCUUUCGAACUUCUCAUGCCACUCCUUAGGAGCUUGUUUAAGGCCAUAUAAAGACUUUAACAACUUGCACAUCUUUCCUUCCUGACCAGGUACUACAAAACCAUCUGGCUAGUCCAUGUAAAUUUCCUUCUUCAACUCUCCAUUGAGGAAAGCCGUCUUAACGUCCAUUUGAUGAACGAGAAGACCAUGUGAGGCAGCCAGUGAUAAUAGCACCCGAAUUGUGGUCAAUCUAGCCACGGGUGAGUAAGUAUCAAAGAAGUCUUCACCUUCUUUCUGGGUAUAACCCUUAGCCACAAGCCGUGCCUUGUACUUUUCAAUCGUACCAUCAGGUCUAAGCUUCUUCUUGAACACCCACUUACAUCCUACAGGUUUGCACCCAUAAGGACGGUCAGUGAUCUCCCAGGUCCCGUUAGCCAAGAUGGAAUCCAUCUCGCUACGAAUAGCUUCCUUCUAGUAGUCAGCAUCAGGAGAUGCAUAGGGUUCUGAAAUAGUCCUGUGCGUGUCAUCCACAAGGUACACAAUGAAAUCAUCACCAAAGGACUUUGCAGUCCUCUGUCUCUUACUCCUUACAGGAGUUUCAUUGUCACCCUCAAUAGGAUUCUCAACGCGUUCCAUCGCAAUGGUGGGUUCAGGAAUUACAGUGAAUUCCUCACUAGAUGGAAUAGGUAUCUCCUGAUUUGAUGAACUUGACAUAUCCUUCAUAGGAAAUAUGUCCUCAAAGAAAGUUGCAUCAUUAGACUCCAUAAUCGUACCAACAUGCAUGUCGGAUACCUCAGAUUUUAUUAUCAAAAAUCUAUAGCCAAUGCUAUGAAAAGCAUAACCCAGAAGAACACAAUCCACGAUUUUUGGUCCAAACUUGCGCUUCUUGGGAAUUGAUAUAUUGACUUUCGCCAAACAACCCCAAGAACGUAGGUAAGAGAGUUUCAACCUUUUCCUUUCCCAUUCCUCAAAUGGAGUCAUGGUCUUAUGCUUUGUGGGAGCUCGGUUUAGGACAUGACACACGGUCAUUAGCGCCUCCCCCCACCAUUCCUUCGAAAGACCCGAUGUGUCUAACAUGGCGUUAACCAAAUCAGUUAGAGUUCGGUUCCUUCUUUCGGCCACCCCAUUAGACUGAGGUGAGUAGGGAGGCGUCCUCCCAUGGAUUAUACCAUGUUCCGCACAAAACGGAUCAAAUUCAUUGGAAAAAUACUCUCCACCAUGAUCGGACUUGAGCCGUUUAAUUUUUUGAUCAAGUUGGUUCUCUGCCUCAGCUUUAUAGUUUUUGAAGAAAGUUAAAGCCUCAUCUUUUGAUUUCAGAAGAUACACAUAACCAUAUCUAGUGGAGUCAUCAAUCAACGUCAUGAAGUAUCUCUUUCCACCUUUUGUCAACAUGCCAUUCAUCUCACAGAGAUCAGAAUGUAUAAGCUCUAGUGGCGCCAAGUUUCUUGCCUCUGCAGUCUUAUGGGACUUGCGAGGUUGUUUAGCUUGCACACAUACUUGGCACUUAGAGCCUUUGACAGUAGAGAUUUUCGAAAUUAAAUUCAUAUUGGCUAGCCGCGUCAUGCAACCAAAGUUAAUAUGACAAAGUCGUGCAUGCCAAAUAUCUGACUCAUUAUUGUGGCAAACAUUAUUAAUAACUUCAGUGCAAAUAUCUGACGAAGAUACGCGGAACAAGCCUUUGCACUCAUAGCCUUUUCCAACAAAUUGUUCACAUUUGGAAAUUACAACUUUAUUGGACUCAAAAACCAACUUAAAACCAUCUCGACAUAAACGGGAACCGCUAACGAGAUUUUUAUUGAUGGACGGCACAUGAUGAAUGUUCUUCAGACGCACGGUCUUCCCCGAAGUAAACUUCAGAUCGAUCGUACCAACACCUCGAAUGAUGGCAUGUGACCAGUUCCCCAUCAGCACGGGAGAAGUCCCUGUGGCCUGGUAAGAAGAAAACAUGGAGGCGUCAGCACAAACAUGUACAUUGGCACCGGUGUCAAUUAACCAAUCAGGGGAUUGAAAUACUGAAAGGAUGGUAGGAAAAAUACCGUACCCUGAUUUCUUCAUAUCAGUAUCACCGAUGACAACAUUAGCGGACUUGCCGCCCUUCUCAUGUUUGCGCUCCUCAAAGCGGUUAGGACACUUCGGAGCCCAGUGAUUAGGAUCACCGCAGACAUGGCAAAGUCCCUUCCCCUUCUUAUGAGAAUUCUUCUUGAAGUUGGUAGAAUGUGAUGCCUUGUUCUUUGUAUCAAACUUGCAUUUCCCCUGAGUUUUGUUCUUUUUGUUUUUGAACUUAUUGGGCUGGAAGUUCUUCUUUUGUACCAUGUGGGCACUAGAAGCUCCCUCGGCAACUCGAGCACGUGUGUCCUUUGCUCUCGCCUUCUCUUCAACAUCAAGAGUACCAAUGAGAUCCGCAACGGAAAACUCCUGUCUCUUGUGUUUCAGGGAGCACACUUGAAGUGCUCAAGUUCUUUUGCGAGCGACUGUAUCUUAUGAGCCUGCUGUACAACAGAGCACUCAUCAGUCAUCUUGUAGUCAUAGAAUUGCUCCAUGACGUACAACUCGCUACCGGCGUCCGAGGCACCAAACUUGGCCUCGAGCGCAGCCCACAUGUCCGUGCCAUUGUCAAACGACAUAUACGAAUCCACAAUGGAAUCAUCAAGAACACCCACAAGAGCGCCUUUAAAGAGAGUAUCGAUCUUCUCAAAAGCUUCCAGCUGUGCUGGAUUAAGAUCGCCCUCAGGCUUGCCCUUAAUGGCAUCAUAGCAGCCCAUGGUCCAACAGAAGGUAGUGCAACACACGAUAAAGUUGCACAUUAGCUCCACCUCGUACCUCAUGCUCACCUGGACCAACUACAUCGAGUGGGCAAUCCUAAUUCACAUGAAGAUGGAGGCUCAAGGGAUCUAUGAUCCGAGCCUGCGGAGAGGAAUGCGUUGGCAGCAACCUUGCAUGAAGUCCCGCCGGAGAUUUUUAGCAUCAUUGCUACCAAGGACAAUGUCGAGGAGACGAGGAUUUUUGAAACACCAUGCGCACGAUGGUCGCCAACGUCAAGCGUGCUUGGCAGGCCAAGGCACAUAUAUUGUGCCAGGACUACGAGACUGGCAUUCAAGGUUGGUGAGUCUAUUAAGGAUUUCGCUCUGUGACUUUCCGGGAUCGUCACUAAUCAGUAUGUGCUCGAAGACGAGGUUCAUGACGAGUGUGUGGUGAAAAGUAACUGGGCGCCGUACCGGUGGGGUAUGCUCAAGUGGCCAUCUCCAUCGUAACGCUCAUCGACCUGAGCGUGUUCUCGAUUGUGGAGCUCAGAGGAAGGUUGCUCGCCUUCGAGGAACACUUCACCGCGAGAAGCGACGGGCCGGCACCACAUUGUGGCUCCUCAAGGACACUACGGAAGCGCGAGGGCUCGUCCAGCGGCGGCGGCAAACCAGGCUGGAAGGGCAAGGCUAACACCCAUUGUCGAUUGGCCAAAGUCCGCGGCAAAACUGGCAACGGACGUGACAGCUGCGGCAAGCUACAACUGGGGCAUCGAGGGCCACUGGGCCCUGGAGUGCCGUAAGCCAUUGUAUGGCCAGGCCAACCUCGUGNNNNNNNNNNNNNNNNNNNNNNNNNNNNNNNNNNNNNNNNNNNNNNNNNNNNNNNNNNNNNNNNNNNNNNNNNNNNNNNNNNNNNNNNNNNNNNNNNNNNNNNNNNNNNNNNNNNNNNNNNNNNNNNNNNNNNNNNNNNNNNNNNNNNNNNNNNNNNNNNNNNNNNNNNNNNNNNNNNNNNNNNNNNNNNNNNNNNNNNNNNNNNNNNNNNNNNNNNNNNNNNNNNNNNNNNNNNNNNNNNNNNNNNNNNNNNNNNNNNNNNNNNNNNNNNNNNNNNNNNNNNNNNNNNNNNNNNNNNNNNNNNNNNNNNNNNNNNNNNNNNNNAAGACUUCUGCUGGCGAUGGCCGACGAGAUCACUGUGGCACCCAACAUCCUCCUUCCCCUUAGACAACGCUUCUUUGCUUGCCAAGCAGCAGCGCUGUGCAUGUAAAUGGAACGAGUCAUGCUUGGCCUGGAGGUAGGGAAAGCAAGCCAUGUGGUUGAGAAAGUACCAGAAGAGAUAAGAGGAUCAACCAAAACAAUGUAAGAAAACGGUGGUGGGGAGAGACGAGAGGGGGGUGAGGGGGCCGCGGGACGCGUGUCACGCCCACGAGGCGGCUAGCGGGCUUGGUGUUCUCAACCGGUUGAUUUAAAUCAUUUCCCAAUUCCAAAAUAAUAUCAACAGUUACCAUAUUCUGCAUCGAAGUCUCUCAACGGAAACAGGUUUCCUCUUCUGCUCACUUGGAUGUUGUCGUUGCUAAUCAAUCUCCACUAUAUCCAGUUCCGGAGCCGGGUUCACCAAAAUGGGUGUACAGAGAUCAAGAUUUGGCACCUACCAGCAAUCAUGAUCUUAAUACCCUGUUUGGCUUACCCUUCUCAAAGCUAAAUACUUCCCUUCCUCGAGCCUUAUGUUUGCGCCCUCUUCUAGUGGUUCUCAAUUUUGGCGUCAACUUGUUAAUAUUAGACCGAUCUUCCGGUCUCUUGUGAAGUUCGUAGUUCGAGACGGUAAGUCUACUCGUUUUUGGUUAGAUUGGUGGGUAGGGGACACCUGGCUGGCGGUGGCCUAUCCGACUCUGUUUUCUUUUUGUGCUGAUCCCGAGAUCUCUAUCUUUGAGCUCUCGGCUCAGGGUUGGGUUUUAGAUUUUCGGCGUUCUCUUUCCCUUGUGGAGUUGGAAGACUGGCAGCGCCUUACUCCCUGCUUCCCCUUGCUCUCGGAGGAAGAGGACUCCGUUGUUUGGCCCCAUUCCUCCUCGGGGCGUUUUUCUGUUAAAUCGGCGUAUUCUAAACUUGUCUCUGGCCGUCGCACUGAUAAGUUUAAGUACAUUUGGUCUGCCUGCAUUCCUCCCAAAAUUAAAAUCUUCCUUUGGCAAGCUCUUCGUGGUAAACUCCCUGCGGUUGAUCAGAUUAAGAAGGGAACGGGCCGGGCUCUGACAGGUGCCAGCUUUGUGGUGCUAUUGAGGAUACCGAGCAUAUCUUUUUUCACUGCUCUCUGGCUAAAUUCAUUUGGAGUUGCAUUAGACUUUGGCUUCCUGUUAAUUGGAACCCCUCUUCUUUUGAGGAUCUACGUCGUUGUAUUAAUUCGCUAGCAGGCCGGUCUAAGCGGGUCUUCAUGGUGGGCUGGGCUGCGAUUUGUUGGUCGCUAUGGACUACUAGAAAUAAGGUCACUAUUGAACACAUUUUUCCAGCUAACCCAGUGAGUUGCUUAUUUAAAGUCAAUGUCUUUUUGCAGCAGUGGAGAUCAUUGACUAAGGAAGGGGACCUAGAGGCUUUCGACGAUAUGCUAUCUAAAAUGAAAUCUACGGCUUCUUCACUGCUGCGGCGCUCCAGGAGGUCGGAUCCCAAAGUGGUUUGGCUGCUCGUUGUGCUGGCUUGCGCGCCAUGUUAGGCUGGAUGCCUUGUACCCGUACUUCUUAGGCUUAUUCUGGUAAACGUAUGUGAUGUUAUGUGUUGGUGUUUGACUCUGCCUGGUGGCUUUAUUUGUAAAGUCGGACGCUCGCCUUUUCUCUAAAAAAAGAUCAUAAUACCUAAAGAAGGGAUACAAAUACACAGGAAAUUGGAACUCAAAAUUUAUGUAGCUUGAGUACAUCUUGAUGCACGUUCAGAAAAAGAAUAGACCAAGAAAGGGUCCUCUUGCCACUCUUGUGUAACCUAUACGUACGGUGAAAUCACGUCAUUGACAUACACAGGAACCCGAGGAUAUGAUCUAUCAUAUUGACAAUAUGGCUUCCAGUCGUGAUAUAAUUGAAGUUCACUUCUGUGAGAUUUUCCAACCUAGAAGAUUUUGCACUAAUGUUCACUUCUGUGAGAAUUCAAAGAAGAUUUUGCAACUGUGAGAUGUGUUUGUGUAAAUGCGGUCCUGCCUUUGUCAUUUUAUAGCGUUGGUUUGAGGUUUUCGAUAUGCAGCUUGCCAUUGAGGUUCUUGCCCUUUAUAACUUGAAUGCAUAGGCUCGAAGAACAUCGGCAUUACUGAAGAGAAAGCAAAGCAUAGCUUUGGCUCAAGGCUUUCCUUUGAAUCUUCGGUGUUCGAUCUUGUUCAUCCAAAAAAUACAUUGGUUUUAGGUGCCUUUUGGAGUUGGAUAUGAUCCAAUCCUUGUGAUUCCGGAUUAUGUAAAUAUUUAGCCCAUGAAAUUUGAAAUGACCUCUUUGUUAGCUAAAAGUGUUCUUACACUCUAGUAAUGUUUAGUUUAUGAUGACCUAGCAUCUAAUUACCCAGCUCAAAUCCAUGUAUCCAUGUUGUGUAAAAAGGACACAUGAUUUUUUAUUAUCAAAAAUAAACGAAGAAAGCAUAUCAAGUCUGUGGACAAAUGAAUGGUACUUACUCCCUUUAAAAAGAUGUAAUCAUUUUCCGUAAAAGAUAUUAAAUGCAUUUUGGACACCACCGUUCCACUGACACGCAAUUAGAGUUUGGUUAUUUUGUUCGCCACGUGAGAAUUUUCUAACUAGCAAACAAAGUAAAUAGUGUGUACUAACAAAAAUUGCAGAAGACAGGAAGGCACAUUGGUGGUAUGGCACCUUGCUGGGAUCCUAAUAAUCCUGUAUCGCACAAAGAGAGACUUGUAGAACAAACAUAAAUAAAUUCAUCCAUCAUAAUUCACUGAUCACAAACUAUGGAACCUUCAGUCUGUUACUUAAAAUAUAAAAAAUGCAUGGUUUGUGGUGUUGUACAAAUCUAGCAUAUUCAGUAGUACCUACAUCACCAGGACUGAUAAAUUGUGAAGCCGUUCUAGUUUGUGAAUGCUGAAUUAUGAUUACAUGUGAAUAAAUCUACGAUAACCUUUUUGCAGUUCUCCAUUUAAUAUUUACCUAAGCAACAUUCUCCCGCACUGUGAUGUAAGCAUGGAAAAAGGAACCAUAAUCAAGCCUGAAAACAUUAAUUGUUGGAAAGCUUGUAUGGGAAAAUAUAGCGGAUAUGUAAUGCGAAGCAUUUCUAAGAAUGAGUUCCACUCGCGUAUAGAGAAAAUAAACCAAGAAAAUAUGCACAUCUGAUCAUUCACAAAAAGGGCAGAAGAGCGACUCUUCGGUAGCAGGUUUAAGACUUCACUAUAUGUCGAAGGAGAAACAACGAAUCCAAUUCUCACUCUUUCGCCCAAUCCCGUUCUACCUCGACGACCACUGCCCUAAUGAUCUAUUUAUAUAUAAAAAGUAUUUGAUGGGAUCACUAGAAAAAAGAGAAUAUUUUAGAAAAUCACACAAUAAUUAGAAAGAUCUGGCCGCUUAAUUCAUACGAAAAGAAAACAUAACUGUUGGAUGGAGACUAUUUUUUUUGCAACAUAAAUCAGUGAAAAUUACCCACCAAUGCCAUUACAUAAAAUAACUUUUCAAGAUAACAAAAAGAAGAAAAACUUACCUCUCUUUCCCAAUAACUCACGUUCCUUCCUGAUGUACAAAAAGCUCACGAGCCUUCCCAAUUAAGAAAAACCCACGAGCCUUCCAGUUAAAAAAAAUGACCCACGAGACCUCCCAAAAAAAAUGACCCACGAGACCUGGCCUGAAAAGAAAACGCACGAGCCCUAACCUCUCGACCCUUCAAGCCGCCGCGGCUGCCGUCCUCCUCAUCCUCCAUCACGGUGAUUUCUCCUGAGCACCACGGCACCACCGAGGAGGCAUUGAAGUCACAUGCUGGCCAAGCCGUUUUGAUGAUUCUUUUACAAUCUAAGAGGAUGGGCGACUAUGAUGACAGAUGCAUCCGCACAACUACGUCGGCCGUUGCCACAUGGACCUCCACGGAAUACCUCCGAUGGGCACGCAAGUGUUCUCUCCCAGACGUCUUCUCGACUCAGCCCCUCUUGAUGGACAAGCAUGCAUCGAACAUGCUUGAUCAUGUGGAAGCAUCUAAGAUUUCCUCAGCUCUGUAGCGAGGUGGAUUACAGAGGAAAAACGAGUUCACACAAUGGAUGCCCUCAACAUGUUCGUGUUAACAGCUGUUGUAAAAAAUAAUCAAGGCAUAGUAGUACUGUUACUUAUCUGUGUUUUUGCAUGAUGUGUCUGUUGGUUGUAGUUCACCAUCCAUAUCCAGCAAGAAAAAAUCUUUAUAGACUCAAGGUUCCAGGUAUUCGUCUAGACUCAGGAGCACGUGCGUCUUCUUCUAAUUUCCUCUCUCUAUUCAUAUAUAACAUAAAAUUGCUUCAUGCAUCAAGCAGUACAUUGUCUUCUCAGUUAUCUAAUCGUCUUGCCCAUCCAUUACUUUCUUAUGAAUUAUACAUGUAUGAGACUCCAGUAAAUCAACCAUCAACAACAUAGAAGAGAUAUGCUGAUAAUGGGAUCCAUGUAACAGUAAUAUGUAUGGAACAUGUACGUAUAGUGUUUUGGUCUGCACAUGGAUGGAGAAUAAGUUUCAGUUUUAGAUUGGUGCUCUCAACGUGGAUAUGUUGUGAUCUUGUGGAAGAGUUCUAUCAGUUCCAGAUUGGUUCUCUAAACAUGGCUUUGUUGUGGUCUUGUGAGCCUCUUGUUCUUAUCUUCUUUUUAAAAGAAAAAAAUUAUUACUUUUAUUAUUAUUUGUUAUUAUAUAGUGCGAUGGUUUUGGUAUCCGCCCCGGCCGGCCCUCGUCAUGUCUAUGAUUCGGAUGUGGUAUAUUAUCUUUUAUAACUAUUUGUUUCAUUUAGUGUUUAUGACAAUUAUGCCAACCAACGUGACAUAGAUGUUUUUAUCUAGGAGGUAUGUGAACCGGAAAUUCCAACCGACCCUCUUGUUGAGAGGUUAAAUUUAGUUGAAAAAGAAAACAAUUACUAGAAGAAAAAAUUAAAAAGAAUUGAGGAGGAGAAGAUGGCAUUGGAGUUGCAUGUUGCGGAUGUCGUCGAUGAUCACAAGAUCAAGAUUGAUGCAAUGGGCUUGAAGAUCUAUUAUAUACUUAAAGCAAGAGUAAAACAAGCCAUCACGUUCGUCCACAUAUAUUAAAUUAUCUUGAUCGUCAACUUUUUACAUUGACGGUUAAGAUUUAAAAGAAAUAGUGUUACAUACAAAUAUAAUUAUAUACAAACAAAUAGGCAUGUCACGUAAAAAUAGUUGGACACGUCUUUCGUCUUUCCUCGAUGUCACAUGUUUUUGUAUUAUGAAUAGCCUAUCCAAAUCAACCAAACCUGAACGUACAUUACCAUGGGAAAAGUACAGCUCCGGUCAGAAAGGACUCGGUUGCCAAAGAGUUAAAAAAGCACGGCUGACAUAUACUGGAAUCUGAGCGCCUCAAGAAAGAAGAGUCCGAUUACAAUACUACCGAUAACGUUAUCUAUGAUUUAGCAAAAUAAACAUUGGGAUAGACUUUUAGCAAAUUAAUCAAUCUAGGCUCUUUUUUUGGGGUUAACAGAAAAUCUCUGGACUACUUCAUUACCACUUCAGUUGUCAUAACAAACGUUCUCUAGCCAUGAGAAUUUUUUUCUCUAUCCAAAUAGAAACAUGAAGAGAAGUUUAUUAUGUACUUUCUUUUGCAGGGUUAUUAUGUAUGUAUACAUGAUCCCAUCCUUUCUUUGGCCAUGUGUACGUACAUACCAUGAGGGUGGGACAAACAUAUUAGCAAUAUACUUUUGUCUAAUAUAUACUACAAUAAAGUAUGCCUAUAAUAGGAUGUUAGCGGCACUAAAUCAAGAAUGGACAGCUUAUACCCAAAAUGCAUGAACAUCUAGGUGCAAAAAAUAUAUUUCUAUUUUUGCAAGUUUUUUAAAUGAAUUAUGAUGUGUAUUCUAAUUACAAUGGUUGAUAGUAUAAAGUAAUCAUUUUUUCUUUAAAAUAUUUGUCAUGAGAAGGACCACAUUAAAGCAUAUAAAAUAUAGGUGCAAAAAAAAAACAAACAAAUACAGCGUCCACAUACAAAAUCAUAAAAGGAAGGACCGGUUCAACUUUAAAGAAAAAGGAAGCAUCAGUUGAGAAAAGGAAUCAUAAGGAGACGAGGCACUCGGACUAUGCUUUUCUUAAAUUGAAAACCAUGGACUAUGCCUUUAAAAGGAUUUCAGAAGCCAACGUGAGAAGAAAAAGACUGCCGCUUCCCUCGAAGGAAAGGCUAGCCGCCGCCUCCUCCUUCCUCCACAAAAAAGUUAGGGUUUCUGCCUCCCGCCGUUGCCGCCGCAGAUCCGCCUCCUCUCCGAUGGCCCUAGGGCCAUGGGGGCGCGGUGGAUCUCGGCAAGGGCCGGCGGGAGGGCUCCGUUUUUAGUCGUUUCUUUCAGUUUUGCUAGGGUUUGUGUCCCGCUCAGGAAGACGAGACGGCGGCGGCUCCCAGAAGAUAGAAUAAAGGUCUCCCCGCCUAGUCCCCGUUUCGGCGGCGCAUCUAGCACCGUUGGUGGGCGUGUGGAGGUGUGUCUCCGGCGGAUCUAUCUUUGGUGGAUUUGUUCGGAUCUCGUCGUUGUUCGUCUACGUUCGCGUGUCUUCGGAUUGGAUCUUUCUGAUCUACGUUAUUCUUCAUCUGCGGCAGUUGCUGUUCUGAUGCGCUGGUCCUACUGGGCCUUAGCACGACGACUUCCCGACUGUCUACUACAACAAGUUGUGCCCGACUCCGGAUGGAGGGGCGAUGACGGCGGCGCGCCUUCGGCUCGCUUCAGUGCUGAUAGUCGUCGCUAGGUGGUCUAUGGAUCUGGAUGUAAUUUUUAUUAUUUCUGGUAUUCGUUGUACUGCCAUGAUCUUCCGCAAGACUGAGUUGCACGGUGCAUACAAGGACAACGCGGGCACAUCCUUAAAAAGGACACGACCUGUGACUAUUCUUCUGCAGCAGUGCAGGGACACUAGCUGACCUCUGAAUAAACAAAUUGAUGUGCUAAUUCAAUUUGCUUUGCUAUUUUUAAACAUGUAUGUCCAACGUAUGCUACAGUUUGGCCAACUCCCAUGCAUAUCCAGUGUACGUCUGCAUCUUAUAGACUGAAAACAUGUGAUGUUGUGAAGUAUAGAUAAAAAGAACUAUCCUUUUUGCGGGCACUAGAAGCAGGGCCAGGCCCACAGUGGUGCCAAAGGUGCGGCCCGCACUGGGCCCAAAAUUCGGAGGAGGCCUGAUAUUUUUUAUAUAGGUAUAGUAACAGUAAACGUAACUGGGCCGAGCGGCGAGCUACUAGGCCCAUCGAGCCAGAGCGAGGCCAUCGAGCGGACGGAGCGCUCGGACUCCUCCAGAUCGCUACGAGAUCAGGCGACGAGGCAGCACUCAGAAAAAAAAAGCGACGAGGGCAUCGCUAAUUAGCUACGUUAUCUAAAAAAUGCUAGAUCGCUACCAUAAAAAAACAUUAGAUCGCUACAGCCUGCAGCCCUGCAGUGUAGAAGAAACUUCGUCGUCUGAAUCCACCAGAAAAGAAUAACUUACAUAUUUCUUGCAUAAUCAGUGAUAUGCACUUUCAAAGAGAUAGCAAUUACUCUUUUUAGGGAAAAAGUGACAGCGAUUACUCACUAAAUACAACCGUGCAAAUUUUAUGGAUGCUUCAGCCAUAAGGCUUAAUGCAAAACAGAAUUGGCAUGUUCAGAAAGAACAAUGAUGAGAGUGUGGAAGAUAUCAAUGUUUUAGUAUUUUUCAUGGAUACAAGUGAAUCAUGUGCAAAAGCAUCUAUAGACAAGGUGAUGCAAAUUAUAAAAAUACAUUACCACUACUAGCGAAUUGAUGGUGAUGGACAAAGAUAACACAAAGUUUAAGUGUCACCAAUAUUUUUAUUUACUUUUGUUAGAAAAAUAUUUGAAAAUUGAUGGAAUGUGGACAUCUAAAAUUUUGCAUAGGGGUCCACGGACCAUACGUCUUAUACUGUCACACUCCAAAUAUUACCAAGAUUGUAAAUUACAUAACAAAAUAUUUUUGCAAAACUACAAGCGAGUAACAGAACUAAAAUAAAUAGCGGUUCACAUAGAAGUAAGAGAAUCAUUGGAUAGGCAAACCCUCACUCCAUAUCAUAGAUAAAUGCAUUUUUUAUCAUCAAUUUGUAUUAUAAUUUAUGCAUAAAUCAUGAUAAUUAUAAGGAUCAGCAAACAUUCUUAAGACAGACCGAUACAUACGAUUUCUCCCCAUACAAAUAAUUAAAAUGAGAUACAUGACAAAGUUUUGAAAGUUUGACACGAAGCAUAACUAAAAUGUCUCUUAUUUGUAAUAUGAAGUUGUGUGUUGUUAUUUGCUAACCAUUUUAUACAACGUGGAAUUUCUUUCUAAGCAUGCCAAUAACUAAACAUUAACAAAGAUACCUCAAAGGAUAACACAUCUAGCCGCGCAAAUGCGCGGGUCACUCCGCUAGUUAGAAAAAUUAGAAAAUAUGUCAUUCAUACUGAGGCUUGGUAUCAUUAUGUCGUUGGAUCAAUUGUUACCUUAGUUGUGAUUAUGAUCGCAUUUGUUGUUGCAUUUAAAUAUUUUACAUAGUUUCAUUGUAUGUUUUAAAUAGAUGCUCUAGAGAGCUAUAUGUUGUUCAAUGAGAAUUAUGUAUGAACUAUGUAUGGACUUAAUGUGAUGAUGAACUUCUAUUAAUUUGGUCACUUCUCUAUUCAUGAUGUUCUAUAAUGGUUUUUGACACACUUGAUUAUAUAUAAUGCACGCAGAUGAACCGGCAAUGGAGGUACGGUGAUAGACGCACCUCCGAGUACAUUAAGGGCGUGCAUAAUUUUCUCGAAGUGGAUGAGGCAAACAAGCAGAAUGAUUUUAUGUUUUGUCCAUGCCCUAUAUGUGGGAAUACGAAGUCUUACUCUGACUCGAAAACCCUUCACAUCCACCUGCUCGAGAAGGGUUUCAUGCCACACUAUAAUGUUUGGACCAAGCAUAGAGAAAGAGGGGUUAUGAUGGAAGACGAUGAAGAAGAAGAUGAUGAUGACAACUAUCCGCCCCCUGAAUACGGUGAUGCUACAAUGGGGGAAGCUGAAGAUCAAGAUGAACCAAGCGAUGUGCCCGAUGAUGAUCUUCACCGGGUCAUUGUUGAUGCAAAGAGACAAGCCAAAGUGAAAGGGAGAACUUGAAGUUCGAUCACAUGUUAGAGGAUCGCAAAAAGGGUUGUACCCAAAUUGCGAAGAUGGAAACACAAAGCUCGGUACCACACUGGAAUUGCUACAAUGGAAGGUAGACAAUGGUGUAUCUGGCAACGGAUUUGAGAAGCUACUGAAAAUAUUGAAGAAGAAGAUUCCAAAGGAUAAUGAAUUGCCCAAAAGUGUGUACGAAGGAAAGAAGGUUCUAUGCCCUCUAGGAUUGGAGGUGCAGAAGAUACAUGCAUGCCCUAAUGACUGCAUCCUCUACCGCGGUGUGUACAAGGAUUUGAACGCAUGACCGGUAUGUGGUGCAUUGAGGUAUAAGAUCAGACGAGAUGACCCUGGUGAUGUUGAGGGCGAGCGCCCCAGGAAGAGGGGUUCCUGCCAAGGUGAUUUGCUAUGCUCCUAUAAUACCACGGUUGAAACGUCUGUUCAGAAAUGAAGAGCAUGCCAAGUUGAUGCGAUGGCACAAAGAGGAUCGUAAGAAAGACGGGAAGUUGAGAGCACCCGCUGACGGGUCGCAGUGGAGAAAAUCGAGAGAACGUGGGGGGACUUUGCAGGUGACGCAAGGAACGUAUGGUUUGGUUUAAGCGCGGAUGGCAUUAAUCCUUUUGGGGAGCAGAGCAGCAAGCAUAGCACCUGGCCCGUGACUCUAUGUAUCUAUAACCUUCCUCCUUGGUUGUGCACGGAGCGGAAGUUCAUAAUGAUGCCAGUGAUCCAAGGCCCUAAGCAACUCGGCAACGACAUUGAUGUGUACCUAAGGCCAUUAGUUAAAGAACUUUUACGGCUGUGGAAUGGAACAUGUGUACGUGUGUAGGAUGAGAACAACUAGGAGGAAUUUGACCUAUAUGUGUUGCUGUUUGUAACCAUCAAUGAUUGGUCUGCUCUCAGUAACCUUUCAGGAUAGACAAACAUGGGAUACCACGCAUGCACGCACUGUUUAGAUGACACCGAAAGUAUAUAUUUGGACAAAUGCAGGAAGAAUGUGUACCUGGGGCAUCGUCGAUUUCUUCCGACCAACCAUCAAUGUCGAAAGAAAGGCAAGCAUUUCAAAGGUGGGGCAGAUCACUAAAAGAAGCCCGCCUUCCGUACUGGUGAUCACAUACUUGAUAUGGUCAAUGAUUUACAAGUAAUCUUUGGAAAGGGUCCUGGCGGACUAUCUGAUCCGAAUGACGCUGAGGGACACACACCCAUGUGGAAGAAGAAAUCUAUAUUUUGGGACCUACCCUAUGAGAAAGACCUAGAGGUCCGCUCUACAAUCGACGUGAUGCACGUGACAAAGAAUCUUUGCGUGUGAAGGAAGUAUGCCCUAGAGGCAAUAAUAAAGUUAUUAUUUAUUUCCUUAUAUCAUGAUAAAUGUUUAUUAUUCAUGCUAGAAUUGUAUUAACCGGAAACAUAAUACAUGUGUGAAUACAUAGACAAACAGAGUGUCACUAGUAUGCCUCUACUUGACUAGCUCGUUAAUCGAAGAUGGUUAUGUUUCCUAACCAUAGACAUGAGUUGUCAUUUGAUUAACGGGAUCACAUCAUUAGGAGAAUGAUGUGAUUGACUUGACCCAUUCCGUUAGCUUAGCACUUGAUCGUUUAGUAUGUUGCUAUUGCUUUCUUCAUGACUUAUACAAAGUUCCUACAACUAUGAGAUUAUGCAACUCCCGUUUACCGGAGGAACACUUUGUGUGCUACCAAACGUCACAACGUAACUGGGUGAUUAUAUAGGUACUCUACAGGUGUCUCCAAAAGUAUAUGUUGAGUUGGCAUAAUUCGAGAUUAGGUUUUGUCACUCCGAUUGUCGGAGAGGUAUCUCUAGGCCUUCUCGGUAAUACUCAUCACCUAAGCCUUGCAAGCAUUGUAACUAAUGAGUUAGUUAUGAAAUGAUGUAUUACGGAACGAGUAAAGAGACUUGCCGGUAACGAGAUUGAACUAGGUAUUGGAUACCGACGAUCGAAUCUCGGGCAAGUAACAUACCGAUGACAAAGGGAACAACGUAUGUUGUUACGCGGUUUGACCGAUAAAGAUCUUCGUAGAAAAUGUAGGAACCAAUAUGAACAUUCAGGUUCCACUAUUGGUUAUUGACCGAGAAUAGUUCUAGGUCAUGUCUACGUAGUUCUCGAACCUGUAGGGUCCGCACGCUUAACGUUACAAUGACAGUUUUAUGAGUUUUGAUGUACCGAAGUUUGUUCGGAGUCCCGGAUGUGAUCACGGACAUGACGAGGAGUCUCAAAAUGGUCGAGACAUAAAGAUUGAUAUAUUGGAAGCCUAUGUUUGGACUUCAGAAUAGUUCCGGGUGAAAUCGGGAUUUUACCGGAACACCGGGGGGUUACCGGAACCCUCCCAGGGGUUAGUGGGCCUUAGUGGGCCAUGAGGGAGAAGAGGAGGGCCGGCUAGGGCAGGCCGCGCGCCCCCUCCCCCCUAGUCCGAAUAGGACAAGGAAGGGGGGGGGCGCCCCCCUUUCCUCUUUCCCUCCCCCCAAGUCCUAAUCCAACUAGGAAAAGGGGGGGGGAGUCCUACUCCCGAUGGGAGUAGGACUCCUCCGGCGCGCCUCCUCCUAGGGCCGGCCGCACCCCCCUUUGCUCCUUUAUAUACGGGGGUAGGGGGGAACCCUAGAACACACAAGUUGAUCUACGGAUCGUUCCUUAGCCGUGUGCGGUGCCCCCCUCCACCAUAUUCCACCUCGGUCAUAUCGUCGCGGAGUUUAGGCGAAGCCCUGCGCCGGUAGAGCAUCAUCAUCGUCACCACACCGUCGUGCUGACGGAAUUCAUCCCCGACACCCUGCUGGAUCGGAGUCCGGGGAUCAUCAUCGAGCUGAACGUGUGCUGAACACGGAGGUUCCGUACGUUCGGUACUUGGAUCGGUCGGAUCGUGAAGACGUACGACUACAUCAACCGCGUUGUCAUAACGCUUCCGCUUUCGGUCUACGAGGGUACGUGGACACACUCUCCCCUCUCGUUGCUAUGCAUCACCAUGAUCUUGCGUGUGCGUAGGAAUUUUUUUGAAAUUACUACGUUCCCCAACAGUGGCAUCCGAGCCUGGUUUUGUGCGUUGAUGUUAUAUGCACGAGUAGAACACAAGUGAGUUGUGGGCGAUACAAGUCAUACUGCUUACCAGCAUGUCAUACUUUGGUUCAGCGGUAUUGUGAGAUGAAGCGGCCCGGACCGACAUUACGCGUACGCUUACGCGAGACUGGUUUCACCGCUGCGAGCACUCGUUGCUUAAAGGUGACUGGCAGGUGUCUGUCUCUGUCACUUUAGUUGAACCGAGUGUGGCUAUGCCCGGUCCUUGCGAAGGUUAAAACAGCACGAACUUAACAAACUAUCAUUGUGGUUUUGAUGCGUAGGUAAGAACGGUUCUUGCUCAGCCCGUAGCAGCCACGUAAAACUUGCAACAACAAAGUAGAGGACGUAUGACUUGUUUUUGCAGGGCAUGUUGUGAUGUGAUAUGGUCAAUACGUGAUGCUAUAUUUUAUUGUAUGAGAUGAUCAUGUUUUGUAACCGAGUUAUCGGCAACUGGCAGGAGCCAUAUGGUUGUCGCUUUAUUGUAUGAAAUGCAAACGCCAUGUAAUUUCUUUACUUUAUCACUAAGCGGUAGCGAUAGUCGUAGAAGCAAUAGUUGGCGAGACGACAACAAUGCUACGAUGGAGAUCAAGGUGUCGCGCCGGUGACGAUGGUGAUCAUGAUGGUGCUUCGGAGAUGGAGAUCACAAGCACAAGAUGAUGAUGGCCAUAUCAUAUCACUUAUAUUGAUUGCAUGUGAUGUUUAUCCUUUAUGCAUCUUAUCUUGCUUUGAUUGGCGGUAGCAUUUUAAGAUGAUCUCUCACUAAAAAUUAUCAAGAAGUGUUCUCCCUGAGUAUGCAUCGUUGCCAAAGUUCGUAGUGCCAAGACACCACGUGAUGAUCGGGUGUGAUAAGCUCUACGUCCAUCUACAACGGGUGCAAGCCAGUUUUGCACACGCAGAAUACUCAGGUUAAACUUGACGAGCCUAGCAUAUGCAAAUAUGGCCUCAGAACACGGAGACCGAAAGGUCGAGCGUGAAUCAUAUAGUAGAUAUGAUCAACAUAGUGAUGUUCACCAUUGAAAACUACUCCAUCUCACGUGAUGAUCGGUUAUGGUUUAGUUGAUUCGGAUCACGUGUUCACUUAGAUGACUAGAGAGAUGUCUGUCUAAGUGGGAGUUCUUAAAUAAUAUGAUUAAUUGAACUUAAAAUUAUCAUGAACUUAGCACCUGAUAGUAUUUUGCUUAUAUAUGUUUGUUGUAGAUAGAUGGCUCGUGCCGUUGUUCCAUUGAAUUUUAAUGCGUUCCUUGAGAAAGCAAAGUUGAAAGAUGAUGGUAGCAAUUACACGGACUGGGUCCGUAACUUGAGGAUUAUCCUCAUUGCUACACAGAAGACUUACGUCCUGGAAGCACCGCUGGGUGCCAGGCCUGCUGCAGGAGCAACGCCAGAAGUUGUGAACGUCUGGCAGAGCAAAGCUGAUGACUACUCUAUAGUUCAGUGUGCCAUGAUUUACGGCUUAGAACCGGGUCUUCAACGAUGUUUUGAACGUCAUGGAGCAUAUGAGAUGUUCCAGGAGUUGAAGUUAAUAUUUCAAGCAAAUGCCUGGAUUGAGAGAUAUGAAGUCUCCAAUAAGUUCUAUAGCUGCAAGAUGGAGGAGAAUAGUUCUGUCAGUGAGCAUAUACUCAAAAUGUCUGGGUAUAAUAAUCACUUGAUUCAACUGGGAGUUAAUCUUCCGGAUGAUAAUGUCAUUGACAGAAUUCUCCAAUCACUGCCACCAAGCUACAAGAGCUUCGUGAUGAACUAUAAUAUGCAAGGGAUGAACAAGACACUUCCCGAGCUCUUCGCAAUGCUAAAAGCUGCGGAGGUACAAAUCAAGAAGGAGCAUCAAGUGUUGAUGGUCAACAAGACCACUAGUUUCAAGAAAAAGGGCACAGGAAAGAAGAAGGGAAACUUUAAGAAGAACAGCAAGCAAGUUGCUGCUCAAGAAAAGAAACCCAAGUCUGGACCUAAGCCUGAAACUGAGUGCUUCUACAGCAAGCAAGCUGGUCACUGGAAGCGGAACUGCCCCAAGUAUUUGGCGGAUAAGAAGGAUGGCAAGGUGAACAAAGGUAUAUGUGAUAUACAUGUUAUUGAUGUGUACCUUACUAGAGCUCGCAGUAGCACCUGGGUAUUUGAUACUGGUUCUGUUGCUAAUAUUUGCAACUCGAAACAGGGACUACGGAAUAAGCGAGUACUGGCAAAGGACGAGGUGACGAUGCACAUGGGAAACGGUUCCAAAGUCAAUGUGAUCGCGGUCGGCACGCUACCUCUACAUCUACCUUCGGGAUUAGUUUUAGACCUAAAUAAUUGUUAUUUGGUGCCAGCGCUGAGCAUGAACAUUAUAUCUGGAUCUUGUUUGAUGCGAGACGGUUAUUCAUUUAAAUCAGAGAAUAAUGGUUGUUCUAUUUACACAGUAAUAUCUUUUAUGGUCAUGCACCCUUGAAGAGUGGUCUAUUCUUAUUGAAUCUCGACAGUAGUGAUACACAUAUUCGUAAUGUCAAUGACAAAAGAUGCAGAGUUGAUAAUGAUAGUGCAACUUAUUUGUGGCACUGCCGUUUAGGUCAUAUCGGUGUAAAGCACAUGAAGAAACUCCAUACAGAUGGACUUUUGGAACCACUUGAUUAUGAAUCACUUGGUACUUGCGAACCGUGCCUCAUGGGCAAGAUGACUAAAACACCGUUCUCCGGUUGUAUGGAGAGAGCAACAGAUUUGUUGGAAAUCAUACAUACAGAUGUAUGUGGUCCGAUGAAUGUUGAAGCUCGUGGCGGAUAUCGUUAUUUUCUCACGUUCACAGAUGAUUUAAGCAGAUACGGGUAUAUCUUCUUAAUGAAGCAUAAAUCUGAAACAUUUGAAAAGUUCAAAGAAUUUCAGAGUGAAGUUGAAAAUCAUCGUAACAAGAAAAUAAAGUUUCUACGAUCUGAUCGUGGAGGAGAAUAUUUGAGUUACGAGUUUGGUCUACAUUUGAAACAAUGCGGAAUAGUUUCGCAACUCACGCCACCUGGAACACCACAGUGUAAUGGUGUGUCUGAACAUCGUAAUCAUACUUUACUAGAUAUGGUGCGAUCUGUGAUGUCUCUUACCGAUUUACCACUAUCAUUUUGGGGUUAUGCUUUAGAGACGACCGCAUUCACGUUAAAUAGGGCACCAUCAAAAUCCAUUGAGACGACACCUUAUGAACUAUGGUUUGGCAAGAAACCAAAGUUGUCGUUUCUGAAAGUUUGGGGUUGCGAUGCUUAUGUGAAAAAGCUUCAACCUGAUAAGCUUGAACCCAAAUCGGAAAAAUGUGUCUUCAUAGGAUACCAAAAGGAGAAAAUUGGGUAUACCUUCUAACACAGAUCCGAAGGCAAGACAUUCGUUUCCAAGAAUGGAUCCUUUCUAGAGAAGGAGUUUCUCUCGAAAGAAGUGAGUGGGAGGAAAGUAGAACUUGAUGAGGUAAUAGUACCAGCUCCCUUAUUGGAAAGUAGUUCAUCACAGAAAUCGGUUCCUGUGACACCUACACCAGUUAGUGAGGAAGUUAAUGAUGAUGAUCAUGAAACUUCAGAUCAAGUUGUUACUGAACUUCAUAGAUCAACCAGAGUAAAAUCCGCACCAGAGUGGUACGGUAAUCCUAUUCUGGAAGUCAUGCUACUAGGGCAUGGUGAACCUACGAACUAUGAAAAAGCGAUGGUGAGCCCAGAUUCCACAAAAUGGCUUGAAGCCAUGAAAUCUGAGAUGGGAUCCAUGUAUGAGAACAAAGUGUGGACUUUGGUUGACUUGCCCGAUGGUCGGCAAGUGUCGGUGUCCAAACCGGCGGAUCUCGGGUAGGGGGUCCCGAACUGUGCGUCUAGGCGGAUGGUAACAGGAGACAAGGGACACGAUGUUUGACCCAGGUUCGGGCCCUCUUGAUGGAGGUAAAACCCUACGUCCUGCUUGAUUGAUAUUGAUAUUGUGGAUGUUUACAAGAGUGGAUCUAGCACGAGAUCAAGGAGGCUAAACCCUAGAAGCUAGCCUAUGGUAUGAUUGUAAUGGUUGUUGUUGUUGUGUCCUACGGACUAGAGCCAUCCGGUUUAUAUAGACACCGGAGAGGGCUAGGGUUACAUAGAGUCGGUUACAAUGGUAGGAUAUCUACAUGUUCGUAUCGCCAAGCUUGCCUUCCACGCCAAGGAAAGUCCCAUCCAGACACGGGACGAAGUCUUCAAUCUUGUAUCUUCAUAGUCUUGGAGUCCGAUCGAUGAUGAUAGUCCGGCCGAUGAUAGUAAUCCUGCUAUCCGGACACCCCCUAAUCCAGGACUCCCUCAGUAGCCCCUGAACCAGGCUGCAAUGACGAUAAGUCCGGCGCGUAUAUUGCUUGGCAUUGCAAGGCGGGUUCCUCCUCCGAAUGAUAGAAGAUUGUGAACACCAGGAUAGUGUCCGGCUCUGCAAAAUAAAUUCCACAUUCCACCGUAGAGAGAAUAAUAUAUACACAAGUUCAAUGUGCUGACGUUUUUUUGCGGCAUGACGUCACGCCACUACCAAGCCAUUACUUGAAUCGUUUUUCACUCUACCACCUUAGCGCAUUUAGCGAAGUGGCUUCCUUGUCACGUCUUGUCAAAGCAGAGAUCAUGUUCCCCCUUAAUCCGGGAUUCUCAUCAAUAAAGACAUGGGUAACCCAACCGCGCCAUUGAUGGUGACGCUUGGGGGAUAAGCGAGUUUUAAUAGGCCGGUGGGGGACGCGUAGGCUUCGCCCGCCCAUAUAAGGGAUAAGGAUUCAUCUUUUCACCUACGCCUUCUUCCGCCUUUGCUUAUCCAUCUCCGCGCACUCGAGCUCCAGCGCCCAAGCCCGCACAUCUCGUCUCAACCUUCCCCAGUCAUGUCUGGAGAGGGAGGCAAGUGGAUGACCUCCUCCGUUACGGAGGAGCACAUCGAAACACUGCGCAGCGCCGGCUACCUGUCCGGCGACAUCGCGCACCGGCUGCCCGACGAGGGGCAGCUCAUCCCCACCCCCAGGCCCCAUGAGAGGGUCGUUUUUCUUCCCCACUUCCUCCGCGGACUGGGUUUUCCACUUCACCCCUUUGUCUGGGGGCUCAUGUUCUACUACGGCCUGGAUUUCCAUGAUCUAGCGCCGAACUUCAUCCUCAACAUCUCGGCGUUUAUCAUCGUGUGCGAGGCCUUCCUCUGCGUCCGGCCCCACUUCGGCUUGUGGAUCAAGACCUUCAAUGUCAAGCCGAAGGUAGUGAAGGGCACUCAAGCGGAGUGCGGAGGCGCCAUGUUGGGCAAGAUGCCCAAUGUCCUUUGGUUCGGAGGGGCCUUCGUGGAAUCCGUUAAGGGGUGGCAAUCGGGGUGGUUCUAUAUCACCGAGCCGCGCGACCCUAAGUGGGCGGCGGCCCCCGAGUUCAGAUCUGGUAUCCCCACGCAGCUCACCUCCUGGAAAGAGAAGGGCUUGCUGUGGGGUAGUUCGGAGGAGCUGACGGGACUCCAAGCCUGCAUCCAGAAGCUGGUGAAGAAGCUCAGGCUGGUUAACGUGGUCCAAGUCAUGCUUGUCCACCGGAUUCUCCCAUGCCAAGAGCAGGCAUUCAAUCUGUGGGAGUUCAAUCCGGAACAGCAUCAGGCGCUGAGCGGGCUCUUCGACACGACGUACGAAGGCGCCUGGAGGGUGCUGUUUAAGGGCGCUGAAGCCCCCGCAUCCGCGACUGAAGAUCGCGGAUUUCGCUCGUAGCGCCAAGCCAACAAGGUAAGUGAUUCUACCCCUUUACGUGACACUUGCUUUUCAUAGUUUGACAUGCAGGUUUUAAUUUCCCCUUUUCCUUUGCCAGGACUGGAUGAGGAAGGCGGAGCAGAUUAUCUGCCCGGCUCGUGUGCCAGAAAACCCAGUAGACGCCCGUCUAGCGAGGUUGUUGGUUCCGGCACCGCACGUGGUGCCGGAGAAGAAGGCCAAGAAGGAGGCCACGGGUGCUCGAAAGAGUUCCCGUUUUCAGGUGUCCGACGACUCCGGGGCGGACUCCUCCCCCGAAAACAAGGAGGAGAAAGAGGACUCUCUCCCAGAGGAGGGAGAGAGGAAGAGGAAGGCUUCCCCAACAGGGGAGGCCGAAGGGUCCAAGAGGGGAAGGACUAUUCCCCCGGACAGCUCCGCCAACAUCAACGUUGGCGAGGAAGAAUGGCCUUCAAGGGCCAGGCCUCCAGCGAGAUUGUAUGUAUCCGGAUUCCUGAGUCAUUUAUAAUUUCUUUUUCUGUGUCACAUAGUGUCAUUCUGAUGUCGCAUGCUGCCUGUAGUCCGGCCAAUGAUGAUCUCCCCGCUUCAUCGAGCGGGUCGUUGGCUCCGUCGGAUGUAGACUCCAUCUCGACCGCCUCCACCCCUCGCGACACUGAGGACGCCUAGGUGGGAUCCCAAGAAGGGACCCAUCAGGGGGAGGCUCCGGAGGCGCCACAAGGCAUCCUCCCUGACUUUGCGCCGGACUCCAUAUCAGAACCCGCAGUGGUUCCGGAGUCCGGCCGGCGGCCCCUUCGCACGAAGGGCAAGACCGUGACGCCGGAGGCUUCCGUCCAACCAGAGGCGCCGGACAAUUUGUUGGAGGUGCUCCAGAGCGCUUCCAUCGAGGAAGAACACCGCACUAUUAUGAGUGCGGUGAUUCAGAAGGUACAACUCGCGAAGAGCGGGCUGACCGAAGCCUGCAGUAGCCUUCUAUCAGGCUUUGAGGUAAGAAGUUAAAAAUAUGCAAUGUAAUACCGCAUAGACAGUAGCCCCUGAUGCUCGGUUCGGUGUUCGGAAAGAAAAGCCGGACCGAGGAUCUGAAAAAAAAAAGAUAUACGCAGGGUUGCUAAAAAAUUAUGUCAAUAUGGGAUGCAGGCUGCGCUGCUGACCUCUGCCGCACUGACUGCAGAGGUCGGUGCUUUGAAGCAGGAGCUCGAGCGGUCCGAGCAAGAGCUCGGCCGCGCCAAGAAGCAGCUCCAGGACAAAGAAGGUGAGUAACACCACUUUGAACUUGUACCUUACAGAAAAGGAUUUAGGUUGCAACAAAAAAUAACAAGGAUAACAUGGGUACUGCAGGGGCCACGAACGAGGUGGCGACCGUGAAGGAGGCCGUGUCUGCAGCCGAACGCAAUGCGGCCGCGGAACGGGAAGAGCAAGAAAAGCAGGAGGCGCGGGUGGCGGUGGUUCAGCAAGAGCUCCAGGCUCUCAUGGAAAAGCAUGAGAGUUUGGAGCGUGAAUCGAAGACUCGAGAGUCCGAGCUUGCCUCGGCUCUCGAAAGUGCCAAUACUGCCAAGGCUGAUGCCCAUAAGUCCCUUCAGGAGAUUGAGUUGGUGAGGAAGAUAGCGGCGGGUAAGGCAUUUUUCAUGCAAAGCAAGCAUGUUAAUGUAAAUUACGUGUUACUUACCCGAAUUCGGAGCUCUCCAGGGGCGUUUGCAGAUCUGCCUCGCAGUGUGUCUGAUGCCACCGCAUUCUACCGAGCCGAGGAGGGGAGCUCAACAGAGAAGGUCUUCUGGUCUCAGUAUGCUGAGGCCGGCCAUCCGGUGCCCCCUAGCGACCAGCUGAAGCAGCUGGUCGAGCUCCACAAGGUGGCCGAGCAGGCCAUGAAGGGACUCAUAGUCCGGCUGUGGCCUGGAGAGGCCAUGCCUGGGAGCUACUUCGGUCUUGUGCGACGGUUGGUUGAUGCGUGCCCCUGGGUGGAGGUUAUCAAGCGCUCCGCCUGUAUUGAAGGUGCUCGUCGGGCCCUUGCCCGCGCAAAGGUGCAUUGGGGCAAGCUGGAUGCGGAGAAGCUAAUCACUGACGCGCCACCAGCGGGCAAGGAAUAUCGUACGCCCAAGAUGUACUAUAAGACUGUCCUGAAGGGUGCCCGCAAGAUUGUGGAUGAGUGCCCCAGGGAUGUAAUUAUUGAGUAAAUUCGCAAUGUGUUAUCCUGUGCGCUGAAAACUUUGUUCAUAUGCGCUAAGCAACGCUUGUUAAUUUAAAAUAUUACCUUCUGUGCGGCCGUUUAUUAAAUCUGAGAGAUGGCAAGUCGUCGGCUUCAGCCCCCAUGCCACGAGUGCUGGGGUGUUCGGGAUAAACUUGAGCACUCUUGUUCCCAUUUUUGGGUCCAUCUAGGGAGGCGCUCAACACAACGAACAAGGCAACCGGACUUAUAGUGCUUGAACACUCUCACUUAGCCAUAGAAUUCUAUAAUUUUAAAUUUCGGCGAAGCCCCUAGUAUUCGGAAGACCGAAUUAGGGGCGCUAUCCACGCCUUCGUCAGACAUUAUCCAGAACUUCGCUCGAAGCGGCGUAGGUCUUUAAGGACCCGAAAGGACCUCUCGAACAGCGACCAGUCUCUCGCCUUAUCAUGGCAGUCAAUUUUAGCUUUCUCCACUGUGGUGUUAACCCGGCUCAACCGGGGCGCAAUCGCAGUGGUUCUCCCAGUGCUUCCUUAGCCGAUAGAACGGAACGUAAGGUGCCAAACAUGGGAGCCGGGCAAACCCAACUAUUGACCCAAGAUAUGAUUCGGAGCCGAUUCAUAUAAUGCUAUAAGUUCGGGGUGCCGCACUUGUGGAAGUGUUCGGACUUUAUCACACCAUAAUGCGGGGAACAUAAGCCCCUGGUGUAUUUGGCUGUACCAAAAUGUACGGAUGCAACAUGUCGUAAAUGAACAUAUAUAUAUAUAUAAGGUAAUGCAAUUAUGGGCAAAAAGUGCUGCAUUUUAUUCUAGAAGAUCUGCUAUGAAUGCGGAAUGAUACAAAUAGUGCAGAAAGCAAGGGAUUGGACGAAUUAAAGGCGUCUCCCUCCAGGGGUAGGCCGCGGAAUGGUGUAUUUAACAAAUUUAAUGGUCGUAAUGGAGACCACCUGAGUGUUCGUCACGGCCUUUGUCCCUCCCUGACUGUUGCAUCAUGAGUUCGGCAGGUUCGCCGCCGGAGUUCUGUAUAAAAAAGAGAGAAAUAAAAGAUAAAAAAAGCGACACACUUGGGAGCCCCUCGUAUGGUCGAACCGCACUCUGGGUCUGUUGUGGUUGUGCCUCUCCCCCUAUGCCCAUGGUAUCUCCAGGGCGUAAUUAUGUACGCGGAUAGUUUGUCUUACAAUUGAGCGAGGGCUGGGGUUGAGGCCGCAUUGCUACGCGUGCUCGGAAUGUGCCAGGUGGUCUUGGUUGAUGUUGCUCCGGGCGCGUUUGGCCGUGUCCGGUCGUUUAACGGCCGGACUCGAAAAUUGCCUUAAAAGGCUGCUCUGUACUUCUGCCGCGAGAGCCGCUGUAUGUUCCUCCGUUCGGAGGGAGUGUUCCGUGUUUCCAUUGACCAUGAUGACUCCACGAGGGCCUGGCAUCUUGAGCUUAAGGUAUGCAUAAUGCGGCACCGCGUUGAAUUUUGCGAACGCGGUUCAUCCGAGCAGAGCGUGAUAGCCACUGCAGAACGGGACUAUGUCGAAGAUUAACUCCUCGCUUCGGAAAUUAUCCGGGGAUCCGAAGACCACUUCCAGUGUGACUGAGCCUGUACAAUUGGCCUCGACACCUGGUAUGACGCCUUUGAAGGUUGUCUUUGUAGGUUUAAUCCUUGAAGGGUCUAUGCCCAUCUUGCGCACUGUAUCUGGAUAAAGCAGGUUCAGGCUACUGCCACCGUCCAUCAGGACUCUCGUGAGGUGAAAUCCAUCAACGAUUGGGUCUAAAACCAAUGCGGCGAAUCCGCCAUGGCGGAUACUGGUCGGAUGGUCUCUUCGAUCGAAAGUGAUCGGGCAAGAGGACCAUGGGUUGAAUUUUGGGGCGACUGGCUCCAUCGCGUAUACGUCCCUUAGUGCACGCUUCCGCUCCCUCUUGGGGAUAUGCGUUGCGUAUAUCAUGUUUACCGUCUGAACUUGAGGGGGGAAUCCCUUUUGUCCUCUGUUGUUCGACGGCCGGGUCUCUUCCUCGUCAUCGCUGUGUAGCCCCUUGUCAUUGUUUUCGGCUAUUAAUUUGCCUGCCUGCUUGAAUACCCAACAAUCUCUGUUGGUGUGGUUAGCUGGCUUUUCGGGGGUUCCAUGUAUUUGACAGGAGCGGUCGAGUAUUUGGUCCAAAUGGGACGGGCCCGGAGUGGUUCUUUUGAAUGGCUUCUUCCGUUGACCGGGCUUGGAGCCUCGGAAUCCGGCGUUGACUGCCGUAUCCUCAUUGCUGUCGCCAUUAAUGCGGCGUUUGUUUUUGUUUUGACGCGACCUGCCAUUGCGGUCCUUGGUAUCCGGACUGCCAGCGUUUUUGCUGAGGUUGUUGCUACGAGCUAGCCAGCUAUCCUCUCCCGCACAGAAGCGGGUCAUGAGUGAUGUGAGGGCUGCCAUGGAUUUCGGCUUUUCCUGUCCUAGGUGCCGGGCUAGCCACUCGUCGCGGAUGUUAUGUUUGAAGGCAGCGAGGGCCUCUGCAUCCGGACAGUCGACGAUUUGAUUUUUCUUUGUUAAGAAUCAUGUCCAGAAUUUCCUGGCCGAUUCGUCUGGCUGCUGGAUUAUGUGGCUUAGGUCAUCUGCGUCCGGUGGUCGCACAUACGUGCCCUAGAAGUUGUCGAGGAAUGCGGCUUCCAAGUCUUCCCAGCAUCCAAUUGACUCUGCGGGCAGGCUGUUAAGCCAAUGCCGAGCUGGUCCUUUAAGCUUGAGCGGGAGAUAUUUGAUGGCGUGAAGAUCGUCGCUGCGGGCCAUGUGUAUAUGGAGGAGAUAAUCCUCAAUCCAAACCGCGGGGUCUGUUGUGCCAUCGUAGGAUUCGAUAUUAACGGGUUUAAACCCUUCAGGGAUUUGAUGAUCCAUUACUUCGUCAGUGAAGCAUAGUGGGUGUGCGGUGCCUCUGUAUUGAGCAAUAUCGCGACAUAGCUCGAUAGAGCGUUGUCUGCUGUGUUCGGCCCGGCCGGAGUAGUUGUAUCCGGCGCGACGGUAUUCGUCGUGGGUCUUGGGGCGCCCACGUGAUCCGUAGAUAGAUCUGGAUUGUCUUGCCUUGUCCUCCAUUAUAUCCCGCAAGUCUGGCACGUUCCCCCGUGGCUUCAUGCUUUUUGAGCGAUGCCGGGGUACGGUUUUGGUGGAGGGCUUGCACGCCUCUCUGUCGCGGCCACGAGGUGGUCGGUCUGCCGUAUUGUGCUCUGGUGAUGCAGGUUUGUACACUUCCUCCUCUAGUCGGGGGAGCAACUUGCGUUUUGGGUAACUUUUGGAGGGGCGUUCGAGUUCAUACUCUUCGGCCGCGAGGACCUCGGUCCAUCUGUCGGCCAGUAGGUCUUGAUCAGCUUGAAGCUGUUGCUGCUUUUUCUUUAGGCUGUUUGCCGUGGCCAUUAGCCUGCGUCCGAAACGCUCUUGUUCGACGGGAUCCUCAGGCACGACGAAUUCGUCGUCGUCGAGGCUUGCCUCGUCUCCGGAGGGAGGUAAGUAAUUAUCAUCCUCGACCUCUUCGUCUGCCGCCCUCUCGUGAGAGCUUGCUUCUGCCUCCUCCUGCGCUGGAUCGUGCUGGAGGGGGUUGUCUUCGGCACUUUCUGGGGUGUUAUUAUCUCCUGUGCCGGAAUCUCCAUUCUUGCUACGGAGGGAUUUAGAGCGGCGCCGCUGACGUUGGCGCUUGGGCUGUUUCUUUAAGGAAUCGGCCUCCGUUGCUUCUUCGCUGUCCCCAUCUUUUGGGGUGUCCACCAUGUAUAUGUCGUAUGACGAGGUGGUCUUCCAGUGUCCGGUAGGCACUGGUUCUUGAUAGUCUCCGGCAUCGUCGUCCAUAACGUCGAUGUCUUCGGAGUCGUAGUCGAGUACGUCGGUUAGAUCGUCGACGGUGGCUACGAAGUGGGUGGUGGGUGGGUUCUGAAUUUCUUUGUCGUCCACAUCCCAACCAUCCUGGCCGUAGUUCGGCCAGGGCUCUCCGGAUAGCGAGAGAUGCUUCAGCUAAUUUAAGAUAUCGCCGAAGGGUGAGUGCUGAAAGAUGUCCGCAGCGGUGAAUUCCAUGAUCGGCGCCAGAUCGGAUUCGACUGGCAGGGGCACAGGAGGUUCGGAGUCCGGCAGGGAGUCCGGCACCUCGGAGUCAUGAGCUUUAUGUGGGACAAGGUAAGUGUUCGGCUCCAUCGCUGUAGAAGUUGCUGCUCCCGAGGCGGUGUCCAGCCAUCCGUCCUCGAUCUAAGCGAUCCGCUACGGACUAUGGGUCGGAGCGGAUUCGUGUGCGGCCUCCAAGGUGCUAUCCGGCGGCAGAGUUAGGCCGUGCCCAUCAUGACAGCGCGGCACGCUCGGCUGUGGCUCGGAUCCAUCGAAGAUCAAGUCCCCGUGGACAUCGGCCAUGAAGUUUAUGCUUCCAAACCAGACCUGACAGCCAGGGGCGUAGCUUUCGAUCUGCUCCAGAUGGCCAAGUGAGUUGGCUCGCAGUGCGAAGCCGCUGAAUACAAAGAUCUGUCCGGGGACAAAAGUCUCACCCAGGACUGCGUCGUUGUCGAUUGAAGAGGCCAUCAAGCCUAUCGGUGACGACACGGAGGAACUCUCAAUGAAAGAACCAAUGUCGGUGUCAAAACCGGCGGAUCUCGGGUAGGGGGUCCCGAACUGUGCGUCUAGGCGGAUGGUAACAGGAGACAAGGGACACGAUGUUUUACCCAGGUUUGGGCCUUCUUGAUGGAGGUAAAACCCUACGUCCUGCUUGAUUGAUAUUGAUAUUGUGGAUGUUUACAAGAGUGGAUCUACCACGAGAUCAAGGUGGCUAAACCCUAGAAGCUAGCCUAUGGUAUGAUUGUAAUGGUUGUUAUUGUUGUGUCCUACGGACUAGAGCCAUCCGGUUUAUAUAGACACCGGAGAGGGCUAGGGUUACAUAGAGUCGGUUACAAUGGUAGGAGACUACAUAUCCGUAUCGCCAAGCUUGCCUUCCACGCCAAGGAAAGUCCCAUCCGGACACGGGACGAAGUCUUCAAUCUUGUAUCUUCAUAGUCUUGGAGUCCGGUCGAUGAUGAUAGUCUGGCUGAUGAUAGUAAUCCGGCUAUCCGGACACCCCCUAAUCCAGGACUCCCUCAGCAAGCAAUAGAGAAUAAAUGGAUUUUCAAGAAGAAGACUGACACUGACGGUAAUGUUACUGUUUACAAAGCUCGACUUGUUGCAAAAGGUUUUCGACAAGUUCAAGGAGUUGACUAUGAUGAGACCUUCUCACCCGUAGCGAUGCUUAAGUCUGUCUGAAUCAUGUUAGCAAUCGCCGCAUUUUAGGAUUAUGAAAUAUGGCAGAUGGAUGUCAAAACUGCAUUUCUGAAUGGAUUUCUGGAAGAACAGUUGUAUAUGAUGCAACCGGAAGGUUUUGUCGAUCCUAAGGGAGCUAACAAAGUGUGCAAGCUCCAACGAUCAAUCUAUGGUCUGGUGCAAGCCUCUCGGAGUUGGAAUAAACGCUUUGAUAGUGUGAUCAAAGCAUAUGGUUUUAUACAGACUUUUGGAGAAGCCUGUAUUUACAAGAAAGUGAGUGGGAGCUCUGUAGCAUUUCUAAUAUUAUAUGUGGACGACAUAUUAUUUAUUGGAAAUGAUAUAGAAUUUCUGGAUAGCAUAAAAGGAUACUUGAAUAAAAGUUUUUCAAUGAAGGACCUCAGUGAAGCUGCUUACAUAUUGGGCAUCAAGAUCUAUAGAGAUAGAUCAAGACGCUUGAUUGGACUUUCACAAUGCACAUACCUUGAUAAAGUCUUGAAAAAGUUCAAUAUGGAUCAGGCAAAGAAAGGGUUCUUGCCUGUAUUACAAGGUGUAAGAUUGAGUCAGACUCAAUGCCCGACCACUGCAGAAGAUAGAGAGAAAAUCAAAGGAGUUCCCUAUGCUUCAGCCAUAGGCUCUAUCAUGUAUGCAAUGCUGUGUACCAGACCUGAUGUGUGCCUUGCUAUUAGCUUAGCAGGGAGGUACCAAAGUAAUCCAGGAGUGGAUCACUGGACAGCGGUCAAGAAUAUCCUGAAAUACCUGAAAAGGACUAAGGAUAUGUUUCUCUUUUAUGGAGGUGACAAAGAGCUUGCCGUAAAGGGUUACGUCGAUGCAAGCUUUGACACUGAUCCGGACGAUUCUAAAUCGCAAACCGGAUACGUAUUUUUAUUAAACGGUGGAGCUGUAAGUUGGUGCAGUUCUAAACAAAGCGUUGUGGCGGGAUCUACAUGUGAAGCGGAGUACAUAGCUGCUUCGGAAGCAGCAAAUGAAGGAGUCUGGAUGAAGGAGUUCAUUUCCGAUCUAGGUGUUAUACCUAGUGCAUCGGGACUAAUGAAGAUCUUCCGUGACAAUACUGGUGCAAUUGCCUUGGCAAAGGAAUCCAGAUUUCACAAGAGGACCAAACACAUCAAGAGACGCUUCAAUUCCAUUCGGGACCAAGUCCAAGUGGGAGACAUAGAGAUUUGCAAGAUACAUACGGAUCUUAAUGUUGCAGACCCAUUGACUAAGCCUCUCUCACGAGCAAAACAUGAUCAGCACCAAGACUCCAUGGGUGUUAGAACCAUUACUGUGUAAUCUAGAUUAUUGACUCUAGUGCAAGUGGGAGACUGAAGGAAAUAUGCCCUAGAGGCAAUAAUAAAGUUAUUAUUUAUUUCCUUAUAUCAUGAUAAAUGUUUAUUAUUCAUGCUAGAAUUGUAUUAACCAGAAACAUAAUACAUGUGUGAAUACAUAGACAAACAGAGUGUCACUAGUAUGCCUCUACUUGACUAGCUCGUUAAUCGAAGAUGGUUAUGUUUCCUAACCAUAGACAUGAGUUGUCAUUUGAUUAACGGGAUCACAUCAUUAGGAGAAUGAUGUGAUUGACUUGACCCAUUCCGUUAGCUUAGCACUUGAUCAUUUAGUAUGUUGCUAUUGCUUUCUUCAUGACUUAUACAAAGUUCCUGCAACUAUGAGAUUAUGCAACUCCCGUUUACAGGAGGAACACUUUGUGUGCUACCAAACGUCACAACGUAACUGGGUGAUUAUAAAGGUACUCUACAGGUGUCUCCAAAAGUAUAUGUUGAGUUGGCAUAAUUCGAGAUUAGGUUUUGUCACUCCGAUUGUCGGAGAGGUAUCUCUGGGCCUUCUCGGUAAUACUCAUCACCUAAGCCUUGCAAGCAUUGUAACUAAUGAGUUAGUUAUGAAAUGAUGUAUUACGGAACGAGUAAAGAGACUUGCCGGUAACGAUAUUGAACUAGGUAUUGGAUACCGACGAUCGAAUCUCGGGCAAGUAACAUACCGAUGACAAAGGGAACAACGUAUGUUGUUACACGGUUUGACCGAUAAAGAUCUUCGAAGAAAAUGUAGGAACCAAUAUGAACAUCCAGGUUCCACUAUUGGUUAUUGACCGAGAAUAGUUCUAGGUCAUGUCUACAUAGUUCUCGAACCCGUAGGGUCCGCACGCUUAACGUUACGAUGACAGUUUUAUGAGUUUUGAUGUACCGAAGUUUGUUCGGAGUCCCGGAUGUGAUCACGGACAUGACGAGGAGUCUCGAAAUGGUCGAGACAUAAAGAUUUAUAUAUUGGAAGCCUAUGUUUGGACUUCGGAAUAGUUCCGGGUGAAAUCGGGAUUUUACCGGAACACCGGGGGGUUACCGGAACCCUCCUGGGGGUUAAUGGGCCUUUGUGGGCCAUGAGGGAGAAGAGGAGGGCCGGCCAGGGCAGGUCGCGCGCCCCCUCCCCCCCUAGUCCGAAUAGGACAAGGAAGGGGGGGGGGGCGGAGCCCCCCUUUCCUCUUUCCCUCCCCCAAGUCCUAAUCCAACAUGGAAAAGGGGGGGAGUCCUACUCCCGGUGGGAGUAGGACUCCUCCCCCGCGCCUCCUCCUAGGGCCGGCCGCACCCCCCUUUGCUCCUUUAUAUACGGGGGCAGGGGGGCACCCUAGAACACACAAGUUGAUCUACGGUUCGUUCCUUAGCCGUGUGCGGUGCCCCCCUCCACCAUAUUCCACCUCGGUCAUAUCGUCGCGGAGUUUAGGCGAAGCCCUGCGCCGGUAAAGCAUCAUCAUCGUCACCAUGCUGUCGUGCUGACGGAACUCAUCCCCGACACCCUGCUGGAUCGGAGUCCGGGGAUCAUCAUCGAGCUGAACGUGUGCUGAACACAGAGGUGCCGUACGUUCGGUACUUGGAUCGGUAGGAUCGUGAAGACGUACGACUACAUCAACCGCGUUCUCAUAACGCUUCCGCUUUCGGUCUAUGAGGGUACGUGGACACACUCUCCCCUCUCGUUGCUAUGCAUCAUCAUGAUCUUGUGUGUGCGCAGGAAUUUUUUUGAAAUUACUGCGUUCCUCAACAGCGUGAACCUGCUAGGCUUCUUGGGUGUGUAUGGGAAGACAAAAGAUACACCAAAGGCACGGGAGGAUUAGAAAUGUGUGCACGAAAAAUACGUCAUGCAUCGAAAGCACUAUGAAGGUCCUGCCAGCUACGCUCUUACCAAAGAAGAGAAGGAAAUCUUCUUUGAAUGCCUGCUCAGUAUGAGGGUCUCCUCUGGCUUCUCGUCCAAUAUAAAGGGAAUAAUAAAUAUCCCAGAGAAAAUGUUCCGGAACCUAAAGUCUCAUGACGUCCACGUGAUUAUGAUGCAACUGCCAGAAAAUGUUCGAUUAGCCAUUGUGAAGCUAUGUGCAUUCCUCAAGGGAAUCUCUCAAAAGGUAAUCGAUCCAGAAAUCCUACCAAGGUUAAGGAGUGAUUUGGUGCAAUGUCUUGUCAGUUUUGAGAUGGUGUUCCCACCAUCCUUCUUCAAUAUCAUGACGCACGUCCUAGUUCAUCUAGUCGACGAGAUUGCCAUUCUGGGCCCUGUAUUUCUACACAGGAUGUUCCCCUUUCAGAGGUCAUGAGAAUUUAAAGAAAUAUGUUCGUAACUGUGCUAGGCCAGAAGGAAGCAUCUCCAUGGGCCGGCAAAUAGGGGAGGUCAUUGGGUUUUGAGUUGACUUCAUUCCUGAACUUAAGCCGAUUGGUCUCCUUUAGUCGCGGUAUGGGGGGAGACUGACUGGAAAAGGAACACUAGGACCGGAAGGGAUGGGCAUGCUUGGUCUCAAGCACACUACAUAGUUCUACAGAAUUCUACCUUGGUGACCCCGUAUGUCAAUGAACACAAGAAUGUUCUGUGCUCCAAACACCUGAAGCAGUGUGACGACUAGAUUACAUGUGAACACAUCAGAACUUUCGACAGUUGGUCAAACACAUCUCAUGGGUGACACCAUGAUAUGUCUCCAACGUAUCUAUAUUUUUUUGAUUGUUCCAUGUUGUUUUAUUAUCAAUCUUGGAUGUUUUAUAAUCAUUUUAUAUCAUUUUUGGUCCUAACCUAUUGACAUAGUGCCAAGUGCCAGUUGCUGUUUUUUCCUUGUUUUUUACAUCGCAAAAAGUCAAUACCAGAGGGAGUCCAAAUGCCACGAAACUCCAUGAUGAUUUUUUAUGGGCCAGAAGGAAAAUGUUGGGCCCUGGUUGCACCUCGGGGGAGUCCCGAGGAGGGGUGGCCCAGGCGCGCCCUGGUGGGUUGUGCCCACCUCGGGUGCCCCCGGACCGCCUCUUUGCUCUAUAAAUACCCCAAUAUUCCAGUAGCCCUAGGAGCAUCAACGAUAUAUUCAUCCAGCCGCCAUAGGGUCCAGAACCACCAGAUCCAAUCUAGAAACCAUCUCAGAUGGGGUUCACCACCUCCAUUGGUGCCUCUCUGAUGAUGCGUGAGUAGUUCUUUGUAGAUCUUCGGGUCCGUAGUUAGCAGCUAGAUGUCUUUCUCUCUCUUGCUGAAUUCUCAAUACAACAGUCUCUUGGAGAUCCAUAUGAUGUAACUCAUUUUGCGGUGUGUUCGUUGGGAUCUGAUGAACUUUGCGUUUAUGAUCAGUCAUAUCUUUUUAUAUCCAUGAAAGUUAUUUGAGUUUCUUUGAUCUCUUAUAUGCAUGAUCUCUUAUAGCUCCGAUAUUUGGGUUUUGUUUGGCCAACUUGAUCUAUUUAUCUUCCAAUUGGAAGAGGUGCCCGGUAGUGGGUUCGAUCUUACGGUGCUUGAUCCCAGUGACAGAAAGGGAACCGACGCGUAUGUAUCAUUGCUACCAAGGAUAAUAAGACAAGAUCCAUAUCUAACGCAAUGGAUAAACAGAUCUUGUCUACAUCAUGUCAUCGUUCUUAUUGCAUUAUUCCAUUUUUUCAUGAACUUAAUACACUAGAUGCAUGCUGGAUAGCGGUCGAUGUGUGGAGUAAUAGUAGUAGAUGCAGGCAGGAGUCAGUCUUCUAAUCUUGGAUGUGAUGCCUGUGUAAUGAUCAUUGCCUGGAUAUCAUCAUAAUUAUUUGAGGUUCUAUCAAUUGCCCAACAGUAAUUUGUUUACCCACCGUUUUCUAUCUUUCUCGAGAGAAGCCACUAGUGAAACCUACGGCCCCCGGGUCUUCUUUCUCGUAUAGUUGCCUUGCGAUCUACUUUGCCUUUGCGUUUUUAUUCAGAUCUACUAAAUCAAAAAAAUACAAAAAUACCUUGCUGCAAUUUAACUUUGUUUAUUUUAUUUGUCGUUCGAUCUAUCCAUUUACUACAAAAUUAUCUCACGUUCGUUUGCCACUUGAGGCACCAUACCCAGAAAGGGAUUGACAACCCUUUUAACACGUCGGGUUGCAAGGAUUUAUUGUCUGUGUCCAGGGUCUGUUUACGUUGUGUUGCUUGGUUCUCCUACUGGUUCAAUAACCUUGGUCUCAUCUGAGGGAAAUACCUACCACCGCUGUGCCGCAUCACCCCUUCCUCUUUGGGGAAAUACCGAUGUAGCUUCAAGCAACAUCAAAAGGAAUUUCUGGCGCCAUUGCCAGGGAGAAUCUUCAACAUAACCAGGUUCCUAAUCACAAAUCUCAUCUCCUCGCAAUUUACAUUAUUUGCCAUUGCCUCUCAUUUUCCACUCCCCCGCUUCACAAAAUUUUUCCAUUCUAUUUGCCUCUCUUUUCCGUUCGCCCUUUUCUUGCCAGAUCUGUUUUUGUAUGCAUUCUCGAUUGCCGUUAUGGAUAGUUCUUCCUCUAUUGUUUGCACUCCUGAGGACGAAGUCCUCAACUUUAAACAAAGGGGAGGAGAAAAUUUAAAAGAUGCUUGGUAUAGAAUUUGCAAUGCUCAUAAUAGAUCUAUCCGUAGGCAAUCUACCGUUGUGCUUCUAUGUUGUUUUUAUGUUGGCAUCACCACUUGGUAUAGAUUCGUGCUUGAUACGAUUACCGGUCGCAAUUUCUUAACGAUUCCUCCUUUUCAUGCUCUUAAUGCUAUGGGAAAUUUAGUGGGCUCACCACCUCUUAUGGUUAAUGAAACAAUUUUGACUCUUGAGCAUGUUAUGGAAAGAUUAGAUGCUAUCGAAAAUAAAAUGCUCACCGAAGAUCAUAUGGAAAUCAUACAUAAAAAGAUCCAUAAUUUUGCUACUAAUCUUUGGUCAAAAGCAGGCGAUAUUUUUAAGUUGUUAAAAGAGAGGGGUACCUUAAUCCAGGAAAGAAUACAAGAAAGUCCAUCUUGGAUCGAUAAAUUGGAAGAAAUCUUUAGUAAUCUAAGCAUGGCUUUUACUACCACUAAAAUUAUUGACGAAACUCCUAUGAAGAGUAAAAUAUCCAAGAACAAGGGUGCAACUCCUAGUGAUAGCAAUAAAGGAGAUCUUAAGAUGAUUAGUAUCCACCCUGAUUUUGUUGAAGUGAUAAGAGAUCAUUUUUGCAAGAAUGAAAUACUUAAAUUUACCCCUAGAAGUAUUGCUAUUGAAGGUCUUUAUGUUAAAUCCUUAAAGGAUUCUAAGUGUUUGAUUGAAGAGUUGGACAAAGAUGACAAAACUUAGAUCCUCGCUUUAUGCCUAGCUAAGGGCGUAAAACAAUAGCGCUUGUUGGGAGGCAACCCAAUGAAUGACAUUUACUUUUGCUUUUUGCGUUCUGUUCUUGAGUUUUAACACAAUCAUGCUAAUGUUGUGAUUGUAUUUUUUGUGUUUUAGUUAGUGAUUGUUCCAAGUAGAACCGAAUAGAUCAUCUUGGGUGAUAGUUGUUUGAUCUUGCUGAAAAAGAAAGAAACUUUGCGCUCACGAAAAAAGUUCUUAUUUUUAAUCAGAAAGAGGUUUUGCCCUGAUUCUUUUUUCAGAAGAUUAAUAUACAAAUUUCCCAGGUCUUCAUAUAAUUUUCAGAUUUUUUCGAGUUCCAGAAGUUUUCGUUUAAGUCAGAUUAGUACAGAAUGUUCUGUUUUGACAGAUUCUGUUUUCUUUGUGUUGUGUGCUUAUUUUGAUGGCUCUAUGGUUUUCUUUGAUAACUUUUUCCAUAGGAAAGUUGGAAUACAGUAGAUAUAAUACAAAAACAAAAUAUGAAUUUGUUUAAUACAGUAAUUAUAGUAGUGGUUUACUUUUGUUCACUAGCGGAUCUUGCGGAGGUUUUGUUGAGUUCUGUGUGAUUGAAGUUCUCAAGUUUUGGGUUAUCUUACGAUGGAUCAAGGAAGGAUGGAAGAGCCUAAGAUUGGGGAUGCCCCGGCAUCCAAAGCUAUUAUCCAAAAAUGAGCAACCAACUAAGCUUGGGGAUGCCCCCGAGUGGCAUCCCCGCUUUCUUCCAACAACUAUCGGUAUUUUACUCGAGGCUAUAUUUUUACUCGCCACAUGAUGUGUGUUUUGCAUGGAGCGUCCUGUAUGAUAUGAGUGUUUGCUUGUUUUAUUUUGUGUUUUAAGUUAUCAAUCCUUGCUGGACACACAUAUUUGAGAAAGCGAAAAUUAUGCCAUGACUUGUUAGAAUUUCUCUCUAUGCUUCACUUAAAUCUUUUAUGAGCUAGGACAUGCUCUAGUGGUUCACUUAUAUCUUUUUGAGCAUGGUGUGCUUAGUAUUUUUGAAGAAAUGCUCUCUUGCUUCACUUAGAUUUAUUUGAGAGUCAGUAAAGUUUUGAAGAAAUUCUCUCUUGCUUCACUUAAAUUAUUUUCAGAGAAAGAAAAUUUGUUAUGGUCAUGAUCUUCACUUAUAUUUGUUUGAGCUUAUGAAAAGCAACACAUGAAAAUUAGUCCUAAAGUGAUAGAUAUCCAAGAAGGAUAAAGAAAUAAAAAAAUACAAUGUCAUGAAGACUAUUGGACAAAAUAAACUUGAUUCUUGGUAAUAGUUUUGAGAUAUGAUGAUGUGAUAUGUGAGUUAUGUUGAUGAGUAAUUGUGCUCUUGUAAGAAUAUUGGUGUUAAGGUUUGUGAUUCCCUAUGCAUGCACGAAUGUCAAUAAUCAUGCAAUGAAAAUUAUAUCCUACUUGUGGUGCAUUAUUCGGUGUUACUUAUGAUUAAUGCUUGCUUAUGAAAUUAUUCGUUUCUUGGUUGGUCGCUUCUUAUUUUUUUGCUAGCCUUCAUUUUGCACUAACUGUGACCUCUACUUGUGCAUCCAAAAUCCUUUAAACCAGUUUUGCCACAUGAGUCCACUAUAUAUACCUAUAUGCGGCAUUCCUUUGCCGUUCUAAGCAAAUUUGCAUGGGUCGUCUCUAAUUUUCAAAAAAAUACUUCUCUUUUAUGUGUUUGUUUCGCUCGCGGAGCGGUGAAGGGUGGCUAAUAUUUUCCAUGCUAGAUGUGUUAUUCUCAAGAUGAAUGUUUAUUCACUUGUCAUUGCAUGAGAGUAAGGCAACGUUCUUAGGGAUGCCCAGUCCAGAAAUGCAAAAAAAUGAAUGUACUUUAUGUUGUCAAAUAAUAAAUUCCUUUGAAAGUGUUGGUAUGGAAGGCAACCGUGGAUUCGGCUAGCCAUGGAAAGUGAAAGUAUGGUGGAAAAAGGAAUAAACUUUAUUUUCUGUUUGGGAACCGCCUAUGGCAUAUCUAGCAUGGAAAGUGUUCGGAAUUCUAAGUCGUUUUCGUUGGUGGGAUGGAUACACCUCCCAAAAUGUUUUUAUCUCUAAGUUUUUCGCUUUGAGCUCUGGCACCUCUACAAAUCCCUACUUCCCGCUGCGAAGGGCCUUUCUUUUACUUUAUGCAAAAAAGAUUGAACUUGAGUCUCCAUCCUCUCUUAUAAAAUCACCAACUAGGAGGCAAUAUGAUCGUACUCAAGUAUUGGGUGUAGCUAAUAUUUGAGUGUGUCUCAUGAAUGGAUCAAUGUUUGAGCAUGAUGGGCUAGGGAUAACUUAUUUUAGCAUUGAUAUUUUGAAAGACACGGUUGCUUGUUGAUAUGCUUGAGUAUCUAAAUUAUCGUGUCAAAACUAGACUAUUGCUUUGAAUCACAUAAAAGUCCAAAUGUACAUGAUAUAAAGAAAGAAUAUGAUAUGACAUGAUAAACAGCACUCCACAUCAAAAAAAAUUGUUUUUAUCACUUACCUACUCGAGGAUGAGUAGGAGUUAAGCUUGGGGAUGCUGAUACGUCUCCAAUGUGUCUAUAAUUUUUUAUAGUUCCAUGCUAUUUUAUUAUCAAUCUUGGAUGUUUCAUAAUCAUUUUAUAGUCAUUUUAUAUCAUUUUUGUUACUAACCUAUUGACAUAGUGCCAAGUGCCAGUUGUUGUUUUCCCAUGUUUUUUACAUCACAGAAAAUCAAUACCAGACGGAGUCCAAAUGCCACGAAACUCCACGAUGAUUUUUAUGGGACAGAAGGAAGAUGUUGUUGGGGAACAUAGUAAUUUCAAAAACAAUCCUACGCACACGCAAGAUCAUGGUGAUGCAUAGCAACGAGAGGGGAGAGUGUCGUCCACGUACCCUCGUAGACCGUAAGCGGAAGCAUUAUGACAACGCGGUUGAUGUAGUCGUACGUCUUCAUGAUCCGACUGAUCCAAGUACCGAACACACGGCACCUCUGAGUUCAGCACACGUUCAGCUCGGUGACGUCCCAGGAACUCCGAUCCAGCAAAGUGUCAAGGACGAGUUUCGUUAGCACGACGGUGUGAUGACGGUGAUGAUGAAGCUACCGAUGCAGGGCUUCGCUUAAGCACCGCUACAAUAUGACCGAGAUGGAUUAUGGUGGAGGGGGGCAUCGCACACGACUAAAAGAUCAAUGAUCAACUUGUGUGUCUAUGGGGUGCCCCCUCCCCAGUAUAUAAAGGAGUGGAGGAGGGGAAGGGGCCGGCCCACCAAGGCGCGCCCCAAGGGUAGUCCUACUCCCACCGGGAGUAGGACUGCAGCCCUUCCAAGAGUAGGAGUAGGAGAGAGGGAAGGAGGAGAGAGGGGGAAGGAAAGGGGGCGCCCCCCCUCCUUGUAAAAUUUGGACUAGAGGGGGAGGGGUCGCUUGUCCUUCCUAGGCCGCCCCUCUUAUUCUCCACUAAGGCCCAAAUAGACCCAUUACACUCCCCGGGGGUUCCAGUAACUCCCCUGUACUCCGGUAUUUGUCUGAACUUGCCCGGAACUCUUCCGAAGUCCAAACAUACUCAUCCAAUAUAUUGAUCUUUAUGUCUCGACCAUUUCGAGACUCCUCUUCAUGUCCGUGAUCAUAUCCGGGACUCCGAACUACCUUUUAUAUAUCGAAACACAUAAACUCAUAUUACCGAUCGUCACCGAAUGUUAAGCGUGCGGACCCUACGGGUUUGAGAACUAUGUAGACAUGACCCAGACUCAUCUCCGGUCAAUAACCAAUAGCGGAACCUGGAUGCUCAUAUUGGCUCCUACAUAUUCUACGAAGAUCUUUAUCGGUCAAACCGAAUAACAUCAUACAUUGUUCCCUUUGUCAUUGGUAUGUUACUUGCCCGAGAUUUGAUAGUUGGUAUCUCAAUACCUUGUUCAAUCUCGUUACCGGCAAGUCUCUUUACUCGUUCCAUAAUACAUCAUCAUGCAACUAACUCAUUAGUUGCAUUGCUUGUAAGGCUUAUAGUGAUGUGCAUUACCGAGAGGGCCCAGAGAUACCUCUCCGACAAUUGGAGUGACAAAUCCUAAUCUCAAUCUAUGCCAACCCAACAAGUACCUUCGGAGACACCUGUAGAGCACCUUUAUAAUCACCCAGUUACGUUGUGACGUUUGGUAGCACACAAAGUGUUCCUCCGGUUGUCGGAAGUUGCAUAAUCUCAUAGUCAUAGGAACAUGUAUAAGUCAUGAAGAAAGCAAUAGUAAUAUGCUAAAUGAUCAAAUGCUAAGCUAACAUAAUGGGUCAAGUCAAUCACAUCAUUCUCUAAUGAUGUGAUCCCGUUAAUCAAAUGACAACUCAUGUCUAUGGCUAGGAAACUUAACCAUCUUUGAUUCAACGAGCUAGUCAAGUGGAUGCAUACUAGUGACACUUAGUUUGUCUAUAUAUUCACACAUGUACUAAGUUUCUGGUUAAUACAAUGCUAGCAUGAAUAAUAAACAUUUAUCAUGAUAUAAGGAAAUAUAAAUAACAACUUUAUUAUUGCCUCUAGGGCAUAUUUUGUCAGAUGUUGGGCCCUGGUUGCACCCGCGGGGAGUCCCGAGGAGGGGACAACCCACCAGGGCACGCCAGGAGGCUCGGGCGCGCCCUGGUGAGUUGUUCCCACCUCAGGUGCCCCCCGGACCCGCCUCUUUGCUCUAUAAAUACCCCAAUAUUCCAGAAACCCUAGGAGGGUCGACGAAAUAUUCAUCCAGCCACCACAGAGUCCAGAACCACCAGAUCCAAUCUAGAGACCAUCGCGGGUGGGGUUCACCACCUCCAUUGGUGGCUCUUCGAUGAUGUGUGAGUAGUUCUUUGUAGACCUUCGGGUCCGUAGUUACUAGCUAGAUGGCUUUCUCUCUCUCGUUGAAUUCUCAAUACAAUGGUCUCUUGGAGAUCCAUAUGAUGUAACUCUUUUUGCGGUGUGUGCUACCUCUUGAGCACUGCGUUGGCUUCCCCUUGAAGAGGAAAGGGUGAUGCAGCAAAGUAGCGUAAGUAUUUCCCUCAAUUUUUGAGAACCAAGGUAUCAAUCCAGUAGGAGGCUCCUCAAAAGUCCCACGCACCUACACAAACAAACAAGAACCUCGCAACCAACGCGAUAAAGGGGUUGUCAAUCCCUUCACUGUAACUUGCAGAAGUGUGAUUUGAUAGAGAUAAUAAGAUAAGAUAAAUAUUUUUGGUAUUUUCAUGAUAUAGAUUGGAAAGUAACACUACUAGGGAAAACCCUAGUAGUAGCGCGGGUUUAAAGCCCACUAGUAGCGCGUGUUGCCGCGCUACUAAUAAGGCGCUACAGCUAUUACUUAGCAGUAGCGCGUGUGACACGCGCUACAGCUAAGAGACAUAGCGGCAGCGCUUGUUCACACCCGCGCUGCUGCUAAUCUAGCUACUUGCAGCGUGUUUACUGUCCAUCUGUACAAGUAUUUUUUUAGUGUAUUUAUCCGCCGUUAUACAAAUUUUGGUACAAUACCAAUUAUGAGGUUUAUAUCAUUAUGUCUAUAACAGUGUGUCAAAUGAAGGUGGAUUAGGUUCAAGUGGAGGCAAUAUGUGGUGCAUGUCAAAAGUAUACUACUAAUCCAAACUUGAUCUAGUUUGGACUAGUAGUACUUUCGAUGUGCACCACAUGUUUCCUCCACUUGAAUCGAAUCCGCCAACACAAGCUAUUUAAUCAUCAUCAUAGUCAUUAGCACCAACAGUAUUUAUUUAAUCACCACUAACACUAGCUCAUAAUAAUCAUCAUAGUCAUUACCACCAACACUAGCUAUUUAAUCAUCAUAGUCAUAGUGUAGCACAUCAUCAUCUUUAAACUCAUUUCUAGCUAGCUAAUCACUCCUGCUGCUCUCUCUCAGGUAAAAUAACAUAAAACAUGUGUAGCUCUCCUCCUUCAUCAAGUUGGAGCAUGCAGAUGAACCUAUCUAUCAAUCAUGGGCUGCGCUUCUAAUUGCUGCCCCUAGUACUUGUCUGCGCUCCUCCAUCACAGAUUUGGUUCAGUCAUUCACUUUUAAGAAUUCGUCGCUAAUCCUGAAUGCACUAUAGUGAUUUGUAGGAUAUAUUGGCCGUAAGCUAACAAUACUCAUGGUACCUUGAGUCUCGAUCCCAUAAGGCACAACAUUCAUCGGGAGUCCCUGUUGAAGAACAUCGUAUGGUAACAUACUUAGCAAUGAAUUUUAGCUUAAAAAAUAAUGUAUGGAAAAGAUGCACUGAGGACAGAUAGUAAAAAUCUUACCAUCUUUCCUAAAUAGAUGUGACCGUAGUUCAUACGAACACUAUUGGUCGCACGUUUUCAGUACUAACAUUUCUAAAUCCAGGAAGAAAAUUUGUCUUGACCGUAUCAAGAUCGCCAAGCCAUGAAACAUAAUGACUUAGCUCCUCGCAGUUUAGUUCAGCCCCGACAUAGUAGUAGGUCCUGUCUACCAAGCGCUGGACAUGUUUGCUUGAACGGAAAUAAGAUCACAAUAGAAAUUAGUUGUCAACUAUUUUUGAAUAAACAAUAUCAAAGACAUAAAUAUGAUUGAGAAACUCACAUAAUGGUAUAACUGGAGGCAUCUGCACAUUGACCCAGAUGUCGGUAUUACCUUCAAUAUCAUCUUCCAGACAAAUAUCAAAGGUGAUAACCAUAUCAGGAUCAAAUGCAUAAGUCUUGCAUGGUGCUCGCCAUGUUUUGCAUCCAAAAUAGGUGUAGUCGUCUGAAUUGUAUAAUUUUGCAUGGAAAAUAUAACCAUGCUCGCUCUUCAAGUAAACUUUCUUUACCUCCAUAGUACGUCUGAAACCUAUCUUAUCCAAUACAAAAACUCUUGUAUGGCAGGGGAUACGCUAGUAGAAUAGUAAAAAAAAUUAUAAGUUGAAGCAAAUGAAGCAGAUGUCAUGCUUAAUUACGAAAAAAUACUUGUCGUUGUGACUUACUGUAUCCACUUCGAAGUUCUCGUCCAGCUUGAUGCUGAAGCGCCUAUCAUCAUCUAGCAAGAUUCCGUCGCACAUGCCGCGCUCGUCUUCGCAGUAUUUGCAAAUACCGAAAUCCUUUUCGUCGUCAGACAUUUCCUAUGUUCAUAGUUGAAACAUUAAUUGAAAAUCGAUCGAAGAAAAUCUGGGGAACUCGAUAUUUCCUACAUAUUCUGGCACAUGUCAUGCCAAAAUUCACGAAUAAAUCUGGCAUGACCUUUUCUUAAAUAGGACAUAUCGAGCGCCUUAAAUUUGCCGGAACGGAAAUGAAUCAACACUCUGGCAAAAUAUAGGCCACUCGGAGGUGUAACCUGCAAACAUGACCGACCACUUGGGCAAGCACAUAUCCUAUUUGAGCAACACAAGAUAUACAUUUCAAAAUAUCUUAUAGGACUCAAAUUAGCAUGCAUUCGAUAAGCAAAUUAAAUCAUCUCAUGCGUCUGUACAUCGUCGAAUAUUAUCACUAAUACAUCCCAAAUAGUAUCAUACAUAUAACAUUACUAAUACAACUAAAACCCUAGAGCACGAUGGGUAUCGGCACGGGCGGUGGAUAACCACAGAGAAGGAACCAUCACAGGAUCAUAGCUCCAGUGAGAUCCCUGGAGAACCUGCCAGGUAUUGGAGAACCUGUGCUCCAACGCAAACAAGUAGCGACGGACGUGUGCGUCCUCCUCACUGACAUGGUGACGCACCACCUCCGCGGGGUCCUCGAGCCUCUGGACCGUCACUGGCCCACGCGACCACCACCAAAGAAGGUUCGGGUCAAUGACAGGCUGGCUCCUCACCAACCUGCGCCCCCCGGUAGGUAGCGCCUCCCAGUACCACCCCGGUGGAGCCCAGUCUCGGACAUGGCUCAUCUGGUCAAGCAGGUGUCGUGCUCCGCCGACUCGAUGACGAGGAUGCAAGAUAGGCAUCGUCCAUGUCGAUGCGGGAAAAAAUGCUUUAACUAAAAAAUAGCAACAAGUUCUUACUAACUAGUUCUAUUAAUUCAACUAGUUCUUACUAAAAAUAAACUUACUAUAAACAAAAAUAAACUAGUACCUAAUUAGUACCUUGUUCUUACAAACUAAUUAGUACCUAGGAACUACUGCCCUAAUUACCAUCUAAUUUGAUGAACCUAGGGGUGGAAAGUGGUAGCGGAUAUUCCAAUUAUCCAACUUAAAAGUGAAAUAAGUGGUCAAAUUUUACUCGUUUUAUUAUGCAUUACAGUAGUGUUUAUUCAUCAUCUAAGAAAACAUCAUCUAAGAAAACAUUCCAGUCGCAUUUGUAUCCAAUUCAUUUCCACCCAUAGAUGAACCCGAACUAAUUUGAUGCAGGCGUGCUCACCUCGGUGCCUGCGGCGAGAGAGGGGCAGGCGGCGUCGAGGUUGGGGUCGGGGCUCGGGCACGCGACGGAGGGCGGCGUUGAGGUCGGGGUCGGGGGCAGCGUUCGGUGCGGCAUUGAGGUCGGGGGUGGGGGCGGCAUUGAAUCUGGGGUCGGGGGUGGCGUAGAGGCUCUGCGGAGAGCGUGCGGCGGUCGACGGGCGAUGCCGACGGCGAGACCGGACGAGUUUAAUUUGGGGGGAAGUGGCCGUGGGGAAGGACGAACUCGGUGGUUAAGUCAGAAGUAGAAGUAGUGUGUUCCAGAAAGCGCGCUACUGCUAUGUUAGCUACAGCGCAUUCUGGGUUACACACUACUUCUAAUCCUUUCUCUUUCCCCCUUUUUCAUUUAUUUUUCUUCACAUUUUAUUUUUUUUCCUUUGACCUUCUUCUAUUUCUUUCAUUUUCAAUUACCUUUCUAUUUGCUUUCCAUUUAAUUUUAUAUCCUUUAGCAGUAGCGAGUUUAGAAUAAAACGCGCUGCUAAAAAGAAAGUAGCGGUAGUGCGGUUCGAUAUAGAUCGCUACUACUAUGUGUAGCCUAUCGGCUAAGCCGUGGGAAUUUUAGUAGUAACAUGUUUGACCCAUGCUACUGCUAAAGUUCUGUGUAUAAGGUUUUCCCUAGUAGUGUAAAAGAUGCAAAUAAAAGUAGAUGGGAAACUUAUAUGAUAAAAGAUAGACCCAGGGGCCAUAGGUUUCACUAGUGGCUUCUCUCAAGAUAGCAUAAGUAUUACGGUGGGUGAACAAAUUACUGUCGAGCAAUUGAUAGAAAAGUGCAUAGUUAUGAGAUUAUCUAGGCAUGAUCAUGUAUAUAAGCAUCACAUCCGUGACAAGUAGACCGACUCCUGCCUGUAUCUACUACUAUUACUCCACACAUCGACCGACUCCUGCCUGCAUCUAGAAUAUUAAGUUCAUGAAGAACAGAGUAACGCAUUAAGAAAGAUGACAUUUAGAUGGAUAAACUCAUGCAAUAUGAUAUAAACCCCAUCUUUUUAUUGUCGAUGGAAACAAUACAAUGCGUGGCUUGCUGCCCCUGCUGUCACUGGGAAAGGACACCGCAAGAUUGAACCCAAAACUAAGCACUUCUCCCAUUGCAAGAAAGAUCAAUCUAGUAGGCCAAACCAAACUGAUAAUUCGAAGAGACUUGCAAAGAUAACCAAUCACACAUAAAAGAAUUCAGAGGAGAUUCAAAUAUUUCUCAUAGAUAAACUUGAUCAUAAACCCACAAUUCAUCGGAUCUCGACAAACACAUCGCAAAAAAGAGUUAUAUCGAAUAGAUCUCCAAGAAGAUCGAGGAGAACUUUGUAUUGAGAAUCAAAGAGAGAGAAGAAUCAUCUCGCUAAUAACUAUGGACCCAAGGGUUUGUGGUAAACUACUCACAACUCAUCGGAGAGGCCUUGGAGAUGAUGUAGAGGCCCUCCAUGGUCGAUUCCCCCUCCGGCAGAGCGCCUGCGAAGGCUCCAAGAUGGGAUCUCGCGAAUAUAGAAGGUUGCGGUGUUGGAAUUAGGUUUUCGUGGUGCUCCUGGAUGUUUUCAGGGUACAUGGAUAUAUAUAUAUAGGAGGAAGAAGUAGGUCGGUUGAGCCACGAGGGGCCCAUGAGGAUGGGGGGCGUGCCGAGCACCCUCAUGGCCGCCUCGUUCGCUUCUUGACAUCCACUCCAAGCCUCCUGGUUUGCAUUUGUUCCGAAAAGAACGCUCCCGAAGGUUUCAUCCCGUUUGUACUCCGUCUGAUAUUCCUUUUCUUCAAAACACUAAAAUAGGCAAAAAUAACAAUUCGGGCUGGGGCUCCGGUUAGUAGGUUAGUCCCAAAAAUGAUAUAAAAGUGUAAAGUAAAGCCCAUAAACAUCCAAAAUGGGUAAUAUAAUAGCAUGGAACAAUCAAAAAUUAUAGAUACGUUGGAGACGUAUCAGUGUGUUUGUUGUGAUCUGAUGAACUUUGAGUUUAUGAUCAGUCAUAUCUUUUUAUAUCCAUGAAAGUUAUUUGAAUUUCUUUGAUCUCUUAUAUGCAUGAUCUCUUAUAGCAACAUAUGUGUUCUUCGAUAUUUGGGUUUUGUUUGGCCAACUUGAUCUAUUUAUGUUGCAAUGGGAAGAGGUGCCCGGUAGUGGAUUCGAUCUUACGGUGCUUCGAUCUUACGUAUGUAUCGUUGCUACUAAGUAUAAAAAAAGGUGAUCCAUAUCUAACGCAAUGGAUAAAUGGAUCGUGUCUAGAUCAUGCCAUCGUUCUUAUUGCAUUACUCUGUUUUUCCAUGAACUUAAUACACUAGAUGCAUGCUGGAUAGCGGUUGAUGUGUGGAGUAAUAGUAGUAGAUGCAGGGAGGAGUCGGUCUUCUAAUCUUGGACGUGAUGCCUAUGUAAUGAUCAUUGCCUGGAUAUCGUCAUGAUUAUUUGUGACACUACAAUUUUUUUUUGUGAUUUUGUUUUCAGAAAGAGCCUUGCUUGGUUUGAAAGAAGGUCAUUUAAACCCUUCCUAAAAACCAUCUUCUAAGUUUGCCCUCUCAAAAAUAAUUUCCUUGGAUUUAGUUUCUUUAAAAAAAGAAAACCCUUUUACUUUUGGGCUUUUAUUUGGUUUUGAUCCCUUCUAAAUUUUACCAUGCCUCCUAUGGUGAAAUUUUCCCAAAACCUCUCCUCCCACUUUGGUACAACCCAAACAUUCUGUCCAAACUAAUAAAAUCAAUUUUUGGAUUUUAUUCCAACUAUUUCUCCUCCCAAAAUAAUUCUGUCUUUUCUUUUGAGCCUAGGUGAAUUGCAAAGCAAGUACCCUAAUGCUUUUGAUUUUUGACCUCAACUCAACACCCCUGGAUAGUCCUUUGUACCCACAACCCAGAACCAUCUUGAUCCACUCUUCUCCUUUUCAAAUAUUUCAAAUUUCACUCACUGCAAGUUUGGACCAGAUUUGCCAAAUUUGGUGAAAUUCAUAUCUACACCUCUCCAAAAAUUCCACAAAUAUUCAGGCAGCCUCUAGAUGCAAUGAGAGGCCCCUCCACCAAAAACCAGCUCAAGGAAAAAUCACUACAUGCCUAGAUCAUUCUGUCGAACGCCUUGCAUGCACUGUUUCUGUUCAUCUUCAGUUAAGUUCAGAGUUUCAGUGUCGGUCUUCGUCAGAAAUUCAGUCACAUGCUCACAGUGCACUUGGCACGUUGCUCACGGCCUAGCUUGCUUGUCUGGAGCCUCACACGCGCGCUUGGAGCCUUCCUGGCGUCGGUGGCGCCCUGGCCCGCUUGCGUCGGCGUGCUUUGCGGCGGCCGUAUCACCGUAGCGGCCGACAGGGAGCAGAACGGCGGCAUAACACCGUUCGGCGCCGCCCAAACCCCCUGGUGGCUCCGCGUGGCCAUUUCGUCCCCAGCGCACGCAUGCAGCACCGUCGCCGUGGCGCGGCACGCACAGAGCGUGCUCCCUAUCGCCGACGGGCCCGCACCGCCCCGUUCCGUCGAGCUCCCCCUAAGCAACCAAAUCCCGACGCGGUUAGCACCUAAACGGAACCAGGGAACACCCACGACGACGCUCAACCUCUGAACCCUCCCGUGCAACCACAGCGCCGCCGUAAUCACCUCGCCGGAGAACCCCGUUCUCGGCAACCGCCUCGGGGCGGCUAUAUAUAGCACCCUGAGCUUGCUCUCGCCCCCGCACGACUCCACCACCUCACCAGACCCCGCCCAGCCACUAAACGAGCCUCGAGGGGCCUUUCCUCCUCGACUCCGGCCACCUCCGUCCGCCUCGGGCCCCGGCAUCGUUUUCUCCGGUGAGAACUCCUCCGCCGCCCUACUUUCGCCCGUGGCCUCGUAGCACCUCUAGUAGGAUAACCCCCACCUCAAUUUUGACCCCGCAGCUCUCUCCGGUGAGAUCCACGACCACCCGAAUUGCCGUCCGCCGGAGCAAGCGUCGCCGCUGACGUGGUACUCGCCGGCGACCACCACCACCUCCCACAGACGCGGAAUGGCGCCCUGAGCACGGAGGUACUCUCCGAUCUCCCUGCCUCGCCGUGGAUCGCUGCCGGCGACCACCGCGGCUCUCGGGCGCCGACGAGCCCCGACUCCCUCGUUUGAAAUUUCAAACCUGACGGGUGGGACCCGCCCGUCAGCCUCUCCAUUGUUUUUUUUGAAUCGUUUACUGAAACCGUACUCUGGCGAAUACGCUUUCACUCUGAACCGUUUAUCUAUAUUUUUUCUGCAAAGCCCCCUGGAAGUUUUCUGUUUCAUUACUGAUGGGUCCUUGGGUUAAAACCCUUAUAACUUUUUAACAGAAAGGAAUUUUUGAGUGAUUCCUUUUCUGUCCUCUUCAAAUUUUUGUCUAGUUUUUUAUCAUAUAUUUAUUUGAAAAAUAUUUGUAACACUUUUCUGUACACUCACGGUAAUUACGUUGCGUACAUAUUUUUUCUUAUACCGUAGAUACCGGAGGAGGUGACGGAGCUGCAAACUUCGCACAGUUAGACUCCGACUACUCCGAACCAGGCAAGCAUGUUUGAACUCUUGAUAUGAUGAGUGUUGUUGCAUGUUUGCAUUUUAGUAUGGUCAUGGCAUGUUUAGGAACAUCACUUUGAAUGUUAUGUUUCAUGCACAUAAUCGGAAAGUAAGUUUCGGAAAGCAUUAUGUUGUUGGAUACAUAUUUGCAUAGCCAUGUGUUGGCAUGAGGAUGGGUAAGAUGGCAGUGUUGUGACAUGCCAGUCUUAUGCCAGAUUAUUUGACUUCUGUGUCAUCAUGAAACAAAUCACAUUUCCAUUCUUUCCUUCCUAUACUGUCACAUGUUUUCCGAAAGGAAUAUGGCAUAGUAAGUUGCAAAUCGUUUUCCUGGUACACACCAAAUAGAGAGGCCGGGGUGAGGGUUCCAUGGCCCUGGAUUAAAGCCCACCAUCUGGUCAGGGGGCAUGGGUGUUUCCGAUUGGGACCGAGAGGGGGGCACCCCUUAGAGCGCGUGUAUAGAAAUUUGAUCCCAUGCUAUUCGAGGUUGUGGCCUCCCCGUCUCAAAGUUUUUCUUGGACGUUGUCCAGGGUGAUUCCUGGCAUCGUGAGGUGAAAUGGGUGUGUACUAGUUAAAUGUGUUUCUACUGAAAUACCGUAAACGGAACUAGUCCUUCGUGACUAUGGAAAUCCGUUGGCUGUGGUCAGAUCAUCCAAACUCUGCAGAGUCUCAAAUCUUUCAAUUAUUGUCACAUCCCUGGUCCUGUUAUGCACUAGGCUAGACCUCAUGUGAGCAUCAUGUUUUAAUUCAAAUGAAAUUUGAAUUGAGGAAUUCUCAAAGCCGCAGAAACCUUCUAAAAAUGAUCAACAUUAAAAUUUCCUCAAAGAAGUCCAAGAAAAUGUUCCUCUUAGUCUCUGAAAAUAUUGCAAAGAGGUAAAACUCAAAACAAUAUUUUUGGUAUCUCAGAGUUAAUUAUUUUGGGCCUUUGAAUUAAAUAAAUAGCUAUUUGCAUUGGAUAUAUAUUUGAUAUAUAAAUAAUAUAUGUCCAAUAAUUACUGGAACAUUUUAUGUGGUUUGGUAUAUUUUAACUCUAGCCACAUAACUAUUUUCAGGAUUUUAUAAAAUGGUUUAGUAUUUUACUAAACUAAAACAACACAGAACAAAAUAGAUAAAUAAAAACAGAAAUAGAAAGAGAGAGAAGGACUACCUAGCGCUCACCUGGUAGCCCACCUGGCCCAGCAGCNNNNNNNNNNNNNNNNNNNNNNNNNNNNNNNNNNNNNNNNNNNNNNNNNNNNNNNNNNNNNNNNNNNNNNNNNNNNNNNNNNNNNNNNNNNNNNNNNNNNNNNNNNNNNNNNNNNNNNNNNNNNNNNNNNNNNNNNNNNNNNNNNNNNNNNNNNNNNNNNNNNNNNNNNNNNNNNNNNNNNNNNNNNNNNNNNNNNNNNNNNNNNNNNNNNNNNNNNNNNNNNNNNNNNNNNNNNNNNNNNNNNNNNNNNNNNNNNNNNNNNNNNNNNNNNNNNNNNNNNNNNNNNNNNNNNNNNNNNNNNNNNNNGCCGCGCGCGCCACCUCCUGCUUCCCCUGGCCACCUCCUGCUUCCUCCCCGAGCCUCUAGCGACGCCACGGAGUCGUCCCCGACCGCUAUCCCUCUCUCUGCUCGCUCUGGCUCUCUCCCUCUCUCGAUUUGGAGCACCACCGAGAGCCACCGGAGGGCGCCGCCGUCGCAUCCAUAGCCACCGGCCACCCCUAGCCUCGCCGAUGCGCUCAAAGGCUCCGCCUCGACCCCCUCUUCCUCUCCACCAACCCAUGCCCCGCCGGACGCCCUGCAAUGCCGCCACCAUCGCCGUUUCCGUCGCCGACCACCGAAGCUCACCGCCGUCAAUUCGCGACGCCUGGCGCGUCCCCGAGCCCACUGAGCCACCCUGCUGCCUCCCUACGAUGUUCCGACGUUGUGAUCGUUGACACUGAUGAAGACUCAAUGUUAUCUUCAGAAGUGCCAGGCAAGCAAAACCCCCUUGUUCAUUCCGAUACAAUCCUACUCUCUCGCCCAUGCUCUCUUUUAAUGCAUUAGGACAACACCGAUUCAUCUGUUACUUGUUGCGGUAGCUGAACCCCUUUAUCCUUUGCAUGACCUGUCAUUCCACAGUAAAUAGAUGAAACCCACUAGCAUGAGUAGGAGUUGUUUGAGCCCUGUUGUGCCUACUCAUUCAUGCUUGUUUGUCAUGCCUGCUACUGCUUAGAGUUGAGUCAGGUCUGAUUCAUCGGGGAUGAAUCAGAGGUGUGUGAACAUGGCCUACUGUGUGUGAGCUAAGUGUGUGAACACGAUUUGGUAAAAGGUGUCGGUGAGAGGCCAUGUAGGAGUACAUGGUGGGUUGUCUCAUUGAAGCCGUCCUCAGGAACUGAGUUCUGUGUUUGUGAUCCAUGAUUCAGCUACUACCAUACAUUGGGCCCUGAAAUAUGACCCCGCUCGACUUCUUAUUCACCCUUGUCCUCUGUCCAGGAGUUGCAAGUAGUUUCUGGUGUUUGUAGUAUGCUGGAGGCCGUGGACAGCGCUGACCGUAGGGGUGGGCUGUGAUGCGGUAGGCACGUGGCCGGGUAUACCGGGCGCCCGUUUGGUGUCACGGAACCCUGUUCACAUCGUUUGGGGCUGUGAGCGAAACUCCGGCCGGAUCUCCUCAUGGAUGGAACCCGAAUAGGCGAUAAACCUGGACUAGAGACUUGAGUGUUUAGGUAGGUCGUGGUCUACACCCACGUCGGCUUUCGCUUGAAGUCUGCCGAGCACAUGUCGUGUGCAGACGCUAAGUGGUGGAAACAUGUAUGAAGAAGUACACCCCUGGAGGGUUAACAUCAUGUAUUCGAAUAGCCGUGUCCACGGUAAAGGACUUCUGGGUUGCUUAUAUCAGUUCAUAGACAAGUGAAAGUGGAUACUCUAAAAUACGCAAGAUAAGCGUGAGUGCUAUGGAUGGCGCUCUCGUAGGGAGACGGGAGCGGAUCCAUAGUGGUGUAUUGAUAUGGGGAAUAUGUGGACUCGUGUGCGCCACCUCAAAAGAGUUACAUUGCAGUCGUAGUUCAGGAUAGCCACCGAGUCAAAGCUGGCUUGCUGCAGUUAAACCCCACCAUCCCCUUUGUUGAUAAUGAUGCAUAUGUAGUUAGUUCUGAUGUAAGUCUUGCUGGGUACAUUUGUACUCACGUUUGCCUAUUUUAUGUUUUUGCAGAGAGACUUCGGUCUCACUAGUAGUUUCACGUGGACUUCGACGUUUAGCUUGUUACCUCAGCUACGAUCUUGUGCCCCGGCAGGAUCUGGUAGAUAGUCAGGCUUCUCAGCCUUUUUCAGUUAUAGAUGUCUGUACCCAGACAUGAUAGCUUCCGCUUGUGCUUUGAUUUGUAUGCUCUGAUUGUUGGGUCAUGAGACCCAUGUUUGUAAUAUCUCGCUCCUCGGAGCCUAUUGAAUAAAUUACUUGAGUCGUAGAGUCAUGUUGUGAUGCCAUGUUGUAUUUGCACAUAUCGAGCAUAUUGUGUGUAUGUUAUUGAAAUGCUUGGUAUGUGUGGGAUCUGACCAUCUAGUUGUUUAUCUUUAGUAGCCUCUCUUACCGGGAAAUGUCUCCUAGUGUUUCACUGAGCCAUGGUAGCUUGCUACUGCUCCGGAACACUUAGGCUGGCCGGCAUGUGUCCUUCUUCGUUCCUGUGUCUGUCCCUUCGGGGAAAUGUCACGCGAUGAAUACCGGAGUCCUGCUAGCCCAGUGCUACAGCCUGGAUUCACUCGCUGAUGACCGACACGUUCGAUGCUGGGUCAUGGAUGCCUGUCCCUGUAAGUUUGUGCCACUUUGGGUUUACGACUAGCCAUGUCAGCCCGGGCUCCUUAUCAUAUGGAUGCUAGCGACACUGUCAUAUACGUGUGCCAAAAGGCGCAAACGGUCCCGGGCAAAGGUAAGGCGACACCCGUGGGAAUACCGUGCGUGAGGCCGCAAGGUGAUAUGAGGUGUUACAUGCUAGAUCGAUCUGGCAUUGAGUCGGGGUCCUGACAGCGUUGGUAUCAGAGCUUGACUGCCUGUAGGAUUACCAAGCCAAACUGGUCGAAGUUGAGUCUAGAAAUUCUUUAGUUAUAUAAGGGAAUUGAUUGUGGGAUGGAACGUAAGGCUCUUUUUACUCCUUAUACCUCAUGGCCUUCUGAUCUGAGUCAUCAUCUUCUCUUCUACGGGGAUUAAGAACUAGGCUAUCUCUUCUUCCCAUCAGGAUCACGUGUUACUAAUCCGUAGACUUAUAAGAUUGUUGGAUUAAGCCUCAGUUCAGUUUCUACCUCUGUAUGUUAAUUAUUGAUCUCGAUACCUUGAUAUUGUGCUUUUGAGUGGUUAUGCCACCAUUUUUGUGAAUGUCUCAAAUCUUUUUUGAGCAUUUACAGCCGUUACGCUGUCCGAGUCAUCUCAGGUCUCUAAACAGUCUGAUGCACUUGCAAAUUCCUUCCUCCCGUUUCAAUGCUCCUUUGGGCCAGAUUAACCACACUAAUCAGUGAGUUGAGGUACUCUGUUACCUUGACAUAUAUGUUGGAGAUAUUAUUAUGACCCUAGGUGUCUUAGGGGAUCAUCUAGUAAUUUAGCCAUGAUUUGUGUUCCCAGUGUGAUGAUUCUGGCCAUCAUUCUCGAAAGCAUCUCGUGAUGCUACUUAGUAAUAGGUAUUCUGUUCCUGGGUUCUUGAACCCGAGAUUCACUCUACCUACUUCAUGUUGAUAGUAAUUGCUAGUGCCUUUAGGAUAUUAGUAACCUUUGCGAUAGUCCUUGAAGUCCGUGGUAUCUUCUUCUUCCAAAUACCAUGAACUACUUAUGGCACAAGUUCCUCGUUGAACUGAAAUAUCACAACAGGAUUAUUCUUGAGGAGUUCUCCAUUCAUAAAUCGUGACUCUGCCAGUUCUACCUUUCUGCAUGGGUUAUCCAGAAGAAAUAUGUUGAACUUGGUUCGACAUACUAAUCUAUGCAUCCACAACUCAGAAAAUUAUAUGUUCCUUUGAGUUGUUCUCUUUAGUUGCAUUCUGACCCUCGUCUAUCAAUUGAUAGUCAAGAGUAUGCGUGCGUUCGUUUAUCGAUGCCUAUUACUCUUGUGGUCCGUCAAGCCAUUCUAUCGCAGAAUGACUAGGAGAAACAAACUCCAGUACCUCUUCCAUAUCCAGGAUUGGGUCGAAGAAGUUGUGCUCCGCAGAUCAAAUUGCUAAUCCAGCUUUUGUUCUGUUCUACCUUGGAGUAUUAGCAUCUUUAUAUCGGGAUUGUUAUAGGAAUUGCACACCAUCCUAUGAACUCUUGGUACAGUGAUACUUCUUGCCAUCAUUAGUCAUUCCUCGGUCUUCGUGUUGAUGCAACCGGAAUACCGACAAAUGAUUUGUGAUGUGUGAAAUCAAUACGCCUAGCAACCUCGUUGCUGGGUAGUUAAAGGACAAUAAUUUCAUUCUUAGUGUGUUGGUUAUUGAAUCAUCAUUCUAAGAUUGAUCGUGCUACCUAGUCCAUUCUCCUGGUUCACUCCUCGAUCGAUGAGUUAGGAUUAUUUCAAAUCCUUUCUCUAUUGAUCAUAUCGUCUUGCCCUGAAAAGCAAGAUUGUUCUCGAGCUUAGUAACAUACCGGUGGUUCGUGAUUUUCUGAAUAUCUUCUCAGAAGUAUUACCAGGUUGUCACCUGACCGCUAUGUUGAGUUCGUGAUCAAGUUGGUUUAUUCCUGUAAACCACCCCUUCUCCAAGAAUCCGUGUUGGAUACCCUGAGCUAGUUGGAUAAGCUAAACAACAACUUGGAGAGUUGGAAGAUAAAAGCUUGUCCGACUUAGUUCAUGUUAAGGGAUAUCUUUUUGUGUGUGUGUGUGUGUGUUGAAGAAAGAUGAUAUCUUCAUCAAUUGGUUCUUGUGAACAAUUGUUGGAUCUAUUAUCUUACCCAAACCUUUGAUUGAGUAUGGGCUAUCAUCCAAUCAGACCAGAACCAACGAUAUUCGUAAUGUUGUCUUACUCGUGGUUGAUCCCUCGAGCAUACACCAUUAUAUCUUUUGGGUCUGACCAAUGCUAUCACUUGUUCACUUAACUAUGGAAUUCCUUUUAAAAGGAAACCCAGAUGAAUUGUUGUUGUGCCCAUUGACAACAUCCUUGUCUUCUCCAUAAUUUUGCUGAACAUUAAGCUAGUGUUGGAAACUUUUGAAAGCAUUUGUUCAUGCUAGCUCAUGAAGCAUAUGUUCGGAUGUAAGAAGUGACUUCCUCUAGUUCAUGUGCAUUUGAUGCAAGUUGCCGCCGUGGACUCGAGAAAGUCAAUGUUGCUUCCUCUGGAAUCAUCGCAAGUCAGUCAUGCACACGUGCAAAGUAUUCUGUGGUCUGGAGACUUGCAACCCUCAUUCCAUAUGUGUAUCCUAGCACAGCAAGCCACUGACUGAUUUGUUCAAGGAGAAGGAGUAUCUUCAUAAGAGCUAAUUCGGACUUAUGAAAGAACUUCGAUAUCCUCGCUGAUGGUUCCCAACCAGAACUCGGUAGUGUUUUAUUGUAAGACUACCAUGUGGGCAUGCUUGUCUGGGACAAUGUGUUCACAUGUUUGUAGCAGAACCAGCUCAUGUUUUGGAGCUUGCUAUCGUAGUUCAUCUCCCGAGAAUCCCGCAACGUCAUCUCGUCGAUUUGUGUUGCAAACUUUCAUUUUUCUUCCUAGACACGAUGAGUCUGGAAUAUCCUGACACCAACCAGAUCUGAAUCUCAGGCAGAUAUGAUGGUUGGAACAUUUCCCAAGAACUAUAAUAUCGGUCCCUCGGAAACCGGUAAUGUGUAUGUCGUGGCCAACACACCCAGCCGGAAGACCUGUUAUUAUAAUAUCUUGAUUGAGGAAGUUGGCCACCUCCCCAUAGGGAUUUUGUAGGGUUUACUCCCUAGUUGCCCCUAUGGAUUUUUGUGUUCCCGAAGUCCAACCUUUUUACUUGAUGUUUUAGAUAUCAAACCAUAUCUAAGAAUGGGUUACACUAGCACAUCAAGGAGAACAUUAGAAGCGGAGUACUAAAUGUCUCUCGGUCGAUCAUCCAGAUUUUAUUUCCUUGGCCCCGCCAAGGGUGAAAUCUGAGAAGGUGUUAUCUUCCUUUGCAUCUGCAUCAUCCAUCAUCAUUCAUCGUGGUAGCAAGUUGUGUUGCCAGGAUCCUUGACACGGAUAUUGGUAAAACCUUGAUGAAUGUGGAAAUGCUCAAGUUCUUGAGAGCACGCACAAGCGCUACGUGUUAUCAUCGGCUCUAACUGGGUUUGCUCUCAGUUCCCUCGGCAAUGCUAUGACCUUUUCAGACAGUGAAUUCACUCCCUAUUGUUGGGUUCUUCCCCAGCUACCAGAAUCAUUCCCAGCAUUUGCAUUUUGUUCCCAGCUUGCACCGCCAAUGUGUCAUUCUACCAUGGGUCUCUUCCAUUUCCGGUGAUAAGCAAAUUCAUCCAUUACGUUGUCUUCAACAAGGUAAUCCACAUCAUCCAAGUUUGAGUAUGCCAUUCUACCGACCCCCUCCAAACGAUCGUUGUGAAUUGCCUUAGGCUGGUAUGAAGAGUUUCAAUGAUCUCUGAAUCAAAAGUAAUUCUUUUUGCCACUUAAGGUAAUAAUCUACGAAUCACCCUCCUCCAGGAUGUUUCGUCGUGGUAUCAUGGCAACUCAACUCCUCGCUACGUUGACAAUCGUCUACCACCUUAAGCGUGAAGUUGUUGUCUACCUAGUGAACCCUCGUCAUCUGUUCCACUCCAUUCCUCUAGAGGUGUGCUUCGUCUCUCAGCUCGAGAGAUGGUUCUAUGUCUCAUUCCGUGAGUUAAUCCUGAGUUGUUCGACCUUCGAGAAGAACAAUUCUUUUAGGGUUUUUCCUUUCCUCUCGUUGUCAUGAUAGUUGGAGUUCUCAAAGCAAGACGCCAAGACAAUGAUGGUGAUCGAAUCAACGUUCCUAUGAAGUGCAACCUGGAUCGUGAAGAUUGUACUAGUUGCGUUCCCCCUUCACCUUACCCUACGCUCGAAUCUCGGGACGAGAUUUUUGUUUAGUGGGGGUGAGUUGUCACAUCCCUGGUCCUGUUAUGCACUAGGCUAGACCUCAUGUGAGCAUCAUGUUUUAAUUCAAAUGAAAUUUGAAUUGAGGAAUUCUCAAAGCCUCAGAAACCUUCUAAAAAUGAUCAACAUUAAAAUUUCCUCAAAGAAGUCCAAGAAAAUGUUCCUUUUAGUCUCUGAAAAUAUUGCAAAGAGGUAAAACUCAAAACAAUAUUUUUGGUAUCUCAGAGUUAAUUAUUUUGGGCCUUUGAAUUAAAUAAAUAGCUAUUUGCAUUGGAUAUAUAUUUGAUAUAUAAAUAAUAUAUGUCCAAUAAUUACUGGAACAUUUUAUGUGGUUUGGUAUAUUUUAACUCUAGCCACAUAACUAUUUUCAGGAUUUUAUAAAAUGGUUUAGUAUUUUACUAAACUAAAACAACACAGAACAAAAUAGAUAAAUAAAAACAGAAAUAGAAAGAGAGAGAAGGACUACCUGGCGCUCACCUGGUAGCCCACCUGGCCCAGCAGCUCGGCCCAGCCCAUCUCCACCCCCCCCUGUCGUCUUCCUCCCUGCCAGGAGGACAGACACCGCGACGCCGCCGCGCGCGCCACCUCCUGCUUCCCCUGGCCACCUCCUGCUUCCUCCCCGAGCCUCUAGCGACACCACGGAGUCGUCCCCGACCGCUAUCCCUCUCUCUGCUCGCUCUGGCUCUCUCCCUCUCUCGAUUUGGAGCACCACCGAGAGCCACCGGAGGGCGCCGCCGUCGCAUCCAUAGCCACCGGCCACCCCUAGCCUCGCCGAUGCGCUCAAAGGCUCCGCCUCGACCCCCUCUUCGUCUCCACCAACCCAUGCCCCGCCGGACGCCCUGCAACGCCGCCACCAUUGCCGUUUCCGUCGCCGGCCACCGAAGCUCACCGCCGUCGAUUUGCGACGCCUAGCGCGUCCCCGAGCCCACUGAGCCACCCUGCUGCCUCCCUACGAUGUUCCAACGUUGUGAUCGUUGACACUGAUGAAGACUCAAUGUUAUCUUCAGAAGUGCCAGGCAAGCAAAACCCCCUUGUUCAUUCCGAUACAAUCCUACUCUCUCGCCCAUGCUCUCUUUUAAUGCAUUAGGACAACACCGAUUCAUCUGUUACUUGCUGCGAUAGCUGAACCCCUUUAUCCUUUGCAUGACCUGUCAUUCCACAGUAAAUAGAUGAAACCCACUAGCAUGAGUAGGAGUUGUUUGAGCCCUGUUGUGCCUACUCAUUCAUGCUUGUUUGUCAUGCCUGCUACUGCUUAGAGUUGAGUCAGGUCUGAUUCAUCGGGGAUGAAUCAGAGGUGUGUGAACAUGUCCUACUGUGUGUGAGCUAAGUGUGUGAACACGAUUUGGUAAAAGGUGUCGGUGAGAGGCCAUGUAGGAGUACAUGGUGGGUUGUCUCAUUGAAGCCGUCCUCAGGAACUGAGUUCUGUGUUUGUGAUCCAUGAUUCAGCUACUACCAUACAUUGGGCCCUGAAAUAUGACCCCGCUCGACUUCUUAUUCACCCUUGUCCUCUGUCCAGGAGUUGCAAGUAGUUUCUGGUGUUUGUAGUAUGCUGGAGGCCGUGGACAGCGCUGACCAUAGGGGUGGGCUGUGAUGCAGUAGGCACGUGGCCGGGUAUACCGGGCGCCUGUUUGGUGUCACGGAACCCUGUUCACAUCGUUUGGGGCUAUGAGCGAAACUCCGGCCGGAUCUCCUCAUGGAUGGAACCCGAAUAGGCGAUAAACCUGGACUAGAGACUUGAGUGUUUAGGUAGGUCGUGGUCUACACCCACGUCGGCUUUCGCUUGAAGUCUGCCGAGCACAUGUCGUGUGCAGACGCUAAGUGGUGGAAACAUGUAUGAAGAAGUACACCCCUGCAGGGUUAACAUCAUCUAUUCGAAUAGCCGUGUCCACGGUAAAGGACUCCUGGGUUGCUUAUAUCAGUUCAUAUACAAGUGAAAGUGGAUACUCUAAAAUACGCAAGAUAAGCGUGAGUGCUAUGGAUGGCGCUCUCGUAGGGAGACGGGAGCGGAUCCAUAGUGGUGUAUUGAUAUGGGGAAUAUGUGGACUCGUGUGCGCCACCUCAAAAGAGUUACAUUGCAGUCGUAGUUCAGGAUAGCCACCGAGUCAAAGCUGGCUUGCUGCAGUUAAACCCCACCAUCCCCUUUGUUGAUAAUGAUGCAUAUGUAGUUAGUUCUGAUGUAAGUCUUGCUGGGUACAUUUGUACUCACGUUUGCCUAUUUUAUGUUUUUGCAGAGAGACUUCGGUCUCACUAGUAGUUUCGCGUGGACUUCGACGUUUAGCUUGUUACCUCAGCUACGAUCUUGUGCCCCGGCAGGAUCUGGUAGAUAGUCAGGCUUCUCAGCCUUUUUCAGUUAUAGAUGUCUGUACCCAGACAUGAUAGCUUCCGCUUGUGCUUUGAUUUGUAUGCUCUGAUUGUUGGGUCAUGAGACCCAUGUUUGUAAUAUCUCGCUCCUCGGAGCCUAUUGAAUAAAUUACUUGAGUCGUAGAGUCAUGUUGUGAUGCCAUGUUGUAUUUGCACAUAUCGAGCAUCUUGUGUGUAUGUUAUUGAAAUGCUUGGUAUGUGUGGGAUCUGACCAUCUAGUUGUUUAUCUUUAGUAGCCUCUCUUACGGGGAAAUGUCUCCUAGUGUUUCACUGAGCCAUGGUAGCUUGCUACUGCUCCGGAACACUUAGGCUGGCCGGCAUGUGUCCUUCUUCGUUCCUGUGUCUGUCCCUUCGGGGAAAUGUCACGCGAUGAAUACCGGAGUCCUGUUAGCCCGCUACAGCCCGGUUCACCGGAGUCCUGCUAGCCCAGUGCUACAGCCUGGAUUCACUCGCUGAUGACCGACACGUUCGAUGCUGGGUCAUGGAUGCCUGUCCGUGUAAGUCUGUGCCACUUUGGGUUUACGACUAGCCAUGUCAGCCCGGGCUCCUUAUCAUAUGGAUGCUAGCGACACUGUCAUAUACGUGUGCCAAAAGGCGCAAACGGUCCCGGGCAAAGGUAAGGCGACACCCGUGGGAAUACCGUGCGUGAGGCCGCAAGGUGAUAUGAGGUGUUACAUGCUAGAUCGAUCUGGCAUUGAGUCGGCGUCCUGACAAUUAUCUUGUACUUUGUUCAAGUACUAUAUUCAUCUUAUCUUGUCAAGUGUCAGCCUCAGUGACAAAACUCCGGUGGGAUUUAUGUGUGAUAAAUCCGGUUAAAAGAUUAUUCUUGUGGAUGGACUAAUCUUGUUAUUUACAUCUAUUACAAGCCCUGUUUGCGAUGUCGCUCAAACGUCCGACGGUGGCAUACCUGUUAUUUACUUUUGUUAUAGGCCCUGUCUGUGAUAUCGCUCAGACGUCCGACGGUGGCAGACCUGUUAUUUACUUUUGUUAUAAGCCCUUUAUGUGAUGUCGCCCAGACGUCCGACUCUGGCAUUUAUUUUAAAGCCCUUUAUGUGAUGUCGCCUAGACGUCCGACUGUAGCAUUUCUUUUAAAUCCCUUUAUGUGAUGUCGCCCAGACGUCCAACUGUAGCAUUUCUUUUAAAGCCCUUUAUGUGAUGUCGCCUAGACGUCCGAUUGUGGCAUUUCUUUUAAAGCCCUUUAUGUGAUGUCGCCCAGACGUCCGUCUGUGGCAUUUCUUUUAAAGCCCUUUAUGUGAUGUCGCCCAGACGUCCGACUGUGGCAUUUAUUUUAAAGCCCUUUACGUGGUGUCGCUAAGACGCCCGACUGCGGCAUUCCUUUUAAGCCCUUUAUGUGGUGUCGCUUAGACACCCGACUGCGGCAUUUCUUUUAAUCCCUUUAUGUGGUGUCUCUUAGACGCCCGACUGCGGCAUGCAUUUUAUUACCUUUCGAGGCGUCGCUCCAUACACCCGAUCGGUUUUCAGUUAUUUAUUUUAUUUAUCAAGUCCUGCAAUAUUACCGUUGUUAUAUGAGCAUCAUCCUUUGUUCAUGACGCAUUCAUGCAUUCAUUGAUUAUAUCUUUUGUCCGAACUGUCUUGCGAGUACUUUCAAGUACUCACCUGGCUUGUUGAUUUGGCCAGAUGUUGAUGAAGGCGAUCUCUUGGAUGAAGAGUUUGAUAGCGAGUCCGACACCUAGAGGAGUCCCAGUCAGUCCCGUGCGAUCCUGUCUUGGUCAUUGUUUUAUCCGCUUCUGCAACCCCGAAAUAAAUUCAUCGAGCCUCACCUCGAUGCUCGAUGUGUUGCCAGUAGAAGUCAAGUUAUCCACCACCAUUUUUCCUCGAGCUAGUAGCAUGCCACCACACCCAUGUGUCAUAACCGCCCAUAUGUAAGAUAUUGGCGAGUUUGUAAUAAAUUAUUGAGCAGCCUCAGCUCAACCCUGUAAUAUAUUUGAUGCUACUGGUUCUCUGUUUAUCAAGCUUUUGUCUACCAGAAAGGAUGACUUUUCCUAUACUCGGUUUAAUAAGAUCGGUUUUAUCAAUAAACAUUUUAUUGAAAAGCCGGUCGUGACAGACUUGGUAACCAGAGCCAGGCUGACUGUAGGAAGCCACUAGGUGCGAUCGCUAAUUGGUUAUUAGCAUGAUAGAGUUAUUCAUGUUUUUACAAAUGUAGUCAUUUUUCUGACAGUCAGCAUAAAAUUUAUGAUCUGAUCACUCAGAAUUUUUGCCUACUUUUGUAGAUGGCCAGCAACGACUGCGAGUCUCAAAUGUUCGCCAACGUGCCUGAGGGGUUCGUCAAACUCCUCUCCUUCAUUGUUCAGGUUGCAAUGGGGCCAUCCGUGCGCCCAGUCUUCACGCUUUAUCCACACAAGAUCAACGACAGUCUGACUAUGCACCAGGCUGCAGUGCAAUUCUGGGGAGGCCAUGCUGAAAUACGCCGCCUCCGAUUCAUGGGGAGAGCCAUGCCUACAGAAAGGCAUGCUAUGCAGAUGGCUGCCUGCGAGACGAUAGCCCGUCUUCGGGAUGUUCUUCCUGCAAUGAAGACCCGUCGCUACCGCUACCUUCCAUGCCAUGUGCCUUACACCUGUCACUACUCUUUCUCUUGCCCCAGAGGAGAGCGAGAUGAAGCCUUUGAGAUGCUUGUCGAGUACAUCCGAGCCCUGGAGGCAGCAUUCGACUGCAUGGUGGAUGACCUCGUAGCUGCACGCAUGGACUCAGUUCAUGGCUGUGCUGCUAACAGGAGAGAACUCCUGCACACCGCUCCACCACUGACUUUUCUGUCAUCCGCAGCCUCUCACUCACCUACCAUACUCGCCUCAGCUCGUCGUCUGCCUACCACAGAGGAAUUUAACCAGGCUAUUGCACCCACUCCCGUCCGCUCUGCACCACUUGUUGCACCCACUCCCAUACAUGCUACCCCACCUAUUCCACCCACUCGUAUUCGUGUUAUUCCGCCUACGCCACCUGCUCCAUCAGCUCAGCACAACGUUUCUCGUCUGGAACCUAUUAGCGAGGAGGAGGUUGAUUCUCCAGCGUCUCUACGUCUCACCCUCGGCAGGCCAAGGAAGAUCCUCACCAUCUCCGACUAAGUACGCAUAGACGCCAUGCGAUGUAUCGACUUGUGUAAUAUGUUUAUAUGUACAUAGGUUGUGAGAAGUAUCCUGUUUGCGCAUCAUGUAGGAUCUGGAGGAGUGCACUAGUUUAAAUAACAUGUCAGGAUCAUGUACGCAUAUCCUGAGUGAUGUAAUGUAUAAUUAUGCCCGCGUGUAAGAUAUGCACUAGUCCUCCGCGCGAAAUCGUGUGUUUCCAAAAAUAUCCUGGAUUGAAAAAUGUUCUUUGUGUGUGAUUUUAUUGACUUUUGCGACUCUCUUUCUUAUCUUACGAGUUCACAAAAUAUAUCCCCAGAGUGAAAGACGUCUCGUCCUUGGACGCGCUCCAUGCCAACUCAGCCAGCAGAAAAUUAUGGCACACCGCAGAACCAAAAUUUCACUCAGGGUCAGACAAGUCAACAGGACAGUGAAACAGCUUUUACAUAAGUUUGUCGUUUGUAUGAACAGAGUCAGCAGCAACACCAGGAAAUGAUGAACCAACUCAUCAAUAUGGGAAGUAACCGUGGUCAGUAUCAACCGCAAUCCAAAUUAUCUGAGUUACAAAAGACGCGUCCUCCAACAUUUUCUCAUACUACAAGCCUCUUGAGGCCGAUGACUGGCUUUGAGACAUGGAGAGAAAAUUAAUUAUCGCACAGUGUUCAGACCGUGAAAAAGUAUUGUAUGCACCACACUAUCUCACAGGAGCAGCUGCAUCGUGGUGGGAAAACUUCCUGCACAUGCACCCCAACGAAAAUGAAAUCACCUGGGAAAAUUUCAAAGAAGGUUUUCGUGGGGCACAUAUUCCUAAGAGCGUCAUGAAAAUCAAGAAGAAAGAAUUUGAUGAACUCAAGCAAAGGGCCAUGACAGUGUCAGAAUACAACAGCCAAUUCACUCUGCUGUCUCGCUACGCCAAUGAAGAACGCAUGACCGAGAGCAAGAAGAUGGAAAAAUUCUUGGAAGGCCUGGCACCCGCCCUUAAGUGCCACCUAGUUGUGCAUACCUUUCCAGAUUUUAAAACACUGGUGGAUAAGGCCAUUACCCUGGAAAAUGAGCGACGAAGCCUGGAAGAUUUCCGCAAACGAAAAAGGGACUAGACUACUUUUGCUCGCAAUCACAGAAGCAAGAAGGAAUUUCAGAAUGGGGAUUCACACAAAACCCCGACGAAUAAUUCACGUCCAAUCAAGAAUUUCCAUGCAAGAGACAAAGAGUUCACCUAUCACCCAGGCGUUACCAGUUAUGCUUGUGGAGAAGAAGGGCACUAUGCUAAGCAGUGCCCCAAGCCAAGGAGCUCAACCCCGAAGCUUAAUAAUGGUGGCAAUAAUUCAGCACCAAAGUGAAGCAAUUUCAACCCCAACAACAACCACCGGAAAGGUCACUUGAACCACGUGACCCGAGAGGAAGCACAGAACGCCCCAGAUAUCGUACUUGGUACGUACCCCGUCAACACAAUACCUGCCAUGGUUUUGUUUGAUUCUGGAGCUUCUCACUCAUUCGUUUCGAAAAGUUUUGCUUUGCAAAAUAAUUUUUCGAUGCUUCCCUUGGAAAAAUCAAUGAUCAUCAAGUCCCCUGGAAUUAAGCAAGUGACCCAGAGUUACUGUCAAGGUGUGGUUAUUGAAUUUGAAGGAUUGAAAUUUUACGCCAACCUUAUUGUACUUGAAAGCAAAGGACUGGAUGUCAUCCUAGGAAUGGAUUGGUUAACCACCACCAAAGGUUUUAUUGACUGCUUCAACCGUACCGUGAUUCUCACACACCAUCAUGGGAAGAAAAUAAAAGUUUUAGCCAAAGAGAGACAAAUACCUCGGCAACCUAGAUUAAACAAGGUGGACGUUUCUGAGCUGAACAAGGUUCCAGUUGUAUGUGAAUUCCCAGACGUAUUUCUAGAAGAACUACCAGGCAUGCCACCAGACCGAGAGAUAGAAUUCAGCAUUGAGCUAGCACCUGGAACCGCUCCUAUUUACAAGAAACCUUACAGAAUGGCACCAUCCGAAUUGGUAGAGUUGAAGAAGCAAAUAAAAGAAUUAUUGGAGAAAGGAUACAUACGAGCCAGCUCCUCACCUUGGGGUUCUCCAAUUUUAUUUGCCAAGAAGAAGGAUGGAACAAUGAGGUUGUGUAUUGAUUAUCGAGCUCUCAACAUGGUCACAAUCAAGAACAAAUACCCAAUGCCCCGAAUAAAUGAUUUAUUUGAUCAGCUCGCACAGGCCAAAGUCUUCUCAAAAAUUGACUUGAGAUCAGGAUACCACCAAUUAAAAGUACGAACAGAAGAUAUUCCCAAGACCGCAUUCACCUCCAGAUAUGGGUUGUAUGAGUUCACAGUGAUGCCAUUCGGGCUAACCAAUGCCCCCGCAUAUUUUGUGCACCUCAUGAACAAAGUAUUUAUGAAGUAUAUGGAAAAGUUUGUUGUGGUAUUCAUUGAUGAUAUUCUGAUAUACUCCGAAACACCAGAAGAGCAUGCCGAACAUCUCAGGAUUGUACUAGGAGAACUCAGGAAACAUCAAUUGUACGCCAAAUUCAGCAAAUGUGAAUUUUGGAUAAAAUAGGUGGGUUUUCUAGGCCACGUGCUAACCCAAGAAGGUAUUGCAGUGGACCCGGAAAAAGUCAAGGCCGUACUUGGCUGGAAUCCACCGGCUAACGUAACGGACAUACGGAGUUUCUUGGGAAUGGCAGGCUAUUAUCAGAGAUUUAUUGAAGGAUUCUCUACUAUAGCAAAGCCUAUGACACAAUUGCUCAAGAAAGGCAAGAAGUUUGAAUGGACAGAAGCAUGUGAGCAAAGCUUCCAAGAGCUAAAAAGAAAAUUAACAAUGGCACCAGUACUAAUUGUGCCAGAUAUACACAAGAAUUUUGAGGUAUAUUGUCACGCAUCCCGGAAAGGCCUCGGAUGCAAGAAGGCAAGGUAGUUGCGUAUGUCUCUAGACAACUACGCAAGCAUGAGGAAAAUUAUCCCACUCAUGACUUGGAAUUAGCAGCGGUCAUUCAUGCACUCAAGGAAUUGAGACACUUCCUACUUGGGAAUCGUUGUGAGAUAUACACAGACCAUAAGAGUCUUAAGUAUAUUUUCACACAGCCAGAGUUAAAUUUACGGCAACAACGCUGGUUAGAGUUGGUGAAGGAUUAUGAUGUUGGAAUCCACUAUCAUCCCGGAAAAGCAAAUGUUGUGGCAGAUGCACUUAGUCCAAACCCCAGCACGGACGACGAUAGUAUACCAAAGUUGAGGCCAGAAUUUCAGCAGGAAUUUGCCCGACUCAAUCUAAUAAUGGUUACCGAAGGCAGUGUGUCGAAUAUAGAAAUACAGCCUACCCUGAUGGAAAGAAUCAAGGAAACCCAGCACGGACACCCCAGCAUUGAGGGCUUAAAAAUAAAAGUGAGUUUGGGAAGAGCCUCAGAAUUCAACUUAGAUGAGCAAGGAAUAUUGUGGUACGGAGAGAGGCUAUGCGUACCAAAUGUCAAGGACCUCAAACAGAAGAUAUUGACUGAAAGUCACACAGCUCCAUAUUCAAUCCAUCCUGGAGGGACAAAAAUGUACAAAAACCUUCAGGAAAUUUUUUGGUGGCAUGGUAUGAAGAGAGAUAUAGCCACGUUCAUUGCAUGUUGUGACUCUUGUCAACGUAUCAAGGCCGAGCACCAGAAACCAGCCGGACUGUUACAGCCAAAUAAGAUACCCGAGUGGAAAUGGGACGAGAUUGGAAUGGACUUUAUCGUUGGACUGCCACGGCCACGACACGGAAAUGAUGCCAUAUGGGUCAUAACCGACAGAUUAACCAAGGUGGCACAUUUUAUUCCGGUAAAAACAACUUACACCACUCAGAGACUAGCCAGACUUUAUCUUGCCCGUAUCGUCUGCCUGCAUGGAGUCCCUAAGACUAUCAUCUCCGAUAGAGGCACACAGUUCGUCUCUACAUUCUGGGAUCACCUACAACAGGCACUGGGAACCCAACUAGCCUUCAGUACCGCAUACCAUCCCCAGACUAAUGGGCAGACGGAACGCGUAAACCAAAUCCUAGAAGACAUGCUAAGAGCCUGUGUCCUCACCUACGGGAACAGUUGGGAAGAAAGUUUGCCAUAUGCAGAAUUCACAUACAACAACAGCUAUCAAGCCAGCUUGCAAAUGGCACCCUUUGAAGCUUUAUAUGGGAGAAGAUGUCGUACCCCGCUAAAUUGGUCAGAGACCGGAGACAGCCAUAUCUUUGGCCCAGAUAUGCUCAAGGAGGCCGAGGAGAAAGUUAAGACAAUUAGAGAACGACUCAAAACAGCUCAAAGUCGGCAAAAGAGUUAUUACGACCGAAAGCAUCGGGAAACCAGUUUUGAACCCAGAGAAUUGGUAUACCUGAGAGUUUCUCCUAUGAAGGGUCUGCAACGAUUCAAGAUUAAGGGGAAACUAGCACCAAGGUUCAUCGGACCAUUUCAUAUAGUGGCCCGACGAGGCAAGGUAGCCUACCAGCUAGACCUACCCGGAGACUUAUCCGGUAUCCACAACGUGUUUCACAUCCCGCAGUUGAGAAAAUACAUGAGCAACCCAGAGAAGCAAGUUUCACAUGAGUAUAUUGACAUGCAACCGGACCUCACUUACCGGGAGCACCCAAUAAAAAUAUUAGAAGAGUCUGAGAGGAGGACCCGACGGAAAACCAUUAAUUUUUUCAAAGUUCAAUGGAGUAAUCACACCGAGGAUGAAGCAACUUGGGAGAGCGAGGAUUUUCUUCGGACAGAGCACCCACACCUGUUUAAGGAUCAGCUAAAAUCUCGGGGACGAGAUUUUUCCUAAGGGGGUAGGUGCUGUGACACUCCAAUUUUUUUUUGUGAUUUUGUUUUCGAAAAGAGCCUUGCUUGGUUUGAAAGAAGGUCAUUUAAACCCUUCCUAAAAACCAUCUUCUAAGUUUGCCCUCUCAAAAAUCCUUUCCUUGGAUUUAGUUUCUUUUAAAAAAAGAAAACCCUUUUAGUUUUGGGCUUUUAUUUGGUUUUGAUCCCUUCUAAAUUUUACCAUGCCUCCUAUGGUGAAAUUUUCCCAAAACCUCUCCUCCCACUUGGGUACAACCCAAACAUUCUGUCCAAACUAAUAAAAUCAAUUUUUGGAUUUUGUUCCAACUAUUUCUCCUCCCAAAAUAAUUCUGUCUUUUCUUUUGAGCCUAGGUGAAUUGCAAAGCAAGUACCCUAAUGCUUUUGAUUUUUGACCUCAACUCCACACCCCUAGAUAGUCCUUUGUACCCACAACCCAGAACCAUCUUGAUCCACUCUUCUCCUUUUCAAAUAUUUCAAAUUUCACUCACUGCAAGUUUGGACCAGAUUUGCCAAAUUUGGUGAAAUUCAUAUCUACACCUCUCCAAAAAUUCCACAAAUAUUCAGGCAGCCUCUAGAUGCAAUAAGAGGCCCCUCCACCAAAAACUAGCUCCAGGAAAAAUCACUACAUGCCUAGAUCAUUCUGUCGAAUGCCUUGCAUGCACUUUUUCUGUUCAUCUUCAGUUAAGUUCAGAGUUUCAGUGUCGAUCUUCGUCAGAAAUUCAGUCACAUGCUCACAGUGCACUUGGCACGUUGCUCACGGCCUAGCUUGCUUGUCCGGAGCCUCACACGCGCGCUUAGCGCCUUCUUGGCGUCGGUGGCGCCCUGGCCCGCCUGCGCCGGGGUGCUUUGCGGCGGCCGUAUCACCGUAGCGGCCGAGAGGGAGCAGAACGGCGGCAUAACACCGUUCGGCGCCGCCCAAACCCCCUGGUGGCUCCGCGUGGCCAUUUCGUCCCCAGCGCACGCAUGCAGCACCGCCGCCGUGGCGCGACACGCACAGAGCGUGCUCCCUGUCGCCGACGGGCCUGCACCGCCGCGUUCCGUCGAGCUCCCCCUAAGCAACCAAAUACCGACGUGGUUAGCACCUAAACGGAACCAGGGAACACCCACGACGACGCUCAACCUCUGAACCCUCCCGUGCAACCACAGCGCCGCCGUAAUCACCUCGCCGGAGAACCCCGUUCUCGGCAACCGCCUCGGGGCGGCUAUAUAUAGCACCCCGAGCUUGCUCUCGCCCCCGCACGACUCCACCACCUCACCAGACCCCGCCCAGCCACUGAACGAGCCUCGAGGGGCCUUUCCUCCUCGACUCCGGCCACCUCCAUCCGCCUCGGGCCCCGGCAUCGUUCUCUCCGGUGAGAAUUCCUCCGCCGCCCUACUUUCACCCGUGGCCUCGUACCACCUCUAGUAGGAUAAUCCCCACCUCCAUUUUGACCCCGCAGCUCUCUCCGGCGAGAUCCGCGACCACCCGAUUCGCCGUCCGCCGGAGCAAGCGUCGCCGCCGACGUGGUACUCGCCGGCGACCACCACCACCUCCCACAGACGCGGAAUGGUGUCACAUCCCUAGCUUCUGGUGCUGUCUAGUGUUGCAUCUUGCUUGCAUCAUGUUUAAAUUUUUGAAACUUGAACUGGGGAAAUUUGGAAGCCUCAAAACCCUAAAUAAAAGAAGGGCAAAAACCCUAAAAUCUCAUUCAUUGUUCCAAAAUGCUCUUCUUAAAUGUUUGAUAAUUUUUGGCAAGGGUUCUGGUCCCAACCAAAAUAUUGAACAUUUUUAAGGAUUUAUUUUUGGGACUUUGUAUUUAAAUCAUUAGCUAUUUGAAUUUGAAUUAUAUUCAUAUAAUUAGAAUAUAAUUUCAAAUCCCCCUGAAAUAUUUUAUGAGCUUUUGGAAAAGUCCAUCUAGCAAAAUAAAAAUAUUCAGAGGAGUUUUUGGCAUUGUUUGAAUUUGUUUAAAUUCAAAACAGUGGCAAAAGAUAUUAAUAAAAGAAAAUAGAACAAUAGCACAGAAAUAAAAGAUAGAAGCCCAGCCACUUACCGGGCGCCUACCUGUGCGGCCCGCUGCAGAAGCCUGCCCAGCCCAUCUCCACUCCCCCCCUGUCGUCUUCCUCAUGCCAGUAGGCAGCGCGCGUGGCCGACGCACGCCGGCGCACGCCUCGGCCACCUCCUGCUUGCCGCUCCACCUCGACGCCUGGACGCCUCUGGGAGACGCCACGCACCCUCCCUGGAACCCCCUCGACCUCUCCCAUCGCCUCUCCCCUUCUCCGUCCCUCUCGCACACAACCGGCCGAGCGCCACCGUCGCUGACCCUCGCUGCCCUCGCGGCCACCGCCACCCCCUCUCCUCCCCGACGCGCUCCCGAGUUCCGCAGUACCUCCCUCGACCUCUCCGUCGGCUCACGCGACCGAAGAAGCCCUGAAGCGCCGUCCCGACGCUUUUCCCCUCCUCGGCCACCGAGGACCGCCGCCGUCGAUUCGCCGCCGUCGCCGCCUCCCCGAGCUCGCCGUCUGCUCCAACCGACUCCCCGUGCGUGCCUCCGGUGGGUUCGUGAGCUCUCAUAGAAUGCGUAGGUGCUAACCGUAGAUCCUCCCGUGCACGGUGUCGUCGUUUUCAUCGGCGCCCGAACUCCGGCCGCCGCCACGACCUCGCUUCCGGCGAACUCCGUCCACCCCCGCACCCCCCCGUUGGUUCCCCUAGAUGCGCGCGGGCGCGGGCUACCCCCUGGUAGCCUUCGCGCAUCCAUCCGUCGCCCGCAGCUCAAGUCCAGCGAGUUGCUGCCGCAGUUUAGGUCAUCGCCGGUGAAACUCCGGCGGGAGCUGACGUGGCUCCGUCAUUAGGAGCUAACCCAACUAACUAAACAACCUACAGCCACUGACAGUAGGCCCCACCCCUGGUCAAACCCCAGUCAGCGCUGGGUUUGACCGGGAUUAGUUACUGUGUCACUGACCAGUGGACCCCACUGGUCAGGUUUGACCCGAGGCAGCCCAGUUGACUCUGCUGACGUCACAGUGACGUGGUGCUGACGCCAUAAAUCAUUUCUGGAUUUAUUAUUAUUCAGAAAAUUCAGAAAAUGCCCUAAACUUCAAUAAAUCAUAGAAAUUCAACCGUAACUCCAAAUUAAAUAAUUUAUAUAUGAAAAAUUAUCAGAAAAAUUCAAGGAAUCCAUCUGUACCAUUUUCAUGCAUGUUAGAACAACUUAUAGCUGCUGUUUAGCACAAAUCAAUUAAAUGGCAUUUGAAUAAUCACAUAUGGAGUUUGAAUUUGAAUCUUGUAUUCAAACCAACUUCAUUUAAUCUGUUGCUAGUUGCAUUAGCUCAAAACACAUUCAUAUUGCCAUGUCAUGAGCAUGCAUCAUAUUGUGCAUUGCAUUGAUUGUAUUUCUUCUUUGUUGCCGGUAUCUGUUCCCUCCCGGUAGAUGAUGUUCCGACGUUGUGAUCGUUGACACUGAUGAAGACUCAAUGUUAUCUUCAGAAGUGCCAGGCAAGCAAAACCCCCUUGUUCAUUCCGAUAAAAUCCCACUCUCUCGCCCCUGCUCUCUUUUACUGCAUUAGGUCAACAUCGAUUCAUCUGUUACUUGCUGCGGUAGCUGAACCCCUUUAUCCUCUGCAUGACCUGUCAUUCCACAGUAAAUAGAUGAAACCCACUAGCAUGAGUAGGAGUUGUUUGAGCCCUGUUGUGCCUACUCAUUCUUGCUUGUUUGUCAUGCCUGCUACUGCUUAGAGUUGUGUCAGGUCUGAUUCAUCGGGAAUGAAUCAGAGGUGUGUGAAUAUGUCCUACUGUGUGUGAGCUAAGUGUGUGAACACGAUUUGGUAAAGGUAGCGGUGAGAGGCCAUGUAGGAGUACAUGGUGGGUUGUCUCAUUGAAGCCGUCCUUAGGAACUGAGUUCUGUGUUUGUGAUCCAUGAUUCAGCUACUACCAUGCAUUGGGCCCUGAAAUAUGACCUCGCUCAACUUCUUAUUCACCCUAGUCCUCUGUCCAGGAGUUGCAAGUAGUUUCUGGUGUUUGUAGCUUACUGGAGGCCAUGGACAGCGCUGACCGUAGGGGUGGGCUGUGAUGCGGUAGGUACGUGGCACGGUGUACCAGAUGCCCGUUUGCUGUCUCGGGAACCCUGUUCACAUCGUUUGGGGCUGUGAGCGAAACUCCGGCCGGAUCUCCUCAUGGAUGGAACCCGAAUAGGCGAUAAACCUGGACUAGAGACUUGAGUGUUUAGGUAGGUCGUGGUCUACACCCACGUCGGCUUCCGCUUGAAGUCUGCCGAGCACAUGUCGUGUGCAGACGCUAAGUGGUGGAAACAUGUAUGAAGAAGUACACCCCUGCAGGGUUAACAUCAUCUAUUCGAAUAGACGUGUCCGCGGUAAAGGACUUCUGGGUUGCUUAUAUCAGUUCAUAGACAAGUGGAAGUGGAUACCCUAAAAUACGCAAGAUAAUCAUCUAUUCGAAUAGCCGUGUCCGCGGUAAAGGACUUCUGGGUUGCUUAUAUCAGUUCAUAGACAAGUGGAAGUGGAUACCCUAAAAUACGCAAGAUAAUCAUCUAUUCGAAUAGCCGUGUCCGCGGUAAAGGACUUCUGGGUUGCUUAUAUCAGUUCAUAGACAAGUGGAAGUGGAUACCCUAAAAUACGCAAGAUAAGCGUGAGUNNNNNNNNNNGAUCUCCUCAUGGAUGGAACCCGAAUAGGCGAUAAACCUGGACUAGAGACUUGAGUGUUUAGGUAGGUCGUGGUCUACACCCACGUCGGCUUCCGCUUGAAGUCUGCCGAGCACAUGUCGUGUGCAGACGCUAAGUGGUGGAAACAUGUAUGAAGAAGUACACCCCUGCAGGGUUAACAUCAUCUAUUCGAAUAGACGUGUCCGCGGUAAAGGACUUCUGGGUUGCUUAUAUCAGUUCAUAGACAAGUGGAAGUGGAUACCCUAAAAUACGCAAGAUAAUCAUCUAUUCGAAUAGCCGUGUCCGCGGUAAAGGACUUCUGGGUUGCUUAUAUCAGUUCAUAGACAAGUGGAAGUGGAUACCCUAAAAUACGCAAGAUAAGCGUGAGUGCUAUGGAUGGCGUUCUCGUAGGGAGACGGGAGUGGAUCCAUAGUGGUGUAUUGAUAUGGUGAAUGUGUGGACUCGUGUGCGCCACCUCAAAGGAGUUUGAUUGCAGUCGUAGUUCAGGUUAGCCACCGAGUCAAAGCUGGCUUGCUGCAGUUAUACCCCACCAUCCCCUUUGUUGAUAAUGAUGCGUAUGUAGAUAGUUCUGAUGUAAGUCUUGCUAGGUACAUUUGUACUCACGUUUGCCUAUUUAUGUUUUUGCAGAGAGACUUCAGUCUCACUAGUAGUUCCACGUGGACUUCGACGUUUAGCUUGUUACCUCAGCUACGAUCUUGUGCCCUCGGCAGGAUCUGGUAGAUAGUCAGGCUUCUCAGCCUUUUUCAUUUAUAGAUGUCUGUACUCAGACAUGAUAGCUUCCGCUUGUGCUUGAUUUGUAUGCUCUGAAUGUUGGGUCGUGAGACCCCUAUUUGUAAUAUCUCGCUCCUCGGAGCCUAUUGAAUAAAUACUUGAGUCGUAGAGUCAUGUUGUGAUGCCAUGUUGUGUUUGCACAUAUCGAGCAUAUUGUGUGUAUGUUAUUGAAAUGCUUGGUAUGUGUGGGAUCUGACUAUCUAGUUGUUUAUCUUUAGUAGCCUCUCUUACCGGGAAAUGUCUCCUAGUGUUUCCACCGAGCCAUGGUAGCUUGAUACUGCUCCAGAACACUUAGGCUGGCCGGCAUGUGUCCUUCUUUGUUCCUGUGUCUGUCCCUUCGGGGAAAUGUCACGCGAUGGAUACCGGAGUCCUGUUAGCCCGCUACAGCCCGGUACACCGGAGUCCUGCUAGCCCAGUGCUACAGCCUGGAUUCACUCGCUGAUGACCGACACGUUCGAUGCUGGGUCAUGGAUGCCUGUCCCUGUAAGUUAGUUCCACUUUGGGUUUACGACUAGCCAUGUCAGCCCGGGCUCCUUAUCAUAUGGAUGCUAGCGACACUGUCAUAUACGUGUGCCAAAAGGCGCAAACUGUCCCGGGCAAAGGUAAGGCGACACCCGUGGGAAUACCGUGCGUGAGGCCGCAAAGUGAUAUGAGGUGUUACAUGCUAGAUCGAUGUGGCAUUGAGUCGGGGUCCUGACAAAUGGCGCCCUGAGCAUGGAGGUACUCUCCGAUCUCCCUGCCUCGCCGUGGAUCGCCGCUGGCGACCACCGCGGCUCUCGGGCGCCGACGAGCCCCGACUCCCUCGUUUGAAAUUUCAAAACUGACGGGUGGGACCCGCCCGUCAGCCUCUCCUUUGUUUUUUUGAAUCAUUUACUGAAAGCGUACUCUGGAGAAUACACUUCCACUCUGAACCGUUUUCUUGGAUUUUUUCUGCAAAGCCCCCUGGAAGUUUUCUGUUUCAUUACAGAUGGGUCCUUGGGUUAAAACCCUUAUAACUUUUUAACAUAAAGGAAUUUUUGAGUGAUUCCUUUUCUGUCCUCUUGAAAUUUUUGUCUAGUUUUUUAUCAUGUUUAUUUGAAAAAUAUUUGGAACACUUUUCUGUACACUCACGGUAUUUACGUUGCGUACGUAUUUUUUCUUAUACCGUAGAUACCGGAGGAGGUGACGGAGCUGCAAACUUCGCACAGUUAGACUCCGACUACUCCGAACCAGGCAAGCAUGUUUGAACUCUUGAUAUGAUGAGUGUUGUUGCAUGUUUGCAUUUUAGUAUGGUCAUGGCAUGUUUAGGAACAUCACUUUGAAUGUUAUGUUUCAUGCACAUAAUCGGAAAGUAAGUUUCGGAAAGCAUUAUGUUGUUGGAUACAUAUUUGCAUGAGGAUGGGUAAGAUGGCAGUGUUGUGACAUGCCAGUCUUAUGCCAGAUUAUUUGACUUCCGUGUCAUCGUGAAACAAAUCACAUAUCCAUUCUUUCCUUCCUAUACUGUCACAUGUUUUACGAAAGGAAUAUGGCAUAGUAAGUUGCAAAUCGUUUUCCUGGUACACACCAAAUAGAUAGGCCGGGGUGAGGGUUCCAUGGCCCUGGAUUAAAGCCCGUCAUCCGGUCAGGGGGCAUGGGUGUUUCCGGUUGGGACCGAGAGGGGGGCACCCCUUAGAGCGCGCGUAUAGAAAUUUGAUCCCAUGCUAUUCGAGGUUGUGGCCUCCCCGUCUCAAAGUUUUUCUUGGAUGUUGUCCAGGGUGAUUCGUGGCAUCGUGAGGUGAAAUGGGUGUGUACUAGUUAAAUGUGUUUCUACUGAAAUACCGUAAACGGAACUAGUCCUUUGUGACUACGGAAAUCCGUUGGCUGUGGUCAGAUCAUCGAAACUCUGCAGAGUCUCAAAUCCUUCAAUUAUCUUGUACUUUGUUCAAGUACUAUAUUCAUCUUAUCUUGUCAGGUGCCAGCCUCAGUGACAAAACUCUGGUGGGAUUUAUGUGUGAUAAAUCCGGUUAAAAGAUUAUUCUUGUGGAUGGACUAAUCUUGUUAUUUACAUUUAUUACAAGCCCUGUCUGCGAUGUCGCUCAGAUGUCCGACGGUGGCAUACCUAUUAUUUACUUUUGAUAUAGGCCCUGUCUGUGAUGUCGCUCAGACGUCCGACGGUGGCGGACCUGUUAUUUACUUUUGUUAUAAGCCCUUUAUGUGAUGUCGCCCAGACAUCCGAUUGUGGCAUUUCUUUUAAAGCCCUUUAUGUGAUGUCGCCUAGACGUCCGACUGUGGCAUUUCUUUUAAAGCCCUUUAUGUGAUGUCGCCCAGACGUCCGACUGUGGCAUUUCUUUUAAAGCCCUUUAUGUGAUGUCGCCUAGACGUCCNNNNNNNNNNNNNNNNNNNNNNNNNNNNNNNNNNNNNNNNNNNNNNNNNNNNNNNNNNNNNNNNNNNNNNNNNNNNNNNNNNNNNNNNNNNNNNNNNNNNNNNNNNNNNNNNNNNNNNNNNNNNNNNNNNNNNNNNNNNNNNNNNNNNNUCUGUGAUGUCGCUCAGACGUCCGACGGUGGCGGACCUGUUAUUUACUUUUGUUAUAAGCCCUUUAUGUGAUGUCGCCCAGACAUCCGAUUGUGGCAUUUCUUUUAAAGCCCUUUAUGUGAUGUCGCCUAGACGUCCGACUGUGGCAUUUCUUUUAAAGCCCUUUAUGUGAUGUCGCCCAGAUGUCCGACUGUGGCAUUUCUUUUAAAGCCCUUUAUGUGGUGUCGCUAAGACGCCCGACUGCGGCAUUCCUUUUAAGCCCUUUAUGUGGUGUCGCUUAGACGCCCGACUGCGGCAUUUCUUUUAAGCCCUUUAUGUGGUGUUGCUUAGACGCCCGACUGCGGCAUGCAUUUUAUUACCUUUCGAGGCGUCGCUCCUGACACCCAAUCGGUUUUAAGUUAUUUAUUUUAUUUAUCAAGUCCUGCAAUAUUACCGUUGUUAUAUGAGCAUCAUCCUUUGUUCAUGACGCAUUCAUGCAUUCAUUGAUUAUAUCUUUUGUCCGAACUGUCUUGCGAGUACUUUCAAGUACUCACCUGGCUUGUUGAUUUGGCCAGAUGUUGAGGAAGGCGAUCUCUUGGAUGAAGAGUUUGAUAGCGAGUCCGAAGCCUGGAGGAGUCCCAGUCAGUCCCGUGCGAUCCUAUCUUGGUCAUUGUAUUAUCCGCUUCUGCAACCCCGAAAUAAAUUCAUCGAGCCUCACCUCGACGCUCGAUGUGCUGCCAGUAGAAGUCAAGUUAUCCACCACCAUUUUUCCUCGAGCUAGUAGCAUGCCACCACACCCCUGUGUCAUAGCCGCCCAUAUGUAAGAUAUUGGCGAGUUUGUAAUACAUUGUUGAGCAGCCUCAGCUCAACCCUGUAAUAUAUUUGAUGCUACUGGUUCUCUGUUUAUCAAGCUUUUGUCUACCAGAAAGGAUGGCUUUUCCUAUACUGGGUUUAAUAAGAUUGGUUUUAUCAAUAAACAUUUUAUUGAAAAGCCGGUCGUGACAUUAUUUGAGGUUCUAUCAAUUGCCCAACUGUAAUUUGUUUACCCACCGUUUGCUAUCUUUCUUGAGAGAAGCCACUAGUGAAACCUACGCCCCCCGGGUCUCCUUUCUCAUACAUUUUCCUUGCAAUCUACUUUUCCUUUGCAUUUUUAUUCAGAUCUACUAAACCAAAAAAAUACAAAAAUACCUUGCUACAAUUUAUCUUUAUUUAUUUUAUUUGGCGUUCGAUCUAUCCAUUUACUACAAAAUUAUCUCACGUCUGUUUGCCACUUAAGGCGCCGUACCCCGAAAGGGAUUGACAACCCCUUUAACACGUGGGCUGCGAGGAUUUGUUAUCUGUAUGCAGGGGUUGUUUACGUUGUGUUGCUUGGUUCUCCUACUAGUUCUAUAACCUUGGUCUCAUCUGAGCGAAAUACCUACCGCCGCUGUGCGGCAUCAUCCCUUCCUCUUUCGGGAAAUACCGAAGUAGCUUCAAGCAACAUCACACAACUGUUUCUGAAGAGCUGUACUCAUUGGCCAAGGGACCAUCUUCGACUGCAUUAACAUACAAAGGGUACGAGAUAAAUGAGAAUACAUUUUACUUGAUCGCCCGAGAUUAAAAGAGCACCAACCAGAACAGUGGUGUCUGCUUUGAUGCAGCAACCAAGAGGGGAAAGGACACAUAUUAUGGUUACAUAGUGGACAUAUGGGAACUUGACUAUGGACAUGAUUUUAAGGUCUCUUUGUUUUAGUGCAAAUGGGCCAGUCUGCCAGGAGGCAGGGUACAGGUAGACUGAUACGUCUCCAACGUAUCUAUAAUUUUGAUUGUUCCAUGCUAUUAUAUUACCCCUUUUGUAUGAUUAUGGGCUUUAUUUUACACAUUUAUAUCAUUUUUGGGCCUAACCUGCUAAUAGGAGGCCCAGCCUGUAUUGCUGUUUUUUGCCUAUUUCAGUAUUUCGAAGAAAAGGAAUAUCAAAUGGAGUCCAAACGGAAAGAAACCUUCGGGAGCGUGAUUUUUGGAACGAACGUGAUCCAGAGAACUUGGAGUGCAAGUCAAGAAGCAAACGAGGUGGCCAGGAGAUAGGAGGGCGCGCCCACCCCUCCUGGAUGUGCCCCUGUCUCCUGGGCCCCUCGAGCGGCCACCGACGUACUUCUUCCUCCUAUAUAUAUCUACGUACCCCGAAAACAUCCAGAGAGCCACCAAAACACAAUUUCUACCGCCAUAACCUUUUGUAUCCGCGAGAUCCCAUCUUGGAGCGUUUGCCGGUGCUCCGCUGAAGGGGGAAUCGACCAUGGAGGCCUUCUACAUCAACACCAUAGCCGCUACGAUGAGUUGUGAGUAGUUUACCACAGACCUUCGAGUCCAUGGUUAUUAGCUAGAUGACUUCUUUUCUCUUUUUGGAUCUCAAUACAAUGUUCCCCCCUCUCUUGUGGAGAUCUAUUCUAUGUAAUCUCCUUUUGUGGUGUGUUUGUCGAGAUCCGAUGGAUUGUGGGUUUAUGAACAAGUUUAUCUAUGAGAAAUAUUUGAAUCUUCUUUGAAUUCUUUUAUGUAUGAUUGAGUUAUCUUUGCAAGUCUCUUCAAAUUAUCAGUUUGGUUUGGCCUACUAGAUUGAUCUUUCUUGCCAUGGGAGAAGUUCUUAGCUUUGGGUUCAAUCUUGCAGUGUCCUUAACCAGUGACAGAAAGGGUUGCAAGGCACGUAUUGUAUUGUUGCCAUCGAGGAUAAAAAAAUGGGUUUUAUAUCAUAUUGCUUGAGUUUAUCCCUCUACAUCAUGCCAUCUUUCUUAAUGCGUUACUUUGUUCUUAUGAACUUAAUACUCUAGAUGCAUGCUGGAUAGUGGUCGAUGUGUGGAGUAAUAGUAGUAGAUGCAGGUAGGAGUUGGUCUACUUGUCACGGACGUGAUGCCUAUAUACAUGAUCAUGCCUAGAUAAUCUCAUAAUUAUUCACUUUUCUAUCAAUUGCUCGACAGUAAUUUGUUCACCCACCAUAAUACUUAUGCUAUCUUGAGAGAAGCCACUAGUGAAACCUAUGGCCCCCGGGUCUAUCUUUUAUCAUAUAAGCUUUCAAUCUACUUUUAUUUGCCUCUUUACUUUUUGCAUCUGUAUUAUAAAAUACCAAAAAUAUAUUUAUCUUAUCAUAUUAUCUCUAUCAGAUCUCCCUUUCGCAAGUGUCCGUGAAGGGAUUGACAACCCCUUUAUUGUGUUGGUUGCGAGUUCUUUGUUUCUUUGUGUGGGUGUGUGGGACUUUUGAGGAGCCUCCUACUCGAUUGAUACCUUGGUUCUCAAAAACUGAGGGAUAUACUUACGCUACUAUUGCUGCAUCACCAUUUCCUCUUCAAGGAAAACCAAUGCAAGCUCAAGGCGUAGCAAGAAGGAUUUCUGGCGCCAUUGACGGGGAAGCUUCCACCAAGUCAAGUCAAGAUUCGACCUCCCGCCAAUGAAGGAUUUCUGGCGCCGUUGCCGGGGAGGUCUUCGCUCAAGUCAAGACAUACCAAGUACCCAUCACAAACUCAUCUCCCUCGCAUUUACAUUAUUUGCCAUUUGCCUCUCGUUUUCCUCUCCCCCACUUCACCUUUGCCGUUUUAUUUGCCCUCUCUUUCCAAAUCUCUCUCUCUUUUUUGCUUGCCCUUUUCUGUUUGCUCAUGUGUUAGAUCGUUUACCUUGUCGUUAUGGCUAGUUCCUUAUCCGCUCCUAUGUGUCCCGAGUUUGAAGUUCUUCACUUCAAGAAAAGGCAAGGAGAAAACUUAAAAGAUGCUUGGUAUAUGAUGAUGGAAUCUUAUCGCAAGUGCACCCUAGAGGUGAACUUUAGAAUUAUUCUUUGCAAUUUUUAUGUUGGGCUAAAUAUGUCGCAUAGACAACUCUUGGAUUGCAUAUUGCCAAGGGAAAUUUUAUUGAAAUUGAUCCUAGUAUUGCUCAUGAAAUUAUAGAGGGAAUAGUGGGAACACUACCUCAAAAGGGAGGAUGACAUCCUACCCAAGAAGAAACACAAGUGUUUGGAAAGAUUUGCGAAGUAACAAUUUUUUUACAAAAGUCUCUUGAGCCUCUUAAAAAGUGUUAGCGGAAAUCUUCACCGCAUGAAUAUGUUGUUUACUCUUUGCAAUAAGCAGUUGGAUUCUUUAGAUAUAAAAAUUUCCGAGUAUGAAGGGAAACGUAAAGAACCUCCCGGAUUUGAGCAUGACUCCGCUAAAAAACUGAAAAUUAAAGAUGGCACUACUUAGAUCUAUCUUCGCUUUUAUGCCUAGCUAGGGGCGUUAAACGAUAGCGCUAGUUGGGAGGAAACCCAAUUUUCUUUGUGUUUUUUGUUUUUGUUCCUGUUUAGUAAUAAAUUUUGCAUAUACUUUGUGUUUAGAUGUGUUUUCAUGCUUUAAUUAGUGUUUCUACCAAGUAGAACCUAUAGGAUAACCUAUGAUGAUAGUUGAUUUGAUUCUGCUGAAAAACAGAAACUUUGCACGCACGAAAUUAAUUUUGUUAAAUCACAGAAACGUGAUUUUGUGUUCAUUAUUUUUGCUUCUGAUCAAUAAACAAAUUGUCCAGGACUUCCUAUUUUGGUAGGAUUUUUAGAGUUCCAAAAGUUUGCGUUAGUUACAGAUUGCUACAGACUGUUCUAUUUUUGACAGAUUCUAUUUUUCGUGUGUUCUUUGCUUAUUUUGUUGCAUCUAUGCCUAGUAUUAAGUGGUAUGAACCAUAGAGAACUUGGAAUACAGUAGUUUUAACACCAAAAUAAAUAAAAAUGUGUUCAUUACAGUACCUUAUGUGGUGGUUUUGUUUUCUUUCACUAACGGAGCUUAUAAGAUUUUCUGUUGAGUUUUGUGUUGUGAAGUUUUCAAGGUUUGGGUAAAGCUUUGAUGGACUAUGGAAUAAGGAGUGGGAAAAGCGUAAGCUUUGGGAUGCCCAUGGCACCCUAAGAUAUUCAAGAAUAGCCAAAAGCCUAAGCUUGGGGAUGCCCCGGGAAGGCAUCCCCUCUUUCGUCUUUGUUCAUUGGUAACUUUACUUGGAGCUAUAUUUUUAUUCGCCACAUGAUAUGUGUUUUGCUUGGAGUGUCGUGUAUUAUAUUAGUCUUUGUUUUUUAGUUUACCACAAUCAUCCUUGCUGUAAACAUCUUUUGGGAGAAGCCUAUUGUCGGUGUACUAGAGUAGGGGUACCCUAGUAUCCCGAACUCGUGCACGGGCAGUUGCAGCGGCCCGCGGCAAGGCUUGCCGGGUGACCGCCAAGACCCUCCGUGGUUCCCUCGAAGACCAUUCAAGAACAAAGUACUCAAACCAAGGCCCCGGCAAGAGGAGCUUGCCGGGAAGGCCAACCAAGGCCCCGGCAAGAGGAGCUUGCUGGGAAGGCCAACCCAGGCCCCGGCAAGAGGAUCUUGCCGGGAAGAGACAAGACCCCAGCAAGAGGAGCUUGCCGGGAAGGCCACUCAAGGCAUACCAAGAAAGCUUGCCGCGAUGCGCCCUGCGUCCCGGCAAGGCCCGGUGAGCAACAAGCUCCCAAACACGACAAGACGACGACCGCGGCAAGGAGCUUGCCGCGGGAAACCCCCACUUCGUGCCCGCGCUCCAGCACACCUGCUAACGUGUCGCUUGAGGACUCUCCCAAGCACACGUGACAGGAGGCCGUGCAGCUAGGGGUGCACGGUGGCAAGCGGAGAUGAAGAGAAGGCCAUCGUGGCAAACGGUGGCGCUCCUAACGGUCACUCUUUGCACUGUUUAGGCAACUCAGACAGGCAUUCAAUGCCCUUGUCCCCUGCCGUCAGAGUUAGGUAGGGUGCACUGUAUCCACAGAAGCGGUAGCUGCACCUACCGCAUCCUUUUCCAUUUUUACCCUUCUAUGUCUACGUUGCCACCUGUCGGUGACCCCUUGAAAGUAUAAAAGGAGUCCCAAGCGCAACGUAGAAGGGGUUCGGCCAGUUCGGCUCAUUCGAAACACCAGAAACACUCCCACGCUCAGUCUGGCAGCGUCCAUCGCUCCUGAGCAAGGAUUCAAUACACACAAACAAGCAGCAGUGUGGUUUUACGCAUCCGUGCGGCCCGAAGCUGGGUAAAAACUGCCCGCGUGUACCGCCUCGAUCCGCUCUUUGUGCAACCUCCGCCUCCCUCCGAACCAAAAGGGGCCCUGUCCCCAUAGGUGUUGGUGGAUCAGCCUCCCCGACAUCUCUGGCGCGCCAGGUAGGGGGGCGUCGAGAUUGUGCGAACCCGAUCCGGCGUGCACGCGAGCUAGAUCUUCAUCUUCUUCAUCGACAUGCCACCGAAGAAGAAGACUUCGGCGGUAGCCGUUCCAUCCUCGUCAAGGCUCAGCUGUUCUUCAUCGUCAUGGCUCCCAAGAAGCAGGCGACCAAAAGAACGAUGCCAGUGCGGCAACAGAAAAGCUAAGUCAUGCGAAACUUUAGUUACUUCCUUUCUAUAUAAGGUUAUCCGCCUCGGAGAUCUUGUUCUUUGUAUGGAAAACCUGUGCACGGAGGAACCAACUCGUAGCUAGUUGCUCCUUUACUUUGUUUCGAGUCCGCUCAACAACUUAAGUGAGCUGCUAGCGCCCUUACUUUGCUUCGAGUCCGCUCAACAACUUAAGUGAGCCGCUAGCGCCCUUACUUUGUUUCGAGUCCACUCAACAACUUAAGUGAGCUGCUAGCGCCCUUACUUUGCUUCGAGUCCGCUCAGCAACUUAAGUGAGCCGCUAGCGCCCUUACUUUGUUUUGAGUCCGCUCAACAACUUAAGUGAGCUGCAACUAGUUGCGACAAGGUUUCUUGUCGGUAGCGACCCCGCCAGCAGGCUACUGAAGUUCCGCACUCGGCGCUCGCGGCAAGGGUGCCUGCACCGGCAAGUUUCCCUAGAAAGCGUAGGGUGGACGUACAAAGAGAGGUUGAACAGGAAGAUACCAUGCACUAUUUGUUUGAGAUUUCUGCAUAGACCUGUAUGCCAAGGAGCCUUCUCGCGGCUAGUUGCGCUCCAUGUUGCCUCGAGUCCGCUCGGCAACUUGUGCGGUUGCGCUAGAACCAAGAAGGUAAACCUUUCCGGGAGGCGACGUUCCCAAAUAGCCGCUGAGGGCCCGUUCCCUCAAGCGCUGCUGGCUGGAUCGUACGCACCGGAAAGCAUUCCAGCAGGCAUAGGCAAUAUGUAGCAGAAGUCAAAAUUUGCAAGUGAGUUAAGUGCACUUCAGACCAGUCUUCUUGGUGUUAAGAACGACGAAGUUCUUUGCCAUAAGCCUUCUCGGCAACAAGCUUGCCGGAAGCCAGCAUCGAGAACGUCAAAGUCCUCUGCUGAAGAUAAAAGCCUUGUCGGCAACAAGCUUGCCGGAAGCCGGCAUCGAGAACAUCAAAGUCCUCUGCUGAAGAUAAAAGCCUUCUCGGCAACAAGCUUGCCGGAAGCUGGCAUCGAGAACGUCAAAGUUCUCUGCUGAAGAUAAAAGCCUUCUCGGCAACAAGCUUGCCGGAAGCCGGCAUCGAGAACGUCAAAGUUCUCUGCUGAAGAUAAAAGCCUUCCUGGUGACGAGCUUGCCGGAAGCCGGCGACACGGAUGAUGGGGUCGCCGGUGCCGCGCAAAGCGGCGCCCGACGCCUAGUCGGACCCGCCACUCCGCCGCCCGCUACCCUCACCGUCGCUGUCGCUCUCCUCCUCGUCACUCUCGCUCGAGGAGGAGCCUUCGCUGUCGGAGGAGCUGUCCACGCAGCACUUCGCCCGAGUGCCGAAGCACCCGAAGACCUUAACGGAGAGGAGAUCGCCCUCCAUCAACUUAAAAUGGAGGGUAAACCCCUCCAUCAGGCUGUGGAUACGGGCGAACGUCUUCCACCCUCGAUCAAGAUACAUCACAUUAGGGGCUGGGAAUACAACGCGGACUCGUGUGCCGCUGAUCCCACAGCCCCUCAUGUGCAGUCUCAGUGUCUCGGGCGGGUCCAACUACAUCGCGCCCGCAAACGGAGCUGGAAGCCGGAGGCGACCACGAGGCGCCCGGCGCAGCUUGACGAAGAACUCGCAAGGGUCGUCCCCUAUAUGGACCGUCGUGGGUGGAGGAGCCGCCGGCGGAGGCGAAGCUGGCGCGCCGCCCCGCCCGCCUCUUCCCCGAGCGCCUCGACCUCGUCCUCGACCUCGUCCACGACCUCGCCCCCUCCCUCUUGUCGGGAGCUUGCCGGGAAGGCCAACCAAGGCCCCGGCAAGAGGAGCUUGCCGGGAAGGCCAACCCAGGCCCCGGCAAGAGGAUCUUGCCGAGAAGAGACAAGACCCCGGCAAGAGGAGCUUGCCGGGAAGGCCACUCAAGGCAUACCAAGAAAGCUUGCCGCGACGCGCCCUGCGUCCUGGCAAGGCCCGGUGAGCAACAAGCUCCCAAACACGACAAGACGACGACCGCGGCAAGGAGCUUGCCGCGGGAAACCCCCACUUCGUGCCCGCGCUCCAGCACACCUGCUAACGUGUCUCUCUAGGACUCUCCCAAGCACACGUGGCAGGAGGCCGUGCAGCUAGGGUUGCACGGUGGCAAGCGGAGAUGAAGAGAAGGCCAUCAUGGCAAACGGUGGCGCUCCUAACGGUCACUCUUUGCACUGUUUAGGCAACUCAGACAGGCAUUCAAUGCCCUUGUCCCCUGCCGUCAGAGUUAGGUAGGGUGCACUGUAUCCACAGUAGCGGUAGCUGCACCUACCGCAUCCUUUUCCAUUUUUACCCUUCUAUGUCUAUGUUGCCACCUGUCGGUGACCCCUUGAAAGUAUAAAAGGAGGCCCAAGCGCAACGUAGAAGGGGUUCGGCCGGUUCGGCUCAUUCGAAACACCAGAAACACUACAACGCUCAGUCUGGCAGCGUCCAUCGCGCCUGAGCAAGGAUUCAAUACACACAAACAAGCAGCAGUAGGGUUUUACGCAUCCGUGCGGCCCGAAGCUGGGUAAAAACCGCCCGCGUGUACCGCCUCGAUCCGCUCUUUGUGCAACCUCCGCCUCCCUCCGAACCGAAAGGGGCCCUGUCCCCAUAGGUGUUGGUGGAUCAGCCUCCCCGACACCUAUUUGAUUUGAAUUUAUUAGAAUAUGCUAUGUGCUUCACUUAUAUCUUUCGAGCUUGAUAGUUUUUGCUCUAGUACUUCACUUAUAUCUUUUUGAGCACGGCGGUGGCUUGAUUUUAUAGAAAUUGCUAGUAUCUCAUACUUCACUUAUAUUAUUUUGAGAGUCUUUUAGAACAGCAUGGUAUUUUCUAUGGUUAUAAAUUGGUCCUUGAAUGGUAGGCAUCCAAGUUGGGUAUAAUAAAAACUACGAUAGGAAGUGAUUUGGAUGCUAUGAUCAAUUUGAUACUUGAUAAUUGUUUUGAGAUAUGGAGGUAGUGAUAUUAAAGUCAUGCUAGUUGGGUGAUUAUGAAUUUAAAGAAUGCUUGUGUUGAAGUUAGCAAGUCUCGUAGCAUGCACGUAUGGUUAAAGUUGUGUAAAAAAUGCUUGUGUUGGAGUGUACCUGGCUUGUGCAUCCUUAUGAGCGGCGGUCGGGGACGAGCGAUGGUCUUUUCCUACCUGUCGGGGAUAUACCCCGCGGUAUGACCCGCCUGAGGUCAUAACCCGGCUGGGACUUUGUAAACCGGCGAUGGUAAACCGGCAGACAGUUAAGACAGAUGGUUAAGACAGACGGUAAACCGGCGAGUGGUAAACCGGCAGGUUUUAAGACAGAUGGUAACACCGGCAGGAGUUAAGUCAGAUGAUAACCCGGUAGGUGUUAGGUCAAUCAAACCCGACAGGCAAUCAUAAACAGGAAGACCAUCAUAAACCGGCAGACCAUCAUAAACCGACAGAUCAUGUUAAAGUGGCAGACCAUCAUAAACCGGCAGACCAUGUUAAACCAGCACCAUACAGUGAUAACUGGGUUGCCAUGGGUUAUGAAGCCCAAAACGUUAAGAAGCCCAUGAAGGGAAGUAAAAAUAGUUGAAGUCUUAGUCCGAGAUGGACUCUACAUGUAACCCGCCCCUUCAACAUAUAUAAGGAGGGGCAGGGCUCCCCAAAAGAGGGACAAGCAACAAGAAACAAUCUCUAGGGCUAGACACAACGAGGGAGAGCCGGUUUACGGUGACUCCCUCAUGAUGAUAAUGAGACCUAGCCACAAAACAACAUGUAGGGUUGUUACCGGAUGAUGUUUCCCGGGGCCCUAAGCUGUCUAAAUCUUUGUCUUGCAUGUUGCGUCUCUCGAUUCCGCUCAACCCCUCUCUUCCUACCACAUAGAUGCGUUGGCCUCACGACUAAGUCCUCACACUAAGGACAUCUGACGUGACAAUUCCACGACACUACCAAUCUAUCCCUCUAGGAGCAUGCGCGUAGUGCUUGAUUUUUGAUGACUUCUAAAUUUUUGCAAUAAGUAUAUGAGUUCUUUUGACUAAUGUCGAGUCCAUGGAUUAUACGCACUUUUACCUUUCCACCAUGGCUAGCCUCUUCGGUACCGUGCAUUGCCCUUUCUCACCUUGAGAGUUGGUGCAAACUUCGCCGGUGCAUCCAAACCCCGUGAUACGAUACGCUCUAUCACACAUAAAUCUCCUUAUAUCUUCCUCAAAUAGCCACCAUACCUACCUAUUAUGGCAUUUCCAUAGCCAUUCCAAGAUAUAUUGCCAUGCAACUUUCCACUGUUCCGUUCAUCAUCUUCAUGACAUACUUUACUUUUGUCAUAUUGUCAUUGCAUGAUCAUGUAGAUGACAGCCACCAUGCAUAAUUUUUUUAUACAUGUCACUCUUGAUUCAUUGCACCAUCCCGGUACACCGUCGGAGGCAUUCAUAUAGAGUCAUAUCUUGUUCUAGUUUCGAGUUGUAAUUCAUAUGUUGUAAUCAAUGAAAGUGUGAUGAUCAUCAUUAUUAGAGCAUUGCCCAAAAAAAAGAAAAAAAAGAGAAAGGCCAAAAGAAAAAAAGGAAGGCCAAAGAAAAAAAGAACAAAAAAGAACAAAAAUAAAAUAAAUAAAAGGGGCAAUGUUACUAUCUCUUUUUCCACACUUGCGCUUCAAAGUAGCACCAUGUUCUUCAUGUAGUGAGUCUCAUAUUUUGUGCUUCAAAGUAGCACCAUGUUCUUCAUAUAGUGAGUCUCAUAUGUUGGCACUUUCAUAUGCUAGUGGGAAUUUUUCAUUAUAGAACUUGGCUUGUAUAUUCCUACAAUGGGCUUGCUCAAAUGCCCUAGGUCUUCGUGAGCAAACAAGUUGGAUGCACACCCACUAGUUUUCUUUUGUUGAGCAUUCAUUUAUAGCUCUAGUGCAUCCGUUGCAUGGCAAUCCCUACUCCUCAUGUUGACAUCAAUUGAUGGGCAUCUCCAUAGUCCGUUGAUUAUCCUCGUCAAUGUGAGACUUUCUCCUUUUUUGUCUUCUCCACACAAUCCCCAUCAUCAUAUUCUAUUCCACCCAUAGUGCUAUAUCCAUGGCUCACGCUCAUGUAUUGCGUGAAGGUUGAAAAAGUUUGAGAUUAUUUAAGUACAAAACAAUUGCUUGGCUUAUCAUCAGGGGUGUAGAAUUUGGGAACAUCAUUGUGUGAUGAAAAUUAAGCAUAACCUAACUAUAUGAUUUUGUAGGGAUGAACUUUAUUUAGCCAUGUUAUUUUGAGAAGACAAGAUUGCUUUGAUUAGUAUGCUUGAAGUAUUACUAUUUCUUUUAUCAAUAUGAACUUUUAUUUUGAAUCAUUUGGAUCUGAACAUUCAUGCCACAAUAAAGAAAAUUACAUUGAGAAUUAUGCUAGGUAGCAUUCCACAUCAAAAAUUCUGUUUUUAUCAUUUACCUACUCGAGGACGAGCAGGAAUUAAGCUUGGGGAUGCUUGAUAUGUCUCCAACAUAUCUAUAAUUUUUUAUUGUUCCAUGCUAUUAUAUUACCCCUUUUGGAUGUUUAUGGUCUUUAUUUUACACAUUUAUAUCAUUUUUGGGACUAACCUACUAACCGGAGGCCCAACCCGUAUUGCUGUUUUUUUGCCUAUUUCAGUAUUUUGAAGAAAAGGAAUAUCAAACGGAGUCCAAACGGAAUGAAACCUUCGGGAGCAUGAUUUUUGGAACGAACAUGAUCCGGAGAACUUGGAGUGCAAGUCAAGAAGAAAACGAGGUGGCCAGGAGAUAGGAGGGCACGCCCACCUGCCUGGGCAUGGCCCCAUGUCUCCUGGGCCCCUCGAGCGGCCACCGGCGUAAUUCUUCCUCCUAUAUAUACCUACGUACCGCGAAAACAUCCAUAGAUCCACCAAAACAAAAUCUCCACUGCCGUAACCUUCUGUAUCCGCGAGAUCCUUCGUCGGCGCUCCGCCAGAGGGGGAAUCGACCAUGAAGGGCUUCUACAUCAACACCAUAGCCCCUCUGAUGUGUUGUGAGUAGUUUACCACAGACCUUCGUGUCCAUAGUUAUUAGCUAGAUGGCUUCUUCUCUCUUUUUGAAUCUCAAUACAAUGUUCUCCCCCUCUCUUGUGGAGAUCUAUUCGAUGUAAACUCUUUUUGCGGUGUGUUUGUCGAGAUCCGAUGAAUUGUGGGUUUAUGAUCAACUUUAUCUAUGAGAAAUAUUUGAAUCCUCUCUGAAUUCUUUUAUGUAUGAUUGAGUUAUCUUUGCAAGUCUCUUUGAAUUAUCAGUUUGGUUUGGCCUACUAGAUUGAUCUUUCUUGCCAUGGGAGAAGUGCUUAGCUUUGGGUUCAAUCUUGCGGUGUCCUUACCCAGUGACAGAAAGGGUUGCAAGGCACUUAUUGUAUUGUUGGCAUCGAGGAUAAAAAGAUGGGGUUUAUAUCAUAUUGCUUGAGGUUAUCCCUCUACAUCAUGUCAUCUUUCUUAAUGCAUUACUCUGUUCUUAUGAACUUAAUACUCUAGAUGUAUGCUGGAUAGCGAUCGGUGUGUGGAGUAAUAGUAGUAGAUGCAGGCAGGAGUCGGUCUACUUGUCACGGAAGUGAUUCCUAUAUACAUGAUCAUGCCUAGAUAAUCUCAUAAUUAUUCACUUUUCUAUCAAUUGCUCGACAGUAAUUUGUUCACCCACCGUAAUACUUAUGCUAUCUUGAGAGAAGCCACUAGUGAAACCUAUGCCCCUCGGGUAUAUCUUUUAUCAUAUAAGCUUUCAAUCUACUUUUAUUUGCCUCUUUACUUUUUGCAUCUAUAUUAUAAAAUACCAAAAAUAUAUUUAUCUUAUCAUAUUAUCUCUAUCAGAUCUCACUUUUGCAAGUGGUCAUGAAGGGUUGACAACCCCUUUAUUGCGUUGCUUGCGAGUUCUUUGUUUGUUUGUGUAGGUGUGUGAGACUUUUGAGGAGCCUCCUACUGGAUUGGUACCUUGGUUCUCAAAAACUGAGGGAAAUACUUACGCUACUAUUGCUGCAUCACUCUUUCAUCUUCAAGGAAAACCAACGCAAGCUCAAGAUGUAGCAUAGACCCACAGUACGAAAUGACAAUAGUGGAUCUGAACAACCUUGGGUACACAGACAUACCAUUCGUCCCAGCCAAUGAUGUGGCGUACGUUUUCUAUGUGAUGGACAUGUCUACUAAACCGAGAAAGAGAAAAGAUAAGGAAGCGAAUACAUCAUACGAUGAGCCAAAGCACCACAUAGUUCUUUCAAGGAAAAUAGACAUCGUGGGAGUGGAGGGAAAGACAAACAUGCCUGAAGAAUAUGAAAUGUUUCAUGAAAUUCCUCACUUCAAAGUCAAGGCUGACCCAAACACCCUAUUAAAUGAUGAAGAUUAUCCAUGAUUACGGCGCAAUAAGCCAGGGAUACACGCAAAGAAAAAGUGAAGACUUUCUCUCCACAACUAUUCUGAUGAUGCCUUUGAUCUAGAAUAUCACUUUAGCUACAUGUAAAGAAAUGAAAUUCCUCUUGUAACAUAUGAGUUUUCGUCCGAAACCCUGAUACUUUGAAAGAGAUUGUCCAUUUUGUACACGAAAUGAAUCCAGUUUUUGCCGUAACCCUCUCAACUUUUUAGAACAUGCUAUGUGGGUGAAAUGAUGAUACCAUGCCAACUUUCAACCUUUUUAGGGUUCAUUUUUAGUGCUUUUCAAUUUGAGGGUCAUUUAGCUAAAAAAAUCAAUAAAUGCAUGAAAAAUACCUAAUGAAGAUAGAAAGGGUAGAAAAUAGAUUAUGUGGCUUUGAAUGGUGCAUUUUGAACACACAAAAAGUCUGGAGUUCAAAUAAGUUCAAAAAAAUGAAAUCCCUUGUAAUAGAUGAGUUUUUGUCUGAAACCCUGAUACUUCGAAAGAGAUUGUCCAUUUUGUACACAAAGUGCAUCUAGUUUUUGUCAUAACCCUCUCAACUUUUUAGCACAUGCUAUGUUGGUGAAAUGAUGAUACCAUGCCAACUUUUAACCUUUUCAGAGUUCAUUUGUAAUGCUUUUCAAUUUUAGGGUCAUUUAGCUCAAAAAAUCAGCAAAUGCAUGAAAAAUACCAAAUGAAGCCAGUAAAGGUUGAAAAUUGAUGAUGUGACUUUGAAUGGUGCAUUUUGAACACACACAAAGUCAAAAGUUCAAAUAAGUUAAAAAAUGAAAUCCCUUUGUAACAGAUGAGUUUUUGUCUGAAACCCUGAUACUUCGAAAGAGAUUGUCCAUUUUGUACACAAAGUGCAUCCAGUUUUUGCCGUAGCCCUCUCUACUUUUUAGCACAUGCUAUGUGGCUGAAAUGAUGAUACAAUGCCAACUUUCAACCUUUUCAGACUUCAUUUGUAGUGCUUUUCAAUUUUAGGGUCAUUUGGCUCAAAGAAUGAACUAAUAGCAAAAAGAAUGAACUAGAAAACUUUUAUAAAACUCUAAUAGCAAAUAGAAUGAAACAAAAAGAAUUAAUUAAAAUAUUUUGUUAUGAUCAACUAAAACAAAACUAUAAUAUUCUUCAACAGCAAAAAGAAUCAACUAAAAAGCUUUUAUAAACCUCUAGUGUUUUUGAAACUAAAAUUAUAUAAAAUUUAUGCAACUAAAAUUAUCAAUGCAUUUUUUGUUCAAAAAAUUAAUAGCAAAAAGAAUUUUCAUCAAGUAUUUUUUUUGUUAGAAACUUUGAUAGCAAACUAAAAUAACAAAAUAUGUUAUUGAUUAAAACACCCAUUUAAAAUAACCUAAAAAUUACCAAAUAGAAUAUAAUGAUAAAACACACUAAUAUUAAGUAGCAGGAAAAAGAAACACUCAAGAAUCUAUUUUUAAAGUAAAGUUAUUCACAAACUAGUGACUCAUACAAAUUUCAAAGGAUUCAAAUUUAAACUAUUAAAAUUUGAAAACUAACGGCACUAACAGAAAGUUUAUAAUUUUGUGACCUAAAGAAAAAGGAAUCACUCAAAAACACUAAGUAUUUAGCUAUAAGUAGAAACAAAACAACAUAAAUAUAGUAAGAAACGAAACAAAAAUACUAAAAAAAUUAAAGAAAAUGCCGAUUACUGGGCCACCACGGCCUGCAUACGACUAGAUACCCAACCCGCUAGUUGGGCCAGGAUGCAGGCCCGCAGUAGGCCUAGUAGGCCCACAGGCAGAGUGAGUGAGUUUAGGCCAGUAGGCCUGCAUUAGAGAGGAGCUCGAGUGGGCAGCGGCAGCGACACUUGUAAACCACUCAUCCCCUCUCAACUAGCGAGGUGGUAAUAAACUUUUGGCCGCAGCAGCCCCCCCUUUCGUCCCGGUUGGUGGCACCAACCGGGACCAAUUCCCACCUUUUGUCCCGGUUGGUGCCAUCAACCGGGACGAAUGCUUUGUGUAUAUAAGCGACACUUAGGAAUUUCUCACUUUUCAUCUAGCAGUUCCCGGACCGCCUCUUUGCUCACCUCGAGGAGGGGUGGCCCAAGCGCACCCUGGUGGGUUGUGCCCACCUCAAGUGCCCCCCGGACCGCCUCUUUGCUCUAUAAAUACCCCAAUAUUCCAGAAACCCUAGGAGCAUCGACGAAAUAUUCAUCCAGCCGCCACAGAGUCCAGAACCACCAGAUCCAAUGUAGACACCAUCUCGGAUGGGGUUCACCACCUCCAUUGGUGCCUCUCUGAUGAUGCGUGAGUAGUUCUUGUAGAUCUUCGGGUCCGUAGUUAGUAGCUAGAUGCUUUCUCUCUCUUGCUGAAUUCUCAAUACAACGGUCUCUUGGAGAUCCAUAUGAUGUAACUCGUUUUGCGGUGUGUUCAUUGGGAUCUGAUGAACUUUGAGUUUAUGAUCAGUCAUAUCUUUUUAUAUCCAUGAAAGUUAUUUGAGUUUCUUUGAUCUAUUAUAUGCAUGAUCUCUUAUAGCUCCGAUAUUUGGGUUUUGUUUGGCCAACUUGAUCUAUUUAUCUUGCAAUGGGAAGAGGUGCCCGGUAGUGGGUUUGAUCUUAUGGUGCUUGAUCCCAGUGACAGAAAGGGAACCAACACGUAUGUAUCAUUGCUACCAAGGAUAAAAAGACGAGAUCCAUAUCUAACGCAAUGGAUAAACGGAUCUUGUCUACAUCAUGUCAUCGUUCUUAUUGCAUUACUCCAUUUUUUCAUGAACUUAAUACACUAGAUGCAUGCUGGAUAGCGGUCGAUAUGAGGAGUAAUAGUAGUAGAUGCAGGCAGGAGUCGGUCUACUAAUCUUGGACGUGAUGCCUGUGUAAUGAUCAUUGCCUGGAUAUCGUCGUAAUUAUUUGAGGUUCUAUCAAUUGCCCAACAGUAAUUUGUUUACCCACCGUUUGCUAUCUUUCUCGAGAGAAGCCACUAGUGAAACCUACGGCCCCCGGGUCUUGUUUCUCAUAUAGUUGCCUUGAAAUCUACUUUGCCUUUGUGUUUUUAUUCAGAUCCACUAAACCAAAAAAAUACAAAAAUACCUUGCUGCAAUUUAACUUUAUUUAUUUUAUUUGUCAUUCUAUCUAUCCAUUUACUACAAAAUUAUCUCACGUUCAUUUGCCACUUGAGGCACCAUACCCUGAAAGGGAUUGACAACCCUUUUAACAGGUCGGGUUGCAAGGAUUUGUUAUCUGUGUCUAGGGUUUGUUUACGUUGUGUUUCUUGGUUCUCUUAUUGGUUCGAUAACCUUGGUAUCAUCUGAGGGAAAUACCACCGCUGUGCUGCAUCACCCCUUCCUCUUUGGGCAAAUACCGGUGUAGCUUCAAGCAACAUCAAAAGGAAUUUUUGUCGCUAUUGCCGGGGAGGAUCUUCAACAUAACCAGGUUCCUAAUCACAAAUCUCAUCUCCUCGCAAUUUACAUUAUUUGCCAUUGCCUCUCAUUUUCCACUCCCCCACUUCACAAAAAUUUUCCAUUCUAUUUGCCUCUCUUUUCCGUUCGCCCUUUUCUUGCCAGAUCUGUUUUUGUAUGCAUUCUUGAUUGCCAUUAUGGAUCGUUCUUCCUCUAUUGUUUGCACUCCCGAGGACGAAGUCCUCAACUUUAAACAAAGGGGAGGAGAAAAUUUAAAAGAUGCUUGGUAUAGAAUUUGCAAUGCUCAUAAUAGAUCUAUCCAUAGGCAAUCUACCGUUGUGCUUCUACGUUGUUUUUAUGUUGUCAUCACCACUUGGUAUAGAUUCAUCCUUAAUACGAUUACCUGUCGCAAUUUCUUAACGAGUCCUCCUUUUCUUGCUCUUAAUGCUAUGGGAAACUUAGUGGGCUCACCACCUCUUAUGGUUAAUGAAACAAUUUUGACUCUUGAGCAUGUUAUGGAAAGAUUAGAUGCUAUCGAAAAGAAAAUGCUCACCGAAGAUCAAUGGAAAUCAUACAUAAAAAGAUCCAUAAUUUUGCUACUAAUCUUUGGUCAAAAGCAGGCGAUAUUUUUAAGUUGCUAAAAGAGAGGGGUACCUCAAUCCAUGAAAGAAUAGAAGAAAGUCCAUCUCGGAUCGAUAAAUUGGCUUUUACUACCACUAAAAUUAUUGAGGAAGCUCCUAUGAAGAGUAAGAGAUCCAAGAACAAGGGUGCAACUCCUAGUGAUAGCAAUAAAGGAGAUCUUAAGAUGAUUAGUAUCCACCUUGAUUUUGUUGAAGUGAUAAGAGAUCAUUUUUGCAAGAUUAAUAUACAAAUUUCCCAGGUUGUCAUAUAAUUUUCAGAUUUUUUCAAGUUCCAGAUGUUUUCGUUUAAGUCAGAUUACUACAGAAUGUUCUGUUUUGACAGAUUCUGUUUUCUUUGUGUUGUGUGCUUAUCUUGAUGGCUCUAUGGUUUUCUUUGAUAACUUUUCUAUAGAAAAGCUGGAAUACAGUAGAUAUAAUACAAAAACAAAAUAUGAAUUUGUUUAAUACAGUACUUAUAGUAGUGGUUUACUUUCGUUCACUAACGGAUCUUGCGGAGGUUUUGUUGAGUUUUGUGUGAUUGAAGUUCUCAAGUUUUGGGUUAUCAUACGAUGGAUCAAGGAAGGAUGGAAGAGACUAAGCUUGGGGAUGCCCCGGCAUCCAAAGCUAUUAUCCAAAAAUGAGCAACCAACUAAGCUUGGGGUUGCCCCCGAAUGGCAUCCCCGCUUUCUUCCAACAACUAUCGGUAUUUUACUCAAGACUACAUUUUUACUCGCCACAUGAUAUGUGUUUUGCUUGGAGCAUCUUGUAUGAUAUGAGCCUUUGCUUGUUUUAUUUUUUGUUUUAAUUUAUCAAUCCUUGCUGGACACACAUAUUUGAGAAAGCCAAAAUUAUGCCAUGACUUGUUAGAAUUACUCUCUAUGCUUCACUUAAAUCUUUUAUGAGCUAGGACAUGCUCUAGUGGUUCACUUAUAUCUUUUUGAGCACGGUGUGCUUAGUAUUUUUGAAGAAAUGCUCUCUUGCUUCACUUAGAUUUAUAUGAGAGUCAGUAAAAUUUUGAAGAAAUUCUCUCUUGCUUCACUUCAAUUAUUUUGAGAGAAAGAAAAUUUGUUAUGGUCAUGAUCUUCACUUAUAUUUGUUUGAGCUUAUGAAAAGCAACACAUGAAAAUUAGUCCUAAAGUGAUAGAUAUCCAAGAAGGAUAAAGAAAUAAAAAAAUACAAUGUCAUGAAGACCAUUGGACAAAAUAAACUUGAUUCUUGGUAAUAGUUUUGAGAUAUGAUGAUGUGAUAUGUGAGUUAUGUUGAUGAGUAAUUGUGCUCUAGUAAGAAUAUUGGUGUUAAGGUUUGUGAUUCCCUAUGCAUGCACGAAUGUCAAUAAUCAUGCAAUGAAAAUUAUAUCCUACUUGUGGUGCAUUAUUCGGUGUUACUUAUUAUUAAUGCUUGAUUAUGAAAUUAUUCGUUUCUUGGUUGGUCGCUUCUCAAUCUUUUUGCUAGCCUUCAUUUUGCACUAAGUAUGACCUCUACUUGUGCAUCCAAAAUCCUUUAAACCAGUUUUGCCACAUGAGUCCACUAUAUCUACCUAUAUGCGACAUUCCUUUGCCGUUCUAAGCAAAUUUGCAUGGGUCAUCUCUAAUUUUCAAAAAAAUACUUCUCUUUUGUGUGUUUGUUUCGCUCGCGGAGCGGUGAAGGGUUGCUAAUAUUUUCCAUCCUAGAUGUGUUAUUCUCAAGAUGAAUGUUUAUUCAGUUGUCAUUGCAUGAGAGUAAGGCAACGUUCUUGGGGAUGCCCAGUCCAGAAAUGCAAAAAAUGAAUGUACUUUAUGUUGUCAAAUAAUAAAUUCCCUUGAAAGUGUUGGUAUGGAAGGCAACCGUGGAUUCGGCUAGCCAUGGAAAGUCAAAGUAUGGUGGAAAAAGGAAUAAACUUUAUUUUCUGUUUGGGAACCGCCUAUGGCAUAUCUAGCAUUGAAAGUGUUCGGAAUUCUAAGUCGUUUUCGUUGGUGGGAUGGAUACACCUCCCAAAAUGUUUUUAUCUCUAAGUUCUUCGCUUUGAGCUCUGGCACCUCUACAAAUCCCUACUUCCCGCUGCGAAGGGCCUUUCUUUUACUUUAUGCAAUUUUUAUUUUGAACUUGAGUCUCCAUCCUCUCUUAUAAAAGCACCAACUAGGAGGCAAUAUGAUCGUACUCAAGUAUUGAGUGUAGCUAAUAUUUGAGUGUGUCUCAUGAAUGGAUCAAUGUUUGAGCAUGAUGGGCUAGGGAUAACUUAUUUUAGCAUUGAUAUUUUGAAAGACACGGUUGCUUGUUGAUAUCCUUGAGUAUCUAAAUUAUCGUGUCAAAACUAGACUAUUGCUUUAAAUCACAUAAAAGUCCAAAUGUACAUGCUAUAAAGAAAGAAUAUGAUAUGACAUGAUAAACAACACUCCACAUCAAAAAAUUUGUUUUUAUCACUUACCUACUCGAGGACGAGUAGGAGUUAAGCUUGGGGAUGCUGAUACGUCGCCAAUGUGUCUAUAAUUUUUGAUAGUUCCAUGUUGUUUUAUUAUCAAUCUUGGAUGUUUCAUAAUCAUUUUAUAGUCAUUUUAUAUCAUUUUUGGUACUAACCUAUUGACAUAGUGCCAAGUGCCAGUUGUUGUUUUUUCAUGUUUUUUACAUCACAGAAAAUCAAUACCAGACGGAGUCCAAAUGCCACGAAACUCCAUGAUGAUUUUUUAUGGGACAGAAGGAAGAUGUUGUUGGGGAAUAUAGUAAUUUCAAAAACAAUCCUACGCACACGCAAGAUCAUGGUGAUGCAUCGCAACGAGAGGGGAGAGUGUCAUCCACGUACCCUCGUAGACCGUAAGCGGAAGCGUUAUGACAACGCGGUUGAUGUAGUCGUACGUCUUCAUGAUCCGACCGAUCCAAGUACCGAACACACGGCACCUCCGAGUUCAGCACACGUUCAGCUCGGUGACGUCCCACGAACUCCGAUCCACCAAAGUGUCAAGGAAGAGUUUUGUCAGCACGACGGUGUGAUGACGGUGAUGAUGAAGCUACCGACGCAGGCCUUCGCUUAAGCACCACUACGAUAUGACCGAGGUGGAUUAUGGUGGAGGGGGGCAUCGCAGACAACCAAAAGAUCAAUGAGCGCGCCCCAAGGGGAGUCCUACUCCCACCGGGAGUAGGACUGCAGCCCUUCCAAGAGUAGGAGUAGGAGAGAGGGAAGGAGGAGAGAGGGGGAAGGAAAGGGGGCGCCCCCUCCUUGUACAAUUCCGACUAGAGGGGGAGGGGGCGCGCGUCCUGCCUAGGCCACCCCUCCUCUUCUCCACUAAGGCCUAAAUAGACCCAUUACACUCCCCGGGGUUUUCCGGUAACCCCCCUGUACUCCGGUAUUUUUCCGAACUUGCCCGGAACUCUUCUGAAGUCCAAACAUACUCAUCCAAUAUAUUGAUCUUUAUGUCUCGACCAUUUCGAGACUCCUCUUCAUAUUCCUUGAUCAUAUCCGAGACUCCUAACUACCUUCGAUAUAUCAAAACACAUAAACUCAUAUUACCGAUCGUCAUCGAACGUUAAGUGUGCGGACCCUAUGGGUUCGAGAACUAUGUAGACAUGACCCAGACUCAUCUCCGGUCAAUAAACAAUAGCGGAACCUGGAUGCUCAUAUUGGCUCCUACAUAUUCUACGAAGAUCUUUAUCAGUCAAACCGAAUAACAUCAUACGUUGUUCCCUUUGUCAUCGGUAUGUUACUUGCCCGAGAUUCGAUAGUUGGUAUCUCAAUACCUUGUUCAAUCUCGUUACCGGCAUGUCUCUUUACUCAUUCCGUAAUACAUCAUCAUGCAACUAACUCAUUAGUUGCAUUGCUUAUAAGGCUUAUAGUGAUGUGCAUUACCGAGAUGGCCCAGAGAUACCUCUCCGACAAUUGGAGUGACAAAUCCUAAUCUCAAUCUAUGCCAACCCAACAAGUACCUUCGGAGACUCCUGUAGAGCACCUUUAUAAUCACCCAGUUACGUUGUGACGUUUGGUAGCACACAAAGUGUUCCUCCGGUAGUCGGGAGUUGCAUAAUCUCAUAGUCAUAGGAACAUGUAUAAGUCAUGAAGAAAGCAAUAGUAAUAUGCUAAACGAUCAAAUGCUAAGCUAACGUAAUGGGUCAAGUCAAUCACAUCAUUCUCUAAUGAUGUGAUCCCGUUAAUCAAAUGACAACUCAUGUCUAUGGCUAGGAAACGUAACCAUCUUUGAUUCAACGAGCUCGUCAAGUGGAUGCAUACUAGUGACACUUAGUUUGUCUAUAUAUUCACACUUGUACUAAGUUUCCGGUUAAUACAAUUCUAGCAUGACUAAUAAACAUUUACCAUGAUAUAAGGAAAUAUAAAUAACAACUUUAUUACUACCUCUAGGGCAUAUUUCCUUCAGAUGUUGGGCCCUGGUUGCACCUGCGGGGAGUCCCAAGGAGGGGACAACCCACCAGGGCACACUAGGAGGCUCGGGCGCGCCCUGGUGAGUUGUUCCCACCUCGGGUGCCCCCCGGACCCGCCUCUUUGCUCUAUAAAUACCCCAAUAUUCCAGAAACCCUAGGAGGGUCGACGAAAUAUUCAUCCAGCCGCCACAGAGUCCAGAACCACCAGAUACAAUCUAGAGACCAUUGCGACUGGGGUUCACCACCUCCAUUGGUGCCUCUUCGAUGAUAUGUGAGUAGUUUUUUGUAGACCUUGGGUUCCGUAGUUAGUAGCUAGAUGGCUUUCUCUCUCUCGUUGAAUUCUCAAUACAACGGUCUCUUGGAGAUCCAUAUAAUGUAACUCUUUUUGCAGUGUGUGCUACCUCUUGAGCACUGCGUUGGUUUUCCCUUGAAGAGGAAAGGGUGAUGCAACAAAGUAGCAUAAGUAUUUCCCUCAAUUUUUUAGAAUCAAGGUAUCAAUCCAGUAGGAGGCUCCUCAACAGUCCCACACACCUACACAAACAAACAAGAACCUCGCAACCAACGCGAUAAAGGGGUUGUCAAUCCCUUCACUGUAACUUGCAAAAGUGAGAUCUGAUAGAGAUAAUAAGAUAAGAUAAAUAUUUUUGGUAUUUUGAUGAUAUAGAUUGGAAAGUAACACUACUAGGGAAAACCCUAGUAGUAGUGCGGGUUUAAAGCCCACUAGUAGCGCGUGCUACCGUGCUACUAAUAAGGCGCUACAGCUAUUACUUAGCAGUAGCGCGUGUGACACGCGCUACUGCUAAGAGACAUAGCGGCAGCGCUUGUUCACACCCGCGCUCCUGCUAAUCUAGCUACUUGCAGCGUGUUUACUGUCCAUCUCUACUAGUAUUUUUUUAGUGUAUUUAUUCGCCGUUAUACAAAUUUUGGUACAAUACCAAUUAUGAGGUUUAUAUCAUUAUGUCUAUAACAGUGUGUCAAAUGAAGGUGGAUUAGGUUCAAGUGGAGGCAAUAUGUGGUGCAUGUCAAAAGUAUACUACUAAUCCAAACUUGAUCUAGUUUGGACUAGUAGUACUUGAAUCUAAUCCGCCAACACAAGCUAUUUAAUCAUCAUCAUAGUCAUUAGCACCAAUAGUAUUUAUUUAAUCACCACUAACACUAGCUCAUAAUAAUCAUCAUAGUCAUUACCACCAACACUAGCUAUUUAAUCAUCAUAGUCAUAGUGUAGCACAUCAUCGUCUUUAAACUCAUUUCUAGCUAGCUAAUCACUCCUGCUGCUCUCUCUCAGGUAAAAUAACAUAAAACAUUUGUAGAUCUCCUCCUUCAUCAAGUUGGAGCAUGCAGAUGAACCUGUUUCUUAAUCGUGGGCUGCGCUUCUAAUUGCUGCCCCCUAGUACUUGUCUGCGCUCCUCCAUCACAGAUUUGGUUCAGUCUUUCACUUUUAAGAAUUCGUCGCUAAUCCUGAAUGCACUAUAGUGAUUUGUAGGAUAUAUUGGCCGUAAGCUAACAAUACUCAUGGUACCUUUAGUCUCGAUCCCAUAGGGCACAACAUUCGUCGGGAGUCCCUGUUAAAGAACAUCGUAUGGUAACAUACUUAGUAAUGAAUUUUAGCUUAAAAAUAAUGUAUGGAAAAUAUGCACUGAGGACAAAUAGUAAAAAUCUGACCAUAUUUCCUAAAUAGAUGUGACCGUAGUUCAUUACGAACAAUAUUGGUCGCACGUUUUCAGUACUAACAUUUCUAAAUCCAAGAAGAAAAUUUGUCUUGACAGUAUCAAGAUCCGCAAGCCAUGAAACAUAAUGACUUAGCUCCUCGCAGUUUAGUUCAACCUCAGCAUAGUAGUAGGUCCUGUCUACCAAGCGCUGGACAUGUUUGCUUGAGCGGAAAUAAGCUGACAAUAGAAAUUAGUUGUCAACUAUUUUUGAAUAAACAAUAUCAAAGACAUAAAUAUGGUUGAGAAACUCACAUAAUGGUAUAACUGGAGGCGUCUGCACAUCGACCCAGAUGUCGGUAUUAUCUUCAAUAUCAUCUUCCGGACGAAUAUCAAAGGUGAUAACCAUAUCAGGAUCAAAUGCAUAAGUCUUGCAUAGUGCUCGCCAUGUUUUGCAUCCAAAAUAGGUGUAGUCGUCUGAAUUGUAUAAUUUUGCGUGGAAAAUAUAACCAUGCUCGAUCUUCAAGUAAACUUUCUUUACCUCCAUAGUACGUCUGAAACCUAUCUUAUCCAAUACAAAUACUCUUGCAUGGCAGGCGAUACGCUAGUAGAAUAGUAAAAAAAUAAGUUGAAGCAAAUGAAGCAGAUGUCAUGCUUAAUUGCGAAAAAAAUACUUGUCAUUGUGACUUACUGUAUCCACUUCGAAGUUCUCGUCCAGCUUGAUGCUGAAGCGCCUAUCAUCAUCUAGGAAGAUUCCGUCGCACAGGCCGUGCUCGUCUUCGCAGUAUUUGCAAAUACCGAAAUCCUUUGCGUCGUCAGACAUUUCCUAUGUUCAUAGUUGAAAUAUUAAUUGAAAAUCGAUCAAAGACAAGUACCAGGAUACUCAACACACAAAUCCGGGGAACUCAAUAUUUUCUACAUAUUCUAGCACAAGUCAUGCCAAAAUUCACGGAAAAAUCCGGCAUGACCUUUUCUAAAAUAGGACAUAUCGAGCGCCUUAAAUUUGCCGCAACGGAAAUGAAUCAACACUCCGGCAAAACAUAGGCCACUCGGAGGUGUAACCUGCAAACAUGACCAGCCACUUGGGUAAGCACAUAUCCUAUUUGAGCAACACAAGAUAUACAUUUCAAAAUAUCUUAUAGGACUCAAAUUAGCAUGCAUUCAAUAAGGAAAAGUAAAUCAUCUUAUGCGUCUGUACAUCGUCAAAUAUUAUCACUAAUACAUCCCGAAUAGUAUCAUACAUAUAACAUCACUAAUACAACUAAAACCCUAUAGCACGAUGGGUAUCGGCAAGGGCGGUGGACACCCACAGAGAAGGAACCAUCACAGGAUCAUAGCUCCAGUGAGAUCCCUGGAGAACCUGCCAGGUAUUGGAGAUUAUGUGCUCCAACGCAAACAAGUAGCGACGGACGUGCGCGUCCUCCUCACUGACAUGGUGACUCACCACCUCCACGGGGUCCUCGAGCCUCUGGACCAUCACUGGCCCACACGACUGCUACCAAAGAAGGUUCGGGUCAACGACAGGCUGGCUCCUCACCAACCUGCGCCCCCCGGUAGGUAGCGCCUCCCAAUACCACCCCGGCGGUGCCCAGUCCCGGACAUGGCUCAUCUGGUCAAGCAGGUGUCGUGCUCCGCCGACUCGACGACGAGGAUGCAAGAUAAGCAUCGUCCACGUCAAUGCGGGAAAAAUUUAUUUAACUAAAAAAAAUAGCAACAAGUUCUUACUAACUAGUUCUAUUAAUUCAACUAGUUCUUACUAAAAAUAAACUUACUAUAAAUAAAAAUAAACUAGCACCUAAUUAGUACCUAGUUGUUACUAACUAAUUAGUACCUAGGAACUACUGCCCUAAUUACCAUCUAAUUUGAUGAACCUAGGGGUGGAAAGUGGUAGCGGAUAUUCCAAUUAUCCAACUUAAAAGUGAAAUAAGUGGUCAAAUUUUACUCGUUUUAUUAUGCAUUACACUAGUGUUUAUUCAUCAUCUAAGAAAACAUCCCAGCCGCAUUUGUAUCCAAUUCAUUUCCACCCAUAGAUGAAGCCUAACUAAUUUGAUGCAACUAAAGUUUGAAGAACCCUAUCUAGGCAGAGGUAGGGGAGGGGGAGGAGCAGGCGUGCUCACCUUGGGUGCCUGCGCCGAGAGAGGGGCAGGCGACGUCGAGGUCGGGGUUGGGGCUCGAGCGCGCGACGGAGGGCGGCGUUGAGGACGGGGUCGGGGGCGGCAUCCGGUGCGGCGUUGAGGUUGGGGGCGGGGGCGGCAUUGAAUUCGGGGUCGGGGCGGCGUAGAGGCUGUGCGGAGAGCGCGCGGCAGCCGACGGGUGAUGGAGGCGGCGAGACCGGAGGAGUUCGAUUUGGGGGGAAGUGGCCGUGGGGAAGGACGAACUCGGUGGUUAAGUCACAAGUAGAAGUGGCGCGUUCCAGAAAGCGCGCUACUGCUACGUUAGCUACAGCGCGUUCUGGUAUACGUGCUACUGCUAAUCCUUUCUCUUUUCCCCUUUUUCAUUUAUUUUUCUUCACAUUUUAUUUUUUUCCUUUCACCUUCUUCUAUUUCUUUCAUUAUCAAUUACCUUUCUAUUUGCUUUCCAUUUAAUUUUAUAUCCUUUAGCAGUAGCGAGUUUAGAAUAAAACACGCUGCUAAAAAGAAAGUAGCGGUAGCGCGGUUCGAUAUAGAUCGCUACUACUAUGUGUAGCCUAUCGGCUAAGCCGUGGAAAUUUUAGUAGUAACAUGUUUGACCCACGCUAUUGCUAAAGUUCUGUGUAUAAGGUUUUCCCUAGUAGUGUAGAAGAUGCAAAUAAAAGUAGAUGGGAAACUUAUAUGAUAAAAGAUAGACCCGGGGGCCAUAGGUUUCACUAGUGGCUUCUCUCAAGAUAGCAUAUGUAUUACAGUGGGUGAACAAAUUACUGUUGAGCAAUUGAUAGGAAAGUGCAUACUUAUGAGACUAUCUAGGCAUGAUCAUGUAUAUAAGCAUCACGUCCAUGACAAGUAGACCGACUCCUGCCUGUAUCUACUACUAUUACUCCACACAUCGACCGACUCCUGCAUGCAUCUAGAAUAUUAAGUUCAUGAAGAACAGAGUAACACAUUAAGAAAGAUGACAUGUAGAGGGAUAAACUCAUGCAAUAUGAUAUAAACCCCAUCUUUUUAUCGUCGAUGGCAACAAUACAAUACGUGCCUUGUUGCCCCUGCUGUCACUUGGAAAGGACACCGCAAGAUUGAACCCAAAACUAAGCACUUCUCCCAUUGCAAGAAAGAUCAAUCCAGUAGGCCAAACCAAAGUGAUAAUUCGAAGAGACUUGCAAAGAUAACCAAUCACACACAAAAGAAUUCAGAGGAGAUUCAAAUAUUUCUCAUAGAUACACUUGAUCAUAAACCCACAAUUCAUCGGAUCUCAACAAACACACCGCAAAAAAGAGUUAUAUCGAAUAGAUCUCCAAGAAAAUCAAGGAGAACUUUGUAUUGAGAAUCAAAGAGAGAGAAGAACCAUCUCGCUAAUAACUAUGGACCCGAAGGUCUGUGGUAAACUACUCACAACUCAUCGGAGAGGCCUUGGAGAUGAUGUAGAGGCCCUCCAUGGUCGAUUCCCCCUCUGGCGGAGCGCCUGCGAAGGAUCCAAGAUGGGAUCUCGCGAAUAUAGAAGGUUGCGGUGUUGGAAUUAGGUUUUCGUGGUGCUCCUAGAUGUUUUCAGGGUACAUGGAUAUAUAUAGGAGAAAGAAGUAGGUCGGUUGAGCCACGAGGGGCCCAUGAGGGUGGGGGGCAUGCCGAGCACCCUCGUGGCCGCCUCGUUUGCUUCUUGACAUCCAGUCCAAGCCUCCUGGUUUGCAUUUGUCCCGAAAAGAUCGCUCCCGAAGGUUUCAUCCCGUUUGGACUCCGUCUGAUAUUCCUUUUCUUCAAAACACUAAAAUAGGCAAAAACAACAAUUCGGGCUGGGCCUCCGGUUAGUAGGUUAGUCCCAAAAAAGAGAUAAAAGUGUAAAGUGAAGCCCAUAAACAUCCAAAAUGGGUAAUAUAAUAGCAUGGAAUAAUCAAAAAUUAUAGAUACGUUGGAGACGUAUCAGUGUGUUUGUUGUGAUAUGAUGAACUUUGAGUUUAUGAUCAGUCAUAUCUUUUUAUAUCCAUGAAAGUUAUUUGAGUUUCUUUGAUCUCUUAUAUGCAUGAUCUCUUAUAGCCUCAUAUGUGUUCUCUGAUAUUUGGGUUUUGUUUGUCCAACUUGUUCUAUUUAUCUUGCAAUGGGAAGAGGUGCCCGGUAGUGGGUUCGAUCUUACGGUGCUUCGAUCUUACAUAUGUAUCAUUGCUACUAAGUAUAAAAAAGGUGAUCCAUAUCUAACGCAAUGGAUAAACGGAUCGUGUCUACAUAAUGUCAUCGUUCUUAUUGCAUUACUCUGUUUUUCCAUGAACUUAAUACACUAGAUGUAUGCUGGAUAGCGGUUGAUGUGUGGAGUAAUAGUAGUAGAUGCAGGCAGGAGUCGGUCUACUAAUCUUGGACGUGAUGCCUAUGUAAUGAUCAUUGCCUGGAUAUCGUCAUGAUUAUUUGAGGUUCUAUCAAUUGCCCAAUAGUAAUUUAUUUACCCACCGUUUGCUAUCUUUCUUGAGAGAAGCCACUAGUGAAACCUACGGCCCCCGGGUCUCCUUUCCCAUAUAUUUGCCUUGCGAUCUACUUUUCCUUUGCAUUUUUAUUCAGAUCUACUAAACCAAAAAAAUACAAAAAUAACUUGCUGCAAUUUAACUUUAUUUAUUUUAUUUGGCGUUCGAUCAAUCCAUUUACUACAAAAUUAUCUCACGUUUGUUUGCCACUUAAGGCGCCGUACCCCGAAAGGGAUUGACAACCCCUUUAACACGUGGGCUGCGACGAUUUGUUAUCUAUAUGCAGGGGUUGUUUACGUUGUGUUGCUUGGUUCUCCUACUGGUUCUAUAACCUUGGUCUCAUCUGAGCGAAAUACCUACCGCCGCUGUGCGGCAUCAUCCCUUCCUCUUUCGGGAAAUACCGACGUAGCUUCAAGCGACAUCACACAACUGUUUCUGAUGAGCUGUACUCAUUGGCCAGGGGACCAUCUUCGACUGUAUUAACAUACAAAGGGUACGAGAUAAAUGAGAAUACAUUUUACAUGAUCGCCCGAGAUUAAAAGAGCACCAACAAGAACAGUGGUAUCUGCUUUGAUGCAGCAACCAAGAGGGGAAUGGACACAUAUUAUGGUUACAUAGUGGACAUAUGGGAACUUGACUAUGGACAUGAUUUUAAGGUCUCUUUGUUUCAGUGCAAAUGGGCCAGUCUGCCAGGAGGCAGGGUACAGGUAGACAGAUACGUCUCCAACGUAUCUAUAAUUUUUGAAUGUUCCAUGCUAUUAUAUUACCCCUUUUGUAUGAUUAUGCGCUUUAUUUUACACAUUUAUAUCAUUUUUGGGCCUAACCUACUAACCGGAGGCCCAGCCUGUAUUGCUGUUUUCUUGCCUAUUUUAGUAUUUCGAAGAAAAGGAAUAUCAAACGGAGUCCAAACGGAAUGAAACCUUCGGGAGCGUGAUUUUUGGAACGAACGUGAUCCGGAGAACUUGGAGUGCAAGUCAAGAAGAAAACAAGGUGGCCAGGAGAUAGGAGGGCGCGCCCACCCCUCCUGGGUGUGCCCCUGUCUCCUGGGCCCCUCGAGCAGCCACCGACGUACUUCUUCCUCCUAUAUAUACCUACGUACCCCGAAAAUAUCCAGAGAGCCAACAAAACACAAUUUCCACCGCCGUAACCUUUUGUAUCUGCGGGAUCCCAUCUUGGAGCGUUUGUUGGCGCUCCGCCGGAGGGGGAAUCGACCACGGAGGGCUUCUACAUCAACACCAGAGCCCCUCCGAUGAGUUGUGAGUAGUUUACCACAGACCUUCGGGUCCAUAGUUAUUAGCUAGAUGACUUCUUCUCUCUUUUUGGAUCUCAAUACAAUGUUCUCCCCCUCUCUUGUGGAGAUCUAUUCGAUGUAAUCUCUUUUUGUGGUGUGUUUGUCGAGAUCCGAUGGAUUGUGGGUUUAUGAUCAAGUUUAUCUAUGAGAAAUAUUUGAAUCUUCUUUGAAUUCUUUUAUGUAUGAUUGAGUUAUCUUUGCAAGUCUCUUCGAAUUAUCAGUUUGGUUUGGCCUACUAGAUUGAUCUUUCUUGCCAUGGGAGAAGUGCUUAGCUUUGGGUUCAAUCUUGCGGUGUCUUUAACCCGUGACAGAAAGGGUUGCAAGGCACGUAUUGUAUUGCUGCCAUCGAGGAUAAAAAGAUGGGGUUUAUAUCAUAUUGCUUGAGUUUAUUCCUCUACAUCAUGUCAUCUUUCUUAAUGUGUUACUCUGUUCUUAUGAACUUAAUACUCUAGAUGCAUGCUGGAUAGUGGUCGAUGUGUGGAGUAAUAGUAGUAGAUGCAGGCAGGAGUUGGUCUACUUUUCACGGACGUGAUGCCUAUAUAUAUGAUCAUGCCUAGAUAAUCUCAUAAUUAUUCACUUUUCUAUCAAUUGCUCGACAGUAAUUUGUUCACCCACCGUAAUACUUAUGCUAUCUUGAGAGAAGCCACUAGUGAAACCUAUGGCCCCCGAGUCUAUAUUUUAUCAUAUAAGCUUUCAGUCUACUUUUAUUUUCCUCUUUACUUUUUGCAUCUAUAUUAUAAAAUACCAAAAAUAUAUUUAUCUUAUCAUAUUAUCUCUAUCAGAUCUCACUUUCACAACUGGCCGUGAAGGGAUUGACAACCCCUUUAUUGCGUUGGUUGCGAGUUCUUUGUUUGUUUGUGUAGGUGCGUGGGACUUUUGAGGAGCCUCCUACUCGAUUGAUACCUUGGUUCUCAAAAACUGAGGGAAAUACUUAUGCUACUAUUGUUGCAUCACCCUUUCCUCUUCAAGGAAAACAAACGCAAGCUCAAGGCGUAGCAAGAAGGAUUUCUAGCGCUGUUGCCGGGGAAGCUUCCACCAAGUCAAGUCAAGAUUCGACCUCCCGCCAACGAAGGAUUUCUGGCGCCGUUGCCGGGGAGGUCUUCGCUCAGGUCAAGACAUACCAAGUACCCAUCACAAACUCAUCUCCCUCGCAUUUACAUUAUUUUCCAUUUGCCUCUCAUUUUCCUCUCCCCCACUUCACCUUUGCCGUUUUAUUUUCCCUCUCUUUCCAAAUCUCUCUCUCUGUUUUUCUUGCCCUUUUCUGUUUGGUCGUGUGUUAGAUCGUUUACCUUGUCGUUAUGGCUAGUUCCUUAUCCGCUCCUAUGUGUCCCGAGUUUGAAGUUGUUCACUUCAAGCAAAGGCAAGGAGAAAACUUAAAAGAUGCUUGGUAUAGGAUGAUGGAAUCUUAUCGCAAGUGCACCCUAGAGGUGAACUUUAGAAUUCUUCUUUGCAAUUUUUAUGUUGGGCUAAAUAUGUCGCAUAGACAACUCUUGGAUUGCAUAUUGCCAAGGGAAAUUUUAUUGAAAUUGAUCCUAGUAUUGCUCAUGAAAUUAUAGAGGGAAUAGUGGGAACACUACCUCAAAAGGGAGGAUGACAUCCUACCCAAGAAGAAACACAAGUGUUUGGAAAGAUUUGCGAAGUAACAAUUUUUUUACAAAAGUCUCUUGAGCCUCUUAAAAGUGUUAGCGGAAAUCUUCACCGCAUGAAUAUGUUGUUUACUCUUUGCAAUAAGCGGUUGGAUUCUUUAGAUCUAAAAAUUUCCGAGUAUGAAGGGAAACGUAAAGAACCUCCCGGAUUUGAGCAUGACUCUGCUAAAAAACUGAAAAUUAAAGAUGGCACUACUUAGAUCUAUCUUCGCUUUUAUGCCUAGCUAGGGGCGUUAAACGAUAGCGCUAGUUGGGAGGAAACCCAAUUUUCUUUGUCUUUUUUGUUUUUGUUCCUGUUUACUAAUAAAUUUUGCAUCUACUUUGUGUUUAGAUGUGUUUUCAUGCUUUAAUUAGUGUUUGUGCCAAGUAGAACCUAUAGGAUAACCUAUGAUGAUAGUUGAUUUGAUUCUGCUGAAAAACAGAAACUUUGCACGCACGAAAUUAAUUUUGUUAAAUCAUAGAAACGUGAUUUUGUGUUGAUUCUUUUUUCUGCUUAUCAAUAAGCAAAUUGUCCAGGACUUCCUAUUUUGGUAGUAUUUUUAGAGUUCCAGAAGUUUGCGUUAGUUGCAGAUUGCUACAGACUGUUCUGUUUUUGACAGAUUCUGUUUUUCGUGUGUUCUUUGCUUAUUUUGAUGCAUCUAUGGUAGUAUUAAGUGGUAUGGACCAUAGAGAACUUGGAAUACAGUAGGUUUAACACCAAAAUAAAUAAAUAAUGAGUUCAUUACAGUACCUUAUGUGGUGGUUUUGUUUUCUUUCACUAACGGAGCUUAUAAGAUUUUCUGUUGAGUUUUGUGUUGUGAAGUUUUCAAGGUUUGGGUAAAGCUUUGAUGGACUAUGAAAUAAGGAGUGGGAAAAGCCUAAGCUUGGGGAUGCCCAUGGCACCCCAAGAUAUUCAAGAAUAUCCAAAAGGCUAAGCUUGGGAAUGCCCCGGGAAGGCAUCCCCUCUUUCGUCUUCGUUCAUUGGUAAGUUUACUUGGAGCUAUAUUUUUAUUCGCCACAUGAUAUGUGUUUUGCUUGGAGUGUCGUGUAUUAUAUUAGUCUUUGUUUUUUAGUUUACCACAAUCAUCCUUGCUGUACACACCUUUUGGGAGAAGCCUAUUUGAUUUGAAUUUAUUAGAAUAUGCUAUGUGCUUCCCUUAUAUCUUUCGAGCUUGAUAGUUUUUGCUCUAGUACUUCACUUAUAUCUUUUUGAGCACGGCGGUGGCUUGAUUUUAUAGAAAUUGCUAGUAUCUCAUGCUUCACUUAUAUUAUUUUGAGAGUCUUUUAGAACAACAUGGUAUUUUCUAUGGUUAUAAAUUGGUCCUUGAAUGGUAGGCAUCCAAGUUGGGUAUAAAAAAAACUAUCAUAGGAAGUGAAUUGGAUGCUAUGAUCAAUUUGAUACUUGAUAAUUGUUUUGAGAUAUGGAGGUAGUGAUAUUAAAGUCAUGCUAUGAAUUUAAAAAAUGCUUGUGUUGAAGUUAGCAAGUCCCGUAGCAUGCACAUAUGGUUAAAGUUGUGUAACAAAUUUGAAACAUGGAGUGUACCUGGCUUGUGCAUCCUUAUGAGCGGCGGUCGGGGACGAGCGAUGGUCUUUUCCUACCUGUCGGAGAUAUACCCCGCGGUAUGACCCUCCCAGAGUCAUAACCCGGCUGGGACUUUGUAAACCGGCGAUGGUAAACCGACAGACAGUUAAGACAGAUGGUAAACUGGCGAGUGGUAAACCGGCAGGUUUUAAGACAGAUGGUAACACCGGCAGCAGUUAAGUCAGAUGAUAACCCGGCAGGUCUUAGGUCAAUCAAACCCGGCAGGCAAUCAUAAACAGGCAGACCAUCAUAAACCGGCAGACAAUGUUAAACCGGCAGACCAUCAUAAACCGGCAGAUCAUGUUAAAGCGACAGACCAUCAUAAACCGGCAGACCAUGUUAAACCGGCACCAGACAGUGAUAACUGGGUUGCCAGGGGUUAUGAAGCCCAAUACAUUAAGAAGCACAUGAAGGGAACUCAAAAUAGUUUAAGUCUUAGUCCGAGAUGGACUCUACAUGCAACCCACCCCUUCAACUUAUAUAAGGAGGGGCAGGGCUCCCCAAAAGAGGGACAAGCAACAAGAAACAAUCUCUAGGGCUAGACACAACGAGGGAGAGCCGGUUUACGGCGACUCCCUCAUGAUGAUAAUGAGACCUAGCCACAAACAGCAUGUAGGGUUGUUACUGGAUGAUGUUUUCCGGGGCCCGAAGCUGUCUAAAUCUUUGUCUUGCGUGUUGUGUCUCUCGAUUCCGCUCAACCCCUCUCAAGCUAUCACAUAGAUGCGUUCGCCUCACGACUAAGUCCUCACACUAAGGACGUCUGACGUGACAAUUCCACGACAGUUGGCGCCUACCGUGGGGCUUGCGCACGAUGGUGUUGAGUUCUUGAAGGGAUUUCUCCUAGGGAUUGAGGACCUCGCAAUUUUCCGGAUAAGAAAGAUCAAUUUGAAAGGAUCUAUAUCAGUUUCAAGUUCAUCGGUCCAGAUUCAUAGUUUGGAAGGUUUAAUAAGAGAAGUUAAAGUUGCAUUUUGAUGGUUGCUGUAAGUCGCCAGUAUGAUUGGCGUGUCAAGUUUCCGUCGCUGGCUUGCCAAAACCUGAAUGAUCAGAGUCACCAUCACCAUUCAACCAUCAACAGCAAAGGAAAAGUCAAGAAAAGAAAACAAAGCACCGAGGAGGAUUCAAUCCAUCGCCGCAGGGUCUCAUUGCUAGCCACCCAAUCCAGUUGACUUCAGUCAAAAUAACUACAACCCGGAGAGGACUUUGAAACCUCCACGAUCUCUGCUACAGCUGCAGCUGCGCUUCGACCGCCCGGAUCUCCUUUGCCAUUGACCCGCCAGCGGCUGUGCUCCGACACCGGUUCGUCUACAGCACCUGGGUCGUGUCUGAUUAAACUGCUGCUCAAACCACUGCAUGGCCGAGCUGCCAAAGUCACCAAGACCAAUGGAAUUUUUAUAAAGUGCAGCCACGUCCAAUCAUUUCAAGGCUGGUCAGAUUUGCUCUGUGUUCGGAUUACUCCAUCUUGAAGAUCCAUUAGCAAAAGGGUAGCAUUGGGCGCCGGUGCGCCGGCCGAAAGUUUCGGCCGGUCUGCCCCCAGCCGCCCGAUGUAACUGCACCAGACCGUCAGAUUGCCUCCCCUAUUUUAUUUUUUCCUUACCUUAUCCUCGUCUCUAGCACACAGAGAGAGGAGCGAGCCAGUUAAGGCCGCCAUGGAUGCGGGCUCACGAAGCCCACGCUUGCCGCCUUGGCACCACAAGGCACCGCCCGUGCUCGUCGCCCUGGCCGCCUGUGGCGCUCGUCGCCCCGGCCAUGGCGCCUCCGGCGCUCGUCACAGGUGCCCAUCCUCGUCGCCGGUCCCCACUCGCACCACCUGCGUUCGUCCUCGGCCUCGUGCUCGCUGCCGUAUCCUGGGCCUCCCAUGCUUAUCGGCCAUGGCAACUCCGGCGCCGGUUGUAGUAAAAACGAACAAAUGGUUGCAGCAAUUCUCCGUCGCCGUCGCCGUCGCUACUCGCGACUCCGCCAUGGAUGGGUGUAGCAAAAUCCCACACCGGUAGUAGCAAAACUCGAGGACGGUUGCAACAAAAAAAAUCCACCACCAUAGUACGUCGCAGCUCCGCCGUGAUAGAUGUAGCAAAUUCCGUCACUGGUAGUCGCAAAAUUUGGCGAUGGUUGUAGCAAAAACCUCGGCCGUUUCCAGCAAAGUUCUUGUCAUCGGUUGCCUCAUUAAUUUGCUUCCCAUCGCCGCCAUUGACUUGGGGGUUGCAACUUUUCUGCACAACGGUUCGAGCACCUUCAAUGGGAGGUUGCAGCUUUUCUGCAGGGUCGAAGCUUUCAGCCGUUCGAAGCUGUCUACAGAAGCAGGUUGAAGCUUUUUUGCAUCUGCCGUCGCCGGCCACAAGUUCGCCGUCGUUGGUUGCAGCACGUUACUCUGACAGUAGUAGCUGUUUUUGUUGCCGAUCGUAGCUUUUCAGAGCAUGGGUUGCAACUUUCCUCAUCUCCCGGUUGCAGCUGUUUAUUGUCAUGGGCCACAAAACUACACGCCGAAGAUUGUAGCAAAUAGCGCCACCGGUUGUAGGAAAAAAAUGAGCUAGUUGUAGCAAAAAUUCAGCUAUGUUUCCAACUCGCUUGUUGGUUGCAGCAAAAAACAAUAGUGGUUCCAGCUUUGGAUUUGGCCAGUUGAAGCAAAACAAAAUGCUAGUUCCAGCAUCGUUAUCCGCUCACUGGCAUCGCAACCUUCACCCUGGUCAUCCAUGGAGACUCGUCGGCACGGCUUGGCACGACGCCCUUGGCUCUUCGUCUCCGGCACUAGUGGAUACCAGAUGCAGCACCCCCCGACCCCGUGCAUGUCAUCUCCAGCACCACAAGUCGCCGGCCGUGGGGUGGACGACGACCUCGCCGGCGAGAUUGGGCUGCGGCGGGGUAGGGGUCGAUGCAGGGGUAGACAGGGUGGACGGCGGCCUCGCCGGCGUGCUGGGGAUUGCAGCGGCAGGAACGAGGAAGACGCAUGUGUCGCUGACAAAAAGUAAGCGGACAGGGAGAAGGAUAAGUCGGGCUAGCUCAUCUCUUGUGGGACCCCGUGAAGCGGGAGUGCGCGUGAGCGGGCGACCGGCCGAAGGUUCGGCCGGCACGCCGUCUCCAAACGUUUCCCUUAGCAAAACGUUGUGUGAGAUUUUGAAGACAUCAGGAGAGUCAUACGUCUCUGAAGGUCAACUUUUGGUAUACGGGCCUUGGUCCGAGUUGUCCUGAGCUGCCAUUGCCGGUUCUCCUCCGUAGAUGCCCGACACCGCCAAGUCGCCCGCGGCAGAGCCGUCGUCGUCCGGAUCACCGCCGCCGGCUCCUUCAGCGAGAAGAUGACCACGGGUCUGGAUCCGGGUCGUGGACGGCCCUGCUCCAUUGACAAGUCACCCACGGCGUCGAAACUGGUGUCGCACCGCUGUCAAGAUUGAACCGGUGACAGUUUUCAAUGCUUGGCCUCCCGUGCGCUGUUCCAAACUGGCGCCCCCGAGUUGCUGCUCUGUUCCACUGCCAUAAACCGCCGUGGCCCUGAGCACGCACCAGAGGAAGGUGACGUCGGUGUUGUAUUACAUCACAUCAGCGAAGUUACAUCUUCGCCUCUAAACCGUCCGGCUUCAUCCGCCGAGCUGCUAAGCCGCCGUCUCCGAAACCUCCCACCUCGAGUCACCGGCCGGCUCUGUAUCACCAUCAUUGCUGAGCCGACAAAACGGCCAGUCCCCGAUCGCAUCUGAAAUUACAGUCAAACGACCCGGAAUCAGACUUUGAGGGAGAACCGGAUUAGGAUUCAUCAAUAAUGGCCACGACCCGGACAAGCAUCAACCACUCCGGGCCGGCUUCUCCUCCACUACGAGCCGCACGCGCUUCGUCUUGCUCCCGAGGCUGCGCCCCUGUGUUUCCUCCGUCGCCACCGACCCAUGGGCCGCUCUGCUCCUUCCACGCGUUGUGCCACAGCAGGGUCACCGCCGGCCGAUGGUCUUCAUCUGCUCCUCAACGGCCGCGCCUCUAUAGCCAUGGCCAUGACCUCGCUCCGAGCCACCACUGACGUGCCCUCGCCAAGCUGCCCGCAUGCUCAGACAACCGCUCCGCCCAGCUCCAGUGCUGCCUCGCCUCGCCACUUGCAGCUGGCUCCUCUGCAUUGGCCCGGUUGUGCCUCGCGCCCGCGGCCGCCCGGUUGAAUCGCCGCGAACCGCCCGCGUGCCCGCUGGCCUGGUUCCGUACGUUGCUCUGUCGGGCCGUUCCACCUCUCCGCAUGGUUGGCCGGGGCCUCUUCUCACCUCGUUGAUUCGGCCUCGCUGCUUUAAACCGGCGCCCCCGAGCUGCGUCCACUUGAGGGCCGGGCUGAUCGCCGAAUCGCUUCCGCUGACCUCCUUCUAGCGCCACAUCGCGCUCCCCUCCUCAUUGCACCGGGCCGCCUCUGCCCGUCAGCCGGCGUCCACUCCGUGUAUUCGGGCUGCCUGUCGGCUCCGCUCGCCGCGCCUGCUUGGCUGGCUCCGGCCUCCCGCCGGCUCGUCGCUGCCCUAUCCGGCCUCCAACGACCCGGCUGCGCCCGCUUGAUGGCUCUGCCCGUCCGGCGUCCUGCAUCCCAGCCACGCUGUCGCGUUGUCCGCGCCCGCGACGCUUCUCCGCGUCCGCGCCUAUAGCCGCUGGUUAAACCGCUGUGGGUUAAAGCGUUGCACCAACCUCUCUCCGAGCCAUCGAUGUGGGUCAUCGUACUCGCAGACUUGCGAAAAUGCCGUCUGCAUGCCCGUGGGCCUUCGAUCCAAGUCACCGCUGUGGUCUCCGCCUGUGCGCACAAACCGCCCGCGGGCCAAGCCGGCCGCCGCGCGACCUAGCCUCGUCUCCGUGAACCGGCAGUUGUUUCGAAGGGCCUGAUACCGCUGCUUCGCGUGCGUCUCCGUGAACCGGCAGUUGUCUGCCGUGCGUGGCUGCGGUCUUGAUCCGUCGGGUCCCCGCCUUCCGCGGUACUCCUUCAUCAAAUCGUCAAAGCCACCCGUCCUCCUCUUAAACUGCAGCUACGCCGAGCAAGCCGUCGCCAUGGACCACUUUGCCACAUCACCGGCGCUUCCUCUACCACGGCUCCUACCUCCAGUUCGCGUGUCGCUGUGCCUCGCCGGUGGUCAACCCGUCACUCCUUCUCAAGACACCAGGUCACCGUCGUCGCGUCCGCAGCUACCGUGGCGCCCCCGCGAGUCGCCACUUCCGCUUGCAAGUCGCUUCCACCACCAUGGCCCGCUCGUCUCCGUGUGACCUCCACGAGCCGACUAUGUAAACCGCCGCGGCCUGGUUGGUUCUGUCCGAGCUGCCACGUCUAGCUUCCCACUGCUAUGGGCUAUAGCCAUGAUCCACACAGGCCUUUACUCUCUGCGUUUUCCCUGUCAGAGAAAAGAAAGAGAUAAGAGGAAAUUGCCGUGACAAAAAGUCAAGUGGCCAGGUCCUUAGGCUAAGGCUACCAGAAACAGAAGCCAAUGGCUAGCUAGCUGCCGUAUUACCGUCAUGUGGAGACCUGGCGGAAGCCUGGCACAAUACUGCAAAUACUACGAUACUCAUUCAUCCGACAAACGCCAGGUGCUAUCUUUUCUUGUUAUUUUUAGCACAUAUUGUUUUUGUUAAAAAAACAAUUACUUUGUCUAUAUAUUUUUAUAUAUGCAGGACAAUGAUUCAUUGUUUGCUGUUGGACGGAUGUGCACAAGUCGUCGCCCGUGCAGUUCGAUCUACAUCAACUUGCCACGGUCGCACCUGCGAUUGACUGGCCAUCUGCACAACUUAUCGCGUCUGUGAUUGACCAUCUCGUCCAUGCCGGCUUACAAUGCCGCGGCCGACUCUCUUGUCUGUGCUGGCUUAUAACCCCACGGUGGAUAUUAACUGGUCUGACAUAUCAGGUGAAAUCCAUCCACUAUAUUUUUAUAUUAUAUAUUGCUUUCUUUAAAAAAGAGCAAUUACUCCGGCUUGCAAAGUUAUCUAAAUGCAGGACCCUAAACCACCAUAUUGGUGCAAAUUUACAAGCCAUCAGAAAAAGUUCCGGCUUAAAAUGGAUAUUCCGGUUAAAAAUCCGGUUUAAGGAAAAGAUGUCUCCCACAAAGCUUUGAAGCUCAAAAUCCGGUUUAACACCCGGUUCAAGAAGAAAUAUCUCUCGCAAAGUUCGAGUUUUCAAGAAAAAUCAUUUGGGAGCUUGGUCGUAUUCAAACCAUAGCUACACCUCUUGAUCGGCGUAAGGCCACCAGGGAAAUCACUUGGGGGCUUGGUUGUACUCGAACCAUAGCUACACCUCUUGAUCGGCGUAAGGCCAAUAGGAAAUCACUUAGUGGCCAAAGAGAGUGUUGCAAAAAGCACAACUUAAACAUAGGCACCCACUGAGCAUAGCUCAAAAUGUUAACUGGGGGCUCUUUGUGCAACGCAACAAAGAGUUUGAAAGGACCCUUGUAACAUGCUAUCAAGCACGGCUUGGAAGCCUGGUGUAUUCACCUAAAACCCCGGGUUAACCUGUCUUCAUCAAGUAAGCCACUCCUUUCCAGGUAAUCCUGGCAUGACCCGCUGAACAUUUGACAAGUCAAUCUUACACAGACCCUGAGCUUGUCAAAGUUAAAACGACGAUUGGUUAGUUGGAGGCCCAUCUUGAGAUGCUUUGCAAGAAUGGUUUAACUCAGUGGCCUGGCAGCCCAUGAAAAUCCUCGAAUUUGGGCCUGGCAGCCCUUGAAAAGCCUCGACUACACAGUUUUAUUUGCCUUUGUCAAGAUUUUUCUCUUUUGAUAAAAUUUUAUGUUGAACCGGCGUCUAUUGACCCGGCAUGAAUAUCAGUCAUCAAAUUAACCCGGUAUUUGUUAACCCGGUUUGACUUUCAACUACAAGUUGUCAGUACAUAAUCACUUAUAAUCCGGUGUUUAUUGACCCGGCCUAGCUUUGGACUAUAAGUCGCCAGUAUAUAUUUGGAUUGCGCCAUUGGAAUCAUGCGCUUAUAAAUCAUUGGGUAUAUUAUUCAAAUCUUUAAUAGCCAACAUGGCUGGAUUUUUAUUAUGGUUAUCAAUAACCAGUAUUAUGAUUAAGGUUUUCAAAGUCGCUUUAGCGCAAUGGCUAUCAUAUUAUCAAUGGAUAUGAUUUAUUUUACAAUUCAAGGAAUAGUCCCGAGUUGCUGCAGGCUUACAACCCGUCACUUGGGGGCUACAUUAUUUAAGUUGAGAUUAUUACAUCAAAUACACAAGUCUCAUGUCGCUGCAAGCAUGCACCAUGACACUUGGGGGCUAAUGCAAAUUCAUUUUUUGCUCACCUUAUUGAAGACCCGACUCAUCACGUUGUAAUGAGCCGUCCCUUGGGGGCUACCAAUUGCUCCUGUAAACAAUACAAGGUACAAAGCUUUUUAUCCAUUACAUUGAAGGGUCCACUGCUCGGUUGGUAAAGCAGAAGGCUCUUAACCUUGUGGACGGGGAUUCAAGCCCCACGAUGGGGGUUACAACAUAUGAUGUUAUUUUCAUUGAAGUAUAUAUCAAAGUCCCAGCUCAAUAUUAUCUUACUGAGCCGGCCCUUGGGGGCUACACGUUGUUGUUCAAAGUUUACAUGAUUAUAUUUACAAAGUCCCUGCUCAUUAUUGCAUAAUGACCCGACCCUUGGGGGCUACACUGGUUCAAGUUUUUAUGAGCAUCAGGCAAUUACAAGUCCCAAGUUGUUGCAAACAUGACAAACCGACACUUGGGGGCUACAAUUGAUAGGCAUAUAAGAGGUAUAUUUUCAAGCUGGAUGUUAACUACAGUUAUGACCCGGUGUUAUCAAUAUUUAUAAACCGGCAAGUUCUACAUUCUUAAACCGGCAAGUUCUACAUCCUUAAACCGGCUGAAGAUCAGAUGAUUAUUACAAGGACCAAUAUUUUUGUUAAGCAUUGGGAGCUGAGUCAAAUGAAUUAUUCUUCACGAUAUUUCUCUGUGACAAACCAAUGUCAGCAAGUUGAUUAUGAAGCUGGCCUAUUGACCCAGAUUUUCUAGAAGAAGGAAAUGACAAGGACUUAAGGAUGCUCAGGAUCAGUUUAACAUGGAUAAAUCCAAAUUAAACUUAUGGCUAAUGUCGGGGAUAUACCCCUGCGGUAUGACCCGACCAGAGUCAUAACCUGGCUGGGACUUGGUAAACUGGCGAUGGUAAACCGGCAGACAGUUAAGACAGAUGGCUAAGACAGACAGUAAACCGGCAAGUGGUAAAACGGCAGGUGUUAAGACAGAUGGUAACACCGGCAGGAGUUAAGUCAGAUGAUAACCCGGCAGAUGUUAAGUCAAUCAAACCUGACAGGCAAUCAUAAACCGGCAGACCAUGUUAAACCAACAGACCAUCAUAAACCGGCAGACCUUGUUAAACCGGCAGACCAUCAUAAAUCGGCAGACCAUGUUAAACCGGCACCAGACAGUGAUAACUGGGUUGCCAGGGGUUAUGAAGCCCAAGACGUUAAGAAGCCCAUGAAGGGAAGUCAAAAUAGUUGAAGUCUUAGUCCGAGAUGGACUCUACAUGUAACCCGGCCCUUCAACUAAUAUAAGGAGGGGCAGGGCUCCCCAAAAGAGGGACAAGCAACAAGAAACAAUCUCUAGGGCUAGACACAACGAGGGAGAGCCGGUUUACGGUGACUCCCUCAUGAUGAUAAUGAGACCUAGCCACAAACAACAUGUAGGGUUGUUACCGGAUGAUGUUACCCAGGGCCCGAAGCUGUCUAAAUCUUUGUCUUGCAUGUUGCGUCUCUCGAUUCCGCUCAACCAUCUCCAGCUACCACAUAGAUGCGUUGGCCUCACGACUAAGUCCUCACACUAAGGACAUCUGACGUGACAAUUCCACGACACUACCAAUCUAUCCCUCUAGGAGCAUGCGCGUAGUGCUUGAUUUUUGAUGACUUCUAAAUUUUUGCAAUAAGUAUAUGAGUUUUUUUGACUAAUGUCGAGUCCAUGGAUUAUACGCACUUUUACCUUUCCACCAUUGCUAGCCUCUUCGGUACCGUGCAUUGCCCUUUCUCACCUUGAGAGUUGGUGCAAACUUCGCUGGUGCAUCCAAACCCCGUGAUAUGAUACGCUCUAUCGCACAUAAAUCUCCUUAUAUCUUCCUCGAAAUAGCCACCAUACCUACCUAUUAUGGCAUUUCCAUAGCCAUUCCGAGAUAUAUUGCCAUGCAACUUUCCACCGUUCCGUUCAUCAUCUUCAUGACAUACUUUACUUUUGUCAUAUUGCCAUUGCAUGAUCAUGUAGUUGACAUCGUAUUUGUGGCAAAGCCACCAUGCCUAAUUUUUUUAUACAUGUCACUCUUGAUUCAUUACACCAUCCCGGUACACCGCCGGAGGCAUUCAUAUAGAGUCAUAUCUUGUUCUAGUUUCGAGUUGUAAUUCAUAUGUUGUAAUCAAUGAAUGUGUGAUGAUCAUCAUUAUUAGAGCAUUGCCCAAAAAAAUAAAAAAAAGAGAAAGGCCAAAAGAAAAAAAAAGAAAGGCCAAAGAAAAAAAGAAAAAAAGAAAAAAAAAGAAAAUAAAUAAAAAGGGCAAUGUUACUAUCUCUUUUUCCACACUUGUGCUUCAAAGUAGCACCAUGUUCUUCAUGUAGUGAGUCUCAUACUUUGUGCUUCAAAGUAGCACCAUGUUCUUCGUAUAGUGAGUCUCAUAUGUUGUCACUUUCAUAUGCUAGUGGGAAUUUUUCAUUAUAGAACUUGGCUUGUAUAUUCCUACGAUGGGCUUCCUCAAAUGCCCUAGGUCUUCGUGAGCAAGCAAGUUGGAUGCACACCCACUAGUUUUCUUUUAUUGAGCAUUCAUUUAUAGCUCUAGUGCAUCCGUUGCAUGGCAAUCCCAACUCCUCAUGUUGACAUCAAUUGAUGGGCAUCUCCAUAGCCCGUUGAUUAUCCUCGUCAAUGUGAGACUUUCUCUUUUUUUGUCUUCUCCACACAAUCCCCAUCAUCAUAUUCUAUUCCACCCAUAGUGCUAUAUCCAUGGCUCACGCUCAUGUAUUGCGUGAAGGUUGAAAAAGUUUGAGAUUAUUUAAGUACGAAACAAUUGCUUGGCUUGUCAUCAGGGGUGUAGAAUUUGGGAACAUCACUGUGUGACGAAAAUGAAGCAUAACCUAACUAUAUGAUUUUGUAGGGAUGAACUUUCUUUAGCCAUGUUAUUUUGAGAAUACAUGAUUGCUUUGAUUAGUAUGCUUGAAGUAUUACUAUUUCUUUUAUCAAUAUGAACUUUUAUUUUGAAACAUUUGGAUCUGAACAUUCAUGCCACAGUAAAGAAAAAUACAUUGAGAAUUAUGCUAGGUAGCAUUCCACAUCAAAAAUUCUAUUUUUAUCAUUUACCUACUCGAGGACGAGCAGGAAUUAAGCUUGGGGAUGCUUGAUAUGUCUCCAACAUAUCUAUAAUUUUUUAUUGUUCCAUGAUAUUAUAUUACUCCUUUUGGAUGUUGAUGGGCUUUAUUUUACACAUUUAUAUCAUUUUUGGGACUAACCUACUAACCGGAGGCCUAACCCGUAUUGCUGUUUUUUUUGCCUAUUCUAGUAUUUCAAAGAAAAGGAAUAUCAAACGGAGUCCAAACGGAAUGAAACCUUCGGGAGCAUGAUUUUUGGAACGAGCGUGAUCCGAAGAACUUGGAGUGCAAGUCAUGAAGCAAACGAGGCGGCCAGGAGAUAGGAGGGCGCGCCCACCCCCUGGGCGCGCCCCCAUUUCUCCUGGGCCCCUUGAGCGGCCACCGACGUAAUUCUUCCUCCUAUAUAUACCUACGUACCGCGAAAACAUCUAGAGAGCCACCAAAACACAAUCUCCACCGCCGUAACCUUCUGUAUCCGCGAGAUCCCAUCUUGCAGCCUUUGCCGGUGCUCCGCCGGAGGGGGAAUCGACCAUGGAGGGCUUCUACAUCAACACUAUAGCCCCUCCGAUGUGUUGUGAGUAUUUUACCACAGACCUUCGGGUCCAUAGUUAUUAGCUAGAUGGCUUCUUCUCUCUUUUUGGAUCUCAAUACAAUGUUCUCCCCCUCUCAUGUGGAGAUCUAUUCGAUGUGAACUCUUUUUGCGGUGUGUUUGUCGAGAUCCGAUGAAUUGUGGGUUUAUGGUCAAGUUUAUCUAUGAGAAAUAUUUGAAUCUUCUCUGAAUUCUUUUAUGUAUGAUUGAGUUAUCUUUGCAAGUCUCUUUGAAUUAUCAGUUUGGUUUGGCCUACUAGAUUGAUCUUUCUUGCCACGGGAGAAGUGCUUAGCUUUGGGUUCAAUCUUGCGGUGUCCUUACCCAGCGACAGAAAGGGUUGCAAGGCACGUAUUGUAUUGUUGCCAUCGAGGAUAAAAAGAUGGGGUUUAUAUCAUAUUGCUUGAGGUUAUCCCUCUACAUCAUGUCAUCUUUCUUAAUGCAUUACUCUGUUCUUAUGAACUUAAUACUCUAGAUGUAUGCUGGAUAGUGGUCGGUGUGUGGAGUAAUAGUAGUAGAUGCAGGCAGGAGUCGGUCUACUUGUCACGGAAGUGAUGCCUAUAUACAUGAUCAUGCCUAGAUAAUCUCAUAAUUAUUCACUUUUCUAUCAAUUGCUCGACAGUAAUUUGUUCACCCACCGUAAUACCUAUGCUAUCUUGAGAGAAGCCACUAGUGAAACCUAUGGCCCCUGGGUCUAUCUUUUAUCAUAUAAGCUUUCAAUCUACUUUUAUUUUCCUCUUUACUUUUUGCAUCUAUAUUAUAAAAUACCAAAAAUAUAUUUGUCUUAUCAUAUUAUCUCUAUCAGAUCUCACUUUUGCAAGUGGUCGUGAAGGGAUUGACAACCCCUUUAUCUUAUCAUAUUAUGUCUAUGGAGGAAGGAGUACAUCAAGGUUCCCAACUGGAGGUCUCCUCCUCCUUCGCAGCCGCGUCAGGGCACCCCACCUCCUCCUCCUCCUCCUCCUAUCGCAAGUUAGGGCACUCCACCUCCUCCAGCGCAUGAGGGCACUCCACUGUUGGGGAACGUAGCAAAAAUUCAAAAUUUUCUAUGCAUGACCAAGAUCAAUCUAUUGAGUAACUAGCAACAAGAGAGAGGGGAGUGCAUCUUCAUACCCUUGAAGAUUGCGAUGCGGAAGCGUUGCAUGAACGUGGUCGGUGCAGUCGUUCAAUAAGCGAUCCAGAUCGCGGCUGAAUCCGAUCUAAGCACCGAGCAACGGUGCCUCCACAUUCAACACACGUACAGCCCGGGGACGUCUCCUCCUUCUUGAUCCAGAAAGGGGAGAGGAGAAGUUGAGGGAGAGCUCCGGCAGCACAACGGCGUGGUGGUGGAGCUUGCAGUUCUCCGGCAGAGCUUCGCCAAGCACUACUACUACGGAGGAGGUGUUGGGAAGGGAGAGGCCUGCGCCAGGGGAAGGGUGAAGCUCCCAUGCGCCUCCCGACUAUAUAUAGGGGUGGAGGGGGCUGGUUUCUUGCCAUCCAAGUCCAUUGGAGCGUUGGCAAAGGUGGGAGGAAAGAAAUCCCAUCAUUUCCUUCCCCACCGAUUAUUAUCCCCCUUUUUUAGGGAUCUUGAUCUUAUCACUUCGGGAUAUGAUCUUAUUCCUUCUAAGGGGGGAUCUUGGUGCGCCUUGACCAGGGGUGUGGGGCCUUGCCCCCACUACCCACGUUCAUGUGGGUCCUCCCAUGCAGGUGGGCCCCACUCCGGAACCUUCUAGAACCUUCCCGGUACAAUACCGAAAAAUCCCGAACAUUUUCCGGUGGCCAAAAUAGGACUUCCCAUAUAUAAAUAUUUACCUCCGGACCAUUCCGGAACUCCUCGUGACGUCCGGGAUCUCAUCCGGGACUCCGAACAACAUUAGUUAACUACACACUAAUUCCCAUAACAACUCUAGCGUCACCGAACCUUAAGUGUGUAGACCCUACGGGUUCGGGAAUCAUGCAGACAUGACCGAGACAGCUCUCUGGCCAAUAACCAACAGCGGGAUCUAGAUACCCAUGUUGGCUCCCACAUGUUCCACGAUGAUAUCAUCGGAUGAACCACGAUGUCAAGGAUUCAAGCAAUCCUGUAUACAAUUCCCUUUGUCAAUCGGUACGUUACUUGCCCGAGAUACGAUCGUCGGUAUCCUAAUACCUCGUUCAAUCUCGUUACCGGCAAGUCACUUUACUCGUUCCGUAAUGCAUGAUCCCAUGACUAACUACUUAGUCACAUUGAGCUCAUUAUGAUGAUGCAUUACCGAGUGGGCCCAGAGAUACCUCUCCGUCACACGGAGUGACAAAUCCCAGUAUCGAUUCAUGCCAACCCAAUAGACACUUUCGGAGAUACCCGUAGUGCACCUUUAUAGCCACCCAGUUAUGUUGUGACGUUUGGCACACCCAAAGAAUUCCUACGGUAUCUGGGAGUUGCACAAUCUCAUGGUCUAAGGAAAUGAUACUUGACAUUAGAAAAGCUUUUAGCAAACGAACUACACGAUCUUGUGCUAUGCUUAGGAUUGGGUCUUGUCCAUCACAUCAUUCUCCUAAUGAUGUGAUCCAGUUAUCAAUGACAUCCAAUGUCCAUGGUCAGGAAACCGUAACCAUCUAUUGAUCAACAAGCUAGUCAACUAGAGGCUCACUAGGGACAUGUUGUGGUCUAUGUAUUCACACAUGUAUUACGGUUUCUAGUUAAUACAAUUAUAGCAAGAACAAUAGACAAUUAUCAUGAACAAGGAAAUAUAAUAAUAACCAUUUUAUUAUUGCCUCUAGGGCAUAUUUCCAACAGUCUCCCAAUUGCACUAGAGUCAAUAAUCUAGUUAACAUCACUAUGUGAUUGCAAUGAAUUCAACACCCAUUGGGUUUGAUCAUAUCUCGCUUGUGAGAGAGGUUAUUAGUCAACGGGUCUGAAUCUUUCAGAUUCGUGUGUGCUUUACAAAUCUCUAUGUCAUCCCCUAGAUGCGCUACCACGCGCUAUUUGGAUCUAUUCCAAAUCACUGUUCUACUAUACGAAUCCGGUUUACUACUUAGAGUCAUCCGGAUUAGUGUCAAAGUUUGCAUCGACGUAACCCUUUACGACAAACUCUUUUACCACCUCCAUAAUCGAGAAAAUUCCUUAGUCCACUAGUUACUAAGGAUAAGUUUGACCGCUAUCAUGUGAUCCAUUCCUGGAUCACUCUUGUACCCCUUGAUUGAUUUCAUGGCAAGGCACACUUCGGGUGCGGUACACAGCACAACAUACUAUAGAGCCUACGUCUAAAGCAUAGGGGACGACCUUUGUCCUUUCUCUCUCUUAUGCCGUGGUCAGAUCUUGAGUCUUACUCAAUGCUCACACCUUAUAACAAAGCCAAGAACUCCUUCUUUGCUGAUUUGUUUGAACUCCUUCAAAAUCUUGUCACGGUAUGUAUUCAUUUGAAAGUACUAUUCAGCGUUUUUGAUCUAUCCUUAUAGAUCUUGAUGCUCAACUUUCAAGUAGCUUAAUCCAGGUUUUCCAUUGAAAAACACCUUUCAAACAACCCUAUAUGCUCUCCAGAAAUUCUACAUCAUUUCCGAUCAACAAUAUGUCAACAACAUAUACUCAUCAGAAAUUCUAUAGUGCUCCCACUCACUUCUUUGGAAAUACAAGUUUCUCAUAAACUUUGUAUAAACCCAAAAUCUUUGAUCAUCUCAUCAAAGCGUAUAUUCCAUCUCCGAGAUGCUUACUCCAGUCCUUAGAAGGAUUACUAGAGCUUUGCAUACUUAUUAGCAUCUUUCAGGAUUGACAAAACCUUCUGGUUGUAUCACAUACAACCUUUCCUCAAGAAAAUCGUCAAGGAAACAAUGUUUUGACAUCCUAUCUGCAAGAUUUCAUAAAUAAUACAUCAACUGCUAACAUAACUCCAACAGACUCUUAGCAUCGCUACGAGUGAGAAAGUCUCAUCGUAGUCAACUCCUUGAACUUGUCGGAAAACAUCUUAGCGACAAGUCGAGAUUUCUUAAUGGUGACACUUACCAUCAUCGUCCGUCUUCCUUUUAAAAAUCCAUUUGUACUCAAAAGCCUUACGACCAUCAAGUAGUUCUCCCAAAGUCUAUACUUUGUUUUCAUACAUGGAUCCUCUCUCGGAUUUUAUGGCCUCGAGCCAAUCAUCGGAAUCCGGGCCCACCAUCGCUUCUCCACAGCUCGUAGGUUCAUUGUUGUCUAGCAACAUGACCUCCAAGACAGGAUUACCAUACCACUCAGAAGCAGUAUGCGUCCUUGUCGACCUACGAGGUUUGGUAGUGACUUGAUCUGAAGUUUCAUGAUCACUAUCAUCAGCUUCCACUUCAACUGGUGUAGGCGCCACAGGAACAACUUCCUGUGCCCUACUAUAGAUUGGUUGAAGUGAUGGUUCAAUAACCUCAUCAAGUCUCCACCAUCCUCCCACUCAAUUCUUUCAAGAGAAACUUUUCCUCGAGAAAGGACCCUUUUCUAGAAACAAUCACUUUUGCUUCCGGAUCUGAAAUAGGAGGUAUACCCAACUAUUUUGGGUGUCCUAUGAAGAUGCAUUUAUCCGCUUUGGGUUUGAGCUUAUCAGGCUAAAACUUUUCCACAUAAGCUUCGCAGCCCCAAACUUUUAAGAAAUGAUAGCUUAAGUUUCUCUAAACCAUAGUUCAUACAUUGUCAUCUCAACGGAAUUAUGUGGUGCCCUAUUUAAGGUGAAUGCGGUUGUCUCUAGUGCCUAACCCAUAAAUGAUAGUGGUAAUUCGAUAAGAGACAUCAUGGUAUGCACCAUAUCCAAUAGGGUGCAGCUGUGAUGUUCGGACACACCAUCACACUAUGGUGUUCCAGGCGGUAUUAGUUGUGAAACAAUUUCCACAAUGUCUUAAUUGUAUACCAAACUCAUAACUCAGAUAUUGAUCUCUAUGAUCAUAUCAUAGGCAUCUUAUCCUUUUGCCACAAUGAUCUUCUACUUCACUCUGAAAUUACUUGAACCUUUCAAUAAUUCAGACUUGUGUUUCAUCAAAUAAAUAUACUCAGAAUCUACUCAAAUCAUCUGUGAAGUAAGAACAUAACGAUAUCCACUGCGUGCCUCAGCACUCAUUCGACUGCACACAUCAAAAUGUAUUACUUCCAAAAAGUUACUUUCUUGUUCCAUCUCACUGAAAACGAGGCCUUUCAGUCAUCUUGUGCAUGUGGUAUGAUUUGCAGGUCUCAAGUGAUUCAAAAUCAAGUGAGUCCAAAUUAUCCAUCUGCAUGGAGUUUCUUCAUGCGUAUAUACCAAUAGACAUGGUUCGCAUGUCUCAAACUUUUCAAAAACGAGUGAGUCCAAAGAUCCAUCAACAUGGAGCUUCUUCAUGCGUUUUUAUACCAAUAUGACUCAAAUGGCAGUGCCACAAGUAGGUGGUACUAUCAUUAUUGUCUUAUAUCUUUUGGCAUGAACAUGUGUAUCACUACGAUCGAGAUUCAAUAAACCAUUCAUUUUAGGUGCAAGACCAUUGAAGGCAUUAUUCAAAUAAACAGAGUAACCAUUAUUCUCCUUAAAUGAAUAAUCGUAUUAUGAUAAACAUAAUCCAAUCAUGUCUAUGCUCAACGCAAACACCAAAUAACCAUUAUUUAGGUUUAACACCAAUCUCGAUGGUAGAGGGAGCAUGCGAUGCUUGAUCACAUCAACCUUGGAAACACUUCCAACACAUAUCCUCAUCUCACCUUUAGCUAGUCUCCAUUUAUUCCGCGGCUUUUAUUUCAAGUUACUAACACUUAGCAACCGAACCGGUAUCUAAUACCCUGGUGCCACUAGGAGUACUAGUAAAGUACACAUUAAUAUAAUGUAUAUCCAAUAUACUUCUGUCGACCUUGCCAGCCUUCUCAUCUACCAAGUAUCUAGGGUAGUUCUGCUUCAGUGACCGUUCCCCUCAUUACAGAAGCACUUAGUCUCGGGUUUGGGUUCAACCUUCGGUUUCUUCACUAGAGCAGCAACUGAUUUGCCGUUUCAUGAAGUAUCCCUUCUUGCCCAUGCACUUCUUGAAACUAGUGGUUUUACUAACCAUCAACAAUUGAUGCUCCUACUUAAUUUCUACUUUCGCGGUGUCAAACAUCGUGAAUUGCUCAAGGAUCAUCAUGUCUAUCCCUGAUAUGUUAUAGUUCAUCGUGAAGCUCUAAUAGCUUGGUGGCAGUGACUAUGGAGAACCAUCACCAUCUCAUCUGGAAGAUUAACUCCCACUCGAUUCAAGUGAUUGUAUUACUCAGACAAUCUGAGCACAUGCUCAAUGAUUGAGCUUUUCUCCCUUAGUUUGCAGGUUAAGAAACUUGUCGGAGGUCUCAUACCUCUUGACGUGGGCACGAGCCUGAAAUCCUAAUUUCAGCUCUUGGAACAUCUCAUAUGUUCUGCGACGUUUCAAAAAAUGUCUUCGCUGCCUCAAUUCUAAACCGUUCUAAAAUUUUCUCUAGGAACAUAUCUUAAACAGUAGAAUUAAAGCGUAUGCUACGACAUAAUUUGCAAAGACCUUUUGACUAUGUUCAUGAUAAUUAAGUUCAUCUGAUUAUUUAAUGAACUCACACUUAGAUAGACAUCCCUCUAGUCAUCUAAGUGAUACAUGAUCCGAGUCAACUAGGCCGUGUCCGAUCACCACGUGAGACGGACUAGUCAUCAUCGGUGAACAUCUACAUGUUGAUCGCAUCUGCUAUACGACUCAUCUUCGACCUUUCGUCUCUUGUGUUCCAAGGCCAUGUCUGUACAUGCUAGGCUCGUCAAGUCAACCUAAGUGUUUUGCAUGUGUAAAUCUGGCUUACACCCAUUGUAUGCGAACGUUUGAAUCUAUCACACCAGAUCAUCACGUGGUGCUUCGAAACAACGAACCUUCGCAACGGUGCACAGUUAGGGGGAACACUUUCUUGAAAUUUUAUGAGGGAUCAUCUUAUUUAUGCUACCAUCGUUCUAAGCAAAUAAGAUGCAAAAACAUGAUAAACAUCUCAUGCAAUCAAAUAGUGACAUGAUAUGGCCAACAUCAUUUUGCUCCUUUUGAUCUCCAUCUUCGGGGCGCCAUGAUCAUCAUCGUCACCGGCAUGACACCAUGAUCUCCAUCAUCAUGAUCUCCAUCAUCGUGUCUUGAUGAAUUUGUCUGGCCAACUAUUACUUCUACUACUAUGGCUAACGGUUUAGCGAUAAAGUAAAGUAAUUACGUGGUGUUAUUCAAUGACACGGAGGUCAUACAAUAAAUUAGGACAACUCCUAUGGCUCCUGCCAGUUGUCAUACUCAUCGACAUGCAAGUCGGGAUUCCUAUUACAAGAACAUGAUCAAUCUCAUACAUCACAUAUAUUUCAUUCAUCACAUCCUUUGGCCAUAUCACAUCACACGGCAUAUGCUGCAAAAACAAGUUAGACGUCCUCUAAUUGUUGUUGCAAGUUUUUACGUGGCUGCUAUAGGUUUCUAGCAAGAACGUUUCUUACCUACGCCAAAACCACAACGUGAUAUGCCAAUUGCUAUAUACCCUUCAUAAGGACCCUUUUCAUUGAAUCUGAUCCGACUAAAGUGGGAGAGACAGACACCCGCUAGCCACCUUAUGCAACUAGUGCAUGUCAGUCGGUGGAACCUGUCUCACGUAAGCGUACAUGUAAGGUCGGUCCGGGCCGCUUCAUCCCACGAUGCCGCUGAAUCAAGAUAAGACUAGUAGUGGUAAGUAAAUUGACAAAAUCGACAUCCACAACAACUUGUGUUCUACUCGUGCAUAGAAACUACGCAUAGACCUAGCUCAUGAUGCCACUGUUGGGGAACGUAGCAGAAAUUCAAAAUUUUCUAUGCAUCACCAAGAUCAAUCUAUUGAGUAACUAGCAACGAGAGAGAGGGGAGUGCAUCUUCAUACCCUUGAAGAUCGCGAUGCGGAAGCGUUGCAAGAACGCGGUCGGUGGAGUCGUUCACUAAGCGAUUCAGAUCGCGGCUGAAUCCGAUCUAAGCACCAAACAACGGUGCCUCAACGUUCAACACACGUACAGCCCGGGGACGUCUCCUCCUUCUUGAUCCAGCAAGGGGAGAGGGUAAGUUGAGGGAGAGCUCUGGCAGCACGACGGCAUGGUGGUGGAGCUUGCAGUUCUCCGACAGAGCUUCGCCAAGCACUACGGAGGAGGAGGAGGUGUUGGGGAGGGAGAGGGUUGUGCCAGGGGAAGGGUGAAGCUCCCAUGUGCCUCCCCACUAUAUAUAGGGGUGGAGGGGGCUGGUUUCUUGCCCUCCAAGUCCAUUGGGGCGUUGGCAAAGGUGGGAGGAAAGAAAUCCCAUCAUUUCCUUCCCCACCGAUUUUUAUCCCCCUUUUUUAGGGAUCUUGAUCUUAUCCCUUCGGGAUAUGAUCUUAUUCCUUUUAAGGGGGAUCUUGGUGCGCCUUGACCCCACUACCCACGUUCAUGUGGGUCCCCCCAUGCAGGUGGGCCCCACUCCGGAACCUUCUAGAACCUUCCCGGUACAAUACCAAAAAAUCCCGAACAUUUUCCGGUGGCCAAAAUAGGACUUCCCAUAUAUAAAUCUUUACCUCCGGACCAUUCCGGAACUCCUCGUGAAGUCCAGGAUCUCAUCCAGGACUCUGAACAACAUUCGGUAACUGCACAAUAAUUCCCAUAACAACUCUAGCGUCACCGAACCUUAAGUGUGUAGACUCUACGGGUUCGGGAAUCAUGCAGACAUGACCAAAACAGCUCUCUGGCCAAUAACCAACAGCGGGAUCUAGAUACCCAUGUUGGCUCCCACAUGUUCCACGAUGAUCUCAUCGGAUGAACCACGAUGUCAAGGAUUCAAGCAAUCCCGUAUACAAUUCCCUUUGUCAAUCGGUACGUUACUUGCCCGAGAUUCGAUCGUCGGUAUCCCAAUACCUCGUUCAAUCUCGUUACCGACAAGUCACUUUACUCCUUCCGUAAUGCAUGAUCCCGUGACUAACUACUUAGUCACAUUGAGCUCAUUAUGAUGAUGCAUUACCGAGUGGGCCCAGAGAUACCUCUCCGUCACACGGAGUGACAAAUCCCUGUAUCGAUCGAUUCGUGCCAACCCAACAGACACUUUCGGAGAUACCCGUAGUGCACCUUUAUAGCCACCCAGUUACGUUGUGACGUUUGGCACACCCAAAGCAUUCCUACGGUAUCUGGGAGUUGCACAGUCUCAUGGUCUAAGGAAAUGAUACUUGACAUUAGAAAAGCUUUUAGCAAACGAACUACACGAUCUUGUGCUAUGCUUAGGAUUGGGUCUUGUCCAUCACAUUAUCAAUGACAUCCAAUGUCCAUGGUCAGGAAACCAUAACCAUCUAUUGAUCAACGAGCUAGUCAACUAGAGGCUCACUAGGGACAUGUUGUGGUCUAUGUAUUCACACAUGUAUUACGGUUUCCAGUUAAUACAAUUAUAGCAUGAACAAUAAACAAUUAUCAUGAACAAGGAAAUAUAAUAAUAACCAUUUUAUUAUUGCCUCUAGGGCACAUUUCCAACAUCCAACUCCUCCUUCUCCUCCUCCGGUGUGCCAGCGGACUCCGCUGCCUCAUCAACGGUGGAAGAGAGCGACGCCGCUUCGGCGGCUAGCAGUACAAGACGGCGGGAAGAAAUACAGAUUUGGUCCAAAAAGCUUGAAGCCCAUAUGAGAAGAGUAACGAGGAAAUGGAUGAAAUCGUAGAAGCCGAAGUGCAGGCCCAUUUUGCAAGGAAAUGGUAGAUCCAGUGAAAGCGAAGCACACUCUGGAUGCCCUUAAGUGACCACCACCGUCUUCGCCGCGAUCCAACUAUGAACGUGUUAUUGAAAAGACAUUUUAGGAAGCGCAGCAUUUGGGAAGUACUUCCAGUGAUGCAGUGCUAGCAAAAGGAUGAACUGGGAAAACAAUUCCCUAGCUCGGCGAACAGGCGAAGCAAUCAUGCCGCCUACUCAAGGUGUCUAGUGAUAUCGUCGCUAAUCAUCCAGGGCUACUGCCCGGUACCAAUCUUUGUGAUUACCUGGCUGAUGAUGUACAGUUUGAAAUGUUAGAGGUAGUAGAGAUCUUUAUAUACGAGUACGGGAAGUCUCUUGUUAAACGUGAUCAUCCUCCUCUAAUAAGGAUGAUGCGAAGAUUGCAUGAAUGAUACAUGGAUACCUGCAGGAAGUCUAGGAAGGAUAGUUUGAUGGUGAGAAUUAAAGAGGAGCAUGACCUCAUUAGAGUCGACCUGAUGCCUGUUGAAUUUGUGGAGUUAUUUCAGUUACACUAGUAGUAAACAAGGCUAUCUUUCGGGCCUGGCCAGCCCAUUAGUCCCGGUUCUUCAAGAACCGGGACCCAUGGGGGCUAUUAGACCCGGUUCAUGAGCCCAGGGGGGCGGCCGGGGCCUCGUGGGCAUUGGUCCCGGUUCGUCUGGAACAAUUUGUCCCGGUUCUAGGCACGAACCUUGACCAAUGGACCUUGCUCCUAGCCCACACCCAUUGGUACCGGUUCAUGCCUUGAACCGGUGUAGAAGGGGGGCUUUAGUCCCGGUUCAUGCCACAAACCGGGACAAAUAAUUUGCCUAUAUACACCCAUCGCCGCGGCAGAGCAUUCCAAAGUGCUCUGUUUUUUCAAUACGGCGAGGAGAGGGCAGUUGGGUGCUCUAGUUCACCUCCUAUGCACAUGAGGUGUUCGAUGAAAUGCCCGAGCCACACUAGUUAAGCUUUCUCCCCUCGAAGCUCGACCUUGGAGCUCCAUUUUUUGCAAGAUUUGUCUAGAUUUAGCGGUCCGUCACGCCCCGUCCCCGUUUUCACGGCCGUUGAUCGCCCGCGCCGAUCUCGUCGCCGACACCACCGUGGUGAGCCUCUUGUUCUUAUCUUCUUUCUGAUACUUGUCUGAUUUUCUUACUUUAGAUAGAUAUUUGUCUGAUUUUCUAACUUUUGACACACAUAAUUAUAUAUAAUGCACGCAGAUGAACCGGCAAUGGAUGUAUGGUGACAGACACACCUCCGUGUACAUUAAGGGCGUGCAUAAUUUUCUUGAAGUGGUUGAAAUACGAAGUCUUACUCUGACCGGAAAAUCCUUCACACCCAUCAGCUUUACAAGGGUUUCAUGCCACACUAUAAUGUUUGGACUAGGCACGGAGAAAUAGGGGUUAUGAUGGAAUACAGCAAAGAAGAAGAGGACGAUGACAACUAUGUGCCCCCUGAAUACGGUGAUGCUGCAACGGGGGGAGCUGCUGAAGAUCAAGAGGAACCAGACGAUGUGCCCGAUGUUGCUGCAACGGGGGAAGCCGCGGAAGAUCAAGAGGAACCAGAUGAUGUGCCCGAUGAUGAUCUCCGCCGGGUCAUUCUCGAUGCAAGGACGCAAUGCGAAAGUCAAAAGGAGAAGCUGAAGUUCGAUCGCAUGUUAGAGGAUCAAAAAAAAGGUUGUACCCCAAUUGCGAAGAUGGCAACACAAAGCUGGGUACCGUACUGGAAUUGCUGGAGUGGAAGACAGAGAAUGUUGUGCCUGACAAAGGAUUUGAGAAGCUAUUGAAAAUAUUGAAGAAGAAGCUUCCAAAGGAUAAUGAAUUGCCCGACAGUACGUACGCAGGAAAGAAGGUCGUAUGCCCUCUAGGAUUGGAGGUGCAGAAGAUACAUGCAUGCCCUAAUGACUGCAUCCUCUUUCGCAGUGCGUACAAAGAUUUGAACGCAUGCCCGGUAUGUGGUGCAUUGCGGUAUAAGAUCAGACGAGAUGACCCUGGUGAUGUUGACGGCGAGCACCACGGGAAGAGAGUUCCUGCAAAGGUGAUGUGGUAUGCUCCUAUAAUACCACGGUUCAAACGACUGUUCAGAAACAAAGAGCAUGCCAAGUUGAUGCGAUGGCACAGUGAGGACCGUAAGAAAGAGGGAAGUUGAGAGCACCCGUUGACGGGUUGCAAUGGAGAAAAAUCGAGAGAGAGUACUGGGCUGAGUUUGCACGUGACCCAAGGAACGUAUGGUUUGGUUUAAGCAUGGAUGUCAUUAAUCCUUUCGGGGAGCAGAGCAGCAAUCACAGCACCUGGCCCGUGACUCUAUGUAUGUAUAACCUUCCUCCUUGGAUGUGCAUGAAGCGGAAGUUCAUUAUGAUGCCAGUUCUCAUCCAAGGCCCUAAGCAACCCGGCAACGACAUUGAUGUGUACCUAAGGCCAUUAGUUGAAGAACUUUUAUAGUUGUGGAAUGGAAAUGGUGUACGUGCGUGGGAUGAGCACAGACAGGAGGAAUUUAACCUACACGCGUUGCUGUUUGUAACCAUCAACGAUUGGCCCACUCUCAGUAACCUUUCAAGACAGACAAACAAGGGAUACCACGCAUGUACGCAUUGUUUAGCUGACACCGAAAGUAUGUACCUGGGAAGCUGCAGGAAGAAUGUGUACUUGGGCCAUCGUCGAUUUCUUCUGACCAACCAGCAAUGUCGAAAGAAAGGCAAGCAUUUCAAAGGCGAGGCAGAUCACCGGAAGAAGCCCGCCAUGCGUACCGGUGAUCACGUACUUGCUAUGGUCAAUGAUUUACACGUAAUCUUUGGAAAGGGUACCGGCGGAAUAGCUGUUCCGAGUGACGCUGAGGGACACGCACCCAUGUGGAAGAAGAAAUCUAUAUUUUGGGACCUACCCUACUGGAAAGACCUAGAGGUCCCCUCUUCGAUCGACGUGAUGCACGUGACGAAGAACCUUUGCGUGAACCUGCUAGGCUUCUUGGCCAUGUAUGGGAAGACAAAAGAUAUAUCUGAGGCACGGGAGGACCUGCAACGUUUGCACGAAAAAGACGGCAUGCCUCCCAAGCAGUAUGAAGGUCCUGCCAGCUACGCUCUUACCAAAAAAGAGAAGGAAUCUUCUUUGAAUGUCUGCUUAGUUUGAAGGUCCCGACUGGCUUCUCGUCGAAUAUAAAGGGAAUAAUAAAUAUGGCAGAGAAAAAGUUUCAGAACCUAAAGUCUCAUGACUGACACGUGAUUAUGACGCAACUGCUUCCGGUUGCAUUGAGGGCGCUUCUACCGAAAAACAUCCGAUUAGCCAUUGUGAAGCUAUGUGCAUUCCUCAAUGCAAUCUUUCAGAAGGUGAUCGAUCCAGAAAUCAUACCAAGGCUAAGGAGUGAUGUGGUGCAAUGUCUUGUCAGUUUCGAGUUGGUGUUCCCACCAUCCUUCUUCAAUAUCAUGACACACGUCCUAGUUCAUCUAGUUAACGAGAUUGUCAUUUUGGGCCCCGUAUUUCUACACAAUAUGUACCCCUUUGAGAGGUUCAUGGGAGUCCUAAAGAAAUAUGUCCAUAACCGCGCUAGGCCAGAAGGAAGCAUCUCCAUGGUCCAUCAAACAGAGGAUGUCAUUGGGUUUUGUGUUGACUUCAUUCCUGGCCUUAAGAAGAUAGGUCUCCCUAAAUCGCGGUAUGAGGGGAGACUGACUAGAAAAAGCAUGCUUGGAGGGGAGACAAUAAUAUGCAGGGACGGAUAUUUUUGGUCUCAAGCACACUACACAGUUCUACAGAACUCUACCUUGGUGACCCCUUAUCUCGAUGAACACAAGAACAGUCUGCGCUCCAAACACCCGGAGCAGUGCGACGACUGGAUUACAUGUGAACAAAUCAGGACUUUCAGCAGUUGGUUGGAAACACGUCUCGGAGGUGAAAACACUGUUUGUGAGGAGCUGUACUCGUUGUCCAGGGGACCAUCUUCGACUGUAAUGAUUUGGAAAGGAUACAAGAUAAAUGGGAAUACAUUUUACACGAUCGCCCAAGAUCAAAAGAGCACCAACCAAAACAGCGGUGUCCGCUUUGAUGCAGCCACCGAGAGGGGAAAGGACACAUAUUAUGGUUACAUAGUGGACAUAUGGGAACUUGACUACGGAGUAGAUUCUAAGGUCCCUUUGUUUAAAUGCAAAUGGGUCAAUCUGUUAGGAGGCGGGGUACAAGAAGACCCAUAGUACGGAAUAACAACAGUGGAUCUGAACAAUCUUGGGUACACUGAUGAACCGUUCGUCCUAGCCAAUGAUGUGGCACAGGUUAUCUAUAUGAAGGACAUAUCUACCAAACUGAGAAAAAGAAAAAAUAAGGAAGCGAAUACAUCAUAAGAUGAGCCAAAGCGCCACAUAGUUCUUUCAGGAAAAAGGGACAUCGUGGGAGUGGAGGGCAACACAGACAUGUUCGAAGAUUAUGGAAAGUUUCAUGAAAUUCCUCCCUUCAAAGUCAAGGCUGACCCAAGCAUCCUAAUAAAUGAUGAAGAUUAUCCAUGGUUACGGUGCAAUAAGGAAAGGACACAAGCGAAGAAAAAGUGAAGACUUUGUCCACAACUAUUAUGAUGAUACCAUGCCAACUUUCAACCUUUUCGGAGUUCAUUUGAAAUGCCUAUUGUAACAGACAAGUUUCCGUAUGAAAUACUGAUACUUCGAAAGAGAUUGUCCGUUUUGUACAUGAAGUGCAUCUAGUUUUUGCGUAACCCACUCAAAUUUCUUGCACAUGCUAUGUGGAUGAAAUGAUGAUACCAUGCCCACUUCCAACCUUUUCAGAGUUCAUUUGAAAUGCUUUUCAAUUUCAGGGUCUUAUAGCUCAAAAUAAUCAGUAAAUGCAUGAAAAACAACAAAUGAUGUUAGAAAGGGUUGAAAAUUGAUGAUGUGGCUUUGAAUGGUGCAUUUUCAACAAACAAAAAUUCAGGAGUUCAAAUAAGUUUUUAAAAAUGAAAUCCCUGUGUAACAGAUGAGUUUCCGUAGAAACCCUGAUACUUCGAAAGAGAUUGUCCAUUUUGUACACGAAGUGUAUCCAGUUUUUCCCAUAACCCUCUCAACUUUUUAGCACAUGCUAUGUGGGUGAAAUGAUGAUACCAUGCCAACUUUCAACCUUUUCAGAGUUCAUUUGAAAUGCUUUUCAAUUUCAAGGUCUUAUAGCUCAAAAAAACCAGUAAAUGCUUUUAUAAAACUCUAAUAGCAAAAGGAAUCAACUAAAAAUCUUUUAUAAACCUCUAGUAUAUUCUAAACUUAAAUUAUAUAAAAUUUAUGCAACUAAAAUUAUCAAAGUAUUUUCUGUUCAAAACAUGAAAAGCAGAAAUAAUUAUCAUAAAGAAUUUUUUUUAGAAACUUUAGCAGCAAAAAGAAUUUUCAUAAAGAUUUUUUUGAUAGAAACUAAAAUAACAAAAUCUGUUUUGGAAUAUAAUGAUAAAAUGCAGUAAUAUUAAAUAGCAGGAAAAAGAAUCACUCAAAAUAUAUUUUUAUAGUGAAGUUAUUCACAAACUUGUGAUUCACACAAAUUUCAAAUAAUUAAAAUUUAAACUAUUCAAAUUUGGAAACUAAUGGAGUAACAGAAAGAUUAUAAUUAUUCUGAGCUAAAGGCAAAAAGAAUAUAAAAAAUAAAGCAAAAAACCAAAGAAAAUAAAUAAUUCAAAAAACAAAAAAAAACUGGAAAAAAUAAAAAAAAUGCCGCCUAAUGGACCACACGGCCUGCAUAAGACUAGAAACCCAUCUGUACAUGGGCUAGGAUGCAGGCCCGCAUGCCCAAUUGGCCCAACACGGCAGUGACAGGGGUAGGCAACUAAUGUCUGCAUAUUAGAGAGGAGCUCAGCACCUGAGCUGCAACGCAGCUUAUAAACAGGUGCUGAGCACUCUCAGCUAGCAAGGUGGGACUAAACUUCCCACCGCACCACGCCGUGCAAGGCCUUUGGUCCUGGUUGGUGGCACCAACNNNNNNNNNNNNNNNNNNNNNNNNNNNNNNNNNNNNNNNNNNNNNNNNNNNNNNNNNNNNNNNNNNNNNNNNNNNNNNNNNNNNNNNNNNNNNNNNNNNNNNNNNNNNNNNNNNNNNNNNNNNNNNNNNNNNNNNNNNNNNNNNNNNNNNNNNNNNNNNNNNNNNNNNNNNNNNNNNNNNNNNNNNNNNNNNNNNNNNNNNNNNNNNNNNNNNNNNNNNNNNNNNNNNNNNNNNNNNNNNNNNNNNNNNNNNNNNNNNNNNNNNNNNNNNNNNNNNNNNNNNNNNNNNNNNNNNNNNNNNNNNNNNNNNNNNNNNNNNNNNNNNNNNNNNNNNNNNNNNNNNNNNNNNNNNNNNNNNNNNNNNNNNNNNNNNNNNNNNNNNNNNNNNNNNNNNNNNNNNNNNNNNNNNNNNNNNNNNNNNNNNNNNNNNNNNNNNNNNNNNNNNNNNNNNNNNNNNNNNNNNNNNNNNNNNNNNNNNNNNNNNNNNNNNNNNNNNNNNNNNNNNNNNNNNNNNNNNNNNNNNNNNNNNNNNNNNNNNNNNNNNNNNNNNNNNNNNNNNNNNNNNNNNNNNNNNNNNNNNNNNNNNNNNNNNNNNNNNNNNNNNNNNNNNNNNNNNNNNNNNNNNNNNNNNNNNNNNNNNNNNNNNNNNNNNNNNNNNNNNNNNNNNNNNNNNNNNNNNNNNNNNNNNNNNNNNNNNNNNNNNNNNNNNNNNNNNNNNNNNNNNNNNNNNNNNNNNNNNNNNNNNNNNNNNNNNNNNNNNNNNNNNNNNNNNNNNNNNNNNNNNNNNNNNNNNNNNNNNNNNNNUAGUUAGAAAAAUAAUAGACCUAGUUAAACUAGUUUAUUUUUAGUAAGUACUACUUUAUUUUAUUUAUAGUAAGUGCUUAAUAUAUAGUUGAACUAGUUGAUUUAAUAAACUACUUUAUUUUACUAUAGAAGUAGUUUAUUUUUAGUAAGUACUACUUUAUUUAUUUAUAGUAAGUGCUUAGUAGUUGAACUAGUUGAUUUAAUAAAACUACUUUAUUUUAUUAUAUAUAGAAGUAGUUGCCGCAUCGACGUCGACGAUGCCUAUCCCACAUCCUCGUCGUCGACUCGGUGGUGGAGGCCUGCUUGAUCAGGGCCAUGUCCGGGACUGGGCUCCGCCGGACUGGUAUUGGGAGGUGUUACCUUCCGGGGGCGUAGGUCGGUGAGGAGCCAGCCUGUUGUUGACCCGAUCCUUGUUUGGUGGCGAUCGCGUGGGCCAGUGACGGUGCCGAGGCUUCUGGACACCAUGAAGGUGGUACGUCACCGUAUCAGCGAGGAGGACGAGCACGUCCGUCGCUACAUGGUUGCGUUGGAGGGCAGGUUCGACAAUACCUGGCAGGUUCUUCAGGGAUCUCACUGGAGCUAUGAUCCUGUGAUGGUUCCUUAUCUUUGGGUGUCCACCGCCCGCGACGAUACCCGUCGGGCGCUACGGUUCUAGCUGUAUUAGCGAUGCUAUAUGUAUGAUAGUAUUCGAGGAGUAUUAGUGAUAAUAUUCGACGAUGUACACACACAAGAGAUGAUGUACUUUUGCUUAUAAUUGAAUGCAUGCUAAUUUGAAUACUACUUUAUUUUACGAUUUGGUUUUGCUUAUUGAAUGCUCAUAUUGGAAAAGUACUCCUACUUUGAAUGCUACAAUUGGAGAGCACUAUGCAGAAAUCUAGGAGCCCCCUCCAUCAUCCACGCCGUCAUGGGGGUAGCUUCUCCGGCAUUCCCGUGUAAUAAUGCACUCGGGAAUGAAAGGAGGAGCUACCAUCACCGAUAGUCAACCCGUUAUUAAUAAUAAUGAUCUAAUUUAGGUUUUUUAGUACAUAUAUUUAAUUGUACAAGUUUAAUAUUUGAAUUAUGAACAUAGGCCGGAAAUGUCGUACUCGGAAGAUGAAAACCGCUCGGGGGAGUGCGACUGGUGCCACGACCACCGAGGUAUGUGCGACCGGUUCCUUGAGCUGGACGAAGAUCGACGCUUCAACAUUAAGCUCGAGGAGACCUUAGAUGUUGAAACAGUACGCAACGACAACAAUAGUUUUUUUGUAAUUAAGCACGACUUCAACUAUUUUAAUGUGUAUUUUCAUCUUCUCCAAUUCGACUAGCUUAUCCCAUGCUAUGCAAGACGCUAUGUCUUAGAGAGGAUGGGUUUUGAAGAACAUGAAAGUAUGAAAACCAAAAAAAUUCACCUAAGGAUACAUCAUGGUGUGGAUUUUAAAGUAAAGUUGUACAAUUCUGAGAGUGUAACCCAUUUUGGUUGCAAAAAUUGGGAAGCACUUUGCAAGAUGUAUUGUUUUGAUGAGGGUAUGCUUGUCACCAUGGAUCUUGGUGAUCCUACAAUUGAGCAAGACAAUAUGGACAUUUUGGUCCUUCUUGAUACACUUCCAAUUCUUCCCCCAUGUGAGCUUCUCAAACAUAGUUAUUAAGUAAUUUAUAUUGUUUAUUUCAAAAUAGUUGACAGCUUAUUUCCAUUGACAACUUAUUUUCAUUCUUCAAAGAACGUGUGGAAGAUGGUAGACAAAACCACUACACCGAUGGCUCCGAAUUAACUUAUAAGGAGAAAAAUCAUCUGAUCGCAUUUUGUACUAAUCUUGAGAAUUACAAUAUCUACAAUCGAACUCCUCAACAUUAUGGUCAAUACGUGCCACUAGUGCACGUGUUGAACUACUGUACCUACCAUGGAGAUACCCUGGUAAGAAUUUUUUACUAUUAUGACAUCAGUUCAUCUUUUUGCAUACUUCUAAAACUAGUACAUCAUUGCUAACUACGAAGUUAUUACUAUGUUUUUCAAUAGAUAAUCCUGAAUGAUUGUGUGCCUCAUCUGAUGUAUACGCAUGGUCGCCUUGAUAUUUUGAACAUACAACUAGGUCGUCCUACGAAUCUCAAUUGUCCAUACCGGAUUUCUAAAAGAAGUGGAGACAUGACAAUCAAAGAAUGGAAAAAAUGUAUGGACAAUAGUAAGGAGCUUCUUGGAAGCAAAAGGAAGCGAAACACAAGAAUUGGAGACAGGAUGAUCUCCAUUAUCCAUAAUGGAGAGUCGGGGUCUAUAUUGUUUUAUGCUAUUUUACCUUAAGGGUGUUUAGGUCCUACCUGAUACUGAUGAUCAUGUGGUAAGAAUAAUUAUGUAGGAUUGGGUUCGAUGACUAUGAGGAUGAUGAUCGUAUGACUUGUUAUUAAUAACGAUUAGAAGUUGUAUGAUGAUGCAUGAUUAGUAGGACUUGUUAUUAUAUAUGAUGAUGUAUAAUGCGAGGAUGAAGAGUUAUUAUAUAUCAGCGGGUGAAAUGAACAUAGCAGUAGCGUUGGUAAACCAAGCACGAAGAUAUAAGAGAGGACACUUCUCUCUAUUAGCUAGCUAAUAACAACCUAAAUUAACCCCCAAAACCCCUAAACCGGCCACUUUAAAAAAAACCUCAACUCCAGCCAGCUGCUGACGCGUAGAUGCCUUUUGGUCCCGGUUUAUGUCACCAACCGGGACCAAAGGCCCCCCUUCCUGGGCUGCUCGCAGUGGCCACGUGGAGGCCCAUCUGUCCCGGUUCGUGUAAGAACCGGGACUAAAGGCAAAGGGCAUUAGUACCGACCUUUUAGUCCCGGUUCUUAAACCGGGACAAAAGUCCCUUACGAACCGGGACAAAUGCCCCGUUUUCUACUAGUGUUAUUCAAUCAAGACGCCCUCAACAAACAUCUCAUGACUUGCUACUGUUUGUAAGUAUUACUUCUGUAAUUAAGUCUCUAUAGCUCAACUCAUUCAUUGCAUGUAUAUGUAAUUACCCUCACUAUAUUAUGCAGAUUGAAGAUCGUCAAAUGCAAAAAUGGACAAAUCUAUGACAUUGGGUUCAUUAACCCAAAUACCGUAAAUGAAUGGUCGGUUCAAAACAGAGUCAAAGAUACUGAGGAGAACUUGCUACAAUAUUUACUUCGACAUCAAAACAAAGCGAAAAUACUCUUUCCUUACAACUUCAAGUGAGUGUUACUGUCUUGUGCAUAUUCAUUUUUCCUUACUCGAGGUUAUAGUAAUGUAAUUGACGAGUUAUGCGCGUGCAGGUUCCACUUUAUUCUGCUAGAGAUUAAGCUUGACCGGGGAGUAGUAACUGUCUUAGACUCGAGACGUAAAGAUCCCUAGCAGUAUGCGGACAUGACUGCAAUGCUCCAGAAGUAAGUUUAAUCGAUCAUUAUCGCACCAUACCGGCAACUUUCGUUCAUUUCCUGAUAUCAAGUAAUCAUUUUCUUUGCCUGACAGGGUUUGGAAACAGUUCACCGGAAUGGUUCUGGGUCUGCAGAAGGAGUUGUGAUUUACACACCCCAAAGUAAGUAGUAGUAGCUAGUUCUGCGCAUCUCUCAUUGAUUCUUGUUUCAUCUAUACCAUUAUCAUGCUUCAUUAUCAGUUUGAUUGAACUCUAUUCUCGUAAAGUGCUUGUGGCAGGAAGGCGGGAAUAAUUUCUGUGGAUACUAAAUUUGCGAGUUCAUCAGCCACUCGACCUCUGAGCGGGGCUACUCUUAGAAACAAUUUGAAGUACGUAAACAAUAAUAUUCACAAUUUUAUUUUAUUACCAUCAAUUGUGUUGAGUUUCAUUCAUAUACAUGUAUAGACCCCCUUCUUUAAAUUAGAUGUGGCAGAUGCGGGAUGAACUCCUACCACAUGAUCGCAGACGAGCAAUUCAACAGGAAUUGGCGGGAUUCUUUCUUGACCACGUCAUAAAUGAGAAGGGAGAAUACCACGUGGAAAUUGAAAUAGAUUUUAGAUGUUAGGGAUUGUAAGAGAUGUUAUAUUAUAUAUAUGUAGUACCGUCGGAUAGAUAUAUCAAAACUUGUUGUUCGACUGAGCACGGAGAAAGAGAGGUCACUUCUCUCUAUAUAUGUUCAUGACGAUCUUGUGUAGUUAAUGGUUUCCUUCAUUUGGUUACUAACUAGCGUGUCAAGUUCUCUCUAUAUGUAUAGUAGCUAGAGUCGACCAAGCAUGGAGAAAGUGAGGUCAGUUCUCUCUAGUAGCUAGCUAACACAAUAUGAAACCCCUAAAUUAACCCUCCAACNNNNNNNNNNNNNNNNNNNNNNNNNNNNNNNNNNNNNNNNNNNNNNNNNNNNNNNNNNNNNNNNNNNNNNNNNNNNNNNNNNNNNNNNNNNNNNNNNNNNNNNNNNNNNNNNNNNNNNNNNNNNNNNNNNNNNNNNNNNNNNNNNNNNNNNNNNNNNNNNNNNNNNNNNNNNNNNNNNNNNNNNNNNNNNNNNNNNNNNNNNNNNNNNNNNNNNNNNNNNNNNNNNNNNNNNNNNNNNNNNNNNNNNNNNNNNNNNNNNNNNNNNNNNNNNNNNNNNNNNNNNNNNNNNNNNNNNNNNNNNNNNNNNNNNNNNNNNNNNNNNNNNNNNNNNNNNNNNNNNNNNNNNNNNNNNNNNNNNNNNNNNNNNNNNNNNNNNNNNNNNNNNNNNNNNNNNNNNNNNNNNNNNNNNNNNNNNNNNNNNNNNNNNNNNNNNNNNNNNNNNNNNNNNNNNNNGGAGCGGUCGAGCAGUUUCAGGAGGCAUCAAGUUAAGCGGUGGAAAAAAACUGAGGAAACCGGUCAAAACCAGCUAUAUUUAGUAACACUAACGGAGUGGCAUAAUUGCAUGAGUUCUCAGUGGAGUUUACUUCGUACUGUAUCUUAAAUCAGUAAUGCUAACAGAGUGGCACAACUGCACGAACUCAAAAGUUCUAGGAAACUUGCAAGUAUCAAUUAAGAACAGAACUAAAGUGGCUAAAGCAUCAAAACAACAUAGUACUCCAACAGCGUCGUUAUGUCCAGCCAAAAGCACAUUAUCAGACUAUCAUGGGCGACUGAGCCUGCAAUCAGCCAAAUAUUCACUCGUCAACUCGAACACAACAACUUGCAGAAAAUUUAAAAACCAUAUUAAACUAUUUUCAAAACUCCAUGCCUAGGGCUCAACAACAAAACUGACGGUGCUUUAUCAAAAGUAUUUCAGACCGACUAUUGAUGAGAUACUAAGAUUAAAAGUAUAGUUUUAGGCAAUGUUGAAAACUACCAUUGUUAUUUUAAAAAGAAAGGGUGGUAGUAGACGAUUUGUUAAUGCUGUCAACAACACAUCAAGGGCAACGUUGGAAUGUGGUCUUACUCUAAAGCAAUGGCCAAGUGUGACUUAAUUACACGGAUAGUCAUUGCAGAAUAAAAGCAGUUUACACUUAAGUUUAAGUACUUUGCCGCCACUGUAUUAAUUGGAAUUCGUAUAAAUAUCCAAUAAUGUGCAACAUACUCCGACCUCCAAAAAGCAACCGUUUCAAUUAUGAAUUGCCAAAUCAUGGUUAAAAUAUAAAUCUCAAUCGUCUUAUCAAGUGGACACACAAUAAUGUGCAACUGCCUUAUUAAUGCAAACUAGGAAUGAUAACCCUACUUAACCCAUCAAGUUCUAUGCAAAAAUGAACAGAUAGACACAUAUAAUCUCUUUAUUAAUACUCCCUCUGUAAAGAAAUAUAAGAGCGUUUAGAUCAGGAGUAAAAUCUUAUUACUAGCUGUUGUAAGAUGCCAACAGAAUUAUAUAAGAGUGUGAGCUAAAACCUAGUAUGUUACCAUACUUGCUUCACCUUUGAGAAUUGUCCCCAGUUGUCAGUUGCCUUUUUGUAGCUGAAUACUCCUCAGUCUGUUCUGUCAUUGGUCUCUUUCUUGGAUGAGAACCCUGACGAGCACUCUCAGUAAAACAUACUUCUCGAUCUGUGCCUGGUCGAAUAAUUUAACAUAGUUAAGAUCAAUGGAUUAAGUACCAGUUACACAAAUACACUUGAAAUUAAUUUACCUGUACCAGUCAUUGAUGAGAUGAGAGAUUUCUUAGGAUCUAUCACAUUGCAAGAAAUAUCUACAGUGAGUAUUAACUGAAUAUAUAUGGAGGAUUUUCCUAGUCUCAAAAUGAUUGAAACUUUUGAAGUGAUUUACCAGCAUCAGUUGUUAAUGGGACAGAAGAACAUGAAGGAUUUAUAACAUUGCCCGUAACAGGAGUGCCUGCAACAGUAACACUUUUAGAUAUUAAUUGAGCAUAGAGAGGACUUUCACACUUCAACAAUGACUGACGAUGUCUGAUUUUAUUUUACUUUUGCAAAAAAAAAUGUGGUGGGGCUAUGUGCACAUCAACCGGUGGUGCAGUAGUGUUGACUACAUCAUUACAGGUGUAUGUACCAAAUCAUAGGCAGAGCAAUGCGGUAGCCAUACUGAAAAAAUCAAAGCAACAAAUAGGUAAAUGUUUUGCAAGGACAAAGACAAGAGCAACAUACAAUGCAUCAAAGUAGGCCAAGAGUUAUUUAAUUCUAAUUCUGCAAAUAAUUAACAUGCGAGUGCUAUCAUCUCAAGAAAAAUCUGAUGUAAAAUCUAGCAAGAGAAUAAAACAUGUAGUAUGAAAUAGUGUCAUGAAAACGAUCCCAAUAGGAUUCGACAUAGCCAAGAUACCAAGUGGAAAGAAUAACAGGUGCUGAUUUGCCAAAUUUAAGGUUUGGUGGAAAAAAAACAAGUGCAAAUUUACCUUCUCUUGCACUUGAUUCAAGCGCACACCCUUGAUUGAUCGCCGGGCAUGUAGCACCUUUAAAGCAUUCCCCUGAAUAUUAGAAUGACACACUAGUCCGUCAGUUGAUACUAAUAAAAUGUGCCAGCAUUGAAGGCUGUUAUCCAUUGGGAAAGUUGAAUUACUAAUUGGAAGUGAAGUAGAAGUUGAUUACAAAUUUAGGCCGUGCACGUACACAAUUUGUUUUUUCACAGUUCUUUUAGCACGGUGGUAGCUACUCUUUUUCUCUCAGCAAAAACAACUUCAUUAUUAUGGCAAUACCGUACCUUAAUCAACAAAACUAUAGUAGCGCGGAGAGCAAAUUUUCUAUCCCUUUAAUUUGAAUGUUAAAUUUGAACUGCUGCUGCCCCUGCCGACCAACCUUUAUGGCAUUAUUUUUCUGUCUAGUCGGCACUAAAGCUUUCAGAUGAAUGGUAACGGUCACAUGAAAAAGAUGCAUCACGAAAUUUGUGCAUUGUGGAAUUUAGAUGCAAGGUGAGCAGCACAGGCUCUACGAAAAUCAUAACAUACAUGUGAAUACUACUAAUGAACAGAAGUUUAAGAACAACUUUCAAUGUUUAUAUAGAGUGAAACCAGAGAGCAAGUCCUACCAAAAAUUCUCACAAACCAAUCAUCCCGCGGCUUAGCCAUGAGUUCUGCAAAUGGGAUAACAAAAGAUUGUUCUAUAUUAUUGCUUGAUGGAAAAAUGCUUGCAUAGAGAGAAGCUAGCUAGGACCUAGGAAUGAAGUAUACCAGCUGACAACUCCUGGCUGCAGUGGCUGGAAGAAGGCAGGCUGGAAAGAGUAAGGAACCAUGCAUGAGAGCGCGCACGUGAGGAAAACAGGAAUGGCAGGCAUCCCGGUCGAAUCGAAGUAGGAGGAUUGUAAGAUUACCUCAUCCUCUUGUCAACAUAUAUAUUAGCUACCCGACAGGAAUGUUUUUUACGUGCAAGCUUGUUGGUAGGACGGGUAUGGUCUUUCACGUGCCGCCUCCGUCGUAAAGGAGCAAAGCUGGCCCGGAUGCAAAAAUAAUAAUGAAAUUGAUUAGUACGUUGCAGUGUGAUCAUGGAUUACAACUUGAUAGCGCGUGAGGCAAUCGGCAUGUGUACCCAAAGCCGAUGGGGAGUACGUUCUGCGGACCCAUCGGGCCGUCCGGCAGUAGCAGCCUGCCUUUGAAUUCUGGAGUCCUGUUAGCCAACUCCCGGACGAUCUUUGCUGCUCUAGCCCACAUGGGUCUCCAGUCCCGAGACAACUUACUGAUUCACAGAGUCGUACUACGACUAAGGAAAUUUGUUUGAUCACUCUAUUGCAAGAAAAGGGGAUUUGAAAGUAUUCCACGUACCUGGCUACUUCCUGUUGAAAUAAACGGUGCACGAGGAGAAACUUGACGAGGACACUAGCCUCGAGGCUGGGCGGCGAACAGGGUACCACCGGCAGGAAGUGAGGGAAGAUGUAAUGCAAGGCUUCGGUCCACUGGCCCUGGGACACGAAACGCGCCAGAUGGGACACGCAAAAGUAGGCGUCUGUCUGCUUCAACAUCCUGCAUCCAUGCAUUUUGUUGAUCAGCAAGCAAGUUGGAUCAAAGCAUCUGAAAAGCAAAAUAAGGGUGGUCGGUGCAUACGCGACGAAGGUGGAGCCGUAGCCUUGGAGCCUGAGGAAGUUGAGGAGCCGCCGGUAACGGAACCGCCUCACGCAGGGGUACUCUCCAGGGACAAACGAUUGCACCUCCUGGCCGCACACCACCGCUCGCCUCAUCGUCGUCAUCCUGGACGGUUGCCGAUUUGGAGCUGGGGUUGGGUUUGGGAUCGGGAACAGUCACUGAUUUGGGGCUGGGAAUUUCCAGUAACAGAAGAACCUGCAACAGUAACAAUUAUAGUUAUUUGUUGAGCAUCCAGAUAACUUCCUCAGUUCAAACUUCAAAAUGAUUGACGGCCCAAUGAGCCAGGGUGGGCCAACAGUCGAACUGUUUAUAUAAACUUUUCUGAGUAAUUUUUUAAAGCUUUGUUGCUAUGAUUUGAAGGCUAUUGGGAAAAUCCGUGCCUACUACAGGUGUAAGUACCCCAAGCAUAGGCAGAGUAAUGCGGUAGCAAUAAUGGCAAAACCGGAGCAGCGGCGAGCAAAUAAUUGUUUUGUAAGGACAAAUGUGACAGAAAGCAUCAAAGUAGGUCAAGAGUUAGUUAAUUCUAGUUCUGCAAAUGAUUAUCACGCGAGUGCUAAGGUCUGCAAAAUGAAAAUUGAUGUCAAAAUCCACCGAAGCAGAGAUGGAAAGAUGUAUGAAAUAAUGUCAUGACAAUGAUCCACAAUAGAAUUCAGCGUAUAGCCCAGAUAUCGAUCAAGUGGAAAAAAUGACAGGUACUUAUAUUGACUAAAUUUAAGAUUGGUGGAUAAAACAAGUGUGAAUUUACCUUCCCUUGCACCGGAUUGAAGCGCACGCCAUCGAUUGAUCCCUGGGCAUGUAGCAACUUUAAUGCAUUCCUCUGAAUAUUAGAAUAUCACACUAGUUCAUCAGUUGAUACCAAUAAAAAUUGCCAGCAUUGAACAAAUACUGUUAUCCACAUGAAAAGUUGAAUUGCUCAAGGGAAGUGAAGAAGAAGUUGAUUACAAAUUUUGACCGUGCGUGUACACAAUUUGUUUCCCCAGUUUCUUUUAGCACGCUGGUAGCUACGUAAUCUUCUCUCUUUCAGUAAAAGCAGCUUCUUAAUUAUGACAAUACUAGUAACUCAAUCAACAAAACUAUAGUAGCGCGGAGUUUGAAUUUUUGCAACUUUAAUUUAGAAAAAUGUUAAAAUUUGACCUGCUACUGUACCAACCAGCCCUUAUGGUUUUUUUUCCUGUCUAGUCGGUACAUUCAGAUGUCGUUUCAUAAUGGUCCAAUGAAAAAAAUGCAGCUUGAUGGGUUGCACGGAAUUAAUGCGAGUGGAAUAUAGAAACCAGAGAAGUGGGGGAUCUACAACCAUAACAUAAGCUCCAUCGAAUUGAAGCGUCCUGAUGCUUCCAGGGUUGUGGGGGUCAUUAGGGCACCACGAGUAAGUGAGUUUUUUAGUUCUAUUUCUUCUCUUCUUUUUAUUUUUUUAUUUUUUUCACGUUUUAAUUAAUGAGCACUUAUUAAAAUUUGUAUAAUUUAAAAAAUAUAAACAUAUUUUAAAAUUCUUCAAAUUCGUUAAUAUUGAUUAAAUUUAUGAAUAUUUUAAAAGCUCACGGUCAUCUGAAGUUUGUGAACAUUUUUUAAAUUUGAAACCUUUUUAUUUUUUGAACAUUUGUUAAACCAUUGAUAUAUCUUAAAUUCAUGAAUGCUUCUAAAAUUCAUGGUUUUGAAAAUUCAUAAUAUUUUUAAAGUUUCUUAAACAUCAUUUAGUUUAACUAACAUUCUCAAAUACAAAACUAAACGAGCGAGAUGAGUAGGGACCCAAGCUGAGCGAGCAAGAGCUUCAUGUCAUCAUGUGUGCUGACCCAUGUGAGCGCCCCAGUAGCAAUUACAUCAGUUUAGGGUGAAAUAAGAACUCCUAAGGGGCUCAAACAAUCACCACACCCGGCUGAUACCAAGCCCAAAAUGUGCAAAGAAUUCACAACCACACAUCAAAUAACUCCUCUAUUCUCUUAAAAAAAAACUCAACAGCAACCCAACACGAUAUACGAACAAAAAAACACCACCAACAAAAAAAAUGAAACACAAAGCUAAUACAGAUAAAAUCAAAACAAAAAACUGGUGACAAUAAUCUAUAGAUAUAAGAAGGUUACUUUCAUGAGUGAAGAAUGGCGCGGCGAAGCGCGCGUUGGCCUCUAGUACAUGUAAAUACUACUAAUGAACAGAAGGUCAAGCGCAACGUUCAAUCUAUAGAAAGUGAAACCGGAGACAAGUCGUACCAAAAAUUCUCCGAAACCAAUCAUCCCGCGCUUUAGCUAUGGUUUCUGCAAAUGAUAUUGUUCUAGAUAUUUGUUUGAUGGAAAAAGGGUCGCAGAGAGAGAAGCUGACUAGAAAUGAAGUAUACCAAGUUGCAACUCCUGGCUGCAGUGGCUGGAAGAAGGCAGGCUGCAAAGACCAACCAACCAUGUAUGAGAGACGAGACGUACCAAGAAAUGAGAAAUGGCAUGCAUCCUGGUCGAACCGAGAUACGAUUAUUGUAAUAUUACCUCAUCCUCUUGUCAACAUAGAUAUUAGCUAUCUGACGGGAAUGUUCUUCACGUGCAUGCUUGCUGGUAGGACUGGUAAAUUUCUUGACCUGCCGCCUCCGUCGGAGAGGAGCAAAGCUGGCCCGGACACAAACAAUCAAAUGAAAUUGAUUAACUACUCUGUGAAUCAGUAAGUUUUCUCGGGACUUGAGACCCAUGUGGGCUAGAGCAGCAAAGAUCGUCCAGGACUUGGCUAACACGACUCCAGAAUUCAAAGACAGGCUGCUACUGCCGGACGGCCUGAUGGGUCCGCAGAACGUACUAGUACUAUGACUUGAGGAAAUUUGUUUGAACUGUAUACUGCGAGAAAAGGGGAUAUAAAAGUAGUACUGCAGAAUCGAGAUACCUGGCUACUUCCGAUUGGAAUAAACGGUGCACGCGAAGAAACAUGACGAGGACCAUGGCCUCGAGGCUGGCGUCCAACGGGGCUCCAGCGGCAGGAAGCGAGGGAGGAUGUAAUCCAAGGCUUCGGUCCACUGGCCCUGGGACACCAGGCGCACCAGAUGGAUCACGCAAAAGUAGGCGUUCGUCUGCUUCAGCAUCCUGCAUCCGAUGAUCAGCGAGUAAGCACAAGGUGGAUCAAAUCACUGGCGACGCAAAGGAAGGGCGGCGGGUGUAUACGCGAUGAAGGUAGAGCCGUAGCCUUGGAGCCAGAGAAAGGUGAGGAGACGCCGGUGACGGAACCGCCUCACGCAGGGAUACUCUCCAGGGACCAACGAUUGCAGCUUCUGGCCGCCGCACUCCGCUGCUUGCGUCCUCGUCGCCGUCAUCGGCGGUCGCCAAUUUUUUGACUGGGGAUUGGAUUUGGGAUCAGGGACAAGUGCCGAUUUGGGACUGGGAUUUAUAGGCUUCGGGCAGGUGGUGGUGGUGGCGGCGGUAGUGGUGGUGGUGGUGGUGGUGGUGGGACCAACGCAUUAAAGGAGCGGAAAUGCUAAGGGAAAGGAUUUAAAUCAAGAACCCUCGUAACCUUCCCUCCAAUAAAAAAAAAGAACCCUCAGAACCUGCAACAAAUGAUCUGCAUUCCCUGAAACAAACAAAUAAAUCCCAUAGUAAUUCUAGUCUUGUCAUCAUCUGCGACAACUAAAUUUGCUAUCCCACGACAACUAAAUUUUCUAUAAAAAACCAUUAAUUUUGCCAUCAUCCUCGACAACUAAAUUUGCUAUCGCGCGACAACUAAAUUUGCUAUAAAAAACAUCUGUUUUGCCAUCAUCCGCGACAACUAAAUUUGCUAUCACGUGACAACUAAAUUUGCUAUGAAAAAACAUUUGUUUUGCGAUGUAUUUCGAGGGAACGUCAGCACAAUUGGUUGAUGAGCGGCCACACUCCUCGAAUUGAAACCCUUAAAUUCAUGCCUAUCCAUGCAUGUUCAUCAUACACGUGAAAAUCACACGUAAAUAACAAUUGUUGGUAUCGAUAAUACGUAGUUCGAAGUUUGAACACAAUAUUUAUUUUAAAUGCACAAUUCAUUGAUUUUUAUUGUGGGUCCACAUAUGCUUCACAAGAUCAUGAGUUGCUGCUUGUGCAUCUCAUGACUGAAGUUUUUGAUGCAUCUACAAAAAAUUGAUAAGCUGGUCUGCAUCUUGUUGUUCUUGGAUGUGGACUCGUUCUCGAGGCUUGUCAAAAUCAUGGGUUUGGGCUGCUGCUUCACCUUCGUCCAGGGCCGGCUCUAGCCCAGGGCAGUAGGGGCGACGGCCCGGGGACCGGCCGAAAUAGGGGCCCAUAUCUGGUAUACAGUAUGUACGUAUGGGACAUCAUAGUAGAGGAAAAAAAGGCCCAUCUACCCAGGGCACACAGCUAGCCCAGGAAGGUAGCCAGCCACGCACGGAACGAAAUCGUCCUGAAUCGUCGUUUCCUUUUCUUUCCAGCGAUUCUCGCCCUGAUUCACGCACUGAACCGUCGCCGUCUCGUCCAGUCGUCCUGAUCCAGUCCGGAUUCCCUGACCGGCCGAGGUCUGACUGCAUCACUGAAAUCCAUAGUUCCCUGAUCACGUUGUGUACAUCUCGGCAAGAAAUUGUGGGAAAGAUCAAGAUCAAGAGGUAAUCUCAGAUCAAAAUUCUAUUUCUAUGAAACCAUGGUGGGCGACUCUAUUUUCUCGUGCUAUAUGUUCUUAGGCUAAAAUCUCAAUCCGGUGUCUGAUUCUUUCUUUGCAUCGCUCAUAACUUGCAGCUGCAUCCAUUGGUAGUGUAACCAUGUUGCCUAAAAAGCAUCCAUCUGGUCAUCAGAAAAGAACUAACAAGAAACGAGUACAGAAGUUGAUUCGAUCUCAGAGAGGGGCUAUGAAUAAAUUCGUGUUGUGGAAGGAUACUGAUAUGAAUUUUACGCAAUUAUAUAUCACCAAUGGCGAACAACCAGAUCAGACUGAGAAUGCAGUUGGGGGAAAUUGUGCCGAUGUUGAUGCCAAUCAGAACACCCGAAAUUUUAGUGGCCAUGGAAACAUAGAUGAGCAGGCUUCUUCUUUUGAUAUUUAUGAUCCUAGAACUUGGAAUAUUCUUGACAAUAAAUCAAGAGAUAUUCUCAUUGAAAAAGGACCUACAAGGGAGUACAAUCCUGUGUUUCCCGUGGAUAAGAAAGGCAGGCAUUUUUCAUAUGCUUACUACUCAAGACAGCUAAGGAAUGGUGAGGCCAGUGAUCGGAGGUGGUUAGUGUACUCUAAACAUGUGAAUAAAGUUCAUUGUUUUUGCUGCAAAUUGUUCAAAUCUGAAAACAGCAAAAGUUUGCUAGCAUCUGAGGGAUUGAUGGAUUGGAAACAUCUUAGUGAAAAGCUGAAAUUACAUGAGAACGGUGCUGAGCAUAUCACUAACAUGAAUACUUGGAAUGAGGUAAGGUUGAGGCUAAGUAAGAAGGAAACAAUUGAUAGAGAUUUGCAAGAAGAGAUUGCAAGGGAGAAGAAGCGCUGGAGACAAGUUUUAAUUAGAAUUGUUGCUGCUGUGAAAUUUCUUGCUAAACAUAAUUUGGCUUUUCGAGGAGCAAAUGAGAAAUUAUAUCAAGAUACAAUGGGAACUUUUUGGGAGUAAUUGAAAUGAUGGCAGAAUUUGAUCCUGUAAUGCAAGAGCAUCUUCGGCGCAUUCAGAAUAAUGAAAUCCAUCAUCAUUAUCUUGGCCAUAAUAUUCAGAACGAGUUAAUUUCCCGUCUUGCUUGCAGUGUUAAAGAUUCUCUCUUGAAGAUAAUUAAGGAUGCAAGGUAUUUCUCUGUCAUUUUAGACUGUACCCCUGAUGUGAGCCAUCAAGAACAAAUGACUCUAAUUGUGAGAUGUGUAAACAUGUCAAGUGCCAGUACAAAAAUAGAGGAGUUUUUUCUAGAGUUCAUGAAGGUCGACUAUACGUCGGGACUUGGACUUUAUAAUGUGUUAAUUGAUACACUUGAAUAUGUUGGUUUGAAUGUUCAAGAUGUUCGUGGACAAGGGUAUGACAAUGGUUCGAACAUGAAGGGAAAAAACCAAGGGGUACAGAGCAGAUUGCUAGCAACUAAUCCAAGAGCAUUGUACAUGUCGUGUGCUUGUCACAGCCUGAAUCUUACUCUCAGUGAUAUGGAAAAAUCUUGCGAUAAAGCUAUAACUUUCUUUGGUGUUGUGCAAAGAAUUUACAUAUUGUUUUCAAGCUCUACUAAAAGAUGGCAGCUAUUGCUUGAUCAUGUUCCAAAAAUGACAGUUAAGUCUUUGUGUAAGACUCGAUGGGAGAGUCGAAUAAAGAGUGUUCAUGCUACCAGAUAUCAAGCACCUGAGUUAAUAAAAGCUUUAUUGGAAUUGAAGAGAACUUCUACUGAUGACGCCAAGACUAAGAGCGACGCAAAAUCUUUGGCUAAUGCACUUGAGAAAUUUGAAUUUAUACUGGGCAUGGUCAUCUGGCAUGAUGUUUUGUUCACGGUAAACAUGGUGAGUAAGAAAUUGCAGUCUAAAUUCGUGUGUAUUGAUGUUACUCUUAAACAGAUUGAAGGUGCCAUCUCAUAUUUUGAGAAGUACAGAAAUGAAGGCUUUGCUACUAGCUUGGAUAUUGCGAGAUCUAUUGCAAUCGACAUGGGUGUACAACCUUUAUUUCCUGUAAAGCGGCGUAUUACCAGAAAAAGACAAUUUGAUGAAAUUAAUGGCAAUGAAGAAAAUGACCAGAAUCAAGAAGCGCAAGAAAUUGAGGUGGAAUCAUUUAGAGUUAAAUACUUUUUGGUGAUGAUUGAUGUUGCAAUUGCUUCCUUGACUAGUAGAUUUGAGGAACUGAAGUCAUUUGGGAGCAUAUUUGGAUUCUUGUUCAACUCAAAAGAAUUGAAGUUGUUGGGUGAUAAUGAUCUAAGAAAAUGUUGCACUAGUUUUGUCAACACUUUCACUCAUGGUAAGUCAGCAGAUGUUGAUUUAGAUGAUUUUGUUUCUGAACUAAAAGUAUUGCAGAUGACAUUGCCAAACACACUCAUGUCAGCGGAUCAGUAUUUGAGUUUGUUAGAGUUGCGGAUUCUUAUCCAAAUGUCUCAAUUGCUUAUCGUAUCCUCUUGACUGUGCCGGUCACUGUUGCAUCAGCUGAAAGGAGUUUCACAAAAUUGAAGUUACUAAAAAAUUAUUUGAGGUCAACAAUGUCCCAAGACAGACUGAAUGGUUUGGCCAUGUGCUGCAUCGAGAAGAAUAUGUUGGACAAUAUUGAUCCUGACAUUGUCAUUGAUGAUUUUGCGUCAAAAAAUGCACGGAAGUCUCGCUUCUCAUGAUUACUGGAGGUUUGCUAGCAUGCUAUUUCUAUAUUCUUGUUUGCAUUGUAGCUUCUAUGAUACUUGAGUUUGAACAAAGGCAAGAAAAAAUAUCAGAUAUUUGAUUCUAAUGAAAAUUUACUACUCUUUAUGACAUUAUAAUAUAUGUAUUUGUUCGUGUAUCGACCAAAAAAAAUUCUCUGUUGGGCCCAUUGGUGAAGUUUGCCCCGGGGCCUUCGAAAUCCUUGAGCCGCCCCUGCCUUCAUCCUCCGGAACAAGUGCAACUCCUUCCAUCUACACACAUGGAGUUGCUGCUUGACUGUCAUGGAUGAUAUGUUGGGUGCUACAAGGAAGCUACUGAGGGUGUUGCAAGGCGAGAGUGCAUCGAGUUCUAUGCGCCCACCACCACGUGCCAUCGUUGCUUCAAGACAGGAGCAUCAACUGGGAUGCCAGUGUUGCAAUGGUGUGGCGUCGGACGUCAAAGUAUAGGAAUCCGCUCCUGAAGAUGAGUCGGCAUUGUUGCAUGACGGUCAUCGAGUGCUUCAAGUCUAGCCACAAAUAUCCCUCUUUGCUGCAACCUAUAUAGAUUGUCAUAGACGUGUGGCGGACGGUGAUGGUGCAAGGCCGACCGCAGCAUCCCCGUUGUUGCAAGCGACUGCAGGCUACUGGGAGGGGGGCUACGGCGAGUGGCGACGUGUGAUGCCACGGCGGCCUUCCACAAUGUUGCACGGCUAGCGGAAGCCAUUGGGGGCUGUAACAUGAGGUGACAUUGGUGCUGUAUGUGCCCACCACCGCAUGUCAUCAUCGCUCCAAAACAGAGGCAUCACCUGGACAUCAGCGCUGCAAUAGUGUGCCGUCGGACCUCAAAGUAUGUGAAUCCGCUGGCACAGACGAGGAGGUGUUGCUACAUUGCAGGCGUUGAGUGCUUCAAGUCCAGUCACAACUACACCUCUUUGCUGCAAGCGACCGCGAGCUGGGCGUCGGUCCUUUAUCGGUCAAUAAAUGAGUUAAAAACAUUAAUCUCCUACUCUUAAGGCCAUGCCUAUUACGUUUUCAAAAAGACCAAAUGCACAUGCAUACUGCUGAAAACGAGAGAGCAACUAACUGAGGGGUAACACCGCGGGAGCCACUCAAUUGUCACUUUUGGUGGACUGGAGCGCUCUCAGCCGCCAUCACGUGUCACCUGUUGCGCGAUUUCUCAAUAUUUUAUUUUUUAAAUUUUUUCUAUACACGUUUACGGGGUAUAAAUGAUUUUUGGGGUUUUCAUUUUUUGAUGGGGAGCAUCCCUUGUUCAUCCCCAUGGACGUUCCGUCACCACCACAAGCACGAAGAGUACCAAUGACAAGAGUCCGUGCACGCGUCAUCGAAACCAAGGUUAACACUUUCCUCUUCAAACUUUAUUCGGAUUCACAUGAGAGUUGGGUUCUACCUCAAAUGGAUACAUGGUGCAUUCUUAGGUACCAAGGAGAAGACCGUGAGGAGGCAUGGAGGGAUCACCAAGUCCACAUGUGGAGCCCCAAGGAGAAGAAGGAACUCCCACACGCGGAACACCAGAGGCCUCGGACCACCCCGGGUGCCCGGACCCCCUGGGCAAGUUCCACCCAACCCCGCUGACCACCCCGGGUGCCCGCACCCCUCCCCCCCGGGCACCCGGACCCCCGGGACACUUUUUCCGCCCAACCCCGAUGAACACCCCGGGUGCCCGCACCUCCGACCCCCGGGCACUCGCACCACCCAGAAUCAGCGCACUAACAAAAACCGUUUCGGCCAUAAUUUUCACUCCCAAAGUCCGAUUUUGACGUUCUUUAGCUCCUUGAGUAGCUAUUGACAUCCCGCAUCCAUCUAGAUAGGUUCAAACAUCAUUUGACUUCAUCAAAAUCUUGGCAUUUUGGCAUCUUGGCCUAGGCCAUCCACCAUAUCAUCCGCAAAAUCAUCAUAGCUUUCCGCAACCUAACCCAUUUUGCUCCAUUUAGCAUUUGUGGUAUCUUGAGUUGUGACUUGAGUCUCGUAAGGUGUUUCGGCUACUUAGGGACGGUUGCUUAGUCAUCAACCACCACCACCACUUCCGAAUUGCUAACUCUGGAACCACCAACGCAUUCCACGAGCAUCAUUUGGCAUUUUCCUUUGAGAUUUUGAGUUUGCGGGUUUUCCGUUUCCUAGGUUGUUUCGGUUAACUAGGAAUGGUUCGACAUCGACAACACCGCCACUCAACUUCGACAAGGAUUCGACGUCGACCACAUUCACCAUUGACACCCUAACCGUAAGUAAGAACGGUAACCUCUAUAUCAUCUUGGUAUCAUGGUAUCCCAUCCUUGUAUAUUACCCUUGCCAUUACAUUGUUAACUCCUUAGCCCAUUUUGCGUCACUUGCCUAUCAAGACUAGCCUUUGAGUAUUGCUGGCAACGUUACUUGUGCACAUUAGUGAUCAUCGAUCUACACCUUCCAUUGCGUACAUACCAUAUCAUAUUGGUAUCAUCUUGGUAUCAUAGUACCAUCCCUCGUGUCACAAGAUUGUUCCCGCAUAUACACAAUAGUUAUCUUGGUUUGUGCAUUUCGCAUAAGUGGCCAUACAAAGAAAAAGAGAAUAAGCUUUUAAGCAAAAGUAGAGCAAAGAAGAUUGUAAGCAAGAGCCAUAGCAUCGCCACAUUGCAUACCAUACUACCAUAUUGAUCAUCUUGGAUGGUCGUGUGUGAAACACCGGAACAUCAUACAUAAAUAGCAUACUUGGGAUAGAAAGUUGAUACAUUUUGCAUCUUAUAGGUUGUGCACAAGUGUCGUAUAUGCCUAUUGAGCAAUCGUGCUAGUGUCUCUCUAGAGUUGUGCAACACAAGCGUUUUCCGUGGAUUCCACAUUUUGUGCUCAUUCCUUGGUUGCACGACCCCACUUAUCUAUCUGUGUGUGUGCGUUUCCGUGUGCCACCCAUUCCUAUUGGUCUACUUGUUUCACUUGCGAAUUUGUGAAUCUUUUCCAACAUUAUUGACUCUUGCUAACAUUUUGCAUCGAAUUUUUGUGCCACUAUCCUCACCGAGCUCCACCAAAAGCUUUAUUUGUGUAGGUGUGAGAAUUGACAAGAUCCGGUACCAAUUGUGCUAUUUCCUUGUUACAUUAUUGAGUGAUCAUUAAUCCAUCUUCAAGGAUAAGGUACAUUGGUCUUCUUCUUUUCUUUCUUCCACUCACAUUAGCUUGAGUCUUGUGAUGGAUAGGCAAGGCAUUUCAUCUCCAGUGUUCCACGACAACGACAGCGUGAACAACUACAUCACCAAAACGUCCAUCUUCGGACUACAAUGAGCAAUGCAAGGAAUUGAGCGACUCGCCAUCGAUAUUCGCCAAAACGAAGCAAGGAAAAGGGACUACUUCGACACCAAGUUGGACGAACACAUGGAUAAAAUACGAGACACGGUGGCCAACUACAAGUCUUCUUUCCCUUCGUCAUCUUCAAGGCAUCGAUGUUCAAGUAGCCAAUCUUUGGAACGCCAUCGAGCUCAAGCACUACAAAACCAUCAAGAUGAAGAUGCUCGCGGUAAGUACACCUACAAGUCCCAAAAAGCUCCACAUCAAGCUACGACCAAACUUCAUGAGCACAAGAGAAGACCGCGAGACGAGCACCAACAAUACGGAGCUACCACUAGUGCCACCACUUCGCAUCUUCACCAAGUGUUAUCAAGGCAUCUUCGCCUACUUCCCAUGAGUUCGCCUACAUUGACAUCUUCAACAACAAGGCGGCCACCUACAAGCGAGGGCGAAACGUUCCAUCAUAGAAAGCCCCUCAAGGAAGAUGGCCGAGCAUGGGAAGUUCCCUUCGGUCAUGGAGACGAGCUACGAGGUGCCACAUCAUAUGGGCCUCCUACAAAAAGACGGUCGAGCAAGGGCCAUCCCCUUCGACCAUGGCGACAAGCACAAACCUCUUCUACAACAUGAAGACAGCGCCCAAAUGGGACUCAUACUCUGAGUCGAGCUACGAGAGCGCACUUGAGACCUUAUCUUUGGUCUCGGAGGAGAGCGAUGAUUUGCCACAUCCUACGGCGUUCAUCCUUGGAGGCGUUAUGGAUGAGGAGGCUGAGCAUGGGACUAUCCCUUCAACCAAGGCGGCGAUAGGAGUUCAGCAUGGAGACAAUUGCACCUACAUCUCUCCGACACCCACAUAUGACGAGAUGCCCCAAUUCCCAUGUGAUGAGAGCCACCCCACCAUGAGUGAUAUGAGUGACUCCUGAAGGAAAUAUGCCCUAGAGGCAAUAAUAAAGUUGUUAUUUAUAUUUCCUUAUGUCAUGAUAAAUGUUUAUUAUUCAUGCUAUAGUUGUAUUAACCGGAAACUUAGUACAUGUGUGAAUACAUAGACAAAACAGAGUGUCCCUAGUAUGCCUCUACUUGACUAGAUCAUUGAUCAAAGCUGGUUAUGUUUCCUGACCAUAGACAUGUGUUGUCAUUUGAUGAACGGGGUCACAUCAUUAGAUAAUGAUAUGAUGGACAAGACCCACCCGUCGUUAGCUUAGCAUAAUGAUCGAUAAGUUUUAAUGCUAUUGCUUUCUUCAUGACUUAUACAUAUUCCUCUGACUAUGAGAUUAUGCAACUCCGAAUGCCGGGGGAACACCUUGUGUGCUAUCAAACAUAACAACAUAAAUGGGUGAUUAUAAAGAUGCUCUACAAGUGUGUCCGAAGGUGUUUGUUGGGUUGGCAUAGAUCGAGAUUAGGAUUUCUCACUCCGAGUAUCGGAGAGGUAUCUCGGGGCCCUCUUGGUAAUGCACAUCACUAUAAGCCUUGCAAGAAAUGUGACUAAUGAGUUAGUUACGGGAUGAUGCAUUACAGAACGAGUAAAGAGACUUGCCGGUAAUGAGAUGUAACUAGGUAUGAGGAUACCGAUCGAAUCUCGGGCAAGUAACAUACCGAUGGCAAAGGUAAUAACGUAUGUUGUUAUUGCGGUUUGACCGAUAAAGAUCUUUAUAGAAUAUUUAGGAAGCAAUAUGAGCAUCUAGGUUGCACUAAAUGUUAUUGACCAGAGAUUUGUCUCGGUCAUGUCUACGUAGUUCUCGAACCCGUAGGGUCCGCACGCUUAACAUUCGAUGACGAUUUGUAUUAUGAGUUAUUUGUUUUGGUGACCAAAGUUUGUUUGGAGUCCAAGAUGAGAUCACGGACAUGAUGACGAGUAUCGAAAUGGUCGAGAGGUAAAGAUUCAUAUAUUGGAAGGUAGUAUUCGGACAUCGGAAUGGUUUUGACUGGUUCGGGUAUUUUACGGGAGUACCGAGGGGUUACCAGAACCCCCCGGGGACGUAUUGGGCCUACAUGGGCCUUAGUGGAGAGAGUGGAGGGCCGCAAGGGGUGCCCCCCAUGGCAGUCCAAAUUGGACUAGGGGAGGGGGUGGCGCACCAUUUCCCUCUCCCUCUCCCUCUCCUUCCUUUUCCGGUAAGAAAGGAAAAGAGUGGGGGGCGAAUCUUACUAGGAGUGGAGUCCUAGUAGGAAUCCCCCCCAUGGCGAGCCCCUCCUAAGCGGCCACCUCCUCCUCCCCUCCUUUAUAUACGGGGGCAGGGGCACCCCAAAGGCACAUCAUUUUUUCUCUUAGCCGUGUGCGGUCCCCCCCCUCCAUAGUUUACUCCUCCGGUCAUAGCGUCGUAGUGCUUAGGUGAAGCCCUACAUGAAUCACAUCACCAUCACCAUCACCACGCCGUCGUGCUGAUGGAACUCUCCCUCGAUCCUCUGUUGGAUCAAGAUUUCGAGGGACGUCAUUGAGCCGAACGUGUGCAUAAAUCGGAGGUGUCGUACGUUCGGUACUAGAUCAUGAAGACGUUUGACUACAUCAACUGCGUUAACCUAAUGCUUCCGCUUUCGGUCUACGAGGGUACGUGGACACACUCUCCCCUUUCAUUGCUAUGCAUCUCCUAGAUAGAUCUUGCAUGAUAGUAGGAAAUGUUUUGGAAUUGCAUGCUACGUUCCCCAACAACUCCAUCAUAUGUGACAUUGAGAGCAUUUCCUAUGAGAGGAUGAGUGUGACCACCACUAGCCCCACACACGAGAUUAUGCCACACAUCCUAUGUGAGCUUGAGAGCCAUUUGAGUGACUCCACCAACCAUAUGAGUGAGAGCAUCUUACUGGGAGUGAGUCAGCCACAACACUUAGUGAGUGAGGUAGUUGAGACAGCACGUGAGGCCACUAUGAUUUCUAACGACUUAACCUCUACUCCGAGUGUGUUUUCUUAUUUGGUGCUAGGUCUCCUACAUGACGACAUGCAUAUCCUCGUCGAGUCCAUACCUCCAAUGGAGAUGAUGAUGGCCAUGGUGGACGAUAAUGCACCCACCACAUGGUUCCAUCACGAUGAAGAUGAUCACAACUUGGUGUUCGACACCUCACCUACAACACAUGAGCGAUGCUCCAAAGUUAACAUAGGUGAUGAUGCUUCUCUUGUCCCACUAGUGGACUAUCUAACCAAUGAUUGCUUGCAUGAUGUUGACACACCUAUUACCAUGCUUCAUGCUAGUGCGGCCUCCUCAUGUCAUGACUUACCAAUUUAUGAUGAAUAUGAUGAUGAGCAUGUCAAGUUGCCUAGUUGUGAUGUUAUGCCCCAAAGGAUAUCAUGUGAAAAUUCUUUUGGUCACAUCAUGUUCGACAACCCUUUAAACUUGUCAUAUGCUAUGAGUGAGAUCUCCCAUAUUGCAUCAUUUCAAUCUCAACAUAGUAACUAUGCAUGCCCCAUUAAAAUAAAUCCCAUUUUCUCUUAUGGCAUAGAGGAUGAGAUGAUGGUCAUUGGCUUUUGUUUUUCAUCCGACAAUAUUGCCAUGCUUCCUUUACAUGAUUUGUGCAAUUCAUCUACUAUACCAUGCCAUGAUCACAUAGGAUGUUGUCAAUAUUCUCCAUGUGAUGUUUCCAUUAAUGCUCAUGAGGAGACCCCAAUAGUUUCCCAUACAUAUUACAAAAUUUUGAUGCAUUCCAUACAUUGCAUGAUUCCCAUGAUUGUGUGCACCAUAUGCAUUCCAUGAAUAACAAUGCUCUACAUAUUUCUCAUGAUGCAUUACACAAUUUGAGUCUCCAUUAUGAUAUACAUAACAACAAACCUAUCAUGAUGGAUGACAUGUUUCUAUAUCACACAUCUCAUUUAUUUAAGAAUUGGAUAUCUUAUGCUAACCAACACAUGCACGUAUGCAUCAUAAUGGAUGAUGUGUACAUAUACCACGCACACACAAUUUUCCCUUUGUCUUUGUUUUGUGUAGAUACUCACGAAUACUCGUCAACCUCUCAAUCCCAAGAGUUGAGAAACGAGCUCUUGGGAGCAAUGACAAUUUGGUAUCCCGUGGGUUAUCCUUACCACCGUUCUCUUCGCGAAAUGACUUUGCACAUUCCUUUUACUUGGCUCUCACACGGCUAUGGGCUAUUUACCACUUGUCACCCUAUGCCCAUACUAUCAUGUUCACUUUGCAUGUUAUGCUCAUUACUAUGCUUUCACCAUGCAUUUGUGACCCAUGCUUUGCAUUACACAUGAUGAUUGAUUCUAGUACUUGCAUGCGUAUUUGCAAGUUUGGUGGAGAUAUUGCUUGUUAUCGCCAUGUUUUUUUGUGCCCAAUGCCUAUGAUGAUCCUUUGAUCUUAUCUUGUUUUCAUGCUUGUACUAUGUCAUGCGCAUGACAUAUGCCUAUUAUUUGCCCACAUGACAUGGUUGCCAUGAUUUCCUCUAGUAUGUUGCAUCUUCGCACUACUAGUUUGCAUGACAUGAAUGGUACGCUUGCCUAUGUUGCAUCAUCGAUGAUUCAUACUUGCUCGUUUCAUGUGGUUGAUGGCAUCCAUUUCCUUGAUUGCCACAUGAUUGACUUGAUUGCCUCACACAUGAUGGACAAUUGCUCUUUCUAUUGUGUUGAGUGGCACACUAUAUUCACUACAAACCAUGCACAUUAAGCUUGGAUUGUCUUGCACUUUAGACACUUCAUUUAUUUUGGUGUUGUGAAUGCUUCAUAUGUAUGCAAUAGACCACUUGUUGAGCGCCUUAUGCAUGCUUGCUAUGAGCUUGAGGUAGAUUCUUAUUCUCUUGACACACAUAUUUGCAUCGCUACCUCACAUUUACAUGCUUGUUUCCAUGAUGUCCUUGAUUUUGCUCAAUUUAUGUGCUUACAUGACAUGUGACAAUCCCUUGUCACACCAUAUGUUAUGCUUGAUGAUGACACUUGUUUGGUGAAUCACCUCUUGAAUGCUUGAUUUUGCACCACUGCUAACCACAUUGGUUUUUCCAAGUGUUUGUUAUACUUGCACCUUUUGAAGGAAUCACAAGACGGUGCGACAUUCGAGAGUGCCCAUUUUGAGCUUCGAAAUGAUACGUGCUUGGUGGCUGUCCACUUCUACACGAGAUCGCGCUCUCUUUCCCAUGGUGAUGAAGAUCACGAUUCGUAGACGGAUCUCUCCCAAGGGGGGAAGAUGAUGCGGAGCAUCCCUCGUUCAUCCCCGUGGACGUUCCGUCACCACCGCAAGCAUGAAGAGUACUAAUGACAAGAGUCCGCACACGCAUCAUGGAAACCGAUGUUAACUCUUUCCUCUUCGAACUUCAUUCGGAUUGACAUGAGAGUUGUGCUCUAUCUCAAAUGGAUACAUUGUGCAUUCUUAGGUACCAAGGAGAAGACCGUAAGGAGGCAUGCAGGGAUCACCAAGUCCACAUGGUCGAGCCCCAAGGAGAAGAAGGAACUCCCACACAUGGAACAUCAGAGGCCUCGGACCACCCCGGGUGCCUGGCCUCCUACGCCCCGAGUUCCCGGACUGCGGGCCCCAAAGGGCUCCGCCCCUCUGUAUAGCUCGGGUGCCUGCACCCCGACCACCGGGUGCCCGCACUCCCGAGUGCCCGCACCCCAACCACCGGGUGCCCAGCCUGGUCUUCUACUCCCCAACGACCCCGGGUGCCCGGACCACUUUACUUCGGGUGCUUGGACUCCACCGAAAGUGCCUGCAUGAAUCUCGGGCUAAAUAACCAUUGUACCCCUGUUUUCCUCUUAUUUCGUCUCUAGACUAUAAGUACACUUGCCAUAGCUCAUUAUAGAGGUUAGCACAAUAUUUGAUAGACAAAGAGAGAGUUUUUCUCAUUUCCUCCUAUUGGAGAUCUAGACCUCCUCUUGGAGAAGCUCCUCUUGGAUAUCAAGCCCUCCUCUUGGAUAUCAAGCCCUCCUCUUGGAGAAGCUCCUAUUGGAGAUCAAGCCCUCACUACUGCAGGAUGCUGCUAAUGCGACACUACGAUCAGAGACCCUUCGACGAAACUGUGUGUGAUGCAAUAAUUGCAAAUGGUGGUGUAAAAUACCAUCAAAAAAAUGUGCAAAACAUUUGCGAUGGCAGAUGCAUCAAACACGAUUCACAUUUUAGUUGCGUGUGCGAUGCAGGGCAUAUGGUUCAGUUCAAUAACUGCUUGCGAUGAGGAGGAACAAAAGAAACGGGUAGCCAGAUGAAGGUGUGUGUGAUAUACAACAUACAGUUUGCUCGGAUGAACUGUUUUUUUAUUAAGCAACAUAAAAGAAACGGUCAGCGAGAUCAAGGUGUGUGCGAUAUACGGCAUGUGGUUCACUCAGAUGAACUGUUUCCGUUGAGACAAGAGAACAGAAAUGGUUCAACUUAACAAGAUGUGUGUGAUACACGGCAAACUGGUCUGUAAUCGGAAACGUGUGCGAAGACCAAUAACAACACAUCCAAUUGUUGCUAACAAGCCAUGUCUGUUGUGGGCAAAUUAUUGCUGGUAUACAAUUGUGAGUGAUUGAUGAAAACUUCACCAACGGGUUCCAUUGUUUAGUCCAUGUGCGAUGUGAUUUUCUUUGUCCGCACAACAUCUACACUCUGUCUACAGAGCAUCAACAUAUAUACUUAAAAAGACAACAUUGCAUAACCAAAUUAAGCAUACAAUUACACAAGUGACUACACACAUAAAAAUUCCACACACCAAAGUAAGCAAUUACAUGCAACGAAACUAGGAGAAACGAGGAUCUAAUCAUCUACUUAUUGUUGUGACGACGCUUGCCAUUGCUCUGCUUCCAGCUAGAUCCCUGGCCGUUUCGGGGAAGGAGGCACUUCCUCAUGUAAACGAUCUGCCUUUACAUGUCGUAGCUCAUGUACGGCUCCUUGGCCGCGUACACGACGUGAGCUUUGUCGAGUUUCUCCAUCCAGGCCGAGUGCUAGGCACGCUUGUCCUUGUUGCAGGAAUCCUUCAUGUCUCUGCAGUAGGGGUCGAUGAUGGCCUCGGUGAGGUGAACCAGUGAGUCCUUCUCUUGCUCCUUGCUGCCCUAGAUCUUGUAUUGGCCCUAGACGUCGACAAGAUUCUGGCAGGCGAUGCCCAAAUUCUCAAGCGCCUUUACAUCGUUGGUGAUGUUCACCGUACCAAACAUGUAGUGGGGGCCGUUGACAAACCUGGCGAAAUGCUCGCAAGGCCUUAUGGCCAGGUAGUAGUGGUAGACGAGGACGUGGUGGCGCACGCACAUCUGGGUGGCGGCGACCAUGGGACGAGACCCGGCACAAGUGUGGGUGUACUCAAGGUCGAACCCGACCACCUUGUACUUCUCCUCAGCAAGCAACAACUCCAUGAUGUGGAUGGAGUGCUCCACCCAGACCGGGUUAUUGGUGUACACCACCGAGAGGUCCAUGAACCUUCUGUGGGUGUCCACCAUGGCACGCAUGGUGAACUGCUGCUCAUCGGCGGCAGCCGCUCGGAGCGCCAUUGGAGCCGCACAGGAUACCCUCUAAGAAUUUAUUAUGGUGGGUGUGCUUCUUGCAAUGGUGGGGCGCGAUCGAAAUGUUGUAGAGACACAAGGGUUAAAUGGCCACUGUAAUAAAUGGGGGCCGGCCGGCCUAUAAUUGUCACGUCUUGUCACAGUUUUCAUAGCGGAGGAUUCCAGUGCACGCUUGACAACACCGCACUGCACGUGUUUCGUUUGACCACGCGUGGGCUUGAAGAGGCGCUAAAUUUAUCGUCAGUGAGCCUGUUCCCGCGCUACCGCGCAAUUUACCGUGCAAACUUCCUACCCGGCUAGUUUGGCCACGCGUCGGCUAGAAGAGGGAAAAAUCAUGGGCAUUUAUUGGCAAAAAGCUUUGUAAAAAUGAAGUGUGUGGAAUGACUUCGGUCAUAAGUUUACCCGUAGGUGAUGAGGUCAAAGUUACACAGAAGGGUGAUGAUGGACACUCAAGUGUGAUAAUUAAUUCUGCGCUCCACAGGGCACACGGUUGAAGAAAACAACUGUGUGCAAUAAUGUCAGAGAUUGCAGUCGAGUUAGCCAUACAGAUCGUGUGCUGUGAGACUAACAAGGUAAACAUAUUCGAGAAUGGUUAAUAAAAUCUGAGACAAUUGCAUAUUCAGGUCAAAAAAGUUCUACCAAUAUACGAGUCUCAUACGAUGCCAUUUCAAUGAUUGUACCACAAAAGCUCGAGAUAUUACAGGGUUCAAAUUCCAGAGUUAUAUGGCUCAAAUUCGAAGAUUACAAGGUUCAAACUGAUAUUAGAUAUGAAAUUCAGCUCAUCAGUUGCAAACGCUCGCGCUGAUCCGCUGAACAUGGAUAUCAGAGAGGUUCAAAUUAAUAUUACCACUUCUAAGUCUGGUUUCGAAACCUCAUAAUUUUUGCAAAGGGGUCAGCCACUGAGAAGUCAUGUAUGGGGUUGACACGAUGACUUCGGAUUACUCUGUCAUCUUAAGUUCCAAAAUUAAAUUCUGCAUUUUUGGACCCUAUUCCAUUCUGCCGUAGGCACCGGCGCUGAUCAACAAACCAUUCAUUUUUGCGAAAUAAAUGUAGGGAAAACCUCAUUACCUUCAGCACCUUUGCUCUAAAAACAAAGAACCUGGCGAAUAUAAUCUCCGGUAAGGUCCCUCAGUAGGAGUUCAAAGUAAUUUCUGAGAAAUGCUGAUCUAGGCAUUCGACGUGAUUUUCAUAUUGUAUCACAUUAUCCACAACUAGGCCUAAUCUUAUCUGCAAAAGAAGAAAACGUGUUAGUGCCUACAUGCAGUUUUGAACACUACUACAUGCCUAUUUGGUUUGCAGGAUUUGUAAAAUACACUAACAUGCCAUCUUCGAUCUGACAUGAUUAACAUGGGCAUUUGAUUACAUUAUAGAAAAAUGUAGCCUUCUUCACAAGAGGUUGGAGUGGAUGAAAAGUUCCCUAAGAAAACUAGUACAAACGAAUCCAAAGGAGAAAUACUUAUGGAUUGUAACCAUAUGGAUAAAGCAACCAAUAUGGGGGGACAUGUAUGCGCUGAAAUACUCCAAAAGAAUACUUCAGAAAUUAUAGUACAUUGUCAUUGUAAACUUGGAAAAAGGUGUCACAAAUUGAACUCCCUUAUGGUUAAAAUUUAAUAGGAAAGGAACAACACCUCGAUAAAUAGCUUCUCCAGGCAUGGAAAGCAUCUUAGGAAACUAACAACUUGCUCCAGGUUGGGGCCGAUAGAUUCUAGUGCCAAGACCUUCACUAUGCGCAGUUUCGGGGUCAAGCUUGUCGGAAUCAUUUUUUGGAUGACAGACGAACAAACAUCUUCAAAAUUAGAAAUAAUGUUAAUUUGUAGAAGGAGAGGUAGAAGGCGGUUGUUGUACCUGAACGGGUGUGGAUCCAAUAAGGAGAGGUAGAAGGCGGCUGUUGUACCUGAACGGGUGUGGAUCCAAUAAUAAGUUCAGAGUAUUUGUCAGACGAGUAGCCCACCACUAUCAAUUUCGGCGCAGAAAUGAAAUUGAUUCUUAUUGGACCUUCUUGAUCAACUACAAGUAAUAUCUCAAGUGCAGGUGUGUCCUCAAUGACAAUACCGUGGUACACAUCUUUUGAUGUCUUCUUGCCGCACCAGCAACACACAUAAAUAGUUCGAAGAGUCAUGUAGGUGAUGUGGAAGCUACUCAACCCAUUGAUCGCUUGAAGAUGAAGGUACUCGAGUGCAGUACAGCCACGGAGCAGGCGCUCCAUGUCACCGUUUGGGAGGCAGACGGCGACGAGCUCAAGGUGCUUCAGUCGUGGUAGAAUAAGAGGGGGUGCGUCAUUAAGGGGGGUGGUACACUAGUAGAAAAGGGGGCAAUGGCCAAGGCCAGUUCAGCCCAUUAGUCCCGGUUCAAUCCAGAACCGGGACCAAUGGAGCUAUUUGCCCCGGUUCGUGAGCCCAGGGGGCCGGCCGGGCCACGUGGGCAAUUGGUCCCGGUUCGUCCGGACCUUUUGGUCCCGGUUGGUGGGACGAACUGGGACCAAUGGGCCUGGCUCCUGGCCCACCACUAUUGGUCUCGGUUGGUGGCAUGAACCGGGACCAAUGGCUAGCCGUUAGUCCCGGCUCAUGCCACGAACCGGGACCAAUAGUGCUGCCUAUAUAUACCCCCUCGCUCGCGACCAGAGCACUCCAGUGCUCUGUUUUUCUCUUGCCGGCGAGGGGGGGCUUUGUGGUGCUCUAGCUCACCUCCAUAGCACAUGAGGUGUUCGAUGAAAUGCCCGAGCCACACUACUUAAGCUUUCUCCUCUCCAAGCUCGACCUUCAACCUCUAUUUUCCUCAAUAUUUGUCUAGGUUUAGCGGUCCAUCACGCCCCGUCCCCGUCUUCACCGCCGUCGAUCACCCGCACCGAUCUCAUCGCCAGCACCACCGUGGUGAGCCUCUUGUUCUUAUCUUCUUUCUGAAAGGAAAAAUAUUCUUACUUGUAUUAUUUUCUUACUUUUAUUAUUGCAUCUUAUAUAGUGCGAUGGUUUUGGUAUCCGCCCCCAUCGGCCCUCGUCCUGUCUAUGAUUCGGAUGUGGUAUAUAUUAUCUUUUCAUAACUAUUGGUUCAUUUAUUGUUUAUGAAAAUUAUGCCGACCAACGUGACAUAGAUUUUAUUUAUCUAGGAGGUUGUUGAACCGGAAAUUCCAACAGACCCUAUUGUCGAGAGGUUAAAUUUAGUUGAAGAAGAAAACAAUUUCUUGAAGGAAAAAAUAAAAAAACUUGAGGAGGAGAAGAUGAUAUUGGAGUUGCAUGUUGCGGAUGUCAUCGAUGAUCACAAGAUCAAGAUGGAUGCAAUGCGCUUGAAGAUGAGAAAGAUUAGAAAAUAUGCCAUUCAUACCGAGGCUUGGUAUCAUUAUGCCGUUGGAUCAGUUGUUACCUUGGUUGCGAUUAUGAUCGCAUUUGUUUUCGCAUUGAAAUGUUAUACAUAGUUUCAAUGUAUGGUUUAAUUAAUUUAGAUGCUCUGCAGAGCUUUAUGUUGUUAGAUGAGAACUAUGUAUGUACUUUGGUUUUUAUAUGAUGAUGAACUUCUAUUAAUUUGGUCACUUAAUUAUCUAUUCAUGAUGUUCGUAAUGAUUUUUGACACACUUAAUUAUAUAUAAUGCACGCAGAUGAACCGGCAAUGGAUGUACGGUGACAGACACACCUCCGAGUACAUUAAGGGCAUGCAUGAUUUUCUGGAAGUGGCUGAGGCAAACAAGCAGAAUGGUUUUAUGUGUUGUCCAUGCCCUAUAUGUGGGAAUACGAAGUCUUACUCUAACCGGAAAAUCCUUCACACCCACCUGCUUUACAAGGGUUUCAUGCCACACUAUAAUGUUUGGACGAGGCACGGAGAAAUAGGGGUUAUGAUGGAAGACGGCGAGGAAGAAGAGUAUGAUGACAACUAUGUGCCCCCUGAAUACGGUGAUGCUACUGAACAUCAAGAUCGCAUGUUAGAGGAUCACAAAAAGGGGUUGUACCCCAAUUGCGAAGAUGGCAACACAAAGCUCGGUACCAUACUCGAAUUGCUGCAGUGGAAGGCAGAGAAUGCUGUGCCUGAUAAAGGAUUUGAGAAGAUACUGAAAAUAAUGAAGAAGAAGCUUCCAAAGGAUAACGAAUUGCCCGACAGUACAUACACAGCAAAGAAGGUCGUAUGCCCUCUAGGAUUGGAGGUGGAGAAGAUACAUGCAUGCCCUAAUGACUGCAUCCUCUACCGCUGUGCCUACAAGGAUCUGGUGAUGUUGACGGUGAGCCUCCCAGGAAGAGGGUUCCUGCGAAGGUGAUGUGGUAUGCUCCUAUAAUACCAAGGUUGAAACAUCUGUUCAGAAACGGAGAGCAUGCCAAGUUGAUGUGAUGGCACAGUGAGGACCGUAAGAAAGACGGGAAGUUGAGAGCACCCGCUGACGGGUUGUAGUGGAGAAAAAUUGAGAGAAAGUACUGGGAUGAGUUUGCAAAGGACCCAAGGAACGUAUGGUUUGCUUUAAGCGCGGAUGGCAUUAAUCCUUUCGGGGAGCAGAGCAGAAAUCACAGCACCUGGCCCGUGACUCUAUGUAUGUAUAACCUUCCUCCUUGGAUGUGCAUGAAGAGGAAGUUCAUUAUGAUGCCAGUUCUCAUCCAAGGCCCUAAGCAACCCGGCAACGACAUUGAUGUGUACCUAAGGCCAUUAGUUGAAGAACUUUUACAGCUGCGGAAUGGAAACGGUGUACGUACGUGGGAUGAGCACAAAAAGGAGGAAUUUGACCUAAAGGCGUUGCUGUUCGUGACCAUCAACGAUUGGCCCGCUCUCAGUAACCUUUCAGGACAGACAAACAAGGGAUACCACGCAUGCACGCACUGUUUACUUGACACCGAUAGUAUAUACCUGGGAAGCUGCAGGAAGAAUGUGUACCUGGGCCAUCGUCGAUUUCUUCCGACCAACCAUCAAUGUCGAAAGAAAGGCAAGCAUUUCAAAGGCGAGGCAGAUCACCGGAAGAAGCCCGCCAUGCGUACCGGUGAUCACGUACUUUCUACGGUCAAUGAUUUACACGUAAUCUUUGGAAAGGGUCCUGGCGGACUAGCUGUUCCGAAUGACGCUGAGAAUCACGCACCCAUGUGGAAGAAGAAAUCUAUAUUUUGGGACCUACCCUACUAGAAAGACCUAGAGGUCCGCUCUUCGAUCGACGUGAUGCACGUGACGAAGAACCUUUGCGUGAACCUGCUAGGCUUCUUGGGCGUGUAUGGGAAGACAAAAGAUACACCUGAGGCACGAGAGGACCUGCAACGCUUGCACGAAAAAGAGGGCAUGCCUCCGAAGCAGUAUGAAGGUCCUGCCUGCUACGCUCUUACGAAAGAAGAGAAAGAAAUAUUCUUUCAAUGCCUGCUCAGUAUGAAGGUCCCGACUGGCUUCUCGUCGAAUAUAAAGGGAAUAAUAAAUAUGCCAGAGAAAAAGUUCCAGAAUCUAAAGUCUCAUGACUGCCAUGUGAUUAUGACGCAACUGCUUCCGGUUGCAUUGAGGGGGCUUCUACCGGAAAACGUCCGAUUAGCCAUUGUGAAGCUAUGUGCAUUCCUCAAUGCAAUAUCUCAGAAGGUGAUCGAUCCAGAAAUCGUACCAAUGCUAAGGAGUGAUGUGGCGCAAUGUCUUGUCAGUUUUGAGCUGGUGUUCCCACCAUCCUUCUUCAAUAUCAUGACGCACGUCCUAGUUCAUCUAGUCGACGAGAUUGUCAUUCUGGGGCCCGUAUUUCUACACAAUCUGUACCCCUUUGAGAGGUUCAUGGGAGUCCUAAAGAAAUAUGUUCCUAACCGCGCUAGGCCAGAAGGAAGCAUCUCCAUGGGCCAUCAAACAGAGGAUGUCAUCGGGUUUUGUGUUGACUUCAUUCCUGGCCUUAAGAAGAUAGGUCUCCCUAAAUCGUGGUAUGAGGGGAGACUGACUGGAAAAGGCACGCUUGGAAGGGACUCAAUAAUAUGCAGGGACGGAUAUUCUUGGUCUCAAGCACACUACACAGUUCUACAGAACUCUACCUUGGUGACCCCGUAUGUCGAUGAACACAAGAACAGUCUGCGCUCCAAACACCCGGAGCAGUGCGACGACUGGAUUACAUGUGAACACAUCAGGACUUUCAGCAGUUGGUUGGAAACACGUCUCAGAGGUGACAGCACUGUUUGUGAUGAGCUGUACUUGUUGUCCAGGGGACCAUCUUCGACUGUAAUGAUUUGGAAAGGAUACGAGAUAAAUGGGAAUACAUUUUACACGAUUGACCAAGAUGAAAAGAGCACCAACCAAAACAGCGGUGUCCGCUUUGAUGCAGCAAUCGACAAUGGAAAUGACACAUAUUAUGGUUACAUAGUAGACAUAUGGGAACUUGACUACGGAGUAGAUUUUAAGGUCCCUUUGUUUAAGUGCAAGUGGGUCAAUUUUCAGGAGGCGGGGUACAGGUAGACCCACAAUACGGAAUGACAAUAGUGGAUCUGAAACAUCUAGGGUACACUGACGAACCAUUCGUCCUAGCCAAUGAUGUGGCACAGGUUAUCUAUGUGAAGGACAUGUCUACCAGACCGACGAAAAGAAAAGAUAAGGAAGCGAAUACAUCAUACAAUGAGCCAAAGCGCCACAUAGUUCUUUGAGGAAAAAGGGACAUCCUGGGAGUGGAGGGCAAGACAGACAUGUCUGAAGAGUAUGAAAAGUUUCAUGAAAUUCCCCCCUUCAAAGUCAAGGCUGACCCAAGCAUCCUGAUAAACGAUGAAGAUUAUCCAUGGUUACGGCGCAAUAAGCAAACGACACAAGCGAAGAAAAAGUGAAGACUUUCUCCCGCAACUAUUAUGAUGAUACCAUGCCAACUUUGUAACAGACGAGUAUGAUACCAUUAUCCGUUUUGUACAUGCACAUGCUAUGCCAACUUUUUCAGAGUUCAUUUGAAAACUAUGAAUUUGAAAACCUCGCCAACCGAAGGGCGCUCACACCGGUUUAUAAGCCCGUCCCUCUACACGCCUUGUUGAGCUCACAAACUUGUGAUUCGCACAAAUUUCAAAGAGAACUAAUGGCACAAACAGAAAGUUUAUAAUUUUGCUGAACUAAAAGCAAAAAGAAUUAAAAAAUAAAGCAAAAAACCAAAAGAAAAUAAAUAAUGCAGAAAAGAAAACAAAAAAACUUGAAAAAAAAUCAAAAAUAGCAACAGUAAGUAUUUUGUUGUAAGUAGAAACAAAAUAAAAUAAAUAAAUAAAGCAAAAAAGUGUUUUCAAAUUUGAAAACUAAUGGCACUAAUAGAAAGUUUAUAAUUUUUCUAAAACUAAAAGCAAAAAGAAUUAAAAAAUAAAGCAAAAACAACAAAAAAUAAAUAAUGCAGAAAGCAAGACCAAAAAACUGGAAAAAAAUAAAAAUAGCAACAAUAAGUAUUUUGUUGUAAGUAGAAACAAAAUAAAAUAAAUAAAGCAACAAAGAAAACAAAAAAACAAAAAAAGUGCCACCUACUGGGCCCCCACNNNNNNNNNNNNNNNNNNNNNNNNNNNNNNNNNAAAGUUUAUAAUUUUUCUAAAACUAAAAGCAAAAAGAAUUAAAAAAUAAAGCAAAAAAACAACAAAAAAUAAAUAAUGCAGAAAGCAAAACCAAAAAACUGGAAAAAAAAUAAAAAUAGCAACAAUAAGUAUUUUGUUGUAAGUAGAAACAAAAUAAAAUAAAUAAAGCAACAAAGAAAACAACAAAACAAAAAAAGUGCCACCUACUGGGCCCCCAUGGCCUGAAUACGACUAGAAACCCUACCAUGGGCCAGGAUUCAGGCCCGCGGGAGGCCCAGUAGGCCCACAGGCACAGAUUCCACGGUCAGGCCCGAAAGCCUGCAGUUGAGAGGAGCUCGAGAGGGUGGGCGCAGCAGCGCUUAUAAACCACUCUCGAGCUCUCUCAACUAGCGAGGUGGGACUAAACUUUUCGGCGCGGGGCAGCACAAGGCCUUUGGUCCCGGUUGGUGGCACCAACCGGGACUAAAGGGGUCGUGGGUCCCGGGUCGUGGCACCAACCGGGACUAAUCCCCCCUUUAGUCCCGGUUGGUGCCACCAAUGGGGACCAAAGGCCGCCGCUUCCCGCCCUUUGGGCUGCUGAAAAUUGGCCUUUGGUCCCGGUUGGUGGCACCAACCGGGACUAAAGGUGGUCAUUAGUCCCGGGUCGUGGCACGAACCGGGACCAAAGCCUUUUCUAUAUAAGCAAAGACUUGGCGUUUUUUCAGAUNNNNNNNNNNNNNNNNNNNNNNNNNNNNNNNNNNNNNNNNNNNNNNNNNNNNNNNNNNNNNNNNNNNNNNNNNNNNNNNNNNNNNNNNNNNNNNNNNNNNNNNNNNNNNNNNNNNNNNNNNNNNNNNNNNNNNNNNNNNNNNNNNNNNNNNNNNNNNNNNNNNNNNNNNNNNNNNNNNNNNNNNNNNNNNNNNNNNNNNNNNNNNNNNNNNNNNNNNNNNNNNNNNNNNNNNNNNNNNNNNNNNNNNNNNNNNNNNNNNNNNNNNNNNNNNNNNNNNNNNNNNNNNNNNNNNNNNNNNNNNNNNNNNNNNNNNNNNNNNNNNNNNNNNNNNNNNNNNNNNNNNNNNNNNNNNNNNNNNNNNNNNNNNNNNNNNNNNNNNNNNNNNNNNNNNNNNNNNNNNNNNNNNNNAAGAAAAAAUAGAAAAAAAAUCUAUUUUUUCUUCUUCUCCUCUAUUCUUUUCUUCUUCUCCUCUUUUUUUUUCUUCUUCUUUUUCUUCUUCUUCUUCCUUCUUCCUUCUUCCUCUUUUCUUCCUUUUUCCUUAUUUUCCUUUCUCGAGGGAUAAGAAGAAAAAGAAGAGGAGAAGAAGAAAGAAAGGAAUAGAGGAGAAAGAAGAAACUUUGACACAAGGGGGGGGGGUACCGAUACCCCUCCCCGAUAACAUUAUUUUCCCAUGUAUAUGUAUGUUGCUUCGUUGUCGAUAUAACGAGGGUGUCGAGGAUCAGCAAGGGGUCGAGGGUCAGGAACUAGGGUAGAGGGUCGAGGGUCGUUAAGGGGUCAAGGGUCGAGGGUCGUUAAGGGGUCAAGGGUCGAAGGUUUCAGGGUCAAGGGUCGUUAAGGGGUCAAGGGUCGAAGGUUUCAGGGUCGAGGGUUCCUAUAGUGUCAAAGUAUUGAAGAAAUCCAUGGCUUCAUCAUUAGCCGGAAGUAACCAUGGCAUGAUGGUACGAAGUCCUCCAAAGUUAUUCUGGAAUGGAGUCCCGGAUAGGAUAAUUUGCCUUUUUGUAUGAAUCUCAGCAAAGGCCUUUCAAAUAACGAUAUUCGGAAGGUUCUUGCUGAACUUUGUACCAAAAAGCGAAUUAUCCUAUCUGGGACUCCGUUCCAAAAUAACUUUGGAGAGCUUCAUACCAUCAUGCACCUGUUACUUUCGCCUAAUGAUGAAGACAUGGUUUUGUUAAUCCUUUGACACUAGGCAACCUCCCGACCCCUCGGCGAUCCUCGACCCCUUGACCCUCGACCGCUCGGCAAUCCACGACCCUCUACCCUACCGCGGGCGUCGAUGCCCACGUCACUUGUGGGACAUAGAUGUAGUGUUCAACGCCGACCCCCUCCCGAUAGCUUCAACACGUGGGGAGGGUCGAUAUUACCCCCUCCUAGCUUGAAGCGUUGUCGAGGCCACCCCCUAACCCUUGAAGCGUUGUCGAGGCCACCCCAAACCCUAGAGAAGCAGCGUCGAGGCCACUAAUAUGAUUCCUUAUUGUGAUUAGCUAGCUAGUUCUACGUUUGCCACUAAUAUAUUGUCGGUGUACUAGAGUAGGGGUACCCUAUUACCCCGAACUCGUGCACGGGCAGUUGCAGCGCCCCGCAGCAAGGCCUUCCAGGUGACCGCCAGGACCCUCCGUGGUUCCCUUGAAGGCCAUUCAAGAACAAAGUAUUCAAGUUGAGGCCCCGGCAAGAGGAGCUUGCCGGUAAGAGAUGAGACCCCGGCAAGAGGAGCUUGCCGGGAAGGCCACUCAAGACAUACCAAGAAAGCUUGCUGCGAUGCGCCCUGCGUCCCGGCAACAUCCGGCGAGCGACAAGCUUCCGGACACGACAAGAUGACGGCCGCGGCAAGGAGCUUGCCGCGGGAAACCCCCACUGCGUGCCCGCGCUCCAGCUCACCUGCUAACGUGUCGCUCUGGGACUCUCCCAGAGCGCACGUGGCGGGAGGCCGUGCAGCUAGGGGUACGUGGUGGCAAGCGGAGAUGAAGAGAAGCCCAUCGUGGCAAACGGUGGCACUCCUAACGGUCACCUUUUGCACUGUUUAGGAGACUCAGAUAGGCUUUUAAUGCCCUUGUCCCCUGCCGUCAGAGUUAGGUAGGGCACACUGUAUCCACAGUAGAGGUAGCUGCACCUACCCAUCCUUUUCCAUUUUUACCCUUCUUGUCUACGUUGCCCCCUGUCGGUGACCCCUUGAGUAUAAAAGGAGGCCCAAGCGCAACGUAGAAAGGGUUCCGCAGGUCGGGGAGUUCAGGGACUCGGCUAGCUCGGCUCGUUGAACCCCAGAGACACUCUUACGCUCAGUCUGGCAGCGUCCAUCGCUCCUGAGAAAGAAUCCAAUAUACACCAAACAAGCAGCAGUAGGUUUUAUGCAUCCGUGCGGCCCGAAGCUGGGUAAAAUCCCNNNNNNNNNNNNNNNNNNNNNNNNNNNNNNNNNNNNNNNNNNNNNNNNNNNNNNNNNNNNNNNNNNNNNNNNNNNNNNNNNNNNNNNNNNNNNNNNNNNNNNNNNNNNNNNNNNNNNNNNNNNNNNNNNNNNNNNNNNNNNNNNNNNNNNNNNNCGAUCUUCUCUUUGUGCGCUCUCCGCCCCCCACUGAACCGAAAAGGGGCCCUGUCCCCAUAGGUGCUGGCGGGAAUCAGCAUCGCCCCCGGCAUCUCUGGCGCGCCAGGUAGGGGGCGUCGAGAUUGUGCGAACCCGAUCCGGUGCGCACGCAAUCUAGAUCUUCAUCAUCUUCAUCGACAUGCCACCAAAGAAGAAGAACUCGGAGGCAGCUGUUCCGUCCGCGUCGCUUCCACCGCCUCCGGAGCAAACGGAUGGUGGGUGGACGCCGGCGGAGGAAUGGGCGUCGACGAAGGUGCUCACAGCGCUGCUAAGUCCAAGGACAAGGCAGCACAGACCUCGGCGUCCAUGCGCGCUCCGCGUCCCUCUCAGGAGGCGCGGGACCAGCAGCGUCAUAGCGUUCGCAGCGCCAUACGUCCGCUGACCCAAGAUCAAGCUGGUGGUUCGCGCGGCGUUCAAGACCAGCCUGCACGCCAGCAUGCUGGCCCCAGCGAGGUACGGUCGCCGGCACGGGACGCUGCUCCUUCUAACUUGGUUAGGAGUCCGAGCACGCCCCUCUCCUCGCACCAUUCACCUCUGCCGCCCACCACCCCAGCAGAAGUCUUGGCGCGGGCCCAGCUGCUCCUGGACUAUCCUCCAACGGCGGACAAGACCGACGAAUGGAGGGCCACUAUCCAGAGCCUCAUCGGUUUCGCCAACGGCGACACUACGCGGCGACCAAGCACCUCGCUGCCGCGGCAGGACGACCAGACGCGAGCCGAUGGCAACAAGACUGAGUGAGGUGCGACUUCCAUGCACUCUCCACUACGAAGGCCAAAAUCGCCGACUCGCCGGGUCCACCCCAACAGCGGCUCCACCGCGUCGUCGGACCCACGAGCUCGUCGCGACCAGCGCCAAGUUCUCCAUGAACGGCAAAAAGAAGACGCCCGAACCCGCAUCGAGCGCCGAAGAGAAGCGCGACGUCAAUCCGACAAGCGUGUUGGGCUUACUGUUGACACGCAUGCGCCAAGGGAGCCAGGCGAUCUGCCGUACGCGGUAGGUUGUCCUGCGUUCACCCGUGAGCUGCGGCAAGUCCAGUGGCCCAGCACAAAGAAUUUCAAGCCAGACGUGCCAGAUAAGUACGACGGCAAGACGCAUCCGUCGGAGUUCCUCAGCAUCUACACCAUUGCAAUGCAAGCUGCCGGGGGACGAGAUGACAAGAUCCUUGCCAACUACUUCCCGCUGGUGCUCAAGCCCAAUGUCAGAUCCUGGCUCAUGCACUUGCCGGACAACUCCAUAUCUUCCUGGGCUGAUCUGUGCCAUCAGUUUGUCGGCGCCUUUACAGGCGGCCACAAGCCACAUGGCCAAGAGAGCGAUCUUCAUCUGCUCGCCCAGAAGGAAGGAGAGCCACUGCGCAAGUACAUUCAAAGAUUCAGCCGUGUGCAGCACAACAUCCCAGACGUCCACCCUGCCGCAAUCAUUAGCGCGUUCCAUCAGAACGUGCGAAAUCGAAGGAUGAGGGAGGAAAUGGCGAUGUGUAAGAUCAGGGACGUCAGCGAGCUUUACGCCCUGGCCGACAAGUGUGCACGCGCUGAAGAGGGGAGGAGGCUCCCCGGAGAGAGUACAGGAGCAGGAGGAUCUGACAGUGAGGAUGCCGCCCCGGCAAGGAAAGGCCGGCGGCGGAACUACAGAAGGAAUAAGGGUAAAGAAGUGCUAGCUGUUGAGCAGACCGGCAGCGGAGGUGGCGCCAAGGAAGCUAAGGUUGGUGGCUCCGACAAGGAGGCCCAUCCUGUGGCGGCCGCCGACAAGCAGGACAGCUCCGACAGGCAGUAUUGCAAGAUUCACCGCACCAAGGGUCACAAUCUCCAGAACUGCAAAAAGGUCGAACAGCUUGCUGAGCAGCAGAAGGCUGAGUACGAGCGACGCGACAAAGAGAAGGCCCGGGAAAGAACUGGUGAAUCCGGCAAGAAACGCCCCGGCCGGGGAGGACGCCGCGGCAAGGCUAAACAGCGGCUAGGAGACAGACCUCCCCGCGGCCGCGACAAGAAUGAAGACGACGACGAUGACGAAGACGUGGAUGAUGAUGAGGCCGAUGAGCAUGAAUUUCAAAAAGCCACAGAGGUCCUGUGCAUUGAUGGUGGCGCCUCUCUGCAUACUUCGCACCGCCAGCUAAAACAGUGGAUGCAGGAAGUGAAUGCAGCAGAGCCAUCCAUAGAGUCACGCAAGCCCCUGAAAUGGUCCAGCACGCCUAUCAUCUUCGACGUUGGGGAUCACCCUGAUCGCGUAACCGCGGUCGGAUGCUUGCCGAUGUUGGUCUCGCUCCGCGGUCAAGGUCACAAAGAUGCUAGUUGACGGCGGGGCCGGCUUGAAUCUCAUCUCCUCCGCGGUCCUUCACAAACUUCAGAUCCCUGACAGCGAGCUCGAAGAGACCGGCACAUUCCAAGGAAUCAACCCGGGAAGGAGCAAGCCGAAAGGGAAGAUCACGCUGCCGGUCACAUUUGGCAGCGAGCUGAAUUUCAGAACUGAGAGGGUCACGUUUGACGUUGCCGAUUUUCCAUUGCCCUACAAUGGGAUCCUGGGCCGUCCAGCGCUCGCCAAGUUUAUGGCAGCCUCUCACUAUGCUUACAACGUACUCAAAAUGCCAGGCCUGAUAAGCGUCAUCUCUGUCCCCGGCGACAAGAAGGAUGCCCUUAUCUGCGCCGACAAGAUCUACCGAGAAGCAGCAGCCGCAGCUAAUCACCAUACACUUGCCACUGAAGCUCCCGGGAAGAAGAAGAAGGACAAGUCCGGCAAGAGCUCUGAUGCCCACUCCGGCAAGCGCACCUCCUCAUAGUGCUGCGCUACCGUCGAGGACGCACCAUCGAACUCCACCGGCAAGUGCAAGAGGACGAUGGCAGCUCCACCCGAGACCAAGAAGGUGUCCGCCAAGGAGGACGGCACUGGUGGUACCUUCACCAUCAGUGCCACGCUUGACCCCAAAUAGGAAAGCGUGCUCGUUGCUUUCCUGCGGGCGAAUGUCGACGUAUUUGCAUGGCAACCGUCUGAUAUCCCCGGUGUUCCCAGGAGAGUAAUCGAGCACCACCUUGCCGUCUGUCCUCAUGCACGGCCCGUCAAGCAGAGAGUCAGGAAGCAAGCGGUGGAGCGCCAAGAGUUCAUUGCAGAAGAAAUCAGGAAAUUGGAAGCAGCAGGCCUUGUUAGAGGAGUGCUCCAUCCCACGUGGCUGGCCAAUCCUGUAGUCGUGCGCAAGGCAAACGGGAAAUGGUGGCUUUGUAUAGACUUCACUGAUGUCAAUAAAGCUUGUCCCAAAGAUCCAUUUCCCUUGCCACGCAUUGACCAGAUUGUUGACUCCACAGCUGGAUGUGAUUUUCUUUCAUUUCUUGAUGCGUAUUCAGGAUACCAUCAAAUCUUCAUGGCAGAAGAGGAUGAGGAGAAAACCGCAUUUAUCACCCCUUGUGGCACAUACUGGUUUGUACGAAUGCCCUUUGGGUUGAGGAAUGCUGGUUCAACAUUUGCAAGAGUAGCCUACAUCGCCUUUGAGCCACAGAUACACAGAAAUGUGGAAGCCUACAUGGAUGAUAUAGUGGUCAAGAGCAAGGACAAGGCUACCCUGAUUCAAGAUUUAGAAGAAACUUUUGCAAAUCUGUGCAAGAUCAACCUCAAGCUCAACCCCGAGAAGUGCGUGUUUGGAGUCCCUUCCGGCAAGCUUCUCGGGUUCUUUGUAUCUCAGCAGGGAAUUGAAGCCAACCCCGACAAGAUUAAGGCCAUCGAGCAGAUCGAAGCACCGAAGCGCGUCAAGGAUGUGCGAAGGCUUGCCGGUUGCGUGGCUGCUCUCAGCAGGUUUAUCUCUAAGUCUGCUGAGCGCGCCCUGCCAUUCUUCAAAAUAUUGAAAAAGGCAGGUCCAAUGAAAUGGACUCCGGAAGCGGAGGCUGCGCUGCAGGACUUGAAGAGGUACCUGUCCUCCACUCCAAUACUUGUCGCACCUAAGCCACAAGAGAAGUUGCUGCUGUACCUAGCGGCAACCAAUCAAGUGGUUAGUGCUGCGUUAGUAGCGGAGAGGGAGGCGGAUGAUGAGCCGGCAAUUGCAGCAAGUGAAUCCAACGACAAGCAGGGGGCUUCUCCAACAAGUUCUGGUCCGGCAAGCUCUGGUCCGGCAAGCUCUGGUCCCGACAAAGAAGAAUCUGCGCAGAUAUGCAAGGACGUGCAGAAGAAGGUGGUGCAGCGCCCAGUUUACUUUGUCAGCUCCCUUCUCCAGGGGCUAGGUCGAGAUACUCUGGCGUGCAAAAACUGCUUUUCGGCCUUCUCAUGGCCUCGAGAAAGCUGCGCCAUUACUUCUAGGCACACGAGAUCACAGUCGUCACUCGCUUUCCGCUGAAAAGGAUACUGCAGAAUCCAGAUGCAACAGGCAGGAUUGUCGAGUGGGCCUUGGAACUGUCAAGCUUUGGCCUCAAGUUUGAGAGCACUGCAACUAUCCAAAGCAGGGCAUUGGCAGAGUUCAUAGCAGAGUGAACGCCAACUCCAGAUGAAGAAAUUCCAGAGACGAGCAUCCCCGUCAAGGAGACAAGCAAAGAGUGGUUGAUGUACUUUGAUGGUGCCUUCUCGCUGCAAGGCGCCGGUGCUGGCGUGCUGCUUAUCGCACCCACCGGAGAGCACCUCAAAUACAUAGUCCAGAUGCACUUUCCCAAAGAACAAGCAACCAACAAUACUGCAGAGUAUGAAGGAUUGCUUGCCGGUCUUAGAAUAGCAGCCAACCUUGGGAUCAAGAAGCUCAUAAUCAGGGGUGACUCGCAGCUUGUCGUCCGCCAAGUGAACAAGAACUACCAGAGCCCGUUGAUGGAAGCAUAUGUUGAUGAAGUGAGGAAGCUACAAGAGCGCUUUGACGGCCUGCAAAUGGAGCAUAUCCCAAGAGCUCAAAAUGACAUUGCUGAUGGCCUGUCGAAAUGCACUGCACUAAAGUUGCCUAUGGAACCAGGGAUCUUUGUGCUCAAGCUGACUCAACCUUCCGUGGCACCAUCAACUGGGCAGAAUAAAAAGAGGAAGUUGGUUUCAGGUGACUACUUUCCGGCAGAGCACCCCGAAGCCGCCGCCAAGAAAGUCCCCAAGAUCAGCGCCAACGAUGCUGAGGGGCAGUCUGCUCCGGCAAACCUUGUGGUUUGUUCCGUCGAAGCAAACGCUCCCGACAAGUUUUGCUUCGGCAAGCUUGCCGGGGAACAUCACGCUCCGGCAGAAUCACAGGUUCUUGCCGUAGAAGCGGAUGUUCCUGCAGCAACAGGCAUGCCUUUAGUCCUUGUUGCCGAGCCGCAUGCUCCAGCAUGGGCGCAGCCGAUUGUCCGUUUCCUCCAGACAGGAGAGCUUCCCGAAGAGCAAGAAGAAGCUGAAAAAGUAGCCCGGCAGUCAAGUAUGUACAAGUUUGUCGACAUCACACUGUACAGAAUAAGACUCAACGACGUGAAAUUGAAGUGCAUUCGCCGGGAGGAUGGGCAACAGCUGUUGGCAGAAAUACAUGGAGGCAUAUGUGGUCACCACAUUGGCACAAGAGCACUUGUCGGCAAAGCAUUCCGACAAGGCUUCUUCUGGCCGACAGCCCUCCAGGAUGCAACUGCACAAGUAACCAAGUGUGAAGCGUGCGAGUUCCAUUCCAAACAGAUACACCAGCCAGCUCAAGCUCUCCAGACGAUCCCUUUAUCCUGGCCAUUUUCGGUCUGGGGGCUCGACAUCCUCGGCCCCUUCCCCCGAGAAAUCGGGGGCUUUGAGUUCUUGUACGUUGCAAUCGACAAGUUCACAAAGUGGCCCGAAGUGUAACCAGUGAGGAAGGUGACAGCACAGUCAGCAGUCAAGUUCUUCAGGUCGAUUGUUUGCCGUUUCGGGAUCCCGAACAGGAUCAUCACCGACAACGGCACGCAAUUUACGAGCCGCACCUUCAUGCAGUACGUCCAAGAUCUUGGCACCAAGAUCUGCUUCGCUUCUGUUGCUCAUCCAAGAAGCAACGGUCAAGCGGAGAGGGCAAAUGCUGAAGUGCUGCGAGGCCUCAAGACCAGAACUUUCGACAAACUGCAUAAGUGUGGAAGAAACUGGAUCGAGGAGCUACCGGUGGUUCUUUGGUAUUUCACUCUAGUCUAUGGAGCGGAGGCAGUUCUCCCCACGGAACUCGUAUACAGAUCUCCUCGAGUACUCGCUUAUGAUGAGCUCGAGCAAGAGCAGCUGCGCCAAGAUGACGCGCUGCUCCUUGAGGAAGACCGUCUCCAGGCUGCUGUGCGAGCCGCUCGCUACCAGCAAGCUCUGCGCCGCUACCAUAGCCGCAGAGUCAAUGCCAAGAGUCUCGAGGAAGGCGACCUUGUUCUUCGGCGCGUUUAGUCGGCCAAGAAUUCCAACAAGUUGACGCCGAAGUGGGAAGCCCCUUAUCGGGUGAAACGAGUCACUAGGCCCGGCGCUGUCCGCCUUGAGACCGAAGAUGGCAUUCCGGUGAGCAACUCCUGGAACAUCGAGCAUCUUCGUAAGUUUUACCCAUAAGGCGCGGUUGUCGGACCCUGUCCGGCAACCACCUUUCUGUACAAGUCUUGCCGCUGUUGCAUGUAAUCCUUUGUACAGAGCCGGGCGCAGACCCCGUGCACUAGUAAAGUUCAUGUGCACCGCACAUCUUGUCAGUUCCCUUAUGCUAUGAUCCUUUUUUGCAUGUAUUAUCUGACACUUUGUGCAGCACCAGACCCCGGUAAGCGAUAACGAGCCCAAGGCUCCAUAUCAUUGCUUUAUUUCUCUGUCACUUUCUCAAAAGAAGGAAGGUUCCCUCGCCCACAAGGUUUACCGGGGGGGAAGGAGAAGAUAAUGGUGUGGACCAGACCGUUCAAAAAAAAGAGUUUCUUCUUGCCGGGAAGCAGACGACAGAAAAGCUAAGUUGCUAAAGCUUGAGCAACCAGUUUUUCAGUUAUUUUCUUUGAAAGACCGUGCUUUGUAUGGAAAACCUGUGCGCGGAGGAACCGAUUCACAGCUAGCUGCGCCCUUAUUCUGUUUCGGGUCCGCUCAACAACUUAAGUGAGCUGCUAGCGCCCUUACUUUGCUUCGAGUCCGCUCAGCGACUUAAGUGAGCUGCUAGCGCCCUUACUUUGUUUCGAGUCCACUCAACAACUUAAGUGAGCUGCAACUAGUUGCGACAAGGUUGCUUGUCGGUAGCGGCCCCGCCAGCAGGCUGCUGAAGUUCCGCACUCGGCGCUCGCGGCAAGAAUGCCUACACCGACAAGUUUCCCUAAAAAGCGUAGGGCAGGACCAUACAAAGCCAAGAGUCGAGUAAAGGAAGUAACACAGCAAUGUUUUACCUAAGAUAGAGUUAUAUUACAAGAAUAACUUGUCGCACCCCUAAUAAAGUGUUCCCAUGACAUGACUGGCAGCGACAAGAAGAGAAGCAAACGGACGGCCUAAUCUAUGCGAUCGCCGUCAACCCUUUUGACCUCGUUCACCCUGUCGACGAUGGGUGCUACGAGGGCCUUAAGUGCAUCAAGAUCAGCGUCCGCCGGCAGCUUCCUGAGGACGUUGGUGAGGUUGAGGCCCGGAUUGCGGAAGGCCACCUUCACCAGCACCUUCUCCAGAACUCCGGCACAAAUCGAGCGUGACUCGUCGGCCAACUGCUUCGGGAUCCGUUCCCGGAGUUGCUAGAGGGCCACCGCCACGCCUUUGAAGAACAAAGUGAGCUUGGCGCUGGGUUGGAGGUUCUCGUCGGAGGAGUACCCGAAGCUUUCCACUCCCAAUUGCAGCAAUGUCCACGAGGCCCUCCGUCCAGAGUUCCACAGUAUCUCUGAGAAGAUUCUGGGUUUCGGCGGCCCUCGCAAGCAGCGCCUCGUUGGCCUCGAUGUCCUUAUUCAAGUCUGCCUCCCGUUUCCUGGCGCUGUCCAACGUCUCCGUCAAGGUGGCCAGCUUCAGCGUCAGAUCGGCGUUGGAACCCUUGGCAGCGCUCAAUUCCUUGCCCCUCUCGGCGAGCCGGCCCUGCAGUUCACCAUGGGCAAGGGCGUCCUUCUCGCACUCUAGCUUGAGGGCGGCAAGCUCUUCGCCACCAACCUUCAGAUCAGUUUCUAGCUGCGCCACCUUUGCCUCCAAUUCUUUCUUGGCGGCCUCUGCAGUCGCAGCCGCAUCCUUUGCCUCUUGGAGCGUCCCGCCAAGUGCCCGUUCGCGCGCGGCAAGCUCCUCUUCGUGGCUGUCGAGGUUCACUUUCCGCUGAGUCAGCUCGCCUUCUCGCGCGUACAGCUUCUCGCCGGUGAGCCGCUGCUGUUCUUCAGGUUCGGCCUUCUCAAGAAGGAAGGCCUUCCGUUCCUCGACAAGUUGCUCCCGCUCCUCCGCCAAGGCCCGGACAGUUUCUUGGUGAAGACCCCGGAGCUCCUCCGCACGUUUCUCUAUGUCCACGCUCGCCCUCGUGGCAAGCGCUUCCCGGGACUCCAGCUUGACUUGGCGGGCGCGGUAGAGCGCCAGCAGCCUCCGCAGCAGCCGCUCCUCCUCGGGCUCUUCACUGCUGCUUCCCGGCGCGUCGAUGAUCGAUAACCCGGCGGAGGCAAGCACCUCUCCAUCCAGAAUUUCUCCUUCCACCGGCGCCCUGGAGCUCGACGCCCAGGGGAGCUUGAUGAAGAUACCCUCGCCAGCCUUCAGAUAGGCGCCGGGCUGGGGCUCCUCGAAGCCUGAAGCUGCGGCAGCGGCGGAGGGAUCGGCGGUCGGUGCAGCGCUUGACGCUCCUGCGGCCUCCGGGCCGUCAGUGCGAUCGCCAGAUCCCCCGCCAGCUUCCUCGGCGGCAGCCUUGGCGGCCUCUUCGCCGGCGGGCACGUCAGCGCCGGCUCCUUCUUCGGUGGCCGCGGCAUCAUCAGUAUUGCCGCGUGCGUCUUCUUCGCCGACCGCCUCGGUCUCCAUCGGAUCCGUGGAGGGUGGGUCUGACGACCAAAUAAGAAGGAGAAAUCAAACAAGUGUUCGAGAAGAGAAAUCUAGCAGAAGACUACAAGGAAAGUCUCGGGCAAGGAGGGCUACCUGUACUAGGAUCUGCCGUCGUGGCCUCCACCACCGGCGGAUCGUUAGCACUGUCCCUUGCUGGAAACUCCUCCCUUGCCGGAGGCUCCUCCCUUACCGGAGGAUGCUCCCUUGCCGGGGAGUCCGCCCUUGGCGGCGUAGUCGAAGCAGACGACGAGUCGGAGGAGAUCACUACGCCCUCCUGGUCAAGCUGUUCUGCUCCUGCACAAGCAAAACAGAGAUCGGAUGUCAACAAAGGAAAAGAGCAACCACGCGCAUCCAGAAGCAGAAAGUAACCCGUAUGCUUACGCUGGGGGCUGCCCUGCGAAGUGUUGGCUGGGUCCGGCAAGGUAGUCUCGGGCGCACCUCCUGUCGUCGCAGUAGGCUCGUCCUCGAUGACCACCACUUGAGCCUUGGCCCUCUUCGCCGCCCUCUGGGCCAGAGUCCUGAAAAGGAGAGCCCAGGUUGGAUCAGAUCCGAUGCAAGAUAAGAUCAGCAAGUUGAAGAACUACAAGAACAAGCAAGGGAAUCUUACUCUUCUUCAUCUUCCUCAUCGGAGCUGAGCGCGGAGAGGUCGAAGUUCGGCCCACUCCCGGCGCGGCGAGGCGAAGAGGUGGGAUCCCUUGGCCGCUUGGCGGGGACCGCGGCGCCAGCCCGAGACGACCCCGCCCCAGUUGCCUCUGCGAUGGGAGGCGCCCCCGUGGCGACCGUGCUUGCCGCGGUGGAGCGCGUCGUGCAGCGCUGCGGCUGUUGACCAGCUUGCCGCCCUGCUGCAUCCCCGGUCCUACUGAGGCGCCUUCUUGGCUGCACUGGGGGCUGCGUUCCGGGUCCUGCUCUCGGCGAGCUCCCCAGAAGUGGCGGGCCGCCCAUACCCUCGGCGGGCUCGUUCGACUCGGCGUCGGGCACGGCGAGCUCUUCUUCCUCUUUAGGCUGCUCCCGUUCGGCAAUGCUCAUCGCCAACGCCGCGUCCGAUUCCUCCACUGUGAACCCGAAUUCACCCACGGCCGCAGCUGCCGCCGCCUCUUCCGCCCUGGUGGCGAUGCGCUCCAUUUCUUGCUCAGUGGUGUCGCGGGUGAGGAGCUUCUUCUCGUCAGCAUUGACCGCCACCUCCACGAGGCUGUCAAAGAACUGCUGCACGACGUCGCCGACGGGCUCUUGCCAAGUUGGAGCGAUCGCGUGCGAGUCACACAACGGCAUCAUUGCGCAGAUGCGGUCGCCCGAGGAGUUGUUGCACAGAGGAAUGACACCGGCCGGCAACCUGAACCACUCGGGGUGCUGUGGGUCAUGCUUGAAUAUCUCCUUAAGCAUCCCGUCCAAUUCUAGGACGGUGAAUUUGAAGUUAAGGCCUGGGCGCAACCUCAUUAUAUCCGCCGGGCCUCCAAAUUCCUAGGCAGGUCUCCCCCUCGCCUGCAGAGGGGCGAUGCGCCGGCGGAGGAAAUCUGCGCCGACAGCUCCUACAGUCAACCCGGCAAGCCUGAGACGCAAGAUCCGAGUGGUGGCGAUCGUCAGCUUGUCAUCAUCCAUGGACAGAGCGCUCCAGUCAUUGCCGCGCACUGCUGAGGCUUGGCGCAGGGCAGUAAACGGCUGCGGGCUCUCUUCUACAACCCAGCACCAAUCUGCUCUCCACUCGUCCCACUUGCUGCGGAGUUCCCCCUCCAGAUAGGUCUCCUUCUUGCCGGCCCGUGAGAUCCAGGCAAUCCCGCCGGCAAGAGGUUCCCCUCUCUCGACACGAGGCAUAAAGAAAUGGCGGAAGAGAGCUACGUUGGGGUGGACUCCGACAAAGUUUUCGCAUAGAUGGGCGAAAACUGCCAUGGUCAGAACAGCAUUGGGGGUAAAAUCAAGGAGGUGGAGUCCGUAGGUGUUCAUGAUAUCACAGAAGAAGUCAGAGAAUGGCGGGCAGAGCCCGCAGUAGAAGAACACGGCGAAGAAAGGAUAUCCAUUAGCUGGAGCUGCUCGUGAGGCGAUGGCGGAGAGUACCUUUGUGCGCGGAUGUGCCCGCGUCUCCGUCGACCAGAAGAGAUAGUACCACUCCCUCAGCUCCUCCGCGGAGAGCUCGGGGGGGAAGGUGGCCCGCUCCUUCCGCAGCGCCUCAAGUCGCUGCGCUUCGGUCGACUUCACAGCUUUCGCAGUCUCGGCCCUCGUGGCCUUCCCCUUCCCAGGCUUCGGAGGCAUGGCGGAGGCGGUGGGGGAGAUCGAUUGCGCUGGUGGUGGCGGCGGCAACGGGAGCGGAGCGCUGCUCUCUUUCGACUUUGGAAGCGGAGGGGGGCGGCGGAGGCUUCUGAGAUUGCAACGGCGAAUGGCGAAGAUGGAGGAAGUGCCCCUGUUUCCCCUGCUUAUAAAGAGGGACGGGGCGGACGUUUCGACCUCCCAAGUGAACAAACUUCCACGAUCUCUCCCACGACGCCGCGUUUGACGCGUGCCGUUCUGGGCGUGCGCGGUGGGAGCAGAGUUAGAUUCGGCGUGACCUAGGCCGCGCGUGCCCGUGCACUGUUUUGGGCCUGGCCCAACAGCGCUCGGCACCGUGUAUGGCCCAGGCCCGGGGGCUCCUGUCGGUGUACUAGAGUAGGGGUACCCUAUUACCCCGAACUCGUGCACGGGCAGUUGCAGCGCCCCGCGGCAAGGCCUGCCAGGUGACCGCCAGGACCCUCCGUGGUUCCCUUGAAGGCCAUUCAAGAACAAAGUAUUCAAGUCGAGGCCCCGGCAAGAGGAGCUUGUCGGGAAGGCCAACCAAGGCCCCGGCAAGAGGAGCUUGCCGGGAAGAGACGAGACCCCGGCAAGAGGAGCUUGCCGGGAAGGCCACUCAAGACAUACCAAGAAAGCUUGCUGCGAUGCGCCCUUCGUCCCGGCAAGAUCCGGCGAGCGACAAGCUUCUGGACGCGACAAGACGACGGCCGCGGCAAGGAGCUUGCCGCGGGAAACCCCCACUGCGUGCCCGCGCUCCAGCUCACCUGCUAACGUGUCGCUCUGGGACUCUCCCAGAGCGCACGUGGGGGGAGGCCGUGCAGCUAGGGGUACGUGGUGGCAAGCGGAGAUGAAGAGAAGCCCAUCGUGGCAAACGGUGGCACUCCUAACGGUCACCUUUUGCACUGUUUAGGAGACUCAGACAGGCAUUUAAUGCCCUUGUCCCCUGCCAUCAGAGUUAGGUAGGGCACACUGUAUCCACAGUAGAGGUAGCUGCACCUACCCAUCCUUUUCCAUUUUUACCCUUCUUGUCUACGUUGCCCCCUGUCGGUGAUCCCUUGAGUAUAAAAGGAGGCCCAAGCGCAACGUAGAAAGGGUUCCGCAGGUCGGGGAGUUUAGGGACUCGUCUAGCUCGGCUCGUUGAACCCCAAAGACACUCUUACGCUCAGUCUGGCAGCGUCCAUCGCUCCUGAGCAACAAUCCAAUAUANNNNNNNNNNNNNNNNNNNNNNNNNNNNNNNNNNNNNNNNNNNNNNNNNNNNNNNNNNNNNNNNNNNNNNNNNNNNNNNNNNNNNNNNNNNNNNNNNNNNNNNNNNNNNNNNNNNNNNNNNNNNNNNNNNNNNNNNNNNNNNNNNNNNNNNNNNNNNNNNNNNNNNNNNNNNNNNNNNNNNNNNNNNNNNNNNNNNNNNNNNNNNNNNNNNNNNNNNNNNNNNNNNNNNNNNNNNNNNNNNNNNNNNNNNNNNNNNNNNNNNNNNGAUCCGCUCUUUGUGCGCUCUCCGCCCCCCACCGAACCGAAAAGGGGCCCUGUCCCCAUAGGUGCUGGCGGGAAUCAGCAUCGCCCCCGGCAUCUAUCCAUAUCUGUCAUGUUUGAAUAAUAAUUGCCAUGUUGUAAAUAUUUCUAGAAACUAUGGACACCCCCCGAGACGAAGCACAAGAAGCGUUGUUGAGGGACAUAAUCGCACAAGGAAGUGAUGCCGUCUCCUCGCUGAUGUUUCUCAACGACAACGAUGGUCUGGAAGGAGAGGGUGAAGAAGCAGCUGGCUAUGAUUUACAUGGCUCCGAUGACCCAAUGCCGGUGCAAGAAGGAGAGGGUGAAGAAGUAGACCGUGAGGACGGCUCCAGUGAUCACCAAACCGAGUCCGUCCAGGUAUAUAUAUUAGUUAAGCCUGUGCUGAUUAGCUAAUUGAUGCAUUCAUUGUUUUGGUAUGUACACAUAUUAAUUAACUCUCGUCUUUGUUCUUUUUUCUAGCCCUCCGGAUCGAGCACAACUUCGGUAAAGAGACGAGGCCCGAAGAAAAAGUUGAGCUCGGAUGAAAAGUUUGAGAUCAUACAAAUCGCGCGCGACGGCCAACCGAUUGAACCCUACCGGACAAAGAAGGCAUUUGUUGCUCAGUGCGGGGUUCUGGUUAGGGACAAGAUCCCGAUCAGCAUCCAGCAAUGGUAUAAGCCUAAGAAUGAAGACCCUGAGGUGUCUUAUGUCAAUGAGAUGCAGAAAAAGAAUCUUUGGACUAAGCUGAAGUCAAAUUUCACCCUACCGCCGGAGGAUGAUCCGGAGAAGCCAGUUAUAGAGCCAUUAAUCAAGUCUUUUUCUCUGAGGAAGAUGGCAGACCUAUUCAGGAAUUGGAAGAAAGACCUCAAUAGGUAUGUCGAAAAAAAUGAGACACUAGAAUUCAUGGGCAAAUAUGAGAAGAUCAGAGAUGACUGGCCCGCAUUUGUGGCCCACAAGACAUCGGAAAAGAGUAAAAAGAUGUCGGCGACAAACAAGAGAAAUGCUGAGAAGAAGAAGCUUCACCACCGCACGGGGUCAGGUGGCUACCUCGUAGCCCGGCCUAAGUGGGCCAAGGCUGAGAAUGAUCUGCUUGAUAAAGGGAUCGAACCAGAGACAAUGAACUGGCCAGAACGUUGCCGGACUUGGUUCUUUGGGGCCGGCGGAUCCUUGGACCCUAUAACAGGGAAGUGCAUUUGGACGGACGAACAAUUGGACAUACCAGUCAAGAGGCUUCAGCAAUAUAUCGAAGCAGCGCAGCAAGGGACGUUCGUUCCAGACAGGGAGAAGGACGAGCUCACAAUGGCCCUCGGCAAUCCUGAGCACCCUGGACGGACACGAGGCACGCCAGGCUCCGUUUCGUGGAAGGCUGGAUUUCCGGACGCAGGGGGUUACAAAACCCAAGAGAGGAGGAAGAAACUGGAGCAGAGCCAACUGCAGGCGCUGCACGAAAGGGUAAUGGGGCUAGAGGAACGAGAAGCAGAUCGCAACAAACGACCUGCCGAAGCUUCCCCCGAAGCUACCCCGCCAUCUCAGCGGAGAAGCAGCAUGGCUUCCACCGAGCUGCUUCAGCCAGAGCAUGCCUUGACGGCUCCUGCCAGCUAUCCCGUGGAUGCUAUCACGGAUGCUAAAAAUUGCCACCUUAUGGCGCAAUGGAGCAAUUUGAAGGUCAAGGCGGCUGUUGGCUUUGUUUAUCCUACUAAACCCGACUCAACUUUUCACUGUCGGCCGAUUCCAGAAGGAUAUGCUAAGGUGAUGGUCGAUGAAAUAACGGAGGGAUUUGAGGACCUCCGGCUUGACCACCCUACCGGUGAAGGGGAGUAUCGGCUGGGUUCUGCUCUGAAGACUCCAUGCCUAUGGCGGAAGGAUCUCAUCAACCUUCCGAACUGGAUGCCUCCGCCUCCUCCUCCUCCUCCGGCGAGUCAGGGCACUCCGCCUCCUCCACCGCCUCCUCCUCCGACGAGUGACGAUCAGGGCACUCGGCCGGCUCCUUCUCCAGCGUGUGGCGGCACUCCGCCUCCUUCUCCGCCUGCGCCGGCGCGCCCGAGCAGCCAGCCUCCUCCUUCUCCGCCUUGUCAGCAAGGGCGGAAGAGACCCGCCGCCGCUUCGGCUGCUCCGGCGCAUCGCAGUCCUUGUCCUCCGCCUCGUAAGCAAGGAAAGAAGACAUCCGCUCUGUCUACUUUGCCGGCGUCUAGUAGUACAGCCAAAGGCGGGAGGAGAUACAGAUUCGGUCCUUCUCUGAAGACUCCAGAGAAGUUACCGUACGAGAGGAGCGAGGAGCAAAACGCGAAGAUCGCGCAGACCGAAGUGGAUGACUGGUUUCAAGGGUUGAAAGCAAAGAGACAUCCACCUCCGGAGGAGAAGGUAGAUCCGGUGAAAGCGAAGCGCACUCUUGCUGCCCUGACAAAACCACCCAAGUCUCCGCCGAAAGGCAACUAUGAGCGCAUUAUUGGAAAGGCAUUUGCCGAAGCGGAGAGGUCGGGAAGUACUAAAAGUGAUCAAAGGAUGAAAGAACGACGAGCUGGGAAACAAAUUGCCCAGCUCGGCGAACAAGCGAAGCAAUCGUGCCCCCCGCUCAAGGUGCCUGCUAGCGACAUCGUCGAUCCGAGGAUGGUGCCCGGUUAUGGCAAUCCUGCAGAUUACCUGACGAUGUACAUUAUGAUAUCUUGGAGGUGCAGAUACAAAGAUACGAGUACGGGAAGCCUCUCGUCAAAGAUGAAAGUUCUCUAUCAACGAUGAUGCGAAGAUUGCAUGAUUGGUACAUGAAAACCUACAAAGAGUCUGAGGGGAGGAGUACUUUGUAUGUGAGAGUUAAAAAGGAGCAUGACCUCCUUGGAAUUGAACUGUUGCCUAUUCCAUUUGAGGAGUUCUAUCAGCUUUUCAAUCAAUUGGCCAUCGAUAAAGCAACGGUCACCUCCUACUGUCUGUAAGUAGUACUACUUCCGUCAUUAAGUCUCUCUAUAUAACUCAGCCCUUUCAUUGCAUGUAUUUAUAAUUAUCCUCACUAUAUUAUGCAGAUUGAAGAUCGCCGAAUUAAAGAAAAGACAAGUGGGAGAUAUUGGGUUCAUUUACACGUAUCUCAUAGAUGCAACUGAGGUUCAAUAACGUGCCCAAGGAACCGAGGCCAACUUGCUACGAUCGUUGGAAAUAAAUGAACGCAAAGAUAUAAUACUCUUUCCUUACAACUUCAAGUGAGUGUUACUGUCUUGUGGCAUAUUCGGUUUCCUUAUUAGUCCAGGUUAUAGUAAUGUAAUAUUGAUGAGUUAUGCAUGUGUGCGCAACUACCACUAUAUUCUCCUAGAGAUUAAGCUUGAGAAGGGAGUAGUAACUGUCUUAGACUCCAAGCGAAAAGAUCCCAAGGAGUAUGCGGACAUGACUGAAAUGCUCGAGAAGUAAGCUAAAUCGAUCAUUAUCCACCAUAUCAGCAACUUUGUUCAUUUCUGAUAUCAAGUAAUUGUUUUCUUUGUAUGGCAGGGCUUGGAGAAAAUUCACCAAAAAAGCUCCGGGACUACCAAAGAAGCUGCAAUUUAGGCACCCGAAAGUAAGUACUAUAUAGUAGCAUAUUCCAAUCAUCUCCUAGUGAUUCAAGCACUAGUUUCAUCAAUACCAUUUAGCAUGCUUGCUAAUUAUCAGUUUGAUUGACCUCUAUUUCUUGUAAAGUGGUUGUGGCAGGAACAAGGGAAUGAUUUCUGUGGAUACUACAUUUUCGAGUCCAUCCGCCACAUGACCUGUGAGCGGGGCUACUCCGACAAACAAUAUGAAGUGCGUAAAUAACAAUAUUCACAAUUUUAUUUUAUUAUCAUCAUUUGUGUUGAGUUUCAUUCAUUCAUAUAUAUAUAUAUGUAUUGACCCCCUUCUUAAAAUUAGAUGUUUCGGAUGCGGGAUGAACUCCUAGCACCAGAUCGCAUGCGAGCAAUUCAAGAGGAAUUGGCGGCAUUCUUUCUUGACCACGUGAUCGCUGAAGACGGAGAAUACUAUGUGGACCACGCGUCCGUAUUUUAGGAGAUUAUAUAUUUGUAAAAGAUAAUUAUUGUAUAUAUGUAGCCGGUAGUGUCGGAUAGAUAUACGAGAACUUGUUGUUCGACCAAUCUCUCGGAGAAGGAGAGGUGGUCGAUAUCACUUCUCUCUGUAUGCAUAUAUGUUCAUGACGAUCUUCUGUUUGCUUACUAGCUAGCUAGCGUGUCUAGCUAGUCCUCUCACGGAUAAAAGAGAGGACACUUCUCUCUAUUAAUUAGCUAGCUAUAGCACAAUAUAUGAAACACCUAAAUUAACCCCCCAAAACCCCCCAAACCCCCCCCCCUUUUAAAAAAAACAAAAACCCCAGCCACAGAAAUGCUGACGCGUGGAUGCCUAUUGGUCCCGGUUGGUGCCACCAACCGGGACCAAAGGCCCUCCUGCCUGGGCUCAGCGGACAGGCCACGUGGAGGCCCAUCUGUCCCGGUUCUGGAUUGAACCGGGACUAAAGGGUCAGGGCAUUAGUACCGACCCUUUAGUCCCGGUUCAUGAACCGGGACUAAAGGCCCUCACCAAUGGGGACUGUAGGCCCUUUUUCUACUAGUGGUAGUUCCUGAACUUGGUGACACGCAGCGUGGGUGCGAGGCGGAGCACGGACGUUGGCAGCGAGCAAAUAUGCCCAUCAUCAAAAGUGAGCUCCUCGAGCUGAUCUAGGGCGGAGGAUCAAAACCAGUCGUCAUGCUUGGCUCGGUCCUUGCCGUUGGAACGGAACUUGUCAAUUCUAAGGCCUCUGGUUGGGCCAAGAUGACUGCCGAGGAUCUUGGAGAACACAUCCAGGAUUUUGCGACAGCCAUGGUAGAGCUCAUGGGUGUCGAUGAGGUCGAGAGGGGUUGAGUUCCAUAGGGGGCGCCACCGCCGAGAAAGGAUGGUUGUCUGCGCCCCAUAUUUUAUUCGGAGGAGGGAGAUGAUGAUUGUCAACAUAUCAUCGGGGAGGUUGCUGAUGAAGUCUAGGCCUGCUGGAGUCACUUGCGGUUCUUGCUCGCCCCGCCUCUACUUGUUGGCAGCCUCGUUCUCCACCUCCAGAGUCUCCUUGUCAGCAGCGUUUUCUGAUAGAAGUUGGAGUACAGGGAAUAUUUAGUUAAAACAGAGCAAUAGAUAAGUGUAUUGGUAACUAGAAGUUAUUAGGUAGGAAUAUAGUAAGAAAAUGGAAUAACAAUUGGUUGAUUAAAUACUACACAAUUCAUUUUAUAUUGCUGGGUAAGUCUACAUGCAGAUACUUGAAAAGAAAACUUACUUCGAACAAAGUCUGGACGGAUGAUAUCGUCGGGGAAGUUAGCAUAUAUCUCAUGACCAUGCCCUUUUAUGUGAAGUGCAAUUAUAGUGCCAGCUUUCAGUACAUAAAACUUAGAAGUUUCUUUCCAAAGGCCAGUGCCAAAAUAGGAUUCACCACGUUCAUCAAGUCUUAUAGUAGCAACGAUUGUAAAUCCAUGGUUUGUGUUCAGUAUGACAUCCCUGCAAUGUUGAUUUAUGUAAAGGGAAAGAUUGUGCACUACAGAUUCUGUUGCAUAGCAAGGGAUGCGCUAUAGAAAAUGGUAAGAUUGUUAUAAAAAAUAUGGUAACAUCACUAGUGCAGAACCGGGCAAUAGCACCGGUUCGUAAGGCCCUUUAGUGCCGGUUCCAUAACCGGCACUAAAGUGUGGGCACUAAAGCCCCCCCCCCUUUAGUACCGGUUCAGCACGAAUCGGUGCUAAAGGGCAACCACGUGGCACGAGCCAGCUCCGGGGGCCUGGAGCCCUUUAGUACCGGUCGGUAAGACCAACCGGUACUAUAAGGUUUGGGGGGUUUUUAGUUUUAUGAUUUCUUUUUCAUUUAAUUUUGUGUUUCCAUUUUAAUUCUUUUUCGUUUGCUGGUAUUUUACGAUACUACACAUUGUACACGUUAUGCAUAUAUAUAUAUAUAGAAUUUCUAGUAGAACCAAUCAUCGAGUUCAACAUGAUUGUCAUGAUAUAAGCAUUCAUAUAUAACACCACAAAAGCAAAUCACUUAAGUUCAGAACAAAGAACACGAACAUGAAAGGACAAGUACUAAUUAAGAGCAGCAUGAAGAACUAGCUAAAUCACUCUUGCUAGCUACUCUCUCUCUGGUAAAAUAGCAUAGAACAUGUAUAGCUCUCCUGAUUGAUCAUACUAGAGCAUCCCGAUGAACCUGUCUCCUAAUCAUGGGCUGCGCUUCUCAUUGCUGCCCCCUAGUACUUCUCUGCGAUCAUUAACAAUUUUCCUCCAUUCUUUCACUAUUAAGCAUUCAUCGCUUCUAGAAAUCUUGAAUGCAUCGGGAGUCCCUGUUGAAGAACAUCGUAUAGUACUUAAUUAAUAUACUUAGCAAUGAAAGUUUAGCAAAAAAAAUAUGUAUGCAAAAUAUGCACUGAGGACAAAUAGUAAAUAUCUUACCAUCAUUCCUAAACAGAUGUGACCGUAGUUCAAUACCAUCACUAUUGGUCGCACGUUUUGAGUGCUAACAUUUCUAAGUGCAGGAAGAAAAUUUGUCUUGACAGUAUGAAGAUCCUCAAGCCAUGAAACAUAAUGACUUAUUUCCUCGCAGUUUAGUUUAGCUCCGGGACAGUAGUAGGUCCUGUCUACCAAGCGCCGGACAUGUUUGGUUGAAUGGAGAUAAGCUGUCAAUAGAAAUUAGUUGUCAGUUAUUUUUGAAUAAGCAAUAUCAAAGACAAAAAUAUAGAUGAGAAGAACUCACAUAAUGGUAGAACUGGAGGCGUCUGCACAUCGACCCAUAUGUCUCUAUUACCUUCAAUAUCAUCUUCCGGACGAAUAUCAAAGGUGAUAACCAUACCAGGCUCAAAUGCAUAAGCCUUGCAUAGUGCUUGCCAAGUUUUGCAUUCAAAAUAUGUGUACGUGUGUGUAUUGUAUACUUUGACGUUGAAAGUAUAACCGUCAUGCUCAGUUUUCAGGUAAGCUCUCUUUACCUUCAUAGUUUCCAUAUCUUUGAAACCUAUCUUAUCCAAGACAAAAAUUCUUGCAUGGCACGGGAUGCGCUAGUAGAAUAGUGAAAAUUAAAAAUUAUAAGUCAGGCAAAUGAAGCAUAUAUAAGUCAUUCUUAAUUACGAAAACAGACUUUGUCGUUGUGACUUACUGUAUCGAAUUCGAAAGUCUCAUCCAGCUUGAUGCUGAAUCGCCUACCAUCAACAAGAAAAUUUCUAUCGCACUGGCCGCGCUGGUCUUCACAGUAAUCGCACAUAAUGAAAUUUUUUCCGUCGUCAGACGACAUUUCCUAUGCUCAUAUUAGGCGAAACAUUAAUCACUUACUAAUUCAAUUAAUUCAACUACUUCUAGUAAUUCAACUAUGCAUUUACUAAAAUAAACUAGUUAUAUUAAUUCAAACUAAGCAUAUACUAAAAUAAAGUAGUUCUAUAUAUUAAUUCAACUAGUUCAACUAAACAUUUACUAAAAAUAAACUAGUUCUCUAUAUAUAUUAAUUCAACUAGUUCAACUAAACAUUUACUAAAAAUAAACUAGUUAUAUUAAUUCAACUAGUUCAAACUAAGCAUAUANNNNNNNNNNNNNNNNNNNNNNNNNNNNNNNNNNNNNNNNNNNNNNNNNNNNNNNNNNNNNNNNNNNNNNNNNNNNNNNNNNNNNNNNNNNNNNNNNNNNNNNNNNNNNNNNNNNNNNNNNNNNNNNNNNNNNNNNNNNNNNNNNNNNNNNNNNNNNNNNNNNNNNNNNNNNNNNNNNNNNNNNNNNNNNNNNNNNNNNNNNNNNNNNNNNNNNNNNNNNNNNNNNNNNNNNNNNNNNNNNNNNNNNNNNNNNNNNNNNNNNNNNNNNNNNNNNNNNNNNNNNNNNNNNNNNNNNNNNNNNNNNNNNNNNNNNNNNNNNNNNNNNNNNNNNNNNNNNNNNNNNNNNNNNNNNNNNNNNNNNNNNNNNNNNNNNNNNNNNNNNNNNNNNNNNNNNNNNNNNNNNNNNNNNNNNNNNNNNNNNNNNNNNNNNNNNNNNNNNNNNNNNNNNNNNNNNNNNNNNNNNNNNNNNNNNNNNNNNNNNNNNNNNNNNNNNNNNNNNNNNNNNNNNNNNNNNNNNNNNNNNNNNNNNNNNNNNNNNNNNNNNNNNNNNNNNNNNNNNNNNNNNNNNNNNNNNNNNNNNNNNNNNNNNNNNNNNNNNNNNNNNNNNNNNNNNNNNNNNNNNNNNNNNNNNNNNNNNNNNNNNNNNNNNNNNNNNNNNNNNNNNNNNNNNNNNNNNNNNNNNNNNNNNNNNNNNNNNNNNNNNNNNNNNNNNNNNNNNNNNNNNNNNNNNNNNNNNNNNNNNNNNNNNNNNNNNNNNNNNNNNNNNNNNNNNNNNNNNNNNNNNNNNNNNNNNNNNNNNNNNNNNNNNNNNNNNNNNNNNNNNNNNNNNNNNNNNNNNNNNNNNNNNNNNNNNNNNNNNNNNNNNNNNNNNNNNNNNNNNNNNNNNNNNNNNNNNNNNNNNNNNNNNNNNGGGCGGCGAGGGCGACAGCAAGGCGGCGCGGCGGCGUCGGCGUCGUCGAGAUCGAGACUCACGCGCGCGAGAAAAGUGGAACGAACUGGCGACGAUAACUGAAUUUUCAUAAGUGCCAUAUAUAUAGGAUGGGCCUUUAGUACCGGUUGGUGCCUCCAACUGGUACUAAAGGUCAAUUUUGGCCAGCCCAAGCAGCGGGAAACGUGGACCUUUCGUACCGGUUGGUGGCUCCAACCGGUACUAAAGGGCAACACAUUAGUACCGGUUGGUACCUCCAACCGGUACUAAUACCCGUGCGCUGCCACCCACAUUUAUUUUUGAGUAAUUUUUUAUAUAGUUAUUUCUUUUCUGCUUUAUUUUUUUCUUCUAUUUAUUUCUAAAUAGUUUUUUUGCUGUAUUUAGUUUCUUCGUGAAGUUUUUUGCUUAAUAUAAUUUAUUUUCUUCUACUUAUUUUUGAGUAAUUUGUUUAUAUAGUUAUUCCUUUUCUGCUUUAUUUUUUCUUCUAUUUAUUUCUGAAUAGUAUUUAUUUUCUUCUAUUUAUUUUUGAGUAAUUUGUUUAUAUAGUUAUUUCUUUUCUGCUGUAUUCAGUUUCUUUGUGUAUAUUUUUGCUUUAUAUAAUUUUUUUCCUUUUCUGCAUUAUUUAUUCUCUUCUAUUUAUUUCUGAGUAGUUUCCUCUUCUUCUUCUUCUUCUUCUUCUUCUUCUUCUUCUUCCUACUCCUCCUCCUCCUCUUCUUCUUCUUCUUCUUCUUCCNNNNNNNNNNNNNNNNNNNNNNNNNNNNNNNNNNNNNNNNNNNNNNNNNNNNNNNNNNNNNNNNNNNNNNNNNNNNNNNNNNNNNNNNNNNNNNNNNNNNCUCCUCUUCCUCUUCUUCUUCCUCCUUCUCCUACUCUUGUUCUUCUUCUUCUUGUUCUUCUUCUUCUUCUUCUUCUUCUUCUUCUUCUUCUUCUCCUUCUUCUUGCUCCUCCUCUUCUUCUUCUUCUUCUUAUUCUUCUUCUCCUUCUCCUUCUUCUUCUUCUUCUUCUUCUUCUUCCUACUCCUCCUCUUUUCUGCUAUAUUUUCUUCUUUUCCGCAAAACUUGAUGGUCAAAGUCUGGAGUUAUAACUUAAAAAAAAAGAAAUGUCGACGUGCAAUUAGUUUUUGCCAUAACAGAAGAAGUCCGGAGUUGUAAUAAGUUAUUAAAAAUAAAAAAGAGGUGCAAUGCUCGUUAAUUUGCUUCAAGCCAUUCGGAAUAGUGUAAACUGCACUGCGCAUAGCUCCAUGUAGUCUACCGUAUUCCUGAAGGCUUGAAGCUAAGCAACGUGAGCAUUGAGCCUCUUGUUCAUCGUCUCUGCACUUAGGGCUUAUAAACCGCUCCUAGUCCCUCUCACUUCGCGAGGUGGGACUAAAAAACAGCUUCCCAUAACCUCAUAAACCCGAAUACUUCGAAAGAGAUUGUCCAGUUUGUAAACGAAGUGCAUCCAGUUUUUGCCGUAACCCUCUCUACUUUUUUGAACAUGAUAUGUGGGUGAAAUGAUGAUACCAUGCCAAGUUUCAACUUUUUCAGAGUUCAUUUGUAGUGCUUUUCAAUUUCCAGGUCAUUUAGUUCUCAAAACAAAUCAUUAAAUGCAUGAAAAAUAGCAAAUGAAGGCAUAAACGGUUGAAAGUUGAUGGCGUCGCUUUGAAUGGUGCAUACUGAACGCAAAAAAUAUAAGAGCAUUUAGAUCAUGAUCUUAUAUUUCUUUGCAGUCUAAAUUAUCAAUAUGAUCUUAUAACAUCAAAAAUACUUUGAUCAUCAAUGAUCUUUGUGUGUACAAUCUGAAUUGUCAAUAUGAGUCAUCAACGAUUUAUAAACCGAUGAAGACUCAUAUUGCGGCCACAAAUUCUACACAUGGAGUUCAAUGAAGACCAAGUGCUUGUGAUAGUUUGAGAAAUAACAUAUUUAAGGUGGUAAAAGGCUUGUUAGGGGAGCGAGGUGGGACUAAAACAGAUUGCAAUAACCUCAUUAGUACCGGUUCGUGGGACGAACCAGCACUAAAUGGUGAUGGUGGGGCCAUAGACUGACCGCAGGCUGACACAGCCUCUUUAGUACCGGUUCGUGGCAUGAACCGGUACUAAAGGUUCGCCAUGAACCGGUGCUAUUGAUCGCCGCCACGAACCCGCACUAGUGUACACAUUAGUGUCGGCUGAAAUUCCAACCGGCACUAUUAUGCUUCACAUUUGACCCUUUUUCUACUAGUGCAUGCAAAUAUGGGCCCAAAUUGAAAGAACUAUACAGCAGUUGAAAUCGAAGGACAAAAAUCUAUAAUUAAACAUAUAGGGUAAACAUGAUGUCACGGAAAUAUAAGAGUAAUCAAAAGAACAAUACAUCAUUAAUUUGCCUAAUAUAGAAAGAAGAGGGGGAAAUCCCCUUUGACAUAUAUGGUGCAUGUGGCACCUUUUAUCCAAAUGUAGCAAUAUUUAGAAUAUGUUCAGGAAAGUAGGCCACACCAACCAAUUUAAUGUGAGAUUGAACAUACUGUGCGCAUCCUGACGUCAUUUGGUACGGUGAGAUGGAAUGAAUGGUGGAGGACGCAAGGCCCUGAUGUGUCCGCGCACUAUACACUCUAUGAAUGGAAGAAAUGUUGGGGAACGUAGUAAUUUAAAAAAAAAUCCUACGUACACGCGAGAUCAUGGUGAUGGCAUAGCAAAGAGAGGAGGAGUGUAUCUUCAUACCCUUGAAGAUCGCCAAGCGGAAGCGUUUAUCAACGCGGUUGAUGUAGUCGUACGUCUUCACAAUCCGACCGAUCCAAGUACCGAACGCACGGCACCUCCGAGUUCUGCACACGUUCGGCUCGAUGACAUCCUCGCCUUCUCGAUCCAGCAAGACGGGCGAAGUAGUAGAUGAGUUCCGGCAGCACGACGGCGUGGUGACGGUGUUGGUGAAGAACAAUCUCCGCAGGGCUUCACCUAAGCACUACGGAAACUAUGACGGAGGAUAAACUAGAGGGGACGGGGUUGCCGGCACACGGCUUGGUGUUUCUUGAUGUGUCUUUGGUGCUAGCCCUGCCCCUCUAUUUAUAUGUUGAGCCUUGGGGUCGAAACUUGGAGUAAAAGCCUCCACAAAGUCGGUUUCACCCGAAAGGCAAGAGUCCUUCUCGGACUCCAGGGCCAGACUCCAGGGUUCCCGGCGUCUGGACCCAGACGCCAGGGACCAUGGCGUCUGGCCCCUGGACUUCGCAAAACUUCCUUUUGCACUUUCCAAAAACCUUGUGGGCUUUCCCCUUUGGCCCAAAUAACGUGUUCUCGUUCCCAAACAUUUCGGGAAACAUCCGGAACCCCUUCCGGUGAAUUCCGGAACUCUUCCGAAGAUCAAACACUAUUAUCCCAUAUAUCAAACUUUAUCUCUGGACCAUUCCGGAGUUCCUCGUCAUGUCCAUGAUCUUAUCCGUGACUCCGAACAACAUUCGGUUACCAACAUACAUAACUCAUAUAAUACUAUAUCGUCAACGAAACGUUAAGCGUGCGGACCCUACGGGUUCGAGAACUAUGUAGACAUGACCUAGAACUUGUUUCCGGUCAAUAACCAAUAGUGGGACCUGGAUGCCCAUAUUGGCUCCCACAUAUUCUACGAAGAUCUUUAUCGGUCAAACCGCAUAACAACAUACGUUGUUCCCUUUGUCAUCGGUAUGUUACUUGCCUGAGAUUCGAUCGUCGGUAUCCAAUACCUAGUUAAAUCUCGUUACCAGCAAGUCUCUUUACUCGUUACGUAAUGCAUCAUUCCGUAACUAACUCAUUAGUUACACUGCUUGCAAGGCUUAUAGUGAUGUGCAUUACCGAGAGGGCCCAGAGAUACCUCUCCGACAAUCGGAGUGACAAAACCUAAUCUCGAAAUACGCCUACCCAACAUGUACCUUCGGAGACCCCUGUAGUACUCCUUUAUAAUCACCCAGUUACGUUGUGACAUUUGCUAGUACCCAAAGUGUUUCUCCGGUAAAUGGGAGUUGCAUAAUCUCAUAGUUAUAGGAACAUGUAUAAGUCAUGAAGAAAGCAAUAGCAACAUACUAAACGAUCAAGUGCUAAGCUAACGGAAUGGGUCAAGUCAAUCACAUCAUUCUCCUAAUGAUGUGAUCCCAUUAAUCAAAUGACAACUCAUGUCUAUGGUUAGGAAACUUAAACUUCUUUGAUUAACGAGCUAGUCAAGUAGAGGCAUACUAGUGAUACUAUGUUUGUCUAUGUAUUGACACAUGUAUUAUGUUUCCGGUUAAUACAAUUCUAGCAUGAAUAAUAAACAUUUAUCAUGAAAUAAGGAAAUAAAUAAUAACUUUAUUAUUGCCUCUAGGGCAUAUUUCCUUCAGUCUCCCACUUGCACUAGAGUCAAUAAUCUAGUUCACAUCGCCAUGUGAUUUAACACCAAUAUUCAUAUCUGUAUAUGAUUAACACCCAUAGUUCACAUCAUCAUGUGACCAACACCCAAAGGGUUUACUAGAGUCAAUAAUCUAGUUCACAUCGCUAUGUGAUUAACACCCAAAGAGUACUAAGGUGUGAUCAUGUUUUGCUCGUGAGAGAAGCUUAGUCAACGGGUUUGUCACAUUCAGAGCCAUAUGUACUUUGCAAAUAUUCUAUGUCUACAAUGCUCCGCGCAGAGCUACUCUAGCUAAUUGCUUCCACUUUCAAUAUGUAUCCAGAUUGAGACUUAGAGUCAUCUGGAUCGGUGUGAAAGCUUGCACCGAUGUAACUCUUUACGACGUGCUCUUUUAUCACCUCCAUAAUCGAGAAAUAUUUCCUUAAUCCUCACUAAGGAUAUUCUUGACCGCUGUCCAAUGAUCUACUAUUAGAUCAAAAUUGUAUUCAUUUGCCAAACUCAGAGCAAGGUAUACAAUAGGUCUGGUACACAGCAUAGCAUACUUUAUAGAACCUAUGACUGAGGCAUAGGGAAUGACUUUUCAUUCUCUUUUCUAUUUUCUGCCAUGGUCGGGUCUCGAGUCUUACUCAACUUCACACCUUUGCAUCACAGGCAAGAACUCCUUCUUUGACUGUUCUAUUUUGAACUAUUUCAAAAAUUUAUCAAGGUAUGUACUUAUUGAAAAAAUCUUAUCAAGUGUCUUGAUCUAUCUAUAUAGAUCUUGAUGCUCAAUGUGUAAGCAGCUUCACCGAGGUCUUUCUUUGAAAAACUCCUGUCAAACACUCAUUUAUGCUUUGCAGAAUAAUUCUACAUUAUUUCCGGUCAACAAUAUGUCAUUCACAUAUACUUAUCAGAAAUGUUGUAGUGCUCCCACUCACUUUCUUGUAAAUACAGGCCUUUCCAAAAGUCUGUAUAAAACCAUAUGCUUUGAUCAACUCAUCAAAGCGUAUAUUCCAACUCCGAGAUGCUUGCAUCAGUCCAGUGAUGGAUUGUUGGAGCUUGCACACUUUGUUAGCAUCUUUAGGAUUGAAAAAACCUUCUGGUUGCAUCAUAUACAACUCUUCUUUAAUAAAUCCAUUAAGGAAUGCAGUUUUGACAUCCAUUUGCCAGAUUUCAUAAAAUGUGGCAAUUGCUAACAUGAUUCGGACAGACUUAAGCAUCGAUACGAGUGAGAAAAUCUCAUUGUAUUCAACAUCUUGAACUUGUCGAAAAACUUUUUUGUGACAAGUCGAGCUUUGUAGAUAGUAACACUACUAUCAACGUCCAUCUUCUUCCUGAAGAUCCAUUUAUUUUCUAUGGCUUGCCGAUCAUCAGGCAAGUCCACCAAAGUCCACACUUUGUUCUCAUACAUGGAUCCUAUCUCAGAUUUCAUGGCCUCCAGCCAGUUCGCGGAAUCUGGGCUCAUCAUCGCUUCCUCAUAGUUCGUAGGUUUAUCAUGGUCUAGUAACAUGACUUUCAGAACAGGAUUACCGUACCACUCUGGUGCGGACCGUACUCUGGAAGACCUACGAGGUUCUGUAGUAACUUGAUCUGAAGUUUCAUGAUCAUCAUCAUUAGCUUCCUCACUAAUUGGUGUAGGAAUCACUGGAACUGAUUUCCGUGAUGAACUACUUUCCAAUUCGGGAGAAGGUACAAAUUACCUUAUCAAGCUCUACUUUCCUCCCACUCACUUCUUUCGAGAGAAACUCCUUCUCUAGAAAGGAUCCAUUUUUAGCAACGAAUAUCUUGCCUUCGGAUCUGUGAUAGAAGGUGUACCCAAUAGUUUCCUUUGGGUAUUCUAUGAAGACGCAUUUCUCUGAUUUGGGUUUGAGCUUAUCAGGAUGAAACUUUUCACAUAAGCAUCGCAGCCCCAAACUUUAAGAAACGAAAACUUGGGUUUCUUGCUAAACCACAGUUCAUUUGGUGUCGUCUCAACGGAUUUAGAUGGUGCCCUAUUAAACGUGAAUGCAGCUGUCUCUAAUGCAUAACCCCAAAACAAUAAUGGUAAAUCAAUAAGAGACAUCAUAGAUCGCACCAUAUCCAAUAAAGUGCGGUUACGACGUUCGGACACACCAUAAUGUUGUGGUGUUCCAGGUGGCGUGAGCUGUGAAACUAUCUCACAUUGUUUUAAUUUGAAGACCAAAUUCGUAACUCAAAUAUUCGUCUCUACGAUCAGAUCGUAGAAACUUUAUUUUCUUGUUACGAUGAUUUUUCCACUUCACUCUGAAAUUCUUUGAACCUUUGAACUAUUUCAGACUUAUGUUUCAUCAAGUAGAUAUACCCAUAUCUGCUCAAAUCAUCUUGUGAAGGUCAGAAAGUAACGAUACUUGCCACGAGCAUCAAUACUCAUUGGUCUGCAUACAUCAGUAUGUAUUAUUUCCAACAAGUUUGUUGCUCGUUCCAUUGUUCCAAAGAACGGAGUUUUAGUCAUCCUGCCCAAUAGGCACGGUUCGCAAGCAUCAAAUGAUUCAUAACCAAGUGAUUCCGAAAAUCCAUCUUUAUGGAGUUUCUUCAUGCGCUUUACACCGAUAUGACCAAAACGGCAGUGCCACUAAUAAGUUGCACUAUCAUUAUUAACUUUGCAUCUUUUGGCAUCAACAUUAUGAAUAUGUGUAUCACUACGAUCGAUAUCCAACAAACUAUUUUCAUUGGGUGUAUUACCAUCGAAGGUUUUAUUCAUGUAAACAGAAUAACAAUUAUUCUUUGACUUUAAAUGAAUAAUCGUAUCACAAUAAACAUGAUCAAAUCAUAUUCAUGCUCAACGCAAACGCCAAAUAACAUUUAUUUAGGUUUAACACUAAUCCCGAAAGUAUAGGGAGUGUGCGAUGAUGAUCAUAUCAAUCUUGGAACCACUUCCAACACUCAUCGUCACUUCCCCUUCAACUAGUCUCUGUUUAUAUAACUCCUGUUUCGAGUUACUAAUCUUAGCAACUGAACAAGUAUCAAAUACUCAGGGGCUACUAUAAACACUAGUAAGGCACACAUCAAUAACCUGUAUAUCAAAUAUACCCUUGUUCACUUUGCCAUCCUUCUUAUCCACCAAAUAUUCAGGGCAUUUCCGCUUCCAGUGACCAUUUCCUUUGCAGUGUAAGCACUCAGUUUCAGGCUUUGGUCCAGCUUUGGGCUUCUUCGCGGGAGUGACAACUUGCUUGUCAUUCUUCUUAAAGUUCCCUUUCUUUCCCUUUGCCCUUCUUUUGAAACUAGUGUUCUUGUCAAUCAUCAACACUUGAUGCUCUUUCUUGAUUUCUACCUUCGUUGAUUUCAACAUGACGAAGAGCUUGGGAAUCACUUUCGUCAUCCCUUGCACAUUAUAGUUCAUCACGAAGUUCUACUAACUUGGUGAUGGUGACUAGAGAAUUCUUUCAAUCACUAUUUUAUCUGGAAGAUUAACUCCCACUUGAUUCAAGCGAUUGUAGUACCCAGACAAUCUGAGCACAUGCUCACUAGUUGAGCGAUUCUCCUCCAUAUUUUAGCUAUAGAACUUGUUGGAGACUUCAUAUCUCUCAACUCGGGUAUUUGCUUGAAAUAUUAACUUCAAUUCCUGGAACAUCUCAUAUGGUCCAUGACGUUCAAAACGUCUUUGAAGUCCCGAUUCUAAGCCAUAAAGCAUGGUGCACAAAACUAUCAAGUAGUCAUCAUAUUGAGCUAGUCAAACGUUCAUAACGUCUGCAUAUGCUCCUGCAAUAGGUUUGUCACCUAGCGGUGCAUCAAGGACAUAAUUCUUCUGCGCAGCAAUGAGGAUAAACCUCAGAUCACGGAUCCAAUCCGCAUCAUUGCUACUAACAUCUUUCAACACAGUUUUCUCUAGGAACAUAUCAAAAUAAACAUAUGAAAGCAACAACGUGAGCUAUUGAUCUACAACAUAAUUUGCAAAAUACUACCAGGACUAAGUUCAUGAUAAAUUUAAGUUCAGUUAAUCAUAUUACUUAAGAACUCCCACUUAGACAGACAUCUCUCUAGUCAUCUAAGUGAUCACGUGAUCCAAAUCAACUAAACCAUGUCCGAUCAUCACGUGAGAUGGAGUAGUUUCAAUGGUGAACAUCACUAUGUUGAUCAUAUCUACUAUAUGAUUCACGCUCAACCUUUCGGUCUCCGUGUUCCGAGGCCAUAUCUGUAUAUGCGAGGCUCGUCAAGUUUAACCUGAGUAUUCCGCGUGUGCAACUGUUUUUGCACCCGUUGUAUUUGAAGGUAGAGCCUAUCACACCCGAUCAUCACGUGGUGUCUCAGCACGAAGAACUUUCGCAAUGGUGCAUACUCAGGGAGAACACUUCUUGAUUAUUAGUGAGAGAUCAUCUUAAAAUGCUACCGUCAAUCAAAGCAAGAUAAGAUGCAUAAAGGAUAAACAUCACAUGCAAUCAAUAUAAGUGAUAUGAUAUGGCCAUCGUCAUCUUGUGCUUGUGAUCUCCAUCUUCGAAGCACCGUCGUGAUCACCAUCGUCACCGGCGCGACACCUUGAUCUCCAUCGUAGCAUCGUUGUCAUUACGCCAUCUAUUGCUUCUACGACUGUCGCUACCGCUUAGAGAUAAAGUAAAGCAAUUACAGGGCGUUUGCAUUUCAUACAAUAAAGCGACAACCAUAUGGCUCCAGCCAGUUGCCGAUAACUUCGGUUACAAAACAUGAUCAUCUGAUACAAUAAAAUAUAGCAUCACGUCUUGACCAUAUCACAUCACAACAUGCCCUGCAAAAAAAAGUUAGACGUCCUCUACUUUGUUGUUGCAAAUUUUAUGUGGCUGCUACGGGCUUAGCAAGAACCGUUCUUACCUACGCAUCAAAACCACAACGAUAGUUCGUCAAGUUAAUGAUGUUUUAACCUUCGCAAGGACCGGGCGUAGCCACACUCGAUUAAGCUAAAGUGAGAGAGACAGACACCCGCCGGCCACCUUUAAGCACGAGUGCUCGUAACGGUGAAACCAGUCUCGCGUAAGCGUACGCGUAAUGUCGGUCCGGGCCGCUUCAUCUCACAAUACCGCCGAACCAAAGUAUGACAUGCUGGUAAGCAGUAUGACUUGUAUCGCCCACAACUCACUUGUGUUCUACUCAUGCAUAUGACAUCUACGCAUAAAACCUAGGCUCUGAUACCACUGUUGGGGAACGUAGUAAUUUCAAAAAAAAUCCUACAUACACGCGAGAUCAUGGUGAUGGCAUAGCAACGAGAGGAGGAGUGUAUCUUCAUACCCUUGAAGAUCGCCAAGCGGAAGCGUUUAUCAACGCGGUUGAUGUAGUCGUACGUCUUCACGAUCCGACCAAUCCAAGUACCGAACGCACGGCACCUCUGAGUUCUGCACACGUUCAGCUUGAUGACGUCCUCGCCUUCUCGAUCCAGCAAGACGGGCGAAGUAGUAGAUGAGUUUCGGCAGCACGACGGCGUGGUGACGGUGUUGGUGAAGAACAAUCUCCGCAGGGCUUCGCCUAAGCACUACGGAAACUAUGACGGAGGAUAAACUAGAGGGGACGGGGUUGCCGGCACACGGCUUGGUGUUUCUUGAUGUGUCUUUGGUGCUAUCCCUGCCCCUCUAUUUAUAUGUUGAGCCUUGGGGUCGAAACUUGGAGUAAAAGCCUCCACAAAGUCGGUUUCACCCGAAAGGCAAGAGUCCUUCUCGGACUCCAGGGCCAGACGCCAGGGUUCCCGGCGUCUGGACCCAGACGCCAGGGACCCUGGCGUCUGGCCCCUGGACUCCGCAAAACUUCCUUUUGCGCUUUCCAAAAACCUUGUCGGCUUUCCCCUUUGGCCCAAAUAACGUGUUCUCGUUCCCAAACAUUUCGGGAAACAUCCGGAACCCCUUCCGGUGAAUUUCGGAACUCUUCCGGAGAUCAAACACUAUUAUCCCAUAUAUCAAACUUUAUCUCCGGACCAUUCCGGAGUUCCUCGUCAUGUCCAUGAUCUUAUCCGUGACUCCGAACAACAUUCGGUUACCAACAUACAUAACUCAUAUAAUAUUAUAUCGUCAAUGAAACGUUAAGCGUGCGGACCCUACGGGUUCGAGAACUAUGUAGACAUGACCUAGAACUGUUUCCGGCCAAUAACCAAUAGCGGAACCUGGAUGCUCAUAUUGGCUCCCAGAUAUUCUACAAAGAUCUUUAUCAGUCAAACCGCAUAACAACAUACGUUGUUCCCUUUGUCAUCGGUAUGUUACUUGCCCAAGAUUCGAUCGUCGGUAUCCAAUACCUAGUUCAAUCUCAUUACCGGCAAGUCUCUUUACUCGUUACGUAAUGCAUCAUUCCAUAACCAACUCAUUGGCCACAUUUCUUGCAAGGGUUAUAGUGAUGUGCAUUACCGAGAGGGCCCAGAGAUACCUCUCCGACAAUCGGAGUGACAAAACCUAAUCUCGAAAUACGCCUACCCAACAUGUACCUUCGGAGACACCUGUAGUACUCCUUUAUAAUCACCCAGUUACGUUGUGACGUUUGGUAGUACCCAAAGUGUUCCUCCGGUAAACGGGAGUUGCAUAAUCUCAUAGUUACAGGAACAUGUAUAAGUCAUGAAGAAAGCAAUAGCAACAUACUAAACGAUCAAGUGCUAAGCUAACAGAAUGGGUCAAGUCAAUCACAUCAUUCUCCUAAUGAUGUGAUCCCAUUAAUCAAAUGACAACUCAUGUCUAUGGUUAGGAAACUUAACCUUCUUUGAUUAACGAGCUAGUCAAGUAGAGGCAUACUAGUGACACUAUGUUUGUCUAUGUAUUCACACAUGUAUUAUGUUUCCGGUUAAUACAAUUCUAGCAUGAAUAAUAAACAUUUAUCAUGAAGUAAGGAAAUAAAUAAUAACUUUAUUAUUGCCUCUAGGGCAUAUUUCCUUCAAGAAAAUCCUCAAAUCAGCUCAAAUGAAAAUGAAUUCAUGGCGAUUUCGGCCGGGUGAUUAAAAGAGCGAGAUGAACUGGAUAAGAGAUGAGAUAAUAUCUCAUCAAAUUAGUUACCUUGUUGUCCAUAAGAAAGAACCCUCAGUACGGCAGAUUCCCCAACCGAGCGGAGCUGGGUCGACCGCGAGGAGCGUCGAGAAAGUCGAUGGCGAUAGGCGGCGGCAAGCGGAUGUGGCGAAAUGCGGUGGGCUUUGCCGGCAGCCUGGCGGCGGUGGCAGGCGUCGAGCUAAGUGGUUACCGCCGCAAUAGGCGGUGCCAUGCAUAUGCGUGAAGGAGCUUGUGCAGGUGUGAAUGGCGACCGGAGGGGGUGGCGGGUGGGGUGUGGGUUUCAUUUUUUCUUUUUUGAAUUUGGUGAUGAGGGUUUUCUGUCCCACAAAGAAUUUUGGAGGUGACGGUUUGCUAGAGCCAACCGUGUGUGACGCAAGAGGCAAAAUGAAACUCAUUGCACACGGUUCCAAUUUCGGGAACCGUGUGUGAUUGACGUACUACCUCAGUCCUGGUUUAUUGGUCCCCUUUGUAAUUUUUACCAAAUUUUGAAGAAAUAUUUAACUAAGAAAUGUUUAUGCAUGUCACUACAAAUUAUAUCAUUGAACACUAUGCUCAAAUACCCAUCCAACGAUAUAAUUUUUGCUGACCUGCACUAACAUUUCGUCAGUUAAAUCUUGAUGAAAAUUUAACACAAAUUACAAAGGGGACCAAUAAACCAAGACGGAGGUAGAUUCCAUCAACCGAACUGAUUGCAUCCAUAUCCCACAGUUAGACAUAAGUAAAAUAGAUUAAACAUACUUAGACAUAGAUAAUAAGCGUACACAUACACAAGCAUAGUUCAACCAUAAGUACACAGUUCAACCGUCAUUAAGUCUACUCAAGCGUACAUAGUUCGAUCCCACGUCUCAUCUCACAUGCCGGCACGAUCCUGAAGCUUCUCCAGGAACUCGGCAUACACGCAGUGUGUCACCCUACGAGAAUACUUCUGCUUGAAGGAGCCAACGGUCCGUCCUCUUGCAUGCGCCAGAACACUUAGAUACACGUCAUGAAGCUUAUGGUUGCAAAAUUGGCAUCUAUAUCCAUCGUUCCACAUCCUAAUACGCCUAUUAUGCUUUCACGCAUAAAGCUCCCUCAGGAUUUGCCUCUUGUACCUCCUCUGGCCAUCUUCAUCGUCGCUGUCCACAUCGUCAGACAGCACAUAUACAAAUAGUAAAACAAAUUUGGCAUCAAAUAAAUGUUUACAUGUCGUGAAGUAGGAUUAGGAAUUUAUGGCUAUUUAUUUAUACCUAUCCUGAGAUUAUGGUUCAAUUUUUGAACACAGUCGUCUAUGUACAGACCAAUCUUGAAGAAAAUAAUGGCACAAACAUAUGUAGGUCAUUCAAAAUCAAUUGUUAUGUCCUCGCUAGGAAUUAUUAACACGAACACUAACCCUAGUCGGAUUACUAGCAGAAAUUAUUUGCACAGAUGAAACAACUAAUCACUUAUCACUUGUACCAUUCAAACAAUUAAUACACUACACGGAUCUAACGAAACUUACUCAGAUUUCAUGGAUUGGAAGAACAUAACCAUAGGAUUUCUAUUCUAAAAGGGGGGCACAGGAGUAACCAGACAAACCCUAGGAUCUAUUCGACACAUAAAUGGGUAUAGAUGACUAACCAGUUGUCCGUCGUCGUCGAAGUCAUCGCUGGAGUAGUCGUCAGAGUCAUCGCUGGGGUCGUCGCCUGAGUCGUCACUAGAGUCGGUUUGGGACUCCGCCUCCGGCUGUGGAAGCUCGACGCCGUCGACGACAUCAGGGUGCAGCAAUAACUCGCCGCUGGUGACAGCAACCUCUAUCUUCAUCUCCAGGCCGUGCUCCGUGUUUCUGCAGCCCCGGCAUCGCCACUCCCUCUGGAGGGUGCUUUGGUGGCAUCCUCAUACACUGACGGCUUUGAGGACUGAGAACGGCAUCGAGGAUGCAAGCGGAGAGAGAGGAUUGUGUGUGCGGCGAGGAAGGGGGGUGGCCGCUCGGGCGCACCAUUAAUAUGGAGUGGUGGGAGAGAGGCAGGUGGCGGUCAAACCGCUGGCUCGCCUCUCGGUGAGCCUGCGCACCGGACUGCUGGCAUGUCUACCAUCGUUUCACAUAGCUACUCGCACGCCUCCCGAUGACACUGCGUAGCGAGCACACCUCCGUCAAUUCAAACACCUACACGCAUGCCUCACGGUCUGCAUGCGCGAUGGACUGCUCGCAUGCGUCCCAUCAACUCACGCCUGCUCGCACGGCACACGGGUCGCGUGGCGGCACACAUAUUGUUUUUCUUUUUGGAUGAUUAAUGCCGCUGCUUUAUUGCUUAACCGAAGCAUGGCACGUAUCCAUUGUUGGUCUAACGCUCAUGGUUCGAAUAAAUAAUUCGUUUGGGAUAUUGGUUCCCAAUUAUUAAUAAUCUACCAUUUGUAAUUAGAUAAAGAUUACAUCGAAACUGGUCUCAAAUUUGACAAAAAUAAAGUACAAUGCCACUUUGUAUUGGUGUCCAUAUGACAACACGAUAAGUUUCAUGAACUUAAAAUAAGCUUUGGAUGUACUAGAAUUUAAAAUUCAAGAUUCUCAAUGUUUAAAAUUUCUUGCACGGGGAGUAAAACAUGCACCCAAUGAGACACACGUGUUUUUGCAAUCCAUUUAGGUGCACUACCACAUGUGCAUGUAGCUCAAAUUUGAUUUUUGCACAUUAUACCUAUAGAAAAUCGAUCAAUUAAUGUACUAAAAUGUCUUAAUGAUCUUUGUUUAUUUUCAAAAUUAAAAUGUCCCUCCAUAGGUAACAUAUGUUCACCGCGGGAUAAUUUAACAUGCAUCGUAGUUGCGGUGGAUUCGCGGUGUGUGUGGGUGUGUGCGUCUAGGGGGUGUGGCGGGUGGCUCGCAGUACAUGUUGUGAGUCACCGUGUGGGUUGGCCAUUUUCUUAGGCAGGUGCCACAUCAGAGUCGUGAAUUUGUUAUUUAAAACAUUACACAACCCUUUCAUACAUACAUGUUUUGGCCACAUGCAGUCGAUGGUUGUCCUAUACGACACUCGAUACUCGCGUCUGACGCUUUUUAUGGGCCCGCGAGGUCGUCGUCCAUCACUUUGACAAACAGCCGACAGUGAGGUUAAUUUGACCAGCACGGUAGAAUCUUUUUUAUUUGUGUUAUCAUGGUAUAUAGUACGCAUCGAAGAGGUGGGAGGGGACAAGCAUAUAUACUAUAUGUACGCGUCCGUGAACAAGUACACCUCACUUAGUGUCAGGACUUUUUGGUUUCCGAGGCACGUGCCACAUCAAAGUUAUGAAAUUGGCUAUUCAAACAUCACACAACACCUCUUUGGCCCACAUGCAUGCAGGCGAUGGUUAUCCUAGCUAGGACACUCACAUGUGACGCUUCCAUCUGUUGGCCCACGAGGCCAUCAUCAAUGCGUGCAUCACUUUAACCUAUGUCGGGAGAGGUUAAUUAAUUUCACCAUUGAGGAGGAUUCUUUUGGGAUUGUAUUAUGGUAGGAGCAUAUAGUAUGCGUCGAAGAGGGGGAAGGGGACCAUCAUAUGCAGUACACUUAAUGAACCUCGCUCUGUGUGGGGGGUUUACGGUUUUUUAGGCAUGUGGCACAUCAAAGUUGUGCAUUUUGGGUAUUCAACAUAUGUUCAUGCAAAGUGAUGGUGGUUGUCCUCUCGCACCCAGUUAAGAGGUUAUCAGCGAUAUUGAUGAUUUCCAUAUGUGGGCCCGCUUGGUCCAUCACAACUUUUUGCCUAACAAUGAGGGAGGUUAAUUUGACUUAGGAGGGAUUAUUUUUUUGCUUAUAAUACGAUAUAUAUAUAUAGGUCAUGCUCUGGGAUGACAUGAUAUAGUUUGAGCACACACACACAAAUGCAUAUGUAUGCAUGAAUCCCUCCCAUCAAGUCGAAGUGGCUAUAACUACGAGACGUCAUGAACCGGUCUUGCUCUGUGUGAGGGUUGUAUGAUUUUCGACGCACGCGCCACAACAAUGUUGUGAAAUGGUAUUCAAACAUGCAUGUAAUGGUUGUCUUUGAACAGUACACUCCCUCGCGUGGUUAUCGGCGACAAGCCUAUAUAUUCGUGGGCCCACGUGGACAUCCAUGACCACCUUGGCCGACAACAAGAUUGGUUGCCAUGGAGGAUUCUUUCUUUGGUUCGUGUUAUCAUAGUAUAGGUCAUGGUGAGAUUCAGACCUAGUUAUGUUUGAGCGCAUAUACUAUGCAUGCAUGCAUGCAUGCAUGAAUCCCCGUCGUCGACUUGAAGUGUGGUGUAACAUACACAUGCAUCGUCAACCUAAUAACCCUCACUCAUGUGGGGAUUUCUAGUUCGAAAUCACGAUGCCACAUCAAAGUCGUUUCAUUGUGUAUUUAAAAACACACAUCUUCAUACAUAUAUAUGUUUGGGUCACAUGCAUGCAGUGGUUGUCUUCGGGGACUAGCUACUUGCGUGAUUAUUGGCGAGCUAGCCCAUCUCCGGGGUCGCAUGGACGGCCAUCACUUUGACCAGCAAAAAGAGAGAGGUUGUACGACCAAGGUGCAUUAUUUUUGGUCCAUUUUACGAUCCAUCUCGGUGAGAUGCCUCUCUGGCCUGCCGACUGAAAGUGUGUGUGUGGGGGGGGCUGCUACUUCUCACUUUGCUAGGUGAACCUCGGUUGGGGGGUGCAUGCAUUCAUAGCUUAGGAUUCCUUUCGUGCCGACCCNNNNNNNNNNNNNNNNNNNNNNNNNNNNNNNNNNNNNNNNNNNNNNNNNNNNNNNNNNNNNNNNNNNNNNNNNNNNNNNNNNNNNNNNNNNNNNNNNNNNNNNNNNNNNNNNNNNNNNNNNNNNNNNNNNNNNNNNNNNNNNNNNNNNNNNNNNNNNNNNNNCCGAUGGGGGGGGCUUCUAGCUACUUCGCACUUUGCUAGGUGAACCUCGGUUGGGGGGGCAUGCAUUCGUAGCUUAGGAUUCCCUUCGUGCCGACACGAGGGGGGUCUGCUAGCUACUUUGCACUUUGCUAGGUGAACCUCGGUGGGGGGGCAUGCAUUCAUAGCUUAGGAUUCCCUUCGUGCCGACACAGGGGGGGCAAGCAAUACCACGCGCUUUGCGAGAUAGGUGCCACAUCGAAGUUGCAUUUGGUAUUUGAACAUCAAGCCACCCUUUUUAGACAUAAAUUUGGUCCACAUGCAAGCGUGUUCGUGUUCUGACCCUCUCCCGCGUCAUUUUUCGCCAAAUUUAUGUACAUUAGACAAGUCGGAUGACGCAACAGACACGGUUCACUCAAACUAAUUGUGUGCCAAGCCGGUGCCCCUGUCACGCACACAUCCGCACAGUACAUUGGGCUCCACGAGGGCAUGAGGAUUCCCCUCUCAAAAAUAUCUACCCGCUGCACCUUUUUUCUAUUUGAUAGCACACGGUUAUUAUGUUUCUUGUUCCCAAUCCCGCAUGCAUCCCUCAAAAAUAUCUUCCCGCCUCGAGGGUUUUUCUGUUUCAUAACACACGUUUAUUAUCUCCGGACUGUGUGCGAUGCACCAUCAUAAAAAAAAUUAAUAGCCCCGGCAUUUCACUACCGCGUUUCACUCCCGUAGUAAAAUUUUCAAUACCCGCGUCAUUUCCUCAAACACACCCCCGCCCCCCUCCACACACACACGCACACACANNNNNNNNNNNNNNNNNNNNNNNNNNNNNNNNNNNNNNNNNNNNNNNNNNNNNNNNNNNNNNNNNNNNNNNNNNNNNNNNNNNNNNNNNNNNNNNNNNNNNNNNNNNNNNNNNNNNNNNNNNNNNNNNNNNNNNNNNNNNNNNNNNNNNNNNNNNNNNNNNNNNNNNNNNNNNNNNNNNNNNNNNNNNNNNNNNNNNNNNNNNNNNNNNNNNNNNNNNNNNNNNNNNNNNNNNNNNNNNNNNNNNNNNNNNNNNNNNNNNNNNNNNNNNNNNNNNNNNNNNNNNNNNNNNNNNNNNNNNNNNNNNNNNNNNNNNNNNNNNNNNNNNNNNNNNNNNNNNNNNNNNNNNNNNNNNNNNNNNNNNNNNNNNCACACACACACACACACACACCAAAACCUCCUCGGGCGCACACACACACACCCUCUCCCUUGCUCGAAACCCUACCAAGAUCCCCGCCCGCCGCCGCAAGGCCUCCGUUGUCAACAUCUGUCGGUUUGCCCGUGCAGCUUACCGAUCGAUCUCCACACCCAGGCCGCCCUGAGUUUCUUAGAUGACGCCUGCCAAACACCCCCUUUCCCACAUAUCCCCAUCCCCAUCCCCCACACUAGAGCGUCGCAACCUAAGCCCAGCUAUGCUUCCCGUGGAGCUCGACGAGCGACUGGCCCAAAAGAGGUGUAUCGCGGUCUCUUCUCCCGACUCGCCAAGGAAGUUGGCAACCAUUACUGGCUACAGGCACUCAAGCAGCGGGCUAGAGUAUGCGGGUAUGUCUCGGAUGCUGGCUACGACAUCGAGGUCAUCGACAGCGACGACCUGAGGCGGACUAUGUCACAGGUUAAGUGGCCCACCCCCAACCCAUCGGGUUGAACCGUCGUCCAUCUUAUCCAUGGCCCCGCCGCUGAUCUCCUCUGGCUCGCUGUCAACAUUUUGCCAUCCUACAUUGCCAUCGAGCCCCUUUUGUCAUUACUGAAGGACACGUUCUGCGACGCAGUCUUGGGAUCCAUAGCUUCCAAGUCAGACCUCAUCGACGACGAUCACAAGGAGGGCACCCUCUCUGGCUCUUCCAAGGGAAAAGAGCUCGUCUGCUCUUCCAAGGGGAAAGAGCCCGUCUGUGACAACAGGGAGGGCACCCUACAACCGUGCUCUUCCAAGGGGAAGGAGCCCAUCUACGACAACAUGGAGCGCAUCUAGGGUCCGUGCUCUUUCCACGGGAACGAGCCCAUCUGGGACAAGUGAGGAAACCCAUGAUUUGUUUUUCCGUGCCUCUUCACAGGGGAAACUCAUGAUUUGUUUUGUCCAGUCCCUUUUGUAGUGUAGUGAGAAUAUGUCCAGCUUUAAUUGCUAUAUUUGGUUAUUUGCAGUGUGCCUUGUUUAUUUCAGUUGUUCACAAUGUGAUGCUCUAUGUGCAAUUAUUUAAUGUGCAGUACAUUUCAUCAAUCUAGUUUUAAACAUACCGAUAGGAAUCCAUAUAUUUGGUUGUUGUUAAGCCUGUUAUAGCUAGCAUAUGCCUCUUCUAAAGUUUUUUGAUUGUUCGGUUGUUUGUAGUUAGCAUAUGUCCAGUUUCAAAUGCUAUCUUUCAUUGUUCGUAGUAUGCCUUGUUUAUUCCAGUUAUUCCCAAUGUGAUGUUCUAUAUGUGCAAGUAUGAGCUGUGCAGUUCAAUUUCAUCAGUACCAGUUUCAACAAUACCACUAUGAAUGACUAGAUUUGGUUGUUCCAUCUUGUAGUUAACACACCUUUCUUUUUUUAUUUAACAAUAACUAGUGUACUUAAACCGGCACAAUACCAGUUUGAAUGACUAUGUUUGCUUGUUGUUAAAUGUGAUGCCUGGAUAAUUAAGCUACAGUAAUCCUCUGCUAAUGAUGCCAUGUCACCAUGAUUACUGUUGAUAAACUUGUGUGGGUUCGAGACUGGUUCAAAUUUCAAAUUCAAAUUAAAGUCAAAAAUAAAAGUUUUCAAAUACAGAAACUAAAAUGUACAAUCUGUGGCAAAUAUUCCAUAAGUAGUUAUGGUGGUGAACCAACAUUUUUGUAAAGUGUUUUACUGCACUAAAAUUCAAUAAACCCGUUCAAAGAAUAUAAUAGAAGGAAAAUCUUCCCCCCUCACCCUGGGCCGCUUGGCCACCAGAUCCGCCAGGUCGGCCCAGCCGGCCAACCAUGUCCCCCCGGUCACUUCCCCCUUCCUCCCUGUUCCUUGGACUCGGCCGCUAGAGGGCGCUCCCGCCCACGGUCGGCACCACACCACCUCGUCGACGACGCGGGAGGCGAUAAGGCCUCCACCCAUGCCUCCCCUCGAGAUAUUUUCUCCCCUCCCCACUUGCCCUCGCGCUUCCCCUCAUCCUCUCUCUUCCUCUCCACUACGCUCCCAUCUCCCCUCGAGAUCCAUGGCGUUGAGUGUGCCCGUGUCCGUGCCGCCAAGCUGACCGCGACCAUCGAGCCCCUUCAACCACGCCAAGCUAUCCACCCGCUACGCCUCCGUCAUCUUCCCUUCCCCGUCGAGUCACACGGCACAGGACGGCCCCGUGACGCCGCCCCCAACCUCGACUUCCUCCUCGAGCUCCGACGGCCACCGCAUCGAUUCACGCCACCUCGAGCGCCUCCGGCUUCCCCGAGACCUCCCUGACGCCCGCUGUGGGCUCACCAUGCUCAUAAGCUUCUUCCCCUCCCUCUCUCGCUCGGCAUCGCCGUUGCUUUGUCGUCGUAGGAGCGCCACCGCAAGGCUCGUCGUUCUCGGCGAAGCCGUGAACCCCAACACCUCCUGCGAACCCCCUGGAUGCGCACGACUACGGGAUCCAACCUCAUCCGCCCUCUGUCGCCCGCGCCCAUGCUUAUCGCAGCCCACCCUAGUAGGAGCUCUGCUACUGCGUGCUCGCCCGCGCCUGCCUCUUCCCCGCGUCCGCUCGCCGGCCUUCGCCCGCGCGGCCCCUGGCCACCGGCGCCGGCGCUCGCGCUCCUCCCUCGCUAUCCACUGUCGCCGACAUGGCACUACCCGGUGCCCGCCCCGGGUCGCUGCCAUCGGGCCCCAGGCUCUAGUUGACUGGUCAACUUGCCUAGUUGACCAGCUGACUGGGCAGUUAACUAGGUCAACAUGGCCCAACCUGUCAGCCUCUGGAGCACCCGUGGGUGCACUGCACCGGGUGCGCCCAGUUUUUAGCUGGUGAAUUUUUGAAAUAAAAAUAAAUAAGAAAAAUUGAGAAUAUGUUUAAAUACUUUAGAAAUUCAUAGAAAUUAAUCCGUAGCUCGGAUGGAAAAGUUUUAUACAUGAAAGUUGCUCAGAAUGGCGGGAUUCGGUGGUCCGUUUGUCCGCCACACGUCCCUAGCAUAGCGAACAUGCAACCUUUCCACUCCGGUUCAUCUGUCUGACAGACGUCCGGAACCGGGAAAACUUUCCCGGAUGUUUUCCCCCUUCGCUAGUAUCGCCUAGAGCUGCGUUAGAACACCUCUAGCCCCGCUUUGCAUAUAUUUGCGUGUAUUUACUGUUUCUUCCCCCUCUUCUUCUCCGAUUGACCUCGAGACCAUUGUUGAUGCCCGUGUGAUCGACUACGUCGACGACGACCCUCCUUCCUGUCUGAGCAACCAGGAAAGCCCCCCCUUUGAUCAUCCUGAUAUCGCCCAUUCCAUUAUCUCAUGCUUGCAUUAGAUUUUGCUAAUGUUAUUGUUUGCUCCUAUUCUGAUGCAUAGCCUGCUUUUGUAACUUGCUCAUCGUUACCUACCUGUUUAUCCUAAACUGCUUAGUAUAGGUUGGUUAGUGAUCCAUAAGUGACCCCCAGUACUUGUCCUUGUUGCCCCUGCUUCAUCAUCGACGACUCGAUCAGCGUGAUCAACGACUAGAGCCUGACACCUCACAUCACAUCACGCCCUUUUGUUGCUCAACUCUGCAGAGCUACUAUCGAGUGUCGAGGGUGAUCCCUCAUAACGCACUCCUGAUGAUAAUUCUGUAGUGUAGCUAUUCGGUCAUGGCCAUCGAGGGUGAUUUCCUCUUUCACCAUUCCCGAUACGGCUCUGUCGUUCAACACCUCAAGUGUGAACCUCGAGGGUGGUCCCUCUUACGUUCACCUUGAUGAUUACAUUGAGUGGAAUCCUCCUGUUGGGGAACGUAGUAAUUUCAAAAAAAUUCCUACGCACACGCAAGAUCAUGGUGAUGCAUAGCAAUGAGAGGGGAGAGUAAUGUCCACGUACCCUCGUAGACCGUAAGCGGAAGCAUUAUGACAACGCAGUUGAUGUAGUCGUACGUCUUCGCGAUCCGAUCGAUCCAAGUACUGAACGUACGACACCUCCGAGUUCAGCACACGUUCAGCUUGAUGACGAUCCCCGGACUCCGAUCCAGCAAAGUGUCGGGGAUGAGUUCCGUCAGCACGACGGCGUGGUGACGAUGAUGAUGUUCUACCGGCGCAGGGCUUCGCCUAAACUCCGCGAUGAUAUGACCGAGGUGGAAUAUGGUGGAGGGGGGCACCGCACAUGGCUAAGGAACGAUCACGUAGAUCAACUUGUGUGUCAUGGGGUGCCCCCCUGCCCCCGUAUAUAAAGGAGCCAAGGGGGAGGGGGUGGCCGGCCAAGGAGGGGUGCGCCAAGGGGAGUCCUACUCCCACCGGGAGUAGGACUCCUUACCUAGUCCAACUAGGAGAAGGGGGGAAAGGAGGGGAGUGGAGAAGGAAGGGAGAGGGGGGCCGCGCCCCAAACCCCUUGUCCAAUUCGGACUGGGCUUGGGAGGGGGGCGCGCCACCUCCUGGCUCCUUCCCACUAAGGCCCGUUAAGGCCCAAUACUCUUCCCCGUAUUCCCGUAAUUCCCCGGUACUCUGAAAAAUACCCGAAUCACUCGGAACCUUUCCGAUGUCCGAAUAUAGUCGUCCAAUAUAUCGAUCUUUACCUCUCGACCAUUUCGAGACUCCUCGUCAUGUCCCCGAGCUCAUCCGGGACUCCGAACUCCUUCGGUACAUCAAAACAUAUAAACUCAUAAUAAAACUGUCAUCGUAACUUUAAGCGUGCGGACCCUACGGGUUCGAGAACUAUGUAGACAUGACCUACAAUUGUUUCCGGUCAAUAACCAAUAGCGGAACCUGGAUGCUCAUAUUGGCUCCCAGAUAUUCUACAAAGAUCUUUAUCAGUCAAACCGCAUAACAACAUACGUUGUUCCCUUUGUCAUCGGUAUGUUACUUGCCCAAGAUUCGAUCGUCGGUAUCCAAUACCUAGUUCAAUCUCAUUACCGGCAAGUCUCUUUACUCGUUACGUAAUGCAUCAUUCCGUAACCAACUCAUUGGCCACAUUACUUGCAAGGCUUAUAGUGAUGUGCAUUACCGAGAGGGCCCAGAGAUACCUCUCCGACAAUCGGAGUGACAAAUCCUAAUCUCGAAAUUCGCCAACCCAACAUGUACCUUCGGAGACACCUGUAGAGCUCCUUUAUAAUCACCCAGUUACGUUGUGACGUUUGGUAGCACACAAAGUGUUCCUCCGGUAAACGGGAGUUGCAUAAUCUCAUAGUCAUAGGAACAUGUAUAAGUCAUGAAGAAAUCAAUAGCAACAUACUAAAUGAUCAAGUGCUAAGCUAACGGAAUGGGUCAAGUCAAUCACAUCAUUCUCCUAAUGAUGUGAUCCCGGUAAUCAAAUGACAACUAUUUUGUCCAUGGCUAGGAAACUUAACCAUCUUUGAUUCAUGAGCUAGUCAAGAAGAGGCAUACUAGUGACACUAUGUUUGUCUAUGUAUUCACACAUGUAUUAUGUUUCCGGUUAAUACAAUUCUAGCAUGAAUAAUAAACAUUUAUCAUGAAAUAAGGAAAUAAAUAAUAACUUUAUUAUUGCCUCUAGGGCAUAUUUCCUUUAGUCUCCCACUUGCACUAGAGUCAAUAAUCUAGUUCACAUCACCAUGUGAUUUAACACAAAUAUUCACAUAUGUAUGUGAUUAAUACCCAUAGUUCACAUCGUCAUGUGAUCAACACCCAAAGGGUUUACUAGAGUCAAUAAUCUAGUUCACAUCGCUAUGUGAUUAACACCCAAAGAGUACUAAGGUAUGCUCAUGUUUUGCUUGUGAGAGAAGCUUACUCAACGGGUCUGUCACAUUCAGAGCCGUAUGUAUUUUGCAAAUAUUCUAUGUCUACAAUGCUCUGCACGAAGCUACUCUAGCUAAUUGCUCCCACUUUCAAUAUGUAUCCAGAUUGAGACUUAGAGUCAUCUGGAUCAGUGUAAAAGUUUGCACCGAUGUAACUUUUACGACGAACUCUUUUAUCACCUCCAUAAUCGAGAAACAUCUCAUUAGUCCUCACUAAGGAUAUUCUUGACCGAUGUCCAGUGAUCUACUAUUAGAUCAAAAUUGUAUUCCUUUGCCAAACACAGAGCAAGGUAUACAAUAGGUCUGGUUCACAGCAUAGCAUACUUUAUAGAACCUAUGACUGAGGCAUAGGGAAUGAGUUUUGAUUCUCUUUCUAUUUUCUGCCAUAGUCGGGUUUUGAGUCUUACUCAACUUCACACCUUGCAACACAGGCAAGAACUCUUUCUUUGACUGUUCCAUUUUGAACUACUUCAAAAAAUUUAUCAAGGUAUGUACUCAUUGAAAAACUUAUCAAGCGUCUUGAUCUAUCUAUAUAGAUCUAGAUGCUCAAUGUGUAAGCAGCUUCACCGAGGUCUUUCUUUGAAAAACUCCUUUCAAACACUCCUUUAUGCUUUCCAGAAAAUUCUACAUCAUUUCCAAUUAACAAUAUGUCAUUCACAUAUACUUAUCAGAAAUGUUGUAGUGCUCCCACUCACUUUCUUAUAAAUACAGUUCUUUCCAAAAGUCUGUAUAAAACCAUAUGCUUUGAUCAACUCAUCAAAGCGUAUAUUCCAACUCCGAGAUGCUUGCACACUUUGUUAGCAUCUUUAGGAUUGACAAAAACUUUCUGGUUGCAUCAUAUACAACUCUUCUUUAUUCCAUUAAGGAAUGCAGUUUUUGACAUCCAUUUGCCAGAUUUCAUAAAAUGUGGCAAUUGCUAACAUGAUUCAGACAGACUUAAGCUUCAUACGAGUGAGAAAAUAUCCUCGUAUUCAACACCUUGAACUUGUUGAAAACAUUUCGCAACAAGUCGAGCUUAGUAGAUAGUAACACUACUAUUAGUGUCCGUCUUCCUCUUGAAGAUCCAUUUAUUUAACAUGGCUUGCUUGAUCAUUGAGCAAGUCAAUCAAAGUCCAUACUUUGUUCUCAUACAUGGAUCAUAUCUCAGAUUUUAUGGCCUCAAGCCAUUUCAUGGAAUCUGGGCUCAUCAUCGCUUCCUCAUAGUUCAUAGCUUCAUCAUGGUCUAGUAACAUGACUUCCAGAACAUGAUUACUGUACCACUCUAGUGCGGAUCUUACUCUGGAAGACCUACGAGGUUUGGCAGCAACUUGAUCUGAAGUUUCAUGAUCAUCAUCAUUAACUUCCUCACUAAUUGGUGUAGUAAUCACUGGAACUGAUUUCUGUGAUGAACUACUUUCCAAUAAGGGAGAAGGUACAAUUACCUCAUCAAGUUCUACUUUCCUCCCACUCACUUGUUUCGAGAGAAACUUCUUCUCUAGAAAGGAUACAUCUUAGCAACGAAUAACUUGCCUUCGGAUCUGUGAUAGAAGGUGUACCCAAUAGUUACCUUUGGGUAUUCUAUGAAGACGCACUUCUCCGAUUUGGGUUCGAGCUUAUCAGGUUGAAAAUUUUUCACAUAAGCAUCGCAGCCCCAAACUUUAAGAAACGAAAACUUUGGUUUCAUGCCAAACCACAGUUCAUAAGGCGUCGUCUCGACGGAUUUUGAUGGUGCCCUAUUUAAAGUGAAUGCAGUUGUCUCUAAUGCAUAACCCCAAAACGAUAGUGGUAAAUCGGUAAGAGACAUCAUAGAUUGCACUAUAUCCAAUAAAGUACUGUUAUGACGUUCGGACACACCAUUAAGCUGUGGUGUUCCCGGUGGCAUGAGUUUGUGAAACUAUUCCACAUUGUUUUAAUUGAAGACCAAACUCGUAACUCAAAUAUUUGUCUCCGCGAUCAAAUUGCAGAAACUUUAUUUUCUUAUUACGAUGAUUCUCCACUUCACUCUGAAAUUCUUUGAACUUUUCAAAUGUUUCAGACUUGUGCUUCAUUAAGUAGAUAUAUUCAUAUCUGCUCAAUUCAUCUUGUGAAGGUCAGAAAAUAACGAUACUUGCCACGAGCCUUAACACUCAUCAGAUCGCAUACAUCGGUAUGUAUUAUUUCCAAUAAGUCAGUAGCUCGUUCCAUUGUUCCGGAGAACGGAGUUUUAGUCAUCUUGACCAAAAGGCACAGUUCGCAAGCAUCAAAUGAUUCAUAACCAAGUGAUUCCGAAAAUCCAUCUUUAUGGAGUUUCUUCAUGCGCUUUACACCGAUAUGACCCAAACGGCAGUGCCACAAAUAAGUUGCACUAUCAUUAUUAACUUUGCAUCUUUUGGCAUCAAUAUUAUGAAUAUGUGUAUCACUACGAUCGAGAUCCAACAAACUAUUUUCAUUGGGUGUAUGACCAUCGAAGGUUUUAUUCAUGUAAACAGAACAACAAUUAUUCUUUGACUUUAAAUGAAUAACCGUAUCGCAAUAAACAUGAUCAAAUCAUAUUCAUGUUCAACGCAAAUGCCAAAUAACAUUUAUUUAGGUUUAACACUAAUCCCAAAAGUAUAGGGAGUGUGCGAUGAUGAUCGUAUCAGUCUUGGAACCACUUCCAACACACAUCGUCACUUCACCCUCAACUAGUUUCUGUUUAUUCUGUAACUCCUGUUUCGAGUUACUAAUCUUAGCAACCGAACAAGUAUCAAAUACACAGGGGUUACUAUAAACACUAGUAAGGUACACAUCAAUAACCUGUAUAUCAAAUAUACCCUUGUUCAGUUUGCCAUCCUUCUUAUCGACCAAAUAUUCAGGGUAUUUCCGUUUCCAGUGACCAUUUCCUUUGCAGUGUAAGCACUCAGUUUCAGGCUUUGGUUCAGCUUUGGGAUUCUUCGUGGGAGUGACAACUUGCUUGUCAUUCUAGUUGAAGUUCCCUUUCUUUCCCUUUGCCCUUUUCUUGAAACUAGUGGUCUUGUCAAUCAUCAACACUUGAUGCUCUUUUCUUGAUUUCUAACUUCGUCGAUUUCAGCAUCAUGAGAGCUCGGGAAUUGUUUUCGUCAUCCCUUACAUCAUAGUUCAACACGAAGUUCCAGUAACUUGGUAAUGGUGACUAGAGAACUCUGUCAAUCACUAUCUUAUCUGGAAGAUUAACUUCCACUUGAUUCAAGCGAUUGUAGUACUCAGACAAUCUAAGUACUUGCUCACUAGUUGAGCAAUUCUCCUCCAUCUUUUAGCCAUAGAACUUGUUGGAGACUUCAUAUCUCUCAAGUCGGGUAUUUGCUUGAAAUAUUAACUUCAACUCCUGGAACAUCUCAUAUGGUCCAUGACGUUCAAAACGUCUUUGAAGUCCCGAUUCUAAGCCAUUAAGCAUGGUGCACUAAACUAUCAAGUAAUCAUCAUAUUGAGCUAGCCAAACGUUCAUAAUGUCUGCAUCUGCUCCUGCAAUAGGUCUGUCACCUAGCGGUGCAUUAAGGACAUAAUUCUUCUGUGCGGCAAUGAGGAUAAACCUCAGAUCACGGAUCCAAUCCGCAUCAUUGCUACUAACAUCUUUCAACACAAUUUUCUCUAGGAACAUAUCAAAAUAAACAUAUGAAAGCAACAACGCAAGCUAUUGAUCUACAACAUAAUUUGCAAAAUACUACCAGGUACUAAGUUCAUGAUAAAUUUAAGUUCAAUUAAUCAUAUUACUUAAGAACUCUCACUUAGACAGACAUCUCUCUAGUCAUCUAAGUGACGUGAUCCAAAUCAACUAAACCUUGUCCGAUCAUCACGUGAGAUGGAGUAGUUUCAAUGGUGAACAUCACUAUGUUGAUCAUAUCUACGAUAUGAUUCACGUUCGACCUUUCGGUCUCCGUGUUCCGAGGCCAUAUCUGUUAUAUGCUAGGCUCGUCAAGUUUAACCUGAGUAUUCCGCGUGUGCAACUAUUUUGCACCCGUUGUAUUUGAACGUAGAGCCUAUCACACCCGAUCAUCACGUGGUGUCUCAGCACGAAGAACUUUCGCAACGGUGCAUACUCAGGGAGAACACUUCUUGAUAAUUUAGUGAGAGAUCAUUUAGAAAUGCUACCGUCAAUCAAAGCAAGAUAAGAUGCAUAAAGGAUAAACAUCACAUGCAAUCAAUAUAAGUGAUAUGAUAUGGCCAUCAUCAUCUUGUUCUUGUAAUCUCCAUCUUCGAAGCACCGUCGUAAUCACCAUCGUCACCGGCGCGACACCUUGAUCUCCAUCGUAGCAUCGUUUUUGUUACGCCAUCUAUUGCUUCUACGACUAUCGCUACCGUUUAGUGAUAAAGUAAAGCAAUUACAGGGCGUUUGCAUUUCAUACAAUAAAGCGACAACCAUAUGGCUCCUGCCAGUUGCCGAUAACUUCGGUUACAAAACAUGAUCAUCUCAUACAAUAAAAUAUAGCAUCACGUCUUGACCAUAUCACAUCACAACAUGCCCUGCAAAAACAAGUUAGACGUCCUCUACUUUGUUGUUGCAAAUUUUACGUGGCUGCUACGGGCUUUAGCAAAAACCGUUCUUACCUACGCAUCAAAACCACAAUGAUAGUUCGUCAAGUUAAUGUUUUUUUAACCUUCGCAAGGACCGGGCAUAGCCACACUCGAUUCAGCUAACGUGAGAGAGACAGACACCCGCCAGUCACCUUUAAGCACGAGUGCUCGUAACGGUGAAACCAGUCUCGUGUAAGCGUACACGUAAUGUCGGUCCGGUCCGCUUCAUCUCACAAUACCGCUGAGCCAAAGUAUGACAUGCUGGUAAGCAGUAUGACUUGUAUCGCCCACAACUCACUUGUGUUCUACUCAUGCAUAUGACAUCUACGCAUAAAACCUGGCUUGGAUGCCACUGUUGGGGAACGUAGUAAUUUCAAAAAAAUUCCUACGCACACGCAAGAUCAUGGUGAUGCAUAGCAACGAGAGGGGAGAGUAAUGUCCACGUACCCUCGUAGACCGUAAGCGGAAGCGUUAUGACAACACGGUUGAUGUAGUCGUACGUCUUCACGAUCCGACCGAUCCAAGUAGUGAAUGUACGGCACCUCCGAGUUCAGCACAGUUCAGCUCGAUGACGAUCCCCAUACUCCGAUCCAGCAAAGUGUCAGGGAUGAGUUCCGUCAGCACGACGGCGUGGUGAUGUUGAUGAUGUUCUACCGGCGCAGGGCUUCGCCUAAACUCCGCGACGAUAUGACCGAGGUGGAAUAUGGUGGAGGGGGGCACCGCACACGGCUAAGGAACGAUCACGUAGAUCAACUUGUGUGUCAUGGGGUGCCCCCCUGCCCCCGUAUAUAAAGGAGCCAAGGGGGAGGAGGUGGCAGGCCAAGGAGGGGCGCGCCAAGGGGAGUCAUACUCCCACCGGGAGUAGGACUCCUUCUUUCCGAGUCCAACUAGGAGAAGGGGGGAAAGAAGGGGAGUGGAGAAGGAAGGGAGAGGGGGGCCGCGCCCCAAACCCCUUGUCCAAUUCGGACUGGGCUUGGGAGGGGCGCGUGCCACCUCCUGGCUCCUUCCCACUAAGGCCCGUUAAGGCCCAAUACUCUUCCCCGUAUUCCCGUAAUUCAACGGUACUCCGAAAAAUACCCGAAUCACUCGGAACCUUUCCGAUGUCCGAAUAUAGUCGUCCAAUAUAUCGAUCUUUACGUCUCGACUAUUUCGAGACUCCUCGUCAUGUCCCCGAUCUCAUUCAGGACUCUGAACUCCUUCGGUACAUCAAAACAUAUAAACUCAUAAUAAAACUGUCACCGUAACUUUAAGCGUGCGGACCCUACGGGUUCGAGAACUAUCUAGAAUGACCUAGAACUGUUUCCAGUCAAUAACCAAUAGCGGAACCUGGAUGCUCAUAUUGGCUCCCACAUAUUCUACGAAGAUCUUUAUCGAUCAAACCGCAUGACAACAUACAUUGUUCCCUUUGUCAUCGGUAUGUUAUUUGCCCGAGAUUCAAUCGUCGGUAUCCAAUACCUAGUGCAAUCUCGCUACCGGCAAGUCUCUUUACUCGUUACGUAAUGCAUCAUUCCGUAACCAACUCAUUGGCCACAUUGCUAGCAAGGCUUAUAGUGAUGUGCAUUACCGAGAGGGCCCAGAGAUACCUCUCCGACAAUCAGAGUGACAAAUCCUAAUCUCGAAAUACGCCAACCCAACAUGUACCUUCGAAGACACCUGUAGAGCUCCUUUAUAAUCACCCAGUUACGUUGUGACGUUUGGUAGCACACAAACUGUUCCUCCGGUAAAUGGGAGUUGCAUAAUCUCAUAGUCAUAGGAACAUGUAUAAGUCAUGAAGAAAGCAAUAGCAACAUACUAAAUGAUCAAGUGCUAAGCUAACAGAAUGGGUAAAGUCAAUCACAUCAUUGUCCUAAUGAUGUGAUCCCGUUAAUCAAAUGACAACUCUUUUGUCCAUGGCUAGGAAACUUAACCAUCUUUGAUUCACGAGCUAGUCAAGAAGAGGCAUACUAGUGACACUAUGUUUGUCUAUGUAUUCACACAUGUAUUAUGUUUCCGGUUAAUACAAUUCUAGCAUGAAUAAUAAACAUUUAUCAUGAAAUAAGGAAAUAAAUAAUAACUUUAUUAUUGCCUCUAGGGCAUAUUUCCUUCACCUCCGUGGGUGAUUCCUCGGGUUUUCCCCUUGAUGUUUGGACACACAGUUACCUUGACUUACUUGAGACCAUUGUUGAAGUUGGGUCGGCCCUGAGGGGUACCCGUGAGUUGAUUUGAAAGUCAGGCGGGCCCGUAGAGCACCUGCGAGUUUUCCACAUGGCACGGCCGGGCAGUCUGGGCCAUUGCCAUAAGUCUGUGAGACGGGGCGACGGGGUCACCUUAUCGUGAGUCUCUGCUCGUCUCCGCGAGCCCCCAAUGCACUAACAGGUUUGGGUAUUUGUUCUGAGUUGGCCUCUGGCCUUUACGCACUAACCACCACGCGAGAAUAGAUAUGGGCCUCGAUGUCGCAGUAUCAGCUGAAGCUUUGUCAGACGUCCAGUUCAGCAGUGCGGCACGGUCGGAUCAUGCUGGCCAUCCGAGGCGGUGCUGGUAUUCACCCUGCUCGCAACGACCCGGAGAGCUGCGGGCGAUGGGCCCAAGACCCCGGAGUGCUUAGGAUGUAGACCGGCGGGGACCUCCGUGACGUGUUGAUCUUCCGAGGCCGGGCAUUGACCCCAGAAAGGUGUGUCCGGCCAGAGUGAUCGAGCGUGUUGGGUAACACGGUGCACCCCUGCAGGGAAGAUAUAUAUUCGAAUACCGUGUCCACGGUAAUGGACGUUCAGACUUGUAUCCGGAUAUUAUAUAACUAGAAAUAGAUACUUGAGAUAUGUGAUGGAUAUGUGGCUCCGGGAUUGCUUUCUCGCAGGGAGUCGAGGAAGAAUCUCUGGGCAUUAAUGUUACAAAAUGUUUGUUAUUUAUAAACUGCUAUUCUUUACUCUUCUACAUGCUGCAAGAUGCUUGGAGCUGCUUGAAAACGCUAGUCUUCGAUAGGCUAGGACUUCCCCUCUAUUCUGGCAUUAUGCAGUUCAGUCCACUGACACAGCCCUUCCAUUGGAUACCAAUGCAUACUUAGUAUAGAUCUGAUGCUUGCGAGUACUUUGGAUGAGUACUCACGGUUUCUUUGCUACCCCUUUCCCCCAUCUUUCUUCUUUCCGGUUGUUGCAACCAGAUGGUGGAUCCCUGGAGCCAGAUGCCACUGCCGACGGAUACUACUACAUGGAGACCGCCGACGAACAGGAGUAGUUAGGAGGUCCCAGGCAGGAGGCCUUGCCUCUACGAUCGUUGCUGCUUUUGUGCUAGCCUUCUUAAGGCAUCCUUGUUUAACUUGUGUCUAUACUCAGAUAUUGUUGCUUUCGCUGACUCUUGUGUAUCGAGCUAUGUAUUCGAGCCCUCGAGGCUCCCGGCUUGUAAUAUAAAGCUUGUAUUAUUUUAUUUGUGUCUAGGGUUGUGUUGUGAUAUCUUCCCGUGAGUCCCUGAUCUUGAUCGUACAUAUUUGCAUUUAUGAUUAGUGUAUGAUUGAAUCGGGGGCGUCACAAGUUGGUAUCAGAGCCAACUGCCUAUAGGAUCACCCUUUCCAACUCCUUGGCCAAAGUUGAGUCUAGUUUUGAAAAACGGUUUUGCUAACAUGGUUGUGUGGCUUACGGUCCCACAUUGCCAAUUGGGUGGUAUUAGGAUCUUUUAUUCCUCGUCUAUACUCUGGGAAUCUGAUCUCUCUUCUAUUCGAGUUAAAUGGUUUUGCAAAUUAUAACUCUAGGUUCUCGUAAAUACUUCUCCCGGAGAGCCCCUUCAUUCCAGAUGAUGGCCCGCUUUAACAGAAGAUUCUGAAGAUACUAUCCGAUGCUUUCUCGAGACCCUUGUGCCCUUCGCCAUUGCAAUCCCUACCACCGAUAACUCCUUAUGGGUAACUACCUACAAUUGCCGUUCAUACCUUCAUCCCCAGUUGCUCUUAUUAUUACAAGAUGUCCUGAAAUACUCUUCGAUGUUCCGAGAAUUCUCUAUGCUUACUGCCCUGCAGUUCCUUGCCGCAUGAAUACCCCUAUGGAUAAUUACUUGCUCUUAUCGAGUGUCCAUUCAUCCCCAGUUAUUCUUAUGCUUCAUAAGAUACUUUGUAAUACAAUCCGAGCUUUUGAGGACCUCUGUCACCAAUUGCUCUAGAAGGGCUUACAUGCCCACACUCUGGCUAUUUCCAUAUGCCUAGCUGUAUCCAUUGACGUCCUUUCUCAUUAUCAUUUGGAGUCUUUCAAUUUGAUAUGUUUGUGAGUAGUCACAAUCAUCAGUUGGUCCUUAAAAAUUAUCAUUCCUACUUAAACGUCUUCCUGAACAUGAGCUGGUUCUCGUCCAAUCAGAUUGCCAUCGGUUGUGCCCUAAGUCUAAUCAACUUAUCCAUUCUUGAUCAGAGCGUUUGCUUCUGAUCCCUUGAUUUGGGAAUCAUAAUUCCUUUGUAUUUGAGAUUUGAAUUAGUUAGUUGUUUCUAUAAUCUGAUAUCCUUGCAUUCUUUCUACUUCUGGUUGAGUACUGAUGCUUACAUCAGAUCCCUUGUGAACCACUAGAUCCUUUGUGGGGUUCUGUCCGACAGCGUCUUUCAUAUACAGUAACCUUGUGAGCUUUUCCUCGGAUACAUAAUGCCUUUGGUAAAUUGUAUCUUCUGCUUCCUCAACCAUGCUCUACUCUCGGGAUUGAGUUAUUUACUCGUGAAGUUUGUGUUGUAUGUUCCUCAGAUGCCCCGAUGGGUUGAAUCUUUGUCUCACCUAAAUCCUUGUGAGCCCGAAGUUUAUUCGAGUUAUAUCUAUUGGUGUUUCUUUGGAUAAAUUUUCAAUUCUACAACUUCUUCAAACACGAGAGGUGAAUGGAAAGUUGUGCAUUAGAGAAGUGGGAGUCGACCUUGAACCUUUGUGUUCAUGCCCAUGGACCCUAUGUGGAACUUACCAUGGAAGUUUCUUGUAAUAAUAAUCCCCUUGUGAUGAGUUCAUAUUGUAUCUAUGCUUGGUCCUUGGCAACCAUGGUUCCGACCAUGACCGUUAUCCUUCGAUUGCAUUUCUAGGACGAGUUAAAGUACUUGUCUUCUUCAGAUCAUUUCACCUGUCAAGACUCUACUUUGAUCAACCUUCGAGUGUUACCCUCUGGUAUCUCAAGAAUAUCACGGAACUACAUAACUUCUUAUGAGUUUUUCAUCAACUAUUAUUCUCGCCGAUUCAUAUUUUCCAGGGGUUUCGAGUUGUUAGACACUCGAGAACACCAGUAAUUGAUUCAGGUCUCCAUUGCUUUGUUUAACCUUUCUUGUAACCUAACAUAUCUGAGCAGUGAUAAUUCCCUCCUUAUGUAAACACCUCGGUGUACAAACUCUGUCAGUAAGACCUUGUUACUAUUGUUGAUGACAUGUUGGUAGCCACCGAUGGACGAGAACUUUGCAUAUUGGUCUGCCUUGUCUUAACGAGCAGGAAAAUGGUUCUCUUCGUCCCUCGCCCUUGGUACCAACAUUGUUGCCAACUUAACUGACACACUAUCUCUAACACACCUUACUAUCAUGACCGUGCAAAUGUUAGCACCCUUCCUGCUUUUAAACCCACAUGGUGGGCCCAUAACCCACAGUUUCACAGGAUCGAAACCUGACACUCUUGUACAUCCCUGUUUUCCAAAAUUGUUCCUCGCGCUUGGCUUCAUAUGUACAUCACGAGCCACCCACCUAGUGAUCUAUUCUGGUAUCAAAUGCAAUACUUAUUCCCAUUGCUCUGAACCCCUUUCAACCUCUGUUUCAGGCAACGAACAAUUGUCUACCCGGUUGAAGCUUCUUAUUGCUCCUCCUUACCUUACUCUCGAUGACUUUCUUGAAUUUCAACUCGAGAGAUGCCCCUAUGCCACGUUCACCGAGAUAGCCCUAGGUACCUAUCUUGUGUUGAGCUCCGUCCUUCCCUAGUCUUUCCACCCCUUAAAUCUCGUGACGAGAUUUCUUGUAGUGGAGGAGAAUUGUGACACCUGGAUAAUUAAGCUACAGUAAUCCUCUGCUAAUGAUGCCACACCACGAUUACUGUUGAUAAACUCGCGUGGGUUUGAAACUGGUUCAAAUUCCAAAUUCAAAUUAAAGUCAAAAAUAAAAGUUUUCAAACACCAAAACUAAAAUGUACAAUCUGUGGCAAAUAUUCCAUAAGUAAUUAUGGUGGUGAACCAACAUUUUUGUAAAGUGUUUUAGUGCACUAAAAUUAAAUAAAACCGUUUAAAGAAUAUAAAUAAAAGGAAAAAUCUUCCCCCUCACCCUGGGCCGCUUGGACAACUGACCCGCCAGGUCGGCCCAGCCGGCCCACCAUGUCCCCCCAGUCGCUUCCCCCUUCCUCCUUGUUCCUUGGACUCGGCCGCUAUAGGGCACUCCCGCCCGCGGUCGGCACCACACCACCUCGCCGACGAUGCGGGAGCCGAUAAGGCCUCCACCGGUGCCUCCCCUAGAGAUAUUUUCUCCCCUCCCCACUUGCCCCCGCGCUUCCCCUCAUCCUCUCUCUCCCUCUCCACUACGCUCCCAUCUUCCCUCCAGAUCCAUUGCGUCGAGCGCGCCCGUGUCCGUGCCGUCAAGCUGACCGGGACCAUCGAGCCCCUUCAGCCACGCCAAGCUGUCCACCCACUACGCCUCCGUCGUCUGCCCUUCCCCGUCGAGUCACACGGCGCCGGACGACCCCGUGACACCGCCCCCAACCUCGACUUCCUCCUCAAGCUCCGACAGUCACCGCAUCGAUUCACGUCACCUCGAGCUCCUCCGGCUUCCCCGAGACCUCCCCGACGCCCACUGUGAGCUUCCCGCGCUCAUACGAUUCUUCCCCUCCCUCUCUCGCUCGGCAUUGCCGUUGCUUCGCUGUCGUAGGAGUGCCACCGCAAGGCUCGUCGUUCUCGGCGAAGGCGACAACACCAACACCUCCCGCGAACCCCCUGGAUGCGCACGAUUGCAGGAUCCACCCUCGUCCGCCCUCUGUCGCCCGCGCCCACACUCGUCGCAGCCCACCCUAGUCGGAGCUCUACUCCUACGUGCUUGCCCGUGCCUGCCUCUUCCCCGCGUCCGCUCGCCAGCCUCCGCCCGCGCGGCCCCAGGCCACCGGCGCUGGCGCUCGCGCUGCUCCCUCACUGGCCACUGCCACUGACGUGGCACUGGCCACUGCCCGCCCUGGGUCGCUGCCAUCGGGCCCCACGGCUCCAGUUGACUAGUCAACUUGCCUAGUUGACCAGCUAACUGGGCAGUUAACUAGGUCAACGGGGCCCCACAUGUCAGCCUCUGGUGCACCCGUGGGUGCACUGCCCCGGGUGCGCCCAGUUUUUAGCUGGUGAAUUUUCAAAAUAAAAAUAAAUAAGAAAAUUUGAGAAUAUGUUUAAAUACUUUAGAAAUUCAUAGAAAUUAAUCCGUAGCUCGGAUGGAAAUGUUUUAUACAUGAAAGUUGCUCAGGAUGGCAAGAAGAUUCCGGAUGCACGGUCCGUUUGCCCGCCACACGUCCCUAGCAUAGCGAACAUGCAACCAUUCCCCUCUGGUUCAUCUGUCUAACAGACGUCCGGAACCGGGAAACUUUCCCGGAUGUUUUCCCCCUUCGCCAGUAUCGCCUAGAGCUGCGUUAGAACACCUCUAGCCCCACUUAUUGUCUUGUUGUGCAUAUAUUUGUGUGUAUUUGCUGUUUCUCCCCCCUCUUCUUCUCCAGUAGACCUCGAGACCGCUGCUGAUGCCCCUGUGAUCGACUACGUCAACGACGACCCUCCUUCUUGUCUGAGUAACCAGGCAAGCCCCGCCUUUGAUCAUCCCGAUAUCGCCCAUUCCAUUCUCUCAUGCUUGCAUUAGAUUUUGCUAGUGUUAUUGUUUGCUCCUAUUCUGAUGCAUAGCCUGCUUUUGUAACCUGCUCAUUGUUACCUACCUGCUUAUCCUAAACUUCUUAGUAUAGGUUGGUUAGUGAUCCAUCGGUGACCCCCAGUACUUGUCCAUGUUACCCCUGCUUCAUCAUCAAUGACUCGAUCAGCGUGAUCGACGACCAAAGCCUGACACCUCACAUCACAUCACGCCCUUUUGUUGCUCGACUCUGCAGAGCUACUAUCGAGUGCCGAGGGUGAUCCCUCAUAACGCACUCCUGAUGAUAAUUCUGUAGUGUAGCUAUUCGGUCGUGAUCAUCGAGGGUGAUUUCCUCUUUCACCAUUCCCGACACGGCUCUGUCGUUCAACACCUCAAGUGUGAACCUCGAGGGUGGUCCCUCUUACAUUCACGUUGAUGAUUACAUUGAGUGGAAUCCUCCGUGGGUGAUUCCUUGGGUUUUCUCCUUGAUGUUUGGACGCAUAGUUACCUUGACUUUACUUGAGACCAUUGUUGAAGUCGGGUCGGCCCGGAGGGGUACCCGCGAGUUGAUGUGAAAGUCGGGCGGGCCCGUAGAGCACCCGCGAGUUUUCCACAUGGCACGGUUGGGCAGUCUGGGCCCUUGCCGUAAGUCCAUGAGACGGGGUGACGGGGUCACCUUAUCGUGAGUCUCUGCUCAUCUCCGCGAGCCCCCAAUGCACUAACAGGUUUGGGUAUUUGUUCUGAGUUGGACUCUAGCCUUUACGCACUAACCACCACGCGAUAAUAGAUAUGGGCCUCGACGUCGCAGUAUCAGCCGAAGCUUUGUCAGACGUCCAGUUUAGCAGUGCGGCACGGUCGAAUCGUGCUGGCCAUCCGAGGCGAUGCUGGCAUUCACCCUGCUCGCACGACCCGGAGUGCUGCGGGCGAUGGUCCCAAGACCCCGGAAUGCUUAGGAUGUAGACCGGUGGGGACCUCUCUGCUGAGCCUAGGUAGGCUACGACGUGUUGAUCUUCCGAGGCCGGGCAUUGACCCAGAAAGGUGUGUCCGGCCAGAGUGAUCGAACGUGUUGCGUACCCCUACAGGGAAGAUAUAUAUUCGAAUACCGUGUCCACGGUAAUGGACGUUCAGACUUGUAUCCGGAUCUUAUAUAACUAGAAAUGAAUACUUGAGAUAUGUGAUGGAUAUGUGGCUCCGGGAUUGCUUUUUCGCAGGGAGUCGAGGAAGAAUCUCUGGGCAUUAAUGUUACAACAUGUUUGUUAUUUAUAAACUGCUACUCUUUACGCUUCUACAUGCUGCAAGAUGCUUGGAGCUGCUUGAAGACGCUAGUCUUCGGUAGGCCAGGCCUUCCCCUCUAUUCUGGCAUUCUAUAGUUUAGUCCACAGACACAGCCCUUCCAUUUAAUACCAAUGCGUAAUUAGUAUAGAUCUGAUGCUUGCGAGUACUUUGGAUGAGUACUCACGGUUGCUUUGCUACCCCUUUCCCCCUUCUUUCUUCUUUCCGGUUGUUGCAACCAGAUGGUGGAUCCCUCGAGCCGGAUGCCAGCACCGACGGAUACUACUACAUGGAGACCGCCGACGACCAGGAGUAGUUAGGAGGUCCCAGGCAGGAGGCUUUGCCUCUUCGAUCGUUGUUGCUUUUGUGCUAGCCUUCUUAAGGCAUCCUUGUUUAACUUGUGUCUGUACUUAGAUAUUGUUGCUUCCGCUGACUCUUGUGUAUCGAGCUAUGUAUUCAAGCCCUCGAGGCCUCCGGCUUGUAAUAUAAAGCUUGUAUUAUUUUAUUUGUGUCUAGAGUUGUGUUGUGAUAUCUUCCCGUGAGUCCUUGAUCUUGAUCAUACACAUUUGCGUGUAUGAUUAGUGUGCGAUUGAAUCGGGGGCAUCACAUUAAAUGUUAGGCCCAUUGUAGUUAGCACAUGUUUCCACUUGUUUUGCUUUACUAGCAUGCUUAAACCUGCACAAAGCUAUCUUUUGGAGAUUAUUUUGUCUGCCACGGAUAAUUUUGGUUGAUGUUUAGCUUUGUGCUUAACAUACCACUCGAUGUACCUACACAGGACAAUUUUGGGAACGACUCAUGUUUUCCAUCGAGGUUAUGUUUCAUCCCAUGGCUUAUAUAUACUCACUAUUCAGGAUAUCGGUAGCUGGUACCAUACAGGCUGGGGGCUGAUAAGGGACUAAUUGGUGAAUCAGACUUUUAACUGAAUAUAUCUGUAACCCAUUUAUCAUUAGGUUAACUAGGGCCAUACGUAAUAUAUCUUAGGCUACAUAGUGACAUGCAUUGUACUUAAUGUCUAAAUAUGUAAUCCUAUGCUACAUGGCAACAAGGAAUGGUGUUACCUUAAUGUUCUGAUGAUGUCUAGAUAUACGUAGAAGACAGAAGCAACAACAACAACACAACCAUGUUUGAAUACUCAACUUAGCUAGAGGUUAGAGUUAGUUUCUAGCUCAUGACUAACCCUGAACUAACUCCAUCCAAAGAGGUGUUUGGAUGAAAGGGUUAGAUUGACAAUAAACACACUAGGAGAACUAGCUCCAAUUAGCACCUCUUGGGUUGGAUAUUUUUUUUGGGUGGGUUUGAUGCAACUAACUCAGACUAGCCCUCAUGUUUGGAUAACUUUAGGGCUAUUUGAGCCCGAACUAGCUCAAACAAACUCUAACCUAUGGAUACAACAGCAGUUAAUGAGCCGAUAAUUUGUAAGAAUGCAAUAAACUCCUUCCGGCUCAUAAUAUAAGAUGUUAAUUCAUCUAAUAUGUGAGUAUAUUGGAUGUUAUAAGAUAUUAUAAAAGAGUGGUGUACUACAUCAUUGUGCAAUUGUUGUUUAGCUUCUAAUAUUAACUUGGUGUUUUUAGGUACAUAUGUCAUUGGUAAAGAUCUACGCUUUGACCCAUUUUGUGUAUGGGGCAAUGAGAUAUCGAUGAACCAGCAUCAAGUGAGGAAGUUGAUAAAGAUUGUUAGUAAAAUGGGUCCAAAGAUGGUAAUUAAACUAUUUGUUUACACUUUAGCCAAGACAACAUCGAACUGCAGGAUGAUAAGUAAGAACUCUGCAGCCUUCUUUUUACUGCCCAUAAUGAGUUGUGUUAGAUUACAAUGUCUGAAUUUUUUUAUUUUGUAGUGGUUGCCAAAGCAGUUUACUCAAGAUUACCUCUCAAACUACAUGAUUUGUGGGCAUGCAAAGGUUAAAGUAUUUCUACCAGAACACGAUGAUUAUCUAGAUAUUUUCAUGAAGACCGUGAAGGAUGGGUGGUCGACCAUCACAAGGGGUUGGACUAGAGUCGUGCGUGCCUUCUGCAUGGAGGAGGGCACAAUAUGGGCAUUCCGCUUCACCUUGUUCAGCAACCAGAAUGUAUUUCACAUAUUUCUUUACCAUCUUUAAUAGUAUAAGUAUACAACUGUGGUUCAUCAUUCUUUAUUUGGUUCUUAUGUAAUUGUUGAACAUAUGUACCUAUGAAUCGAAAAAUGCAUUGGUUGUUUGACCCUGAUGGGUAUGAAUAAAGCUACAACAUACAUUCAAAUUCAAAUCCAAAUCCAAAUCCAAAUCCGGUACAAUUUGAAAUAGCAGCAAUUAAAUUACGGUGAAAUUAUGCCCUUCAGGUCGUUACAGCACACAUGGUGGGUAAAACACAAAUGUUUGUGAUAUACAUCAUAUAAUCCGACACGGUUCAUAGAGAUAAAAUGUGUGCAAGCAUCCACACUGUUGCCAUUUGCAAAGCAUGUCGAUGUCAGACAGUAUCCCAAAUGGUGCGGGCAAACUAAACGUCUGUGUUAGUUGCCUUAUCAUACAUGAUUCGCAACCAUGAACUGUUUCUGAUGAAGUAUGCAUCGUAAAAGUUGCACCACAAAAUAGCGUGUACAAUAGUUGUCGUCUACGACGAUAUUAGGACGAUCCGACGUUUCGUAAUCCUGUCCGACACUCAUACGACGAUUAGCUAAUCUUCUUAAUUAGUUAUCGCAUACGGUUUGGGAAAAGCGAAUGUGUGUGAUUGUAUGCUUAUCAUACACGUUUUAUAAUAGUGAAACCGUUUGUGAUGAACCGCGCAUCGUAAAUGUAGCACCAUAGAAUACCGACUGUGAUGGCAAUGCGAGCACAAACGAGUAGGAGUACUGUAUAUGCAUCUUGGCUCCCUAUCCCCGACGGUUUCUGGGUCGUGAGGUAAGGACCCCCUAUCGCCCACACUCACUUGGCGACGGUUCCAAAUGUUGUCGCGGAAAGGGGUUAAAAACCGUUUGUAUAGCACUAACGCGUACUAGUGCCUCCUCUUGGAGAAUGAUCCCCAUCAUAGGAUCAUCAAGACCUCUUUCCUCAUAGAAUUGGGAUGAACUAGUUACCUCUUGUAUCUUCUUGUGUUGGAUUUGGACCUUUGUCUCUCUUUGUGUGAUUGGAUCUAGCACAUGUGUGAUUGGAUCAAGUCAAUUUGAGUGUUCCGCUUUUUCCCCCUUUGUGUUCUUCUUGUUCUUGAGGAUUUCCUCUCCAAUUCGCGAAAGAUCUCCAUCUAGGGUUCCACUCUACAACAAUUUUGCUGAGAUUUUGGAGAAUUUUAAAAAAAUUGCGCGAGAAAUGUGUUUUUUUCUUUCACGAGAACGCGUUUCUUUUCGCUACCAUGAGAUGCAGUGAGGCACAGGUGUGCUUCCAUGAGAGUCACAGUUAUGCCUCUUCAAAAAAGAGAAGAACACGCAUUUUUGCUACAAGAAAGGCACAUAUUUGCUUCUGCAAGAGGCGGAGUUGUGCCUCUCGAAAAUGAAAAAAAAACAUGUUUUUUUUCGUCUUUGAGAGUCACAGGUUCGCUUCCACGAGAGGCACGGGCUUGCUUCUCAUGGAGGCACAGGUUAACUUCCGCGAGAAGCAUAUCUAUGCCUCUCGGAAGGGGAAUAAAUUAUUAAAAAACUUGUUUCCGGCUAUGGUUUGUCUAUCGUUUUUUCUAGAUUUUUUCAUAAAUAGAAGUUCAUAUAAAUAUAUUAACAUGAGAUCAUGCUUCAAGGAACUCGAUGCGAGGAAUCCAACAGUGAAAACGGUUUGGGAUGUGGACGCGUGGUUAAAGAGAUAAAACAUUUCGAAAAACAAAUCUAUGAAAAAAAAAGGAAAACUCUCGGAUUGCCACUUGUUAGCCUCAAAGGAGGUGGGAGUGAUCUUUACAAAGGAAAACUCCCUCAACUAGUGAUUUCGCUGAAACGACCCACCGAUCGGUUGGCUUUGCUGUUGUUGCAUCGUCCUCCGCAAAGAAAAAGAAAAGAAAAACGAUUGACCCUGCUGCAUGCCAUGCAUGUGAAAAGCUAAGGCCCAAGUCCGGUCCCAGGAGAUCGAGGCACUCGCUCCGGAACUCCAUGGUUUCCAGCGAAUCCCUAGGAUCUACCUAAAAACAGCCCAGAUUUAGGUAGAAAAUGACAAAACUGGUCGUUGCGGUCGCGGGAACUAUAUCUCGCUUGUAGCGCGAUAUAUGCUGCACACGCCUAAAAUGUUUUAUGAUAAAUUGUAGCAAUUGAGCCAGCCCAAUUUGUCUGGGUAUUUUUUCCAGUCAAUAGGGUUUCCAUCAAGGCGAGGCUGUGUUCCCUCUACCUUCUUCCAUUUUUUUCUUCCUUUUUUGUUUCUUUUGUUUCUUCAACGAUUUUCUCCAGAUUUUUCAUUUCUAUGAUUUUAAUUGGUUUCUUAGUUUUCCAUUUUUUUCCUUUUUGUUACCUGAGUUUUUUUACUUUUCUUUGAUUUUUUAUUUUCUUUGUUUCCUUCUCUUUUUUGCCCUGGUUAUUCUUUGGUUUUCUUUUUCCUUUUCUUCAAUUCUCUUUUGUUUCUUUCAUGGUUUUCAUCAUUUUUUUCAUUUUCCUUUUUUUGAUUUUGUUUCUUUCUUUGUUUUCAACAAGGUUUUUUUGUUUCCUUUGUUCCUUUAUCGGUUUUCAUUCAAUUUGUACUUGCUUAUUUGGUUUUCUUUUUUGUUUACUUUUUCGCUUGGUUUUUUUGUUUAUUUUUCGGCUUUCAUUCUUUUGUUUUUGCUUGUUCCUUUUACUUUUCAUUCUACAUUUUUUGCGUAUGUCAAGAACAUUUUUCUAACACAUUCUUAAUAUUUUAUACACAUUUAACAUUUUCCAAAUAGAAGUUCAACAUUUUUUAUCUACACAUUUUUGCAUUUUCAAAUUCUUAAUUAAUCCCGGGAUAAUAAUGCAUGUAGAACAUUUUUCAAAUACUAGAUAAUUUUUUAUUAAUAUGUGGUCACCAUUUUAUCCAUAAAUAUUUUCAAAUGCUUCAUUAAAAUUCUUCGAAGAAAACAUUAACAUUUUUAAUAGAUAAUCAACUUUGUUUCAAUACACACUAAAAAAUUUCAAAUACUUCAUUAACAUUUCUAAAUACUUGUUUAACCUUUUUUUCAAAUGCUUGUUGUAUAUUUUCUAAACACAUGAUCAAAUGUUUUGUAUAAAUUGUUUCGUAUACAUCUGAAAUAUUUUAUUUCUACAGAUUUAAUAUUUUUCAAAUGCCUAGUUAACAUUUUUUCUAUACACAUUUUUCAAAAAAAUCAAAUAUUUUAUUAUCAUUUGUUCGAAUACAAGGUUAACAUUAUUUAUUACAUGGUCAACAUUGUUUUAUAUUCACAUUUUAACAUUUUCAAAUAGCUCAUUACCAUUUUUCAAACACAAGUUAGACUUUUUUGGAAUACAUGGUAAAAAUUUAUUGUAUACACAUUUAAACAAUUUUUAAUGUUUUUAACAUGUGUCGAAUACUUUUUUAACAGUUUUUUUAAUUUGUUUUACCAUUUUUUAUAUACAUGAUAAAAAAUUGCACAUAUUGUCCAUUUUUAUACAUGAGAAACAUUUUUUUACACAUUUAACAUUAUUCAUAUUUUUGUUUAACUUUUUUCAAUUUAUCAUUUAAAAACAACUGUCACAUAUUUAUUAAAAAUAUUUGGAAGUAUAAAUGAAAGUAAAAAAUGUGAAAAAAACAAAGGCAUGGCCUCCUGUGCAACUAGGCAGGCCCAUUUUUGGACUAGCCUCGUGCAUGAGCACACUAGGUCUUGCUUUAAGCGAGGCAUAGCGCUGGCCCGCAUCAGUUGCCUAGACAAGCGGUAAAUGCGCAGCCAGCAGGGCCCGGUGUCCAAUGUGGGCCAGUCAGCCCGCUGUGUUCUACUCUUCCUCGCCAGAGACCGCACCUUCACACAAUCGGUCUUGUAGCCGGUGCUCAUGGAGAUGGCGGAUGGAGGACGACACAGGCUUCCACGCCGGGUGCCGCCACCAUAGGAUAGGUUUAGGGUCAGGUCUUUUUUUAUUCUAAAUAUUCGAAACGUAAUGAAAAUUUGUCGUGUUUCCGUCAUUUUUAUGAAAUCCGGCCCUGUUUGCACGAGUUUCAUCCGAUUUUCUAAAAAAAAGUGUUUGACAUGUAUGCGGCUACGGUUGGAUAGCGACCUCCCGCAUCUGUAUUCGCGGACUAGUCCCUCCUUGUCCGUGGACGGAUGCGGGGGGAAUUUGCGGGUUACCAUUGAAGAUACCCUUAGGCCGAAACGUCAAACAACUAUUUGACGAAUGUACCCUUUUAGACUGAACACGUUAAAUCCUAGUUGACGAGAUUAACUAACCAACAGUUACCCCUUCAAUGGCUUCUACAAAGGUCACGUUUUUUCCCUAGGAGCACACCAAUUGAUGCAUCCAGCCGUCACCACAUAUCGCGUGUUGGGCGCUUCCUUUGGAUUUCGACUUUUUAUUUUAUUUUAUGUACACAUUUUCGUAUGUUAAAUGAUUUAAUUUUUCGCUUGAUUGUUUUGGGUUUUCUUAAAAAAUCCUGGUUUUUCAUAGGUUUUGAGAAAAAAAUGUGUAGAAAAAAAGAGAAACAAAUUGAUGCUUCUACCGUGAGAAGUACCAACUGUGCUUCCAAGAGAAGUACAAUUGUGCUUCUCGAAUAGGAAAGAGCUCAACUUGUGCUUCUACAAGAAGCACAACUGUGUUUCCCCAAGAAAAAACGCACAUCCCGUUCGUCCAAAAUUGAAGUAAAAACUGCAACCAUGCUUCUAGGCUCCUUCUUUUUCAGAUUUUUUUGUGAAGAAACAUUUGUCGACACCUAUUAAUAUGGGAUCUUCUUUUAAAGAUCUCGACGUGAGAAAUCUAACUGCGAAAACAGUUUGGUCUUUGGACGGAUUAUUCAAGAGAUAAAAUGUUUUGAAUCAAUAAAUCUACGAAAAAUGAAAAACUCACAGGUUACAACAAGUUAGCACCUACGAAGGUGGGGAGUGACCUUUGCAAAUAGUAGCGAUGUAGGCCGGUCUAGUUCUGUGUUCUGCUUCUUUUUUAGUUCUCUUUUUUGGUUUUUCUAGUUUUUAUUUUGGGGUUUUAGUAUCCUUUCUCUUUUCUUUUUUAAAAACAUUUCUUUUCUAAAAAAUGUUCAGUGAAUUUAAAAAAUAUUUAAUAUUUCUAAAAAUGUUCAAAUUCUCAAAUAAUGUUUCUGUUUACAUUACUUUCAGAGUUUAAAAACAUUGACAUUUCAAAAAAUUAUUCACAAAUUCAAAUUAUGUUCUACAUAAAUUGAAUAAUAUUCCUGUUUUUUUAAUAUAUUUUUUGGAAAAACAUGUUCGUGUUUCAAAAGAUGAUUGGAACUUUUUUCCUUUUUCUUUUUUAUCACAUGGUGAAAUAAUUUAAUACACAUUGAAGAGUUCUUCAAUAUGCAAUUAACUUUUUGAAAUAUAUACUAAAUACUUCUGUAUAUUUGUUUAUCAUUUUUUAUUACAUAUGAAGUUUCUGCUAACAUAUAGUGAACUUUGUUUUAAUAUACAAUUAGUGUUUUUUUUCAAAUCUGUGAAUAUUUUUAAAAUUUUGGACUAUGUUUUUCAAAUUCAUGAAGAUCUUUGGAUUUUGGAAUAUAUUUAUGAAAUCAAGUGAAUAUUUGUAAAUUUAUGAUUUUUUCAGAAAAAUCUCAAACAUUUAUUGAAAUUUUGAACAUUUUGCAAAAAUGAGGAAAUUAAUAAAAUAAAAAAUGAAAGAAAAAAUUGAAAUCACAUGAGAGUGAGUCGGCCCGCUGCCGAGUAUGAGCAAGCAGACCAGGGUUUUCACCCGGAUCCGUGGCAUAGGGACGAGGCCUAAUACGAUGUCUUUAGGAAGAGCAUCGCGGGCACCGCCAUCGCCAACGCCAAAGCAUGAAGCUUUCACUCAGAAACUCAGCUGAACCACUAGGAGGCACCCCGAUCACCACCACAAUGACGGCCAAUAUGCAUCCACACAAGAUCUGGGAACCGUCAGAGCAGGCUAGAGCCUCUCAUAGGUACACCGCUUUGCCUCCCACACAACCAAGAGGUGAGGCCACAACUGAUGGAACCUGUUGUAAAAGCCAUCCAUGUAGGUGUAGUCUAUCAUCCGGGGCCAUGUCGGGGCCGUUGCCGAGACAUCCUCAGACGAACUCAUCACCGACAUGGUAACACGCGGUCGCCACCCUAACCAGUACACAAGUCAGUGCCCUACAUGAGCAAUGAGUGAACACAUCACGUGCAAGGAGCAACUAGCCCUCUGUAGGGGGCCCAAGUCCAUCCCCUGCACCAGUAGCUAACACACGCAUGCUGCCAUCNNNNNNNNNNNNNNNNNNNNNNNNNNNNNNNNNNNNNNNNNNNNNNNNNNNNNNNNNNNNNNNNNNNNNNNNNNNNNNNNNNNNNNNNNNNNNNNNNNNNNNNNNNNNNNNNNNNNNNNNNNNNNNNNNNNNNNNNNNNNNNNNNNNNNNNNNNNNNNNNNNNNNNNNNNNNNNNNNNNNNNNNNNNNNNNNNNNNNNNNNNNNNNNNNNNNNNNNNNNNNNNNNNNNNNNNNNNNNNNNNNNNNNNNNNNNNNNNNNNNNNNNNNNNNNNNNNNNNNNNNNNNNNNNNNNNNNNNNNNNNNNNNNNNNNNNNNNNNNNNNNNNNNNNNNNNNNNNNNNNNNNNNNNNNNNNNNNNNNNNNNNNNNNNNNNNNNNNNNNNNNNNNNNNNNNNNNNNNNNNNNNNNNNNNNNNNNNNNNNNNNNNNNNNNNNNNNNNNNNNNNNNNNNNNNNNNNNNNNNNNNNNNNNNNNNNNNNNNNNAGCCCUAGCCACCUCAUAGCCCGUGCCAUCCACAACUCUUGUACAUUUUUGCAUUGUACAAUUUUUUUUUUGAAAUUGCGUAAAUUCGUUCUGGAACUUGUGAACAACUUUUUAUAAAUAGGCAGACAACUAUUGAAAUUUGGGAACAAUUUUUUAAAUUCAGAAACAUUUUAUGUCUUCGACGAACAUUGUUUGAAUCAGCGAACAUUUUUUGAGUUUUGUGAACAUUUUUAGGAAAAAUUGGAAUUUUUCGCUCAAAAUUCGAGAAAAUUGUUUUAAAUAUUUUUGAAAAUUAACUCAUGAAUAUUUUUGAAAUUGUGGACAAUUAUUUGAAAUCACAAAACUUUUUUGAAUCAAUGAACGUUUUUUUAAAUUCAUUUUUUUAAUUCACGCAUUUUUGUUCAAAUUCACGAACAUUUUGCCAAUACGUGAACAUUUUUUAAGACACGGACACUUUAUGAUUUCUGCAACAUUUACAAAGGUUCACUUUUUUUUUUAGGUUCGAACUUCUUUUGUAUUACAAAUUAUUUUAAAGAAGAUAAAAACAUAAAAAGAUGGUGCUCGUGCAGCCCUGCCCAUGGGCCGGCCGAAUAGGCGGGAGGGGAGGGUAUGCGAGCUGGCUUGUUCGCAGAAACAGAAAGGGUUCACCACAACCUAUUUACCAUAUAAAUCUUAUUUAUAACAACCACAACUUUUUGGUGCUUGACACAGGACUAGUCACUCAAACAAGCACGGUUCUUUCUGUAAAAUGCACCUAAUCUGGAUAAAGUCUUUAUGUUUAAAAAAAACAAGCAUGGUUCACUGUCAGGGACUGGGUAAACCGAAGAUGAAACGCACAACCUACAUACUUACACACCAUCACUUAUUCACCAUUGCGACAAUGAAACGCACCGCACAGGACAGUCAUAUGUUCUGCUAUUCACCACUCAACCAAAACAAGCACUAUAGAACCCUAAGGUUGGUAAGGAAGGCCGCACAAAAUUCCAGGAAGAGGAGCUGGGGUCCAGUGACUCUCUGCAUGUCGAGCAGGUACUUGUCAUCCUUGGUCUUGUAAAGCUGGAGAAAAAAGUAAGAGAAAUUUAGAGCCAAAUAGACACCAUAUACAGUACCAUGCAUGCCCGCGAAAUUGUAAAACCUCAAGCAUAGACUGGAUGACCAACCAAUACUGUGCAGCCUUAAAACUUGGGAAUUUUGUUUUGUCAAUGUGAACCAGCAGACAUUACUUGCAGACACGUUAUUUUAUCUAGUGAUCCGACUGUGAAGGCAACAUUGAGUACAAAAUCCCUUUUUUUGUUAUUGCAAACAAAUACAUU